RNAcentral lists this long non-coding RNA (295838 nucleotides) under Citrus maxima (pomelo). Its description in RNAcentral is "long non-coding RNA (CMAX_LNC001912)". The stretch from base 97776 to 97879 matches the Rfam family "Plant small nucleolar RNA R71". Lineage: Eukaryota; Viridiplantae; Streptophyta; Magnoliopsida; Sapindales; Rutaceae. The record is from RNAcentral.
UACUCUGUUUCAGUUUUGGUAUUAUAUUAUUUAUUCUAUUGUCACAACCUUUUUUCACCAUUUUGUAGUUUAUUGCCAUCUUACUGGCUGGGCAGGAGUAAGUUGUAUAUGAAUAGGCCUAUAAAUAACCUUUAUCAAUGAAGUUUGCCUUAUUACUGCAAUAGGAACACUUUCUAAGUUAAAAUGGAUAAAGAUGGCCAAUGAUAAAUUUAACAAGUUAACAGUUGCCUCACAUACUAACGAACUUCAAGUAAAAUAUUUUAAGCUUUUUCUUAGUUUUACAAACUGCUAGUAAAAUUUUUUAAGCUUUUUCUUAGUUUUCUUUGGAUACAUGCUACCCAGUGUUCAUUCCUUUGGAUGUUACUUUCAAUAUUUUACCAAGUAGCUUCUGUUUUGAGCUGUUUUUCAUCUUACUUCGCAAUAAUCUAUGUACAUUUGCUGGCACAGGAAUGUAAUAUUGAGGAGAUUCCGGAGGAGGAGGAACCUCCAGCAAAAAGUUCGAAGGAUAAAAAGGCUAAUGGACCUGAUUCUGGGAAAGCACCAAGUCUUGUAUUUAAGAUUACUAGCAAAAUUCCUUAUAAAACUGUUCUGAAAGGUAUUCUUUAUGUUUAAAUCAUGGAGUUCCUCUGGCGGUAAAUUUUCUUUUUUUAUUCAUUUUUUCAAAUUGAUCUGCCUUUAUCUUGCAGCCCACAAUGCUGUUGUUUUGAAAGCUGAGAGCACCGCUGAUAAGGCGGAAUGGAUAAACAAGAUAAGCAAAGUUAUUCAAGCUAGGGGAGGACUUGUUAGAGUUGCUGAAAGUGGUCAUACGAUGCGUCAGAGUCUUUCUGAUGGUUCUCUUGUGAGUUUAAACUCUCUUAACUUUGCAAUACAAAUUUUGAAGUAAAGAGCUACUUACCUGUGAAGGAUGUUGUUCCUUUUGCAUAUGCAUAGAAAUUGUGAUCGAGUGUUAAUUUCUUUUCUUGGUGGUUUUUCUAGGAUACAAUGGCUCGAAGACCUGCUGACCCUGAGGAAGAACUUCGAUGGAUGUCUCAAGAAGUACGUGGUUACGUUGAAGCAGUUUUGAAUAGUUUAGCUGCUAAUGUGCCCAAAGUAAGCUCAUUCCUUAACUUUGCCAAUUUAAUAUUUUCAGUUGGUUACUUAAUAGAUCUGAUAUUUUUGUGAAUGGUUGAGCAGGCAGUUGUACUUUGCCAAGUCGAGAAAGCGAAGGAAGACAUGUUGAAUCAGUUAUAUAGCUCCGUCAGGUUGAUGGCUUUCUUAUUUCUCUCUUAUCAAUUAAUGAUCAUUUUGUUUGUAGUAAUUGUGCAUGGAUUCAAUAUAUGGUAACAUUAUUGAAAUUUUGUUUAGAAAGCUGAUUGAUGCUAACAUAAUUUGUAUUUUACCUUGGGUAGUGCACAAAGCACGGCAAGGAUUGAAGAGCUGCUUCAGGAGGACCAGAAUGUGAAGCGUAGGAGGGAUCGCUAUCAGAAACAGUCUGAACUCCUGUCUAAACUAACCCGCCAACUUAGCAUUCAUGACAACCGAGCGGCUGCUGCCUCUAACUGGUCGGACGGUGGUGGUGGAGCAGGUACGUGGUCUUUUGUUCAUAUACCAAGUGGAAAAAAUUGUUCAAUUUAACAUUUCCCUUUUGUCUGUUUAAAAAAUUAUAACAUUGAACUUUUGAGUAAAUAUCUAUAGUCUAAUGACAGUGGAUCUUUUCUUAACCUAAUUGUUUGCUGAUUUUGGAAUUAAAAAUUUUGUUCUGAACUUGAAUUAAUCUACUGUUUGAUUAUUGGAAAGGUUUCUCAGGUGACACUCAAGAAAUGCUAACCAAACCUAUUAAUUGCUUGAACUGUCUUACUAUUGAGCUACUUUCUGACAAAAGAUUGUUAGAUUGAUUUGUUUGUACCAUUGGAUUUUAAAAUUUUUAUUUAUUUGUACCAUUUAAUUAAAAAUGUUUUUUUUAUAAGACCGUCAUUUUGAUUUUAAAAUGUUUGUUAAAUCUCUAUUUGAAACAUUUUGAUGAUGGAAGUAUUGGGUUAUGUAAUAUGCAGAAAGCAGCCCUAGAACAAGUGCCGCAUCAGGUGAUGACUGGAGAUCCGCAUUUGAUGCUGCUGCCAAUGGACCUGUAAGCCUUCGCAGCUACUCUCGGUCUGCAUCCAAUGGGCACAGCCGGCGUUACAGUGAUCCAGCCGAGAAUGGUGAUGUGAGAUCUGGUUCAAACUCGGGCAGUCGUCGUACUCCUAAUCGGGUGCCGCCGCCUCCGCCACCAACACAGUCAGGCUCCAAGUACUUUUAGGUGGCUUACAGAUUUUGGUUGACAAUUCAUAUUUUCUCUGCAUAUUUUUAGUGAGUGAAGGCCUGCUUAACCACUCAUGAUUCCAGUAGUUGGUUAAUCACUUCUUUAGAAUCUUCAAAAGAGGGUGCUUUGUGUAAAUAGGACUCUAUAGUUCCUGAGCUGAAAGUCAGGAUUUUACGGCUUGCCCCUUGUCAGAACUAUGAAUUCAAAGUGUAUUUGAAUUCCAUUUAUCAUAUUCUUCUAUUCAUUAUUUUGUUUUUGUUUUUGCUUUUGCUUUUGGCUCCUCCCCUCAUUUUUGGACGAUGGUAUAGUUGUAUUUGUUUGUGUCAGUUCUGGAUAUAUGCUUUCGGACUUUUGGCUUUGUAUCAUUUGGAAAAUUCUUGUAAGGGGAGAGAUAUAAAAAUAUUUCAUAUAUCUACUUCUCUAUUAAAGAUGCAACUUUUUGUUGUAUUUCUGAGUUGGGAUGUUGCUCGGCGAUUAGUUUUUUUGUUUUUUUUUUGACAGUAAUUGGUCUCAUUAUAAUAUAACUAACUCUUUUGAUUGUUACUGAUUUAGUGAAUCAAGGUGGCCAUCAUACGGGGCAUAUUUAAUAUGUUUUCCCUCUACGUUAUUUGUUUAAUUUUUAUUUUAUUUUUAUCAACUAAUUUUUAUGCACCUCAGUUAGUCUGUAACUGUACGAGUAUAAUGGUUUAUUUAUGUUUUUUUUUUUAAUAUUUUGAAGUAAUCUAUCUCUUAUCAAACUGCAACAAGUUAAUAGAUUAUUUUCGUUAGAGCCCGCGGACAGACGCAAAAGCCUAUACACUAGACAGUCAUUGCCGAUAGUUAUGGUGCGAACAAUUUGAGAAUGACUGUAGCUCUUAGUUUUUCUCUCUUAAUUUGCAAUGAUAGUUACAAGUAAAUUUGAGAUUUCUUCUUAUAAAAUGAUUUGUGAAAUUAAUGCGUUCACUUAAAUAUUAAUCUGGUAUAUUCUUUUAAUAUAAUUUUUUUUAAUUUAAACAUCCAAAUUGAUUAUAGAAUAAAUGUAGUAGACUCCAAUUAAUUUUGUAUUAUAUAUAUUAAUAUUUUUGUAACGUAAUUUCGUGACUUGUAUAUGAACAUUUUCCUUGUACAAUUUCUUUUAAUAAUUGCAAUAUAGUAUUGACUCAAUCCUAUUAGGGAUUUAUUUAUUUAUUUUUCUUUUUUUUUCUUUUUAAAUCUCGGCAAAGCUUAAAGAGGAGAGCCAAGAGAGCAAAUUUGUUAAACAAACAAAUUAGAAAAACGAAAGGCAUUAAGGUAAUAGCUGAAAAUCAUAAACAAUUGUACUUCCUACAUUGCGGCGUGGAAAUAUACGAAUAAAUUAUGAAGCAAAAAUUUUCAGACAUACUGAAGUUAAAAUUUUUAGACACAUUGAGUUCAGACCGUUAAAUAAAAUAAAUUAAUUUGAUUCCUUUUACUAUAACCUUUUUUUUCGCAAAAUUUGUUAAGGAAUAUGCACUAACAAAUGUAGCCAUAUCUAUGAUGGUACCUGAAACUUUUUCUCUAAUCUCUCCUAUUUUGUUCUUCAAUUAUUGCCGCUUUAUAAAUAUUUGUUUACGAUGAUCGAAAGAAAAAGUUUAGGUACUACAGUUACUUUUAGUCAUUAGAUAUAGUUAAUGUAAUUGUAUAACUGUGGAUUUAACGACUACAAAUAACUGUAAUACCAUACCACAGUUGCAACAUAAUUUUACCCCGUUAAUUGAGUGUGUUAAAUAGGUGUUCAGGGUAAUAAUGUUAUAUUUAUUUACAAUAAAUUAUUUUUAAUAGUAAUUAUAUUAUAGAUGUUUUUAUAAUAAUUUUUUAAUUAAAAUAUAAGUAUUUUUAAUAAUUUUUCAAUUAAGUCAAUCAGUCAAAGAUCCAGUGGUUAGAGCAGCAACUGUUAAAGAGAACCGAUGUGUUCUGCAUAGUCGCGAUCAUUUUGAUUCAGUAAUUGUUUUCAUCUCAUCAAAUAUCUUUCUAGUCAAUUGAAUUUUUGUUAUGGCUGCUUAUUCUUCUUCUCCUUCUUCUCCUCGAAACCGUAAGUAUGAUGUUUUUCAAAGUUUCAGAGGAGAGGACAACCGUGACAACUUUACUGGCCAUCUUUAUUCAGCCUUGUCUCAGAAAGGCAUUGAAACUUUCAUUGAUGACCAGCUUAACAGAGGAGAUGAAAUUUCACAGUCGCUUGUGGAUGCAAUUGAAGCAUCAGCUAUUUCACUCAUCAUUUUCUCUGAAGGGUAUGCCUCUUCCAGAUGGUGUCUCGAUGAACUUGUCAAAAUCCUCACACGUGAGGUGGCGAACUGGGUCUUUUGGGGAUUCAUUUUUGAAGCUUGAAGAAAUGUUCAAGGAGAAUUCAGAGAAGCUGCAGACUUGGAGGAAUGCUGAUACAACCUUCCACAUUCAGCUGGAUCAACCGGAUUAUUUACGAGAAGGGCAGCCCAUCGAUGAGUCUAAUUGUGUGCAGCCCAUGAAGGAAGCCUCAUCACAAGUUGAAGUAGACAUAGCUCGUGAGGAAGGGUAUACCGGCACAAGAGUGAGAAGAUCCCCUGGGUGGUUUAAAGAUUAUGUCGUAUAGUGAAAUUGAUAAAGCUUUAUAUUUUGCUGGUUUAUGUUGCUGUCAUAUUUUCUGUUACAAAGUUAUGCUGAGCUGUAUUCUUUUAAAAAGCCAAAAGACAGAGGAGUAUAUGUAUAGCAUAACUAAUUCGUGCAAAAGGAAUCCAGAAUGAAUCAUUUCUUUUUAACUUUUCUCUAUUCUUCUCUCACUCUCCAUCUCUCUCCCCACUCUUGCUCAUCUUUGUCAAUUUCUUUUGGAGUCAGCCCUCACUCGAAGAGUGCAAAUUUAUCGAUACAGCCUUGAUUGCAGAGAGGUGUAUCAAAUGCUUUGAAGGAAGCGGCCGGUCUGUCCGGCUUUCAUUCUCAGAACAUUAGGUAAUCAAAUUUCUUUUCUCAUACCAUUAUGGUGAUGCAACAGAAUGUUAUUUUCUGCUUGAUUAAUUACCAGCGCCCCAGCCAGUUAUAGUGAAUUUUUUUUUGUCAAGUAUGCUGAAUUAUGUACUUCAAUUUUAUUAGGCAUCCUAGUGUCUUCCGGCAAGUGAUUUGUGGAAUUGAUAUUUGACGGUUACAUUUGGUGUGCUAAAUUCUGUAUGUGUUAAACUCAUUUGAAAGAAUUUUGACAGAGUUAUUGAAAUCAGCAUUUGUGUGUUUUCAUUGGGUGUUCUUUCAUAUUUCAAGUAAUUCCAAUCUGUCACUCAUAUUCCUAUUUAAGAGUUAUUGUCAUAUUUUCGUGCAAAUCCCUCCUAUUUGAACUUAUUAUUUUACAUAUUUGCUAGGUCUGAAUCAGAACUUGUAAAGGAAGUUGUUAAUCAAAUUUUGAAGAGGCCGGCUGAAGUCUCUCCUUGUAGUAAUAAAAACCAGUUGGUUGGAGUUGAAUCAAGAGUUGAGGAAAUUGAAUCUCUACUAGGUGCUGAGUCGAAAGAUGUUUACGCUUUAGGGAUUUGGGGCACUGGUGUUAUAGACAGGACAACAAUUGCUAGAGCUAUUUUCAAUAAAAUCUCUAGUAACUUUGAAGGUUCUUGCUUCCUUCAAAAUGUUAGAGAAGAAUCACAAAGACCGGGAGGAUUAGGUUGCUUGCAACAAAAACUUCUUUCAAAAUUAUUGCAGGAUGGCAAUGUGAUUCCUGAUAUUGCCCUGAGCUUUAGACAGCUCAGCCGCAGGAAGGUUCUGAUUGUUCUUGAUGAUGUGACUUGUUUCAGACAAAUAAAAUCCUUAAUCGGAAGUCUUGAUUGGUACAUGGCAGAGAGUUGAAUCAUAAUAACAAGAAGAAAUCAACAAGUGCUUAGAAAUUGUUGUGUCAAAGAGAAAUAUGAGAUGAAGGAAUUAGGAGAUGAUCAUGCACUUGAGCUUUUUAGUCGACAUGCCUUCAAACAAAACAAUCCUCAUAUAGGUUUUGAGGAACUGUCAAGCAGGGUCACACAAUAUGCUCAAGGUGUUCCAUUAGCUAUUGAAAUUUUGGGUUGUUUUCUAUUUGAAAAAGAAAAACAAUUUUGGGAAAGUGCAAUAAACAAAUUGAAAAGAAUCCCUAAUAUGGAAAUCCAGAAGGUGCUAAAAAUAAGUUUUGAUGGUUUGGAUGAUGAAGAGAAAAAUAUUCUUCUAGACAUUGCUUGUUUCUUUAAAUGGAAAAAUAAAGACUUGGUCAUAAAAUUUCUUAAUGCUUGUGGCUUCACUGCACAAAUAGGAAUAAGUAGUCUUGUUGACAAGUCUCUUAUUUGUAUGCACGGCAACAAUAUAACAAUGCAUGAUCUUCUACAAGAAAUGGGUAGGGAAAUUGUACGGCAAGAAUCAACGAAUGAUCCAGCAAAACGUAGUCGGUUGUGGCAUCAUGAGGAUAUUAUCAAAGUCCUGACAUCUAAUACGGUAAGCAUUUUGUUAGAGAAUAUAUUAUUUUGGAAUGCUAUUUAAUAUUCAAAGUUUACUUAUAAUUGUAUAAAUAGAUGGGUUUAUAAAAUUUAUAAAAGAUUGGCAAUGAUUAAGUGGGAAAAAAAAAAGAAAAAUUGGAAAAAAGGAAACCAGUAGUACAUGAUGUAGCAAUAAUGUAUAAUUGCUAUGUCAAUUUGUAUAUAACAGUUUGCGGACAAGCAUUGAUAGUUUAUACGUUGUCUGCAUUGAUAGUUUAUAUGUUUAGUAUUACUUGUAUUAUCCUGUUUCUUUGUAAGUAGGUUUAGAUUUACCAGUUUGAUUGCCAAACAAUAACUAUCUACUUGAAUUGUAUAAAUUUGAUUUUAACAUUAUGGUCUUUUUAUUGAUUAUUAGGGGACUGAAGCAAUUGAAGGCAUUUGCUUGGAUAUGUCUAAAGUGAAAGAGAUCCAUCUAAAUCCUGAUACUUUCACAAAGAUGAGUAAAUUGAGAUUUUUGAAAUUCUAUUGCUCAAUCCAUGGAGAGAACAAAUGUAAGGCAUCUGAUUUCUAAGGUCCUGUAUUUGCUGAAGUGAGGUAUUUUCACUGGCAUGGAUAUCCAUUGAAAUCACUGCCUUCAAAUAUUCAUCCAGAGAAACUAGUUUUACUUGAAAUGCCUCAUAGCAAUAUUCAACAACUUUGGGAUGGUGUCCUGGUAUGUAUAUCUUAACAUAUGCAUGCAAUGUUUAAGUCAUAACAUUUAAUUAUCAUAGCAUGCUAAUGAUUUGUCUUGACCUCUUUUUUGUCUCAGCAGCGUUGUGGUAAGCUAAAGCAGAAAAUCAUCUCUGCCUGCAAUAUUUUUACCAAAACUCCAAACCCCUCGUUGAGUCAACCUCUGAACACGCUGGUUGUCCUGAAUCUAAGGCAUUGCAAAAGUCUGAAAAGUCUUCCAGCUGGAAUUCAUUUGGAAUUUCUUAAAGAAUUUGAUCUUUCAGGUCGUUCAAAACUGAGGCGGCUUCCAGAUAUCUCAUCAGCUGCUAAUAUAGAAGAGAUGCUUUUAAAUGGAACUGCAAUUGAAGAGCUGCCCUCAUCCAUCGAGUGUCUGUAUAAGCUUUUGCGCUUGGACCUUGAAGAUUGCAAAAGCCUUAAGAGUCUCCCAAGUGGCCUGUGUAAGUUAAAAUCAUUAAAAUAUCUUACUCUCAAUGGUUGCUCAAAUCUUCAGAGAUUGCCUGAUGAACUCGGAAAUUUAGAAGCUUUGUGGAGUUCGCAUGCUAUAAGAACUGCUAUAAGAGAAGUGCUAUCAUCUUUUUUCCGUUUGAACAACAUUGAUCUCUUAAGUUUCCAGAGAAGCAGGGGUCAUAAGCAGAUGGGUUUAUCAUUGCCUAUCAUGUUAUCUUUAGAUGGCUUGCACACUCUAACGUAUUUAAAUCUAACUAAUUGUGGCAUCACACGGUUACCUGAAAAUAUUGGCCAGUUAUCCUCGAGAGAAUUCCAGAAAGCAUCAUACAACUUUGUAAGUUGGGAAGGUUCUACUUAAGGUAUUGUGAGAGGCUUCAAUCCUUACCAAAGCUUCCAUGCAAACUACAUGAGUUGGAUGCACAUCAUUGCACGGCACUGGAAUCGUUAUCAGGUUUAUUCUCAAGUUAUGAAGCUUGUACUCAGUAUUUUGACCUGAGUUAUAAUUAUAAAUUGGAUCGAAAUGAGAUCAGAGGAAUUCUUGAAGAAGCUCUGCAAGAAAUUCAACUCUUGGCAACUGCACGAUGGAAAGAAGUAAGAGCGGAGUUAUUAAUUUCUUUUUUCUUCAAAUUAAAGUUGACAAUUAAUAUUUGAUUAAAAUUAUGAUUUUCUGUGGUACAGAUAUAUUAUUCUCAAAAAUAUGCACUGUUGGUUCGUGUCUUUUUUCCUGGGGAUGAAAUUCCGAUGAGGUUUAGCUUUCAAAGUAUGAAAUCUUCUAUAACCUUGAAGAUGCCACCAGGUUGGUUCGGUAAUAAAAAGGUACUCGGCUUUGCUUUUAGUGCUAUUGUGGCAUUUGGAGAACAUAAUGUCAGAGAAAAGAGGUGGUUCGAAUUGUUUUGUGAAUUCAAAGUCAGACCCAAAGAUUCGCAUGCCAUACAGAGAUUUAUGGGGAUGGUUGAUUAUGUAGAGUCAGAUCACUUACUUUUGGGAUACUAUUUCUUCGAUGAUCAGGAUUUGAAUGGUUUUUGGAAAUACAAUUGCAUUCUUGAGGCAGUUCAAUUCUAUUUUAAGGAGGAUUUUAUCGCUCUGAACGUUUGGAGUGUUGCCCGGUGAAAAAAUGUGGGAUCCAUUUAUUGUAUGUACCAGACUCUACAAAAUCAAUGGAAGAUCCAAGUGAAUUUUUCUACCAUAACCAUGAAGAGGAACGACACCCCAAAAGACUCAAAUAUUCUUGAAAACGUGUAUUGCAGCUGGUAUUUUUGAGAAGAGAUAUGUUAGAUUAAUUCAUCGGUACUGUUUGAUCUUAAAAUGUUGCUUUCCAAACAUUUCUUUUAUGAUUUUAUAUUUUUAUAUGAAGAUGGAAGUGACUUUUAGAUGUUUUUCAACUCUUUUAUUUUGAUAAAAGCUACAUUUCACGUCCAGUACUAUUGUUUGGUCCAAGCAGUUAUUGUUUGACUUUUGGUUGGUCUGGCUAGUGUUUAGAUCCUUGUGUAUUUGUGUUUAUUUGGUUUCUGCAUGAAAUGUAUAUUAAAUCAAAUUUACAAUGCAUGUAAGUCCGUUUAUAGUUUAGACAUAAUUUUCGGCCACUAUUACUUUAAGAUGUUCGGAUCAAUGCUUCCUUAUCAGUAGUAAAUUUUUGCUGAAUUCUUUUGGGAAAAUUUCUCUGCAACUAGCUUAUGUUGAAAUCUCUGUAGUCUUGUUUGGCUGGAAAGACAGCAUCAGGUGUUGGAGGUGAACUAGAAACGAACUUCAAAAAAGGCAACUGAGGUAGAUCAAGGGAUUGUGAACAGGGUAUGGGGUCCUUUUCCUGAUAUAAUCGGAUUACGACUUCAAAUGACAAAUGCAUUGAGUAGACACUUUUUCCUUUGAAAUGAGUAUCUAAACUAUGCUGCUCAAUGGUUCUAGUGUUAUAAAACUUUGGAAAUGAGUUACAUUUUAGCCUCUAUUCACUGAUUUUUAUACGUCUUUCCAUAUAAAUAUAUAGACAGAGGUACAUACCUAAUUCAACAUUUCUUCCUAUAUAGCUAGUAUUCAUAGAGAUGCACCGAUAUAUGGAGCAUUUUGCUGUUAGUAUUAACAACUUUUAUUUAUUCCUAUAAGUUCUUUGUAGAAACAAUCAGGUGAUGACUGGAAAUCUGCAUUUGAUGCUGCUGCUGCCAAUGGACCUGUUAAGCCAUCGCAGCUACUAUCGUUCUGCAUUCAAUGGUCAUAGCGGGGAUUACGGUGAUCUGGCCUAGAAUGGUGAAGUGAGAUCUGGUUCAAACUCCAGCAGUCAUCGUAAUCCUAAUGAGGUGCUGGCACCACCCCCACCAGCAGCAGAGUCAGGAGGCUAUAGGCACUUCCAGUUGGCUUACAGAUUUUGGUUGACAAUUCAUAUAUUCACUGCAAAUUUUUAGUGAGUGAAGCCCUGUUUAACCACUCCGUGAUUCCAGUGCUUGUUCAAAAAUCACUUUACUAGAAUCUUUAGAAGAGGGUGUUUUGUGUACAUAGACAUAGGACUCUAUACGGCUAGCUUCAUGUCAAAGCAAUGAAUUCAAAGUGUAUUCAAAAUUCAUUUACUAUAUUCUUUCUUCUUUUCAUUAUUUUGCUUUUAUUUUUGGUUCCUCCCCUCACUUUUGGACAACGAUAUAGAUGUAUUUGCUUGUAUCAGUUCUGGUUAUAUACAUACUCUUGGACUCGUGGCUCCGUUUAGAAAAAAAAAAAAAAUUCUUGUAAUGGGAGGUAUGUAUUUUAUUUCAUAUACUCACUUCUCUGCUCAAGAUUCUGCUACUAUAAUCAAAGAUGCAACUUUUUGAACUAUUAUUUAUGCCAAAAAAUUCAGUAGUUAUUAUUAUUAUUUUUUUGACAGCAUAUCUCUUCUUUGAUUGUCUCACAUAUUUAUGGAAUAUUUAAGGAAAGUAAAUAGCUUUUGUUCACAAAUUGUUUUUGUUAGAGCAAAAUAGAAUUCUGACAAAUUCGAGAAUUGACCAAGAAAGCAAAGGGUAGCGUAUGAAGUUGCGGGUUGAAAUUACGGUGCUUUUGGGCAAUUCACACCCUCUAGAACCUUUCCAGCUGUCAUUCACUUUUUCUUUCUCCACUUGAAUAACGCGGAAUAAUUUCAAAUAAAAGUGAACAAAGCUGCAUUUUAAGUAAAAUUAUUGUCCAGAGAGCCAAGGAAAUCAAAUGAGAUGAAAUUAUCAAGAAACAACCUGUUUUUACUCUGCACAGAUACUACAGUCACUAACGUUUGCUCGAGAAAAAUACGCCGACUUUUCCGGGAAAUUUUUUUAUAUAUAUAUAUGAAAUAUAUAUAUAUAUAUAUAUAUAUAUGAAAGGAGUGAAAAAAUUUUGAACUUUAGAAAUUCUUUUUUGACUUUAGAAAUAGUGUAACACUAUUCACAUCAAAGAAGGAAGAUAAUGAGGCCAAUUCCCCAUAUAUAAAGCCAACAAAAUUAAAUUGAGUGAAGCCUUGCUUAAAAAACCCAUUCCAUGAUCCCAGUCCCACCACGCACUUUGUAUAAAAUUCAAUUUAUUAGAAUAAUUGGAAUCAUUAGGAGAGGAAAUAUAUUUGUGUGCUUAGGACUACAUAUAGUUCCUGAUGAACGUUGGGAUUUUUACGCGUGCCCCUUGCCUCCAUGUCUAAACAAUGGAUUUAAUUAAAUUGCAUUUGAAAUCCACUAAGCAUAUUCUUCCUUCAUUGUUUUGUAUUUUUUUUCUCUUUUUUUUCCCCAUUUUUCAAUCCUAUCUCAUUUUUGGAUGAUAUAAUGAACAUGUUUGAUCAGUUCUGGUCGGUUAUCAUUUGGAAAUAUUACAUUUUUUUUAUCCCAAUGCGAUAUAUUUUCUUCUCCAUUGAAGAUUCUCUGGACGCUAUUAACCAAAAAAUGCAACUUUUUUUCUGUUUAUAAAUUGCUUCUGUACCCAAAGUUGCAAGUACUUACCAAUAAUUUGAUAAACUUCAAUAAUAAAUAGGAUUUAAAAAAUGAACUUGAAACAUCUAUGUAAAAUAUUGGAAUUCAAUGAAAAGAGUAGGAAUAUAAAACCAAAAAGUUGUGGAAAAAAGAGUUGAAGAGCUAACCUAAAACUCGGAAAGAACUACCGAAAAUCUGAUAAAUCCAAUAAGAAGUAGGGAUCAAAAAAUAAACUCGAAACAUUCACAAAAAAUAUUGGAAUUAAGUUAAAAGAGUAGAAAUAUAGAACAAAAAAAUGGUGGAAACAAGAGUUGAAGAGUAACACAGGAGUGUUUGAAAUAUUUGGUAAUCAAGUUAAGUCAAGUGCAGCUCAAGUUCUUACAUUAAUCAAGUGAGCAGAAUUUCUGUGCAGAAGGGGCAUCUUUGGGAAUUAAACUGUACUGCAUGAGAUCGAAUUAAUUUUCGAACCAUACAUCAUUGGAAAGAUAUUUCUGUUAGCUUUCCAAUGAAUUUUACUAAUCUAAAUUUGGAGUUUUCUACAGUAAGUUAUGAUCAGUUAAGUGCAGACUGUUCAGUUUUUGAGUCAAGAAGGAUAUUUCGGGACUUGGAUUUUUUUUAAUGUUCUUUGUUGUGUUUUAAGCAUACCAAUGUUUUAUUAAUGUCUAGCUUUAAUGUUGGUCUUUAAAGUCAAGUUAUUUGAAGGGUUUCUUUGUAGUAAAUCUAUGCUUGGAGGAUUGUUCCAAGAAAGCUAUUUAAGCUUAUGUAGUUGUAACCAAAGGACAGAGAUUAAUUUUGGGAAUUGGAUGAACUUUGAGUUAUUAUCAAACUCUGUAUCUCUUUGGUGGAUUCCAUUGAGUGGUGAGUAUUUUUAAGCCCUGUAUCCUUAGCUUAACAACUUUAGGUGGUGAAUUUUUCUGUAUCCUUUUGUUGUUUGCUGUGGUGGUGAGCUUGUGAAUUCUUGGGUGUGUGACGUUGUGUUUUCUCAUCUAUUGUGUCCGGUGUCAAAUUGGUAUCAGAGAAUUGGGUUCUGAAAAUUUAUGGCUCAACGACGUCGGCGUAAUGCAAGAGUUGCAGAGCCUCUUGUUCGUGAGAGGGACUUGGGUGAUAUAGAAAGGGAUGAUCUUAGAAGACAAGUAGAACAGCUUCAGCAACGAUUACAACACCUUGAAGGAACUCGAGAAGCUGCUCCUAAUGGUAGUUCGGAAGAAGAAGGCUCAAUCAAUGACGGGGUAGAUUAUAAUCCCUUCCAUCAGGAACAAAGCUCCAAUAGUGAAUUUUCUUCUCGUUCUCGAAUUCAUAGGCGUCGUAAAUCUUAUCAGCCUUUCGACUUCAAGAUCGAAAUUCCUGAAUUUGAAGGAAGAAUGCAACCAGAAGAGUUUGUUGAUUGGCUUAAUACUGUUGAACUCAUUUUUGAAUACAGAGAUGUGCCUGAAGAUCGCAAAGUGAAACUCAUUGCCAUUAAACUUAAAAAGUAUGCUUCUUUAUGGUGGGAAAAUCUUAAGAGGCAAAGGAAACGAGAGGGACGGAGGAAAAUUGUUACUUGGGAGAAAAUGAAAAAAGAGCUUAAGAGAAAGUUUUUGCCCGAUAACUACAGGCAAGAUAUCUACCUUAAAUUCCACAACUUCAGGCAAAAGGAAUUGUCAGUGGAAGACUAUACAGCAGAGUUCGACAAUCUAAUGAUGAAGUGUGAUUUGGUAGAGGCGGAAGAGCAUACGAUCGCACGCUAUCUGGGUGGUUUAAAACCUGAGAUUGGUAAUGUGGUCCAGCUCCAACCAUAUUGGACUUAUAGUGAUGUAUGCAGACUUGCUCUUAAGGUGGAAAAGCAACAAAAAGAUGCUUGUGGUGGGGGUAUUCGGUUCACAGUUCAUGAUGUCAAUCGAGGGAGUGACUCCGUUUCUAAGCAUAAUUCUGGUUCGAAUUCUACUGCAAAGAAAAUUACGAGGAUUGAUAUUGGGGAAGGAUCUAAACAGCGAGCAAGUGGUUCGAAUGCUAGUUCUCGUCAAUGUUUUAAAUGCCAUGGUUAUGGGCACAUUGCUUCUGAGUGUCCUAAUCGUAGGGUGGUUGCCCUUGUUGAAGAGGAAAGCGAUGACGAGGAUGCGGAAGAUCAUGAGAAUCCUAGUGUCGAAAAGGAUGUUGAAGAUGAAGAAGUUACAUUUGCUGAUGAUGGAAACUCUCUAGUUAUUCAAAAGAGUUUGAGUAUUGUUUGUGAAGAUGGGGAAGAUUGGCUGAGAAAGAAUAUCUUUCAUACCAGAUGCACUUGUCAUGGAAAGAUAUGUAAUGUCAUUAUUGAUAGUGGCAGUUUUGAGAAUGUGGUAGCAACUGAAAUGGUGAAGAAGUUGAAGCUCAAAACGGAGCAGCAUCCUCAGCCUUAUAAACUUUCUUGGCUUAAAAAGGGAAAUGAGAUUGAGGUAAACACACAUUGCCUUAUUUCAUUUUCUAUUGGGAAUAAAUAUAAAGAUGAAGUUUGGUGCGAUGUUGUCCCUAUGGAUACAUGUCAUUUGCUUUUGGGUCGUCCUUGGCAGUACGAUAGAAUGGUUGUUCAUGAUGGUUAUAGGAAUACUUAUACUUUCAUUAAAGAUGGAGGUAAAGUCAUUUUGGGUCCUUCAAAGGUAGAGAAAAGUUCUAAACCUAUCAAAGGAGUGGAAAGCAAUUUGCUGACUGUUUCAGAUUGUAAAAAAAAAUUGGAAAUGGGUAGUGAAGUUUACGUGCUGCUGGUGUUUGAGGAAAAUGAAGAUAGCAAUGAGCCGCCUUUGAUUAUGAAGUAUUUUCUUGAAGAAUUCUCAGAUGUUGUUCCAGAAAAAUUACCACAUGGCCUUCCUCCUAUGAGGGACAUUCAACAUUGCAUUGAUCUUAUUCCGGGUUAUGUACUACCAAAUAAAGCGGCUUAUCGAAUGAAUCCAAAGGAGCACGAAGAAUUACAGAGGCAAGUUGAAGAGCUAUACAAGGAUGAUUCUUUCUUUGGCAGGAUUUGGAGAGAAUGUGAGAAUGGAUCAUAUGACCAGUACCAAUUGCAUGAUGACUUUCUUUUCAAAGGGAAUCGUUUAUGUAUUCCUCAGUAUUCUUUGCUGGAAUCUAUUAUCAUGGAGGCACAUGGCAGUGCUGUUGGAGGUCACUUUGGAAGGGAUAAGACGUUAGCUUGCUUGCAAGGUAAUUUCUAUUGGCCAAAGAUGGAUAAAGAUGUUGUGCAUCAUAUGCAGAGGUGUAAAAUAUGUCAUAUUGCCAAAGCUCAUGGUCAAAACACAGGCCUAUACAAUCCUUUACCAGUCCCUGAAGCUCCUUGGGAAGAUGUUAGUCUAGACUUUGUUGUUGGGUUGCCAAGAACUCAAAGAAACAAAGACUCUGUCAUGGUGGUGGUUGAUCGAUUCUCAAAAAUGGCUCAUUUUGUUCCGUGUAACAAGACAUUGGAUGCCUCUCAUGUGGCUGAUUUGUACUUCAAGGAGAUUUGGUUUGGGUUCAUCUUAGGAAAGAUCGUUUUCCACCUGGGAAAUUUGCUAAACUUAGACCAAGGGCUGAUGGACCAUUUACAGUGUUGCAACGCAUUGGUGAUAAUGCUUACAAGAUUGAGCUACCAGAUGGCUAUGGUGUUUCGUCAACAUUCAACAUAUCAGACUUGUCUCCUUAUCAUGAAGAAAAUGAUCAAAACUCGAGGUCGAAUUUUUUUUUUCAACUAGGGGAGAUUAACACAGGAGUGUUUGAAAUAUUUGGUAAUCAAGUUAAGUCAAGUGCAGCUCAAGUUCUUACAUUAAUCAAGUGAGCAGAAUUUCUGUGCAGAAGGGGCAUCUUUGGGAAUUAAACUGUACUGCAUGAGAUCGAAUUAAUUUUCGAACCAUACAUCAUUGGAAAGAUAUUUCUGUUAGCUUUCCAAUGAAUUUUACUAAUCUAAAUUUGGAGUUUUCUACAGUAAGUUAUGAUCAGUUAAGUGCAGACUGUUCAGUUUUUGAGUCAAGAAGGAUAUUUCGGGACUUGGAUUUUUUUUAAUGUUCUUUGUUGUGUUUUAAGCAUACCAAUGUUUUAUUAAUGUCUAGCUUUAAUGUUGGUCUUUAAAGUCAAGUUAUUUGAAGGGUUUCUUUGUAGUAAAUCUAUGCUUGGAGGAUUGUUCCAAGAAAGCUAUUUAAGCUUAUGUAGUUGUAACCAAAGGACAGAGAUUAAUUUUGGGAAUUGGAUGAACUUUGAGUUAUUAUCAAACUCUGUAUCUCUUUGGUGGAUUCCAUUGAGUGGUGAGUAUUUUUAAGCCCUGUAUCCUUAGCUUAACAACUUUAGGUGGUGAAUUUUUCUGUAUCCUUUUGUUGUUUGCUGUGGUGGUGAGCUUGUGAAUUCUUGGGUGUGUGACGUUGUGUUUUCUCAUCUAUUGUGUCCGGUGUCAAAGAGCAUAACCUAAAAGUUUGAAGAAGUUAACAAGAAUCUGAUAAAGUUUAACAAGUAGUCGAGAUCUAGAAAAUGAACCUGAAAUAUCCAAGCAAAAUGUUAGAAUUCAAUGAAAAUAGUUGGAAUAUAGAACCAAAAAGUGGUGAAAAUAAGAGUGGAAGAAGUUAACACAAAAAUUGAAAUAACUUAACAAUAAUUUGAUAAAUUUAAACGCAAAGUAGGGAUCUAAAAAGUAAAUUUGAUACAUUUACCCAAAAUAUUGGAAUUCAAUAAAAAUAGUAGGAAUAUUGAACCAAAAGUAGUGGAAAAAUAAGUUGGAACAACUUAGCAAUAAUUAGAUAAAGUCUAAUAGAAUAUUGAGAUUAAAAAAUAAACUUGAAAUAUCAACCUGAAAACUGGAAAUUUAAGGAAAGAACUGGAAAUAUAGAACUAAUAACUGAUGGAAAAAUGAGUUGAAACAGCUUACAAAAAAUUGGAUAAAUUCCAACGGAGAGUAUGGAUCUAGAAAUUGAACUUGAAAUAUCCAAACAAAAUUUUGAAAUUCAAUAAAAAGAGUAGGAAUAUAGAACUAAAAAGUGGUAGGAACAAGAGUUGAAAAAAUUAACCCAAAAGUUGAAAUAAUUUACCAAGAAUUUAAUAAAUUCAAAUGAGAAGUAAGGAUCUAAAAACUAAACUUGAUAUAUUUACCCAAAAUAUUAAAAUUCAAUAAAAAAUAGUAGGAAUAUAGAACCAAAAAGUGGUAGAAAAAUAAAUCGGAACAAUUUACCAAAAAAUAGAUAAAGUUUAAUAUAUUAUAGAAAUAUAAAAAUAAACUUGAAAUAUACACCUAAAAAACUGGAAGUUAAUGAAAAGAGUGUAUAUAUGAAACCAGAAACUAGUGGGAAAAUGAGUUGAAACAACGUACCAAAAUUUAGAUAAAUAACCACGAAAAAUAGGAAUUUGAAAAAUAAACUUGAAAUAUGUAUUAUAAAUAUUGGAAUAUAACAAAAUAAAUAGGAAUGUAACCAUUUUGUGAUAUGUUAAUAUUUUUUAUAUAUUUUUUGUACUAUUUUUAAAUUUUAAAUUAUUACAAUCUUUUUCCUCAUUUAAUUACAAUUUUAACCUUUUUCUAAUUUUUUCAUAAUUUUUUCACAUUAAAAACAAAUAAAAAUAUAAUUUUCAGUAUAUUAUCCGGUUAAAAACCGGUUGUACCAGUUGCAUGCACGCGCUGUAUGAGAUACAGCGUUGCAUGGUAGGUUGACUGAAAAAGACAUAGUUGAAGUCUCAUCAAGAUUGUCUUCAUUCGAGAAAAAGCAACUAUGUUUAAAACACCUUUAAUAAAGUACUAAUAAUUAUUAAAGACAUGUUUGACUAGACUUGCAGUUGGCAAGCAAAAGAGGAUGAAAUUAUUAAUUAAUUAGAACACAUGAAAGAUUCCUCUCAUUUUAUUUUUUAAAAGAAAGUAAACAUUUCAUUAAACUAAACUUUCAGCCAUACAUAAAACAUCAGCUGGGAAAUUGUUUCUCCAGAUAACAGAUUUCUGAGCUACACAAAGCCCUUUUAGCUAAAAAAUGGGCAAAACCAUUACACUUUCUUGGAACAUAUUGGAAAGAUAUCAGUUGGAAAUCUUGUGUGCUCUUGUGGAAGUCUGACAUAGUCCACCAAAUCUCUGUCCUGUUGCUAACUUUCUUAUUUGCUAAGUCAGCUACAUUUUUGCAGUCGGUCUCUAUAAUCACAUUUGACAGACUAAGAUCCUUGGCUACCUCCAUACCCCACUUGACAGCAUGAGCUUCUGCUAUAGCUACGUUCCCCUGGAAAUUCAUGCUUUUUACUGCUGCUGCUAACACUUGCCCUCGAUGAUUUCUGAUGACCACGCCCAAGCCUGCACUCUUCCUAUCUUCUUUGACUGCUGCAUCAACAUUGACUUUCACUUUGUUGUUUGGUGGUGGAGUCCAUAUCUGCAUCUUUCCCUCUACUGUAUUUCCAUGGCUCUCCCGUUCUUUAACCUGCUGAGCCUGAUACACUUCCAUAACUGCUUUGCCCCUAGCCACUGACCCUACUGGAUCUAACUUUUUUCCUUGAAAAAGGAGUUUGUUUCUAGCAUGCCAAGCAACCCACCAAAUCGUGGCCACGUAAUCUGCCUCAGACUUAGCCCAAUUAUUCAUAGCCCCAAUCAUGACACUAAGCAUGUCUUCUCUGAUGACGCUCUUCACCUCAUUCUCCAAGUGAGUACAUUUCCAGAUUUCCGAGCCACUCUGCAUUCCAUCAAGGCGUGGAAAACAUCUUCACAACCCGCUUUGCAUAAAUGGCAUGUCGGUUCCUUCAGCACUUUCCUUCUCCACAGAUUUUCUGCCGUUGGCAGCAGGUUCUUUGCAGCUUUCCACACAAAGAUCUUAAUUUUCUCUGGUAAGUUUAGCCUCCAAAUAUGUUGCCCGCCCUGUGGAGCUCCUGUAGAUCCGGCUGGAGAUUCAGAGAACUUAAUUUUGAGAGCUAGUUGAUAUCCACUCUUUACUGAGUAUAUACCUUUCUUAUCAUAAUGCCAUAUCACCAUAUCUUCUUGAGGAGUUCUCGGUAAAGGGAUAUUCCUUAUGAUUUCAGCAUCUUCCUUUGCAAAGUUUUGAUUGAUCAUUGUUUCAUUCCAUUGGUGAUUUUGAUCAAGAAGCUCUGAGACUCUAGAUUCAGUAGGCAAGGACUGUACCAGGAUUGGUUUGAAGGUUGAGGGCCUAGGGAAAUAUUCCUCUCAUUGAUUUCGUUGAAACAGACUUAAUUUGUAAUCAAAGUGAAAAUUCGUCAUCUUUCAGCGGUGAUUCCAACUUCUAACAAUCUCUAAGCAGUAAGUUUUCUGACAGUUUUAUAUUUACAUGUCUCUUGUAUUUGUGUAAUUAGUCUCUCACAUAAUUCAAUUUAAUAGGAAGUUUUGAUCUCUUGCUUCCAAGGCUCAAAACUUAUUGCAACAUUGCUGGCAAUUAGUGUGGGUUUCGGCUCUUUAAUUCAGCUUUGCUAGGUUUAAGUUCGACAUCGAAUUUUAUGCGUUUAGUGCAGUAUUUUAUGAACUAUUUUAAAGAGAUUUUUAAUUAAUUCUUAGGUACUUAAAAUAAACUUCUUGUCGGCAUACAAAGGACUAAAAGAGUAAAAAUUAACUAGAACACAUAAAAUCUUCUCAUUAAUUUCACUGAAACAACGUAAAAAUUCAUCUAACUGUGGUCGAAUACUUGCAUGUGUCUUGUAUUUUCAGCUUAUUUUUUGAACUUUUAUAUGUAUGUUUUUUGUGACAUAUUUUAAUCUUAUUUGGAAUUAAGAUAUUGUAGCUUUUAAACUACAGCAGCUAUGAAAAAAACUGUAAUUAUGAAACAAAAGUUAAUAAUAUAUAAUAAAUAUAAAUUUUAAAUAAUAAUUUUGAUAAAAUUAUUAGAGAUAUAAUGAAUUUUUUAUCAUAUAAGUGAAAAAUUAUAUCAAUAUAAUUUUUAAGUUACAGCAGUUAGUAUUUACCAAAUACUUUUCUGUUGUAGCUUAAAUAUCCACCCCCAUCCCAAAAGCACUCUUUAUAUAAUUAAUUUUUUCACAUAAUUCCAAAAAAUCAAUUUAGAGGAAAUUUCGUUCUCUUGUUGCCAAGACAUGAAAACUGGUUCCAACUCUGCAGGUAGUGUGUGUUUCUUGGACAGGAAAGUUGGCAGUGCAGGUUUUAAGUCUUCUUCAAUUCGGCAUUGAUACAGCAUCUAAUUCUAAAUUAGUUCUUAGGGACUUAAGAGUGCGACUGUCGUGGCGUCAAUUGCUCGCAUCAUGAGCAUCCACAAAGUUUCUCCUUUUGUUCCUUAUCCUCUUCCUCACUGGAAAUAUGACGUCUUCUUAAGUUUCAGAGGAGUAGACACCCGCAAAAAUUUCACGGACCAUUUGUACACUGCUUUGGAUCAGAAGGGAAUCAUAGUCUUCAGGGAUGACAAAGAACUUGAGAGAGGAGAAUCCAUUUCACCUGGACUCUUUAAAGCAAUUGAAGAAUCAAAAAUUUCAAUUAUUGUUUUCUCUAGAAACUAUGCUUGUUCGACAUGGUGCUUGGACGAACUUGUUCAUAUUCUUGAAUGCAAAAACAAAAAUCAUCAACAAAUGGUUUAUCCAAUUUUCUAUGAUGUGGAACCAACUGAUGUAAGGAAACAGACAGGAAUUCUUGAAGAAGUUUUUGCUCGACAUGAAGAAAUUCUUGCUCAGAAUAAAGAAAAGGUGCAAAAGUGGAGAGACGCUUUGAAAGAAGUGGCUAAUAUCUGUGGCUGGGAAUUGAAGGACAGGUAGUCUUUCUUAUUCUCAAAGAUUAAUUACCUAUAAUAGAUUUGAUUUGAAACUAUGUUUACACUCACUUUAAUUCAACAACACCAAUGUUUUCUUAAUCUUUUGCAAGCUGCAGGAAUCAGUCUGAAUUUAUUUUGGAGGUUGUCAAGGUGAUAUCAAGUAAAAGUCCUAUAAUAUCAGGGAUUCUUAAGAAUCUAGUAGGAAUAGAUUCACACUUGAAGAAUCUGAGGCUUCUCAUGGAUAAAGGAUCUAAUGAUGUUCGCAUGAUAGGGAUAUGCGGUAUGGGAGGUAUAGGGAAGACAACCCUUGCAAGGGUUGUUUAUGACUUGACUUCUCAUAAGUUUGAAGGAAGUAGCUUUCUUGCCAAUGUUCGAGAAAUUUCAAAAGAAGGCGGCCUGAUCUCUUUACAGAAGCAACUCCUUUCCCAGUUACUAAAGCUUCCAAAUAAUGGCAUAUGGAAUGUUUAUGAUGGUAUCAACAUCAUAGGAAGUAGGCUGCACCACAAAAAGGUUCUUUUGCUUAUCGAUGAUGUAGUUGAUAUCAAGCAAUUAGAAUGUUUAGCUGGAAACCGUGAAUGGUUUGGUCCUGGCAGCAGGAUCAUAAUAACAUCGAGAGAUAAGCAUUUGUUGAUGACGCAUGGAGUAGAUGAAGUAUAUAAGCUCAGGGAACUACAUGAUGAUAACGCUCUUCAAUUAUUUUGUAAAAAAGCCUUCAAAACCCAUCAGCCUAAGAAAGGAUAUGAGCAGCUGUCUGAAUGGGUUACAAAGUAUUCAGGUGGUCUUCCAUUAGCUCUCAAAGUUUUGGGAUCCCUUUUGUAUGGUAAAACAACAAAAGAAUGGCAAAGCGCAGUAAAGAGACUGAAAAGAGAUUCAGAAAAUGAAAUCUUGGAUAUACUUCAAAUAAGUUUUGAUGGGCUUAAAGAAACAGAGAAGAAAAUAUUUCUUGACAUUGCGUGCUUUCAUCGAGGGGAGAAUAGAGAUUAUGUAACAAAAAUUCUUGAUUACUGUGAUUUUGACCCAGUUAUUGGAAUAAGGGUUCUUAUUGAUAAAUCUCUCAUAGAGGUUUUAUCCAACAAUCAACUAUGGAUGCACGAUUUGUUACGAGAAAUGGGUCAACAAAUUGUUAAGAGACAAUGCCCUGAAGAUCCUGGGAAACGUAGCAGAUUGUGGAAGGAAGCAGAUGUACGUCAGCUGUUAACAAGAAACACAGUAAGCAAUGAUAAGUCAAAAACAUGUACUUCUAAGAUUUCAACCCAUUCACAUUCUUAUCUUUGCUUAUUCUUUACUUUUUUAACUUUCAGGGAUCUGAAACUGUUGAAGUCAUAUAUCUCAACUUCCCUGCAGAAGCAGAAGUGCAUUUCAGAGCAAGUUCUAAUACAUUUUUGAAGAUGACUAACCUGAGAAUGCUUCUUAUCCGUAAUGUGCAAGUGCAACUUCCCGAAGGCCUUGAAUAUCUCUCCAAUGAGUUACGGUUACUUGAAUGGCCUGGAUAUCCUCUGAAAUCCUUGCCAUCAAAUUUUCAACCGGAUAAAAUUGUUGAACUUAACAUGUGUUACAGUCACAUCGAACAAAUGUGGAAUGGAAUCAAAGUAAGUUUUAUUUCAUUUCUUUUUUUCCCGUGAAUAAAUGUUGAUAGAGUUAUCAUUCAUCCCUUGAAAAAUUGCUGAAAUCAUUGUUUUUGAACAGCCUUUAAGCAAUUUGAAAUUCAUGAGACUUGGCAAAUCCAAAAAUCUGAUCAGAACGCCAGAUUUCUCAGGGAUGCCAUAUUUAGAGGAGCUGGAUCUUGGAGGAUGUACAAGAUUGUGUGACAUUCACCCAACAUUGCUACUUCACAAGAAGGUAAUUUUAUUGAAUCUAAAAGACUGUACAAGUCUCACGACUCUUCCGGGCAAGAUUUUUAUGGAAUCUCUAAAAAUACUUGUACUUUCUGGUUGCAUGAAAUUGAAGAACUUUCCAGAGAUUGUGGGUAGUAUGAAGUGUCUGUCAGAUCUUCUUUUGGAUGGAACCGAUAUUAAAGAACUACCAAUAUUACCAUUUGAACUUCUAUCUGGACUUGUUCAGUUAAAUGUGGAAGGCUGUAAUAAACUUGAGCGUCUUCCAAGAAAUAUAAGCGCUCUAAAAUAUCAUCCAACUUGGAAUCUUUCUGGCCUAUUGAAAUUCUCAAAUUUCCCAGAGAUCAUGACAAAUAUGGAGCAUGUGUUGGAGCUUCAUUUGGAAGGAACUGCCAUAAGAGGAUUGCCUAUAUCAAUUGAACUUUUCUCUGGUCUUGUUUUGUUGAAUUUGAGAGAUUGCAAAAAUCUCUUGAGUCUUCCGUGUACUAUUAACGGUCUGAAGUCCCUGAAAAAGUUGUAUCUCUCUGGCUGCUCCAAACUUAAAAAUGUGCCAGAGAACUUGGGGAAAGUAGAAAGCUUGGAGGUGCUAGAAUUAAGCGGGUGCAAAGAACCACCAGUAUCAUCAUCAUUGUAUCUGCCCUUCCCCAUUAGUUUGAAGCGAAGCUGUUCAGAUCCUACCGCUUUGAGGCUUCCUUCUCUGUCAGGUUUGUGGUCUUUAAGGAAAUUGGACCUCAGUGACUGUGAUCUAGGGGAAGGAGCAAUACCAAAUGAUAUUGGCAACUUAUGGUCGUUAGAAGAGUUGUAUCUGAGUAAAAACAGUUUCAUUACAGCGCCAGCAAGCAUUAACCGUCUUUUUAAUCUUGAAGAACUAGAGUUGGAAGAUUGCAAAAGACUACAAUCUAUGCCGCAACUUCCACCCAACAUAAAAGAAGUCGGAGUAAAUGGUUGUGCUUCAUUGGAAAAAUUAUCAGAUGCCUUAAAAUUAUGCAAAUCGGAGUACAUUUCAAUUAGUUGUAUAGACAACCUGAAAUUGCUCAGCAACGAUGGUUUGGCAUUUUCAAUGCUAAAAGAGUAUCUUGAGGUCAGUCUCUCUCUCUCUCUCUCCUCUCUCAUUUGUGCAAAAAAUUAUGCCUAAAAAUGAUGCAUUUUUAUGGGCUCCUUUUUUUUCCCCCUUUUUUCGGUUACAGGCAGUGUCACGCCCAAUGCAAAAGUUUGGUAUAGUUGUUCCAGGAAGUGAAAUUCCAGAGUGGUUCAUGCAUCAGAAUGAUGGAUCUUCAAUAAAAUUCAUAAUGCCUUCAAAUUUAUAUUGUAAGAAUAAGGCGCUGGGAUAUGCCGUCUGCUGCGUCUUUCAUGUCCGUGAACAUUCCCCUGGUAUCCAAACAAGGCGUUCAUAUCCCACGCAUCAAUUGAACUGCCAGAUGAAAGGUUCUUCUACCAGUUAUUCAAUCGAGUUCAGAGAGAAAUUUGCUCAAGCAGAGUCAGGCCAUCUUUGGCUACUCUACUUGUCUCUUAAAAAAUGCUAUUAUAGCAAUUGGCGUUUUGAUAAUAAUCUCAUUGAGUUGUCGUUUGGGCCUGUGUCUGGCUCAGGGUUGCAGGUGAAGAGAUGUGGUUUCCAUCCCAUUUAUAGGCACAAAGUUGAGUUCUUCAACCAAAUAAGAAACCAAUGGACUCACUCACUACACUGCCUAUAAUAUGAAUGAAUUUUAUCCCGAUUCUGUUUGAUCAAAGAUACUUGUAGCCACAACGUCAAGGUGAAGUGUGAAUGAAUAUUUGGGCUUGAAGAGUGGGAAUGGUGUUCUGUUGAUGAGGAACCACAGCCUGAAAAAUUUAAUGCAGAAGCCUGCUUAUUCUCUGAAUUCAUCGAUAAGCAUUCAUCUUCAAUUUCAGUUCAUGUUCUUUGCACUUGGUAAUUCAUUUACAUUAAUUUUAUUUAUUUAUUGCAUCUCCUUAUCGAAAAACAUUUGAUGUUAAAUUACCAGAAAUCCUCUGCUUGGAUCAAAAGCAAAGAGUACCUAUAGUUGUUUAAGAAUGUGCCUUCAUGAAUUGAAAUAGCAUUACUGCUCUAUUAGCUUGGCUCCUCACUUGAAUUUCUUUGAUGUUUGUUAAUAAUUCCAAAUUCCAGUGAACAUGGAUUUUGAUCGAGAUAAUUCUAUGCUUUUGCCCUGUUGAUAAAAUCAAGCAGUUGUUGUGAUUGUUGCAAGUGUUUCUUAUUUUAUAUUUUUUCGUUUUUGUUGUUUGGUUCGGGAGAAGAUGUGGAAUUAGAACUGCACUGGAGUGAGAAGAAAUGAGAAGAAAAAGAAAGAAUGUAAAGUUUAGUGAAUGUGUGUGUGUAUUUUUUUUAAAGCCUUGAAUUUUUUGAUUUCUCAUGAGUUGAAAAUUAAGGAUUGAAACAAAUCUUCUGUUUUGUUGUAUUCUUAUUAUAUUUCUUCUCAUAAAUUUCUCAUUUUUGUAAAUAGUGCAUAAUUUGGUAGAAGCUUAACUGAAAGCCACUAAUUUUACUGCAAGAAUAACUUAAUUUUUAAUUCAAUCCAGGGAUUCAAAAUGACUCAGAGUUCUUUCGAACUUAAAUAACAUGACAACUUAACUAUCCAUUCCCUUCUUUUUGUGCAAAAGUUGGCAGAUUCGGAGCCAAUUAGGGUGAGUUUUUUGGUACACUUGAAGGGGCUGGUGUCAUAGUUCAUGAAUUGCAUUGCUAUGAAUGAAUAACAAAGAAAUUAGAUUAGCUUAUUGAAUCUGUUUGAAUUUUUUUAUAUAGCCUAUGCAAUCAGAGGCAUUUAAAUUAUGUGAGUCAAAGUUCUCACAUAUUAGCUGUGCACAGUGCUUGAAAUUGCUUGGUAACAACGGUUUGGCCUUUUCAAUUUUAGAGAGUAUGUCAACUAAUGCCAGCCUUUUCACUCUGUUUCUCUCGAAGCCUUAUGCAUAAAAAUUUAUGCUGUGGAAAAGAUUAAUCUAAGGGCCAGGAGUUUCUAUAGAAAGAAUAUAAAGAUGAUAAGGUUUGUUGUGUCAAUCUCAAAUAUAUUAUGGGUGUUAGGAGUAUCUGAUGAUGCUGAUGAUGUUGUGCAGUGAUGUUGAGCUGAUGGUGCUAUGUAGUGAUGCUGAUAUGGUGUUAUGCAGAGUUUACAGAGCAUGAUGGAAGAACAUGAUAAGGCUGGUGGUUUAGCAUGUAGCUUAGUAUACCAGCUGAGAAUUAGUUAUGCUGAGCUGUCAAGUUGGUUAUAACUGAUUCAGUAGCCUUUAACCACGCAUGAAGAUUCCAGAACAAUCUAGCUACUAGAUUCUUGUAUCCAUCUUGUAGUAUAAGUAGAGUGAUCUGUAUAUUCUAUACACAUUGUUAAGUAUGCUAUGAUUGAAUAAAAUACAUUUUCCGUCACUUUCAAUUUCAUUUUCUCUAUAACCAAACACUGUUUUAGCCGAAUUCAAUCAAUGGGAAUUAUAAGAAAAUAAGCAGUAAAAGCAAAUAAACAUUAGGGAAAUGAACACUCAACAAUAUACCUACAUGUAAACAUCCUCGGAAGAUCUAAGAAGUUGAGCAUAGUACACAAACGCACACACAGAGCAAUUGAAACUUGUAGCAAGUCUGCACACUGCAGAUACAUGUCCGUAUCAGCACUAGAAUUUUGCUUGGAAGCGUAGCACUUUGGAUUAAAGAUAUACUUGUUGACUUGCUUCUGUCCACAGAAACAAUAAGAACCUUCAGUUGGAAUGAAAUCAGAGAUACAUUCAGAACCACCUUGAGGAAUUCAUGCUCAACAGCAACUUCAGUAAUAAUCAAGAUUAUAAACAGUAGAGAGACUCCAUUCAGCUUCAAUCCCGAGUGUCCCGAGUGUAUGGAAACUGGAUGGAGACUACACUUCUUCACCUUCAAUCCCGAACUAGUUUGAAACAACUAAACUUGGUCAGAUCCAAACUUCCAGUCAAGAUUAUUGCACUGUUGAAGAUCAAGAAUAUUAUGUAUACGAGCUUUAUUUGAUCAGCUUUCAUGUGGUAGUGGUAGUGGUAGUGAUGUUUAUGUUUGCCUCUGACAGGAUGUGAAUGUUUAUUAACACGAAACGCACAGCAAAUAGCAUAUCCAACCAUCUUCUUCUUAUCGUAUGAAUCUGGAGGACUUAUUAUUGAUAUUGAAGAUCCCUCAUUCGGAUAGUCGAACCACUCCGGAAUCUUACGUCUAGGAAUAGCUAUGAAAUCUGACUCCCAGGAAGAACAAUGGUGAAAACUCAGGUACUUUGUGGGAUCAUAUAACUCUAUUCAAUUAUUUAAUGGAUGAAUGACAUAUUAGUUGAGAAAUUCAACAUUACACGUGGGUAAAAUAGUAGAGUUUUGGAUCAGCCGUCAUCGUAUUCUUUCUUUAAUGUUAAACAAAUUGUUGGUUAUAAAUAAUUGGUGAUCAAAUUUGACUAAUCAAAAUUGAUUAAUCUGUUUAUAUAAAUUAUUGAAAUUGAUCUUGUUCAUAAAAAACACUGCAUAUAGCUAGUAUAGUUGAUCUUCCUAAUGAUGGAGGUUGAAAAGUUUUGAGUCUUCAUAUAUGCAUUGUGGGAGUAAUUUUUCUCUUUCUUUCAGAAACAUAUUAAAUUUUUUCAAGCUAUUUCAUACAUAACAUCAAGGGUUUACUUUUCCAAAAGAGAGAUUAAUGCAACUUAACUGGUCAAUAAAAAUUAACAAUAGGUUCAAUUUAAGUUUUAUCUUGACAAAAAGAAAAAUUACAUUAGGUUUAAGAAUUUAAUAAGCUAAAACAAUUAAGAAAUUAAUGGGUUAAAGUAAACAUGCAACUAAAGUGAAAUUAGAAAAAUAAUGAAGAUGAAAUGGAUACAAGUAUUUUUCUUGGUUUCACUUGGAAACCUCCAAUAGUAUGAGUUAAAUUUUAGAAAAUUGAUGGGUAAAGCUGACACACAACUAAAGUAAAAUUAAGAAACAAUAAUCAUAAAAAAACACCAGUGAUAACACUAUGAAAUGAGAGUUAUCAUGAUAUUUUUAUGCCUAAAUUAACAUUACUUAGAGAGUAAAUGACAUAUUUUCAUUACAUUUUAGCUACAUUUUGCAUGGGUAGUCAUUUAAGUUUAAUUUUAAUAAAAUUCAUGUGUUUUUAGAUUAUUGUGUGCUUUGAUUACUUGCAUAAUUGUAGGUGACUAAAAAGCUCAAAUUUCAUGGAUGGAACGUUGCUGUAGCAGGCUUGCGGAGUUACAAAAGAACUUGGAUGAGAAGUAAUUUUGAAAUAAUAAAAGAUGCUGGAGCAAUAUGUUGUAGUACUAUUGCUGCAGCAACUCCUGGAGCAACGAUAAAUGAGAUAUCACACGUUAAAUAGAAGACCGCAAUCUAAAGUUUCCAAAAAUAAGAGAUUCACUGCCAUAAGUUUCUGGUAACCCUAAUUUUGAUUUAUAAAAAGAGCACAUUACAAUGAAAAAAGGAGAGUUGUCAUUAGAGAAAAGAAUCGAGAAACAGUACAAGAGAAAAUAAAGAUAAAGAGACAGAAUUAAGGGCUGCAUCAAAGGAUUUAUGAAGAAUAUUAAGGGGAUUCAUAAGGACGAGCGGAUUUCGACUCUUAUUCUUACUCUCUUAUUUUUAUCUUGUUAUGAAGACUUGUUUGAUGGCUAAAACUAUUUUGGUUUUUGUUUUAUAACAAAUUAUGAACUAAAAUUACUUAUGGUUGAGUGAUAAACAAUGUUGAUGGUUAAUUGACUGAUUAUAUGUGUUGCUGCAUGUUUGCUAUAGCAUGUUGUUUUUGUAAUACUUAUUUCAAUUCACUAUUUCAGCUGACUACCCAUUUAGUGGUACUAGCUAAGUAAAAGCCUAAAAAAGGUCUGUCUUAGUGGGACAUAUCAAAGUAAUUCUUGGUUUUAGGUUGGAUUUCAUGAGUUGAGUUUAACUUGAUUCAAAAAAGGUCAUGCUUAAUCUAAAAUUAGUGAUGAACUAGACAUAGAGAUUUACCUUGUAGGAUAAUUAGAAUCUAAAACGUGUAAUGCUAUAUUUUAUGUUAGCAUAACAAUUGGUCACUGUUAAGUUGUAUCAAGAUAUAAGACAUCCAAUAAGUGAUAGCUGAGGAUACAUAAGGAUUCUGUAUAGUACUGUAAAAGACGUUGUGGCAACAUAACCAAAAAAUAGAAAAAUAGUCAAAACCAUUAAAAGAGUUUAAUCACUCAACUACUCCAUUCUCAUUGAUUAUAUCCUUGUAUUUGACGUGAUGAUUUACCUUAUUGCAUUUUUUAUUUUAAUUAAUUCAUUAGUUUUAUAAAUUAUUUUAUUUUUAAUUUUGGAACAAAAUAAGGUUGCUGUAGCAAUUCAUAUAACAUCAAUUCCUAUGGAGACAAUCUCGAAUACUUAUCAUUAUAUUACUUGUUGUGUACACUUGCACAAUGACACCCAUAGCAUACAACAAUCAGAAUUUUCAUAGUUAAACUUUUAGCCUACAUUCAUAGGUGAAGACAGAAGGAAAUGUUUUACUAACGAAAAGAAGUUACAAGUAUUGUAGUACUUUGUCUCACAAUCCAAAAACCUUAAUAUACCUAAACUCUAAAAACAUUAGAACAAGAGUUUAAAGCUCUCAACACACUCUUAGUCUCCAAUUCAUGGCUCUAUCACUUCUUAAUUAGAUUGAGAAUUAAAGAAAAUGAAAUGAAUGAAGAGGACAAAUGAAGCCUCUAUUUAUAGGCCAAGCAAUACCCAAAAUCAGCAAUGUUGGACUUUAAAAUAAUAUAUAUUUUCAUUCAACUUUCAACUUUGGUGACAAAGCCAAAAGUUGUGUGCUAGACAAAUGCCUCCCACUUACUCAACAAAUUAUGCCAAAAGUCAAAAGUUGCAUGUUAGCAACAUAUAAUUGUUUUCCAUAUACAUGCACAUGUUCAACAAUUCUCCCACUUAGAGACUUGAUUGAGAACCAAUCAUGUCUCCACACUAUCCAUUCUUUUUCGUCAUUGUUAUGUUGCUUACAUCUCUGCUAGGCUACAAGAGGAUCUACUCCAUACAAACUUGUCAGCAUUGGUUUGCUUGGUCAAAACAUCUCCUCGGUUCUCUUUGGUAUGGAUUUUUUUGUAAUAAAGUGGUAUUGUACCUGAUAACUCUAGAAAAUGAGAGUUAUCAUGGCAUUUUUAGGCUUAAAUUAAGACUCCUUAGAGAGUAAUUGAUGUGUUUUAGUGCAUUUUAACGAUAGUUUGCAUUACAUUAAUUUUAGUUUAAGUUUAAUAAAGUUUACGUGAAUUUUGAAUAAUUGUAUGCCUAAAACAUAUGUUCAACUAUAGGUCAAUGGAAACCUGAAUUUUAUGGAAAAGAUGUUGUUCCAAUAGACCUAUAAGGAGGACAAACGAGCAUGGCUAUAUAAGAAUUGGAGCACAUCUGGAAUAGUGAAGAUGCUAUAGCCAUUGUUGUAGGCUGUAGCAAUCCUUGAGCAUUGACGGAGAAAAUAUGGGCAAGAUUUUCAUAAUAUUGCGAUUUGCAGUUUUCUAAUCUGAAGAUGCAUGCCCUAGAGUUUCCAGUUACCCUAAUUUGUGAUUAUAAAAUGAGGCAUACAUGCAAAGGAAAGAGGAGGCCGUCAAUCGAAACCAAAAUAGAAAAGAAAUGAAGAAGAAACAAAAUUCCCGAGCAGAAUUUAAGGCUUCACCAAUAGAAGAAAUUUACAGAUUCAAUUGGAAUUCACUCUUUCUCAUUCUUUUCUUGUUUUCUUGUCAUUCAUUGAUCAUGACUAUGUACUCGAUGGCUACCACUUGGUUGUUUAAUUUCUAUGCACAAAUUAUGAGCUCAAUUUAUUUAUGGUUGACUGUUAAGCUAUCUUGAUGGUUGAUUGACCGAAAAUAAGUAUUGUUGCAUGUUUGCUAUAGCAUUUUGCUUUAAUAACAUUUAUUUAGAUUCAUUAUUCUGGUUGACCACUUAUUUAAUGAUACAAGUUAAGAAAGAGCCGCAAAAUGACCUAUUUUAGUGGAACAUAUUAGAGCAAUACUUAGUUUUAGAUUGAGUUUCCUAAAUUGAGUUUAACUUGAGUCCAAAAAGGGUCAUGCUUAAUCUAAAGAUUAGUGAUAAACCAGAUGUGGGGAUUCACCUUGUAGGGUAAAGAGAACAUGAACGUGUAAUGUUAUAUUUUAUGUUGACAUAACAAUUGGUCAUUAUUAGGUUGCAUAAAGAUAUAAGACAUCCAACAUGUUACUGCUGAGGAUAAAGAUGAAAUAUAAGUGUGCAACCCAAGAGGGGGGUGAAUUGGAAUUUUAAAAAUUAUCCUAGCAAAUCCACACAACAAGCAAUCUAAUGUCUUAAUAAAAAUUGAAAACAAUAAGUUCAAUAAAAGCACAAUAACAAAUGAGUAAGAGAGAAGAGAAACAAACACAUGAAUUUUUACGUGGUUCGGCAAUCCCCGCCUACGUCCACGCCUCCAAGCGAUCCAAACUUGAGGAUUUCACUAUCCAAACUUUUCUAAGGCUUCAACCGUUUACAAUUAACUUCAAGGUGUCAAUGAACCUUUACAACAAAGAGUUUAUCUCCCAAUCUCUUCAUUCAAGUGUCUCACACACUCAAACUUUUACAAUUAAGAUGAAGAAAUGAAAGUUACAAUAAAACUCACUCAAAGAGUAGAUAUUCAAAAAUGAAGAACAAGAGAUGAUUCAAUGUUUUGUGAUUUGCAAAUUGAAAGCUCAAGAUAUCUUGUGUGCUUUUUAUUUAUGCUUGCUAGAGAGAUUGAAAAUGAGUUGGAUUUGAGUUUAUAUAGUUUGAUCUCAAAAACUAGCCGUUAUGCACAUUUUGGUCAUAAUCGGCUUGCCAUUUAGGAAUCUGGUAAAGCCGCUUUUAUGUUGCCAUUAAGGCAAAAAUUUGAAUUUCAGAAUAUCUGGCAUGCCGCUUUUCAUAUCCGGUAAGCCGCGUUUGAAAUCCGGAUUGCUGCUUUGCGAAAUUCGGAUAGCCGUUUAUGCUCUAGAAGCUUACUGUCCAAAAUCUAGUUUGCCGUUUACCAUAUCCGGUAAGCCGCUUGCUACAGUAACUGCUACAGUGAAAUAUUUUUUAAAUUUAUAGUUUGACCCCAAAACUUUAUAAAACUAUGUUAUGGCCCAAAAUGUUAUAUUAUUUUGAAAAUAGGUCCAAUUUCAGAAUCUCUAAAUAAUGCUUGCUAUUCCCAAAACUUUUUAAAAUUAUGAUAUGACCCAAAAUGUUAUGAAACUUUUCCAAUAAGUCCUCCAAAAUUUCGAGCAAUACUUGUUGAUUUCAAAGUUUUCAAAACUCUUUCAAUUAAAUCAUAAACUUGAAAAACAACUAAUUUCAUAAAAUCAUUUUUCCAUUAAAUAUAAAACCUUUAUAAUGUGAAAAUAAUGAUUUAUUUAAAAUAUAUAAAAAAUAAUUUGAGCUUAAAAGAUUAAUCAUUCUUAAUCUUGUUUGUUAUCAUCAAAAUCAACAUUAUGCAAACAUAUAUAUUAACAAAAGAUGGUUUCUGUCCAGUGUUGUAACAGAUGCUGCAGUAACUAUACUCAAUAUAAAUAAAAUAGUUAACACCAUUACAAGAGUUUAAUCACUCAACCACUCUAUUCCAAUUGAAUUUACUUUUGUGUCUAACAUGCAAUUUUCAUUCAUUGCAUUUUCUUUAUUAUCGCGGUUUAUUUUACAUAGUCUAUUAGUUGUAUUAGUUACAUUGAUUUUUAAUUGAGAACAUAGAUUACACUGUGAAAUUGUUGUAACAAGUCUGAUAGCAUCAAUCCCUAUGGAGACGAUCUUAGAUACUCACCCUUAUAUUACUUGUUGUGUACAUUUGCACAUUGACAUUACUAGCAAUUAAGUUAAAGAUUACAAUAGUACCCCUAUGUGCUUUGUCUUGAAAUGAAAUGCUGGAUUCCUUACAAUGUACAAGAUACUCUAAUUGUCACAAAACAAAAACAUUUUCUCUUGUUUGUACCCAAACUCCUCCAACAACCUUUGAAUCUAAAGAACCUCUUUGCAAGGUUAUGUAGCUACCAUUAUUAUGCUUCUGUUGUAGAUAAAGUCACAACGGUUUUCAGUUUUGAAACGCAGGUUACAGCUUUUCUUGCAAGUGUAAACACAUAGCCAGUAGUAAAUUUCCUUUAUCAAGGUCCCCUGCAAAAUAUGAAUCCUCAAGGUCUCUGACAGUAAAUUUUAAUCCUCCAUAACAUAAUGCAACAUCUAAGAUUCAUUUGAUGUAUCUGAGAAUCCUCUUUACAGUUUUCCAAUAUUCUUCACCAGGAUUCACUCUCUAUCAACUGACCACUCACACGACUUGUGCAAUAUCUAAUUUCGUAUAUAUCACAGUGAACAUUAAACUUCCUAUUGCUGAUACAGAAGGUAUUCGAGACAUCUCCUUCCUCUCUACUCUGUUGCUAGAAUAUUUACUUGAGGAUAACUUGAAAUUAACAAGAAGUGAGGUAGAAAUUAGCAUACAAUCUUGCAUGUUGAAGCGUCACAAGAUUUUCUUCAAGUAAUUCUUUUGAGAUAGCCAAAUCUUCUUGUUAUUUAUGUCUUAGUGAAUUUGCAUUCCUAUAUUCUUGUUUGUGUUAGAGUGCAAUUUACGCACUAGUUUUGUAUUGUUUACUUCCCUUAAUAUCGAUGUUAUAAUGAUUUACUUGUGUUUUACUUUUGUAGGUACAAUUCUAGUGAUUGGUGAUAAAAUUGAACUAAAAGAUGAUGUUUAAGGAGGAUUGUUCUCUUGGAGAAAUUAUGAGCGUCAGAAGAACUUUGUUGAUAAGGCGUGGGCGCGUGCUGUCAACUGCGGACCUGUAGUUUUUAGUUUAACGUGUUUUGUAUUUUUGGUUAUUUUUGUAAUUACGAAUUUAAUAUUUCAGAUAUUAGGAUUUUAUUUUAAAUAGAAUUCUAAAAGAGAAGAGAGAGAGAGUAUUUAAGGGAGGAAUCUUUUGUGGAAAAGGGGGAUUUUUGGAUGGGAGAAAAGAAAGAAACCCUAGAUUUAAUUUUUCUCUUCUCUCUAUGAAGAACUAAACUUAUUUUUCUGGUUGAAGGUUAAUGAAGCUUUGAUUCAUCACUACUGUGAGAUCUUUCUUGUGCUUUAAUUGUUUUAUUGCUUUUUGGGUAUUUGUUUAUUCUCUGAAUUAUUUUCAUGAUUAUGUUUGUUAAUUAGGUAAUUGGCCACUAUUUAAUUAUCAACUUAAUCUAUUGUCAAUUAAAGGAUUCAUCGUAUGAAGAAUUUAAUGUUUGUGACAAAUAACAUAGCAGAGAGUUGUGUUGUGAGAAUAAACAAUCUAAUUUAAAUGAAUCAUCAUAUGUGUUGAUUAGGAUUUGGGUCUCUCUGGUUUUUCAGGCUGUCAAUUGAUUAAAUCCUAUGAUCGUAUUUAGGGUUGUCUAUUGAUUGGGGAAAUAACCAACGGUCAUACCUUGGUUAUCGACUAGUUAAGGAGAGAUUGGCUAUUAGAGGGUCUCAGUAGCUAUAACUGGUCUAUUCAUGAGUAAUAAUAAUCUAUAUUUGAAUCAAUGAUCAGUAGUCGAAUCAAGCUGAGUUAAUUCCUUCAACCAGAGCUUUCUCCAAUUUGAAUUACAACUUUAAUUUGCAUUCUUGUUAUUUUAAUUUGAUUUUUAUUAUUGUCAACAAAACCGCCAUUUUAUGUUUUACGUUUUAAAAGGAUUUAAAUAACUACUGAUCUCUGUGGACACGACCCUGCUCAAUUACUAUACACAAUUUAUUUAGAGUAGGAAUUUAUUUUUUUUGGCUUCGACACCCACCAAAUUUUGGCGCCGUUUUGGCUUCGACACCCACCAAAUUUUGGCGCCGUUGCCGGGGAUUGGUGUCAUUUAUUUAAUCAUUUUUACGUUUUACUUGGUGUAUGGUUCGUUCUUCUCGUACAGGUACACUUUCGUUUGAUCCUGAAAUUGAGAAGACAACUCGCCAGCUGAGACAGCAGAUGAAGCGAGCUAAGCAACGAUCCUCGUUGCCUUUGCUUUCUGAAACAGAUACGGUGCCUGAUUUAGUUGAAUCAUCUAGCGAUUCAGAAGAACAAGUGAUGGAUAGACCUGCACCUGUAGAAAGAACUCUUAGAGAGUUAGCUGAACCAGACUUGAAUCAACAACCACUCUGCAUUCAAUAUGUAGACUUGGAGGUAAAUUUUGAAUUAAAGUCUGGUCUUAUUCAUUUAUUACCCAAGUUUCAUGAUUUUGCAGGUGAAGAUCCUCAUAAACAUCUUAAGGAGUUUCAUGUUGUGUGUUCAAGUAUGAGACCACAAGGUGUGACUGAAGAGCAGAUUAAGCUGCGUGCUUUUCCGUUCUCUGUAGAUGGGCUAGCUAAAGAUUGGUUGUACUACUUGCCUCCUGGAUCAAUUACAACGUGGAAUGGUUUGAAGAAGCAGUUCCUUGAGAAGUACUUUCCUGCUUCAAGAGCUGCCAACAUCAGAAAAGAUAUUUGUGGGAUCAGACAACUUCCUGGGAAGACUUUAUAUGAGUAUUGGGAGCGAUUCAAACAAUUGUGUGCCAGCUGUCCUCAGCAUCAAAUUUCUGAUCAACUUCUUAUUCAAUAUUUUUACGAAGGACUGUCAUUGAUGGAUAGGAGUAUGAUAGAUGCUGCUAGUGGAGGCGUGUUGGUGAACAAGACCCCUACUUAAGCAAGGGAGUUGAUAUCAAAUAUGGCUGCCAAUGCACAACAAUUUAGCAGCAGGCAAGAGCUCACUUCAAGGAAGGUGAAUGAGGUAAAUAUUUCUUCUAUUGAACAACGUUUAGAUAAACUUACUUCUCUUGUGGAAAAGUUUGUUGUAGGUAAUGUGCAGCAGGUGAAGACUUGUGGUAUAUGUUACAAUAUGGGUCAUUCAACUGAUAUGUGUCCUACACUUCAAGAAGAACCCAUUGAACAAGCCAAUGCAGUUGGAGGAUUUCCAGGCAUGCCUCAGAGGAGGUAUGAUCCUUAUGCACAAACAUACAAUCCGGAAUGGAAGGAUCAUCCCAACUUCAGCUAUGGAGUUAGGCCGUCAGGAUUCCCACAACAGUAUCCACCAAGACAACCAGCACCUCCACAGUCAAACUCCAAGUCGGGUAUAUCUCUUGAAGAAAUUGUUAAAUCACUUGUGACUAACACUCAACAAUUUCAGCAGGCAACUACAACAAGCAUUCAGAACUUGGAGAACCAAAUGAGUCAAUUGGCGACUACAGUGAGCCGUCUGGAGUCUCAAGUAUUAGGGAGAUUGCCUUCACAAUCUGAGGUGAAUCCAAAGCAAAACGUUAGUGCUGUCAUCCUUAGAAGUGGGACGGAGUUGCAAGAGCCUAGUAAGAAAGUAACAAAGCAUGUAGAAGAUGAGCUUGAGAAGAAUGAAUUGAUGCCUCAAUCUCAAGAUGCACAACCCACUAAAGCGAAACCCCUACCUAUUGUGAUACCUCCUCCUUUUCCAAGCCGAUUUGCAAAAUCCAAGAAGGAGGAACAAGAGAAAGACAUCCUUGAGACAUUUUGCAAGGUUGAGGUAAAUAUUCCUUUAUUAGAUGCUAUAAAACAAAUACCUCGAUAUGCUAAAGUCCUUAAGGAACUGUGCACCUCCAAGAGAAAAUUAAGAGAAGAUGAAAAAGUUCACAUGGGGGAGAAUGUUUCAGCAGUUCUUCAAAAGAAACUCCCUCCUAAGUGCAAGGAUCCAUGUAUGUUUACUAUCCCUUGUAAAAUUGGUAGUGUUAGAGUUGAAAAGGUUUUGUUAGAUCUAGGAGCUUCUAUUAAUGUCAUGCCUCGUUCCAUUUAUUCAUCUUUAAAUAUUGGUCCAUUAAAAGAAACUGGUGUGAUAAUUCAACUAGCUGAUAGGUCUAAUGCAUAUCCUGAUGGGGUAUUAGAAGAUGUCUUAGUACAAGUUAAUGAGUUGGUUUUUCCUACUGAUUUUUAUGUACUUGAUAUGGAAGAUGAUAACUCCUCUAAUUAUGUCCCAAUUUUGCUAGGAAGACAUUUUCUUAAGACUGCUAGGACUAAAAUGGAUAUACAUAAAGGGACUCUCACUAUGGAGUUUGAUGGAGAGGUUAUAGAAUUCAAUAUGAAUGAUGCCAUGAAAUAUCCUAGUGAGGAAGAUUCGGUAUUUUCUGUGGAUGUUAUUAACCCUAUAGCGUAGGAAAUUUUUUACAAAGAAAAGACGAAGACAUUUCAUGAUAGAAUGAUUUUGAGAAAGGAGUUCUCUGUUGGUCAAAAAGUUCUUCUUUUUCAUUCUAAGCUUAAACUUUUUCCGGGUAAAUUACGUUCUUGUUGGGUUGGACCUUUUAUUGUUACUAAUGUUUUUCCUCAUGGUGCAGUUAAGAUUCGGAGUCCGACCUCUGACUGAGUUCUUAAGGUUAAUGGUCAUCGCUUAAAACCUUUUUAUGAAGGUUUUUCGGUGAAUAUUGUGGAGGAUGUGGCUCUCGAGAGUCCAAAUUAUGGAGAUUGAUGCAUAAAUGUGUCUAGCCAAAGACAUAAAACAAAGGCGCUUUUUGGGAGGCAACCCAAGUGAUUUAUUUAUUUUGGUUUUUGUUAUAUCUUCUUUUAAUUUUGAUUCAUAUUUUUUUUUUAAAUAAUGUGUUUGCUUAUUUUGGUCAGAAUAAAAUUUUUGAUAAGGCGUGCCCACGUUUUAACUAAUAAGUACUUCUGUCAUUUUUAAAGUAAAAUAGUUUUAAGGCGUGCCCACGUGCUUAUUAGAAAAGUACUUCUGAAGUUUUUAGUGUCUCAAAGUGAUUCAUCACUAAAAAAAAAAAUUAAUUUUAAUUUAUUUUAUUUCAUUUUAUUUUAUUUAUUUAUUUCUUUUGUUCUUUCUUUUAUAUAUAUAUAUAUUUUUUAUUUAAAAAAAAAAAUUUUACUGUUCACAAAAUCCCUAAUUUUCCAGAAAUUGUUUUCUUCUCCAGCCGUUUGCAGCACGCCAGCAGCAAACCAGCCAGCCGAAGAAUACAGCAUCAGUCGUGCGCAACGCAAGCACCAGCAACGAGCACGCCCCGCAACGCAACUCAGAACCAGCUCUCGCGCGCAACAGUCCUGCAGCAACACAGCCACGCAGCAGCUCUCGAGCGCAACGCAGCCACGCAGCAGCUCUCGCGCGUAACCAGCAGUGCGCAACCAGCCCCAAGCCGCGCAGCAAGCUCCAGCCGAGCACGCAACGCAACAAGCGUCACCAGCGCGCACACCAGCAAUCCCCCAGCGCGCAGCAACAGCCGCAGCACGCAGAUCCAGCGUCACCAGUUCACAGCAUCAGUCCCAUCCGUGCGCAACUGAACCACCAGCCGCGCACCAGUAAUCCCCCAGCGAGCAGCAAUAGUCCGCAACCAGCCUACGACCUGCAUUCCAGCCGCGUGAAUCGAAAUCCGUGACAAGAUGGAGCAGAAUUUGGCCGCAUACUUCAAGAGUGUGGGAUUUAUCCCACCAUUCCCGCCAAGCCCAUAGACGUUAUGAGGAUCAAAGCUCACAAUUCAGGGAAGUUUUUGCCUUUAAUCUUUUAUCCUUACGCUUUAAUUUUUAUGUGAGCUUUGAUUAUCUUUCAUUGGGGACAAUGUAAGUUCUUGGUGUGGGGGAGGGAUUUUUGCAUUAUUGAUGUCUGGAAUUAUUGUUUUCACUCUACUUAUCUUUUUUUCACUCUACUCAUCCUUAAAUGAUUUUGGAGUUAGUAUGCUUUAUAUAUUAUUAAUUUUCUUUUCUUUUAUCUCUCACUACUUUUUUCCCAUCUAUCUCACAUUAUUUACAUCUAUUUUUAUUCUAUCAUACUCUUUCAUCACUCACAUUUUAUCUUUCACUUUUCAUAUUACUACAUACGUCUUUCUCACUUCUUAUCAUUUUUACCUUUUCUUUUAUAUAUCACUCAUGCCUUCUUCUCAUUCUACACCAUUAUUGAUGGUUGAUUCAUUUGAAGAGUGUACAUGAUUUGAUGGCAAAUUUACCAACUUUGUGAGGAUUUGAGCCUAUAAGCAACCACUUUGCUCUAAUAUUUUUGUUAUGUGAAUAUCAAUCUUAGUUUGUUUAUUCUAGAACUUGCUUUGUUAUGCAUGUUGAAGCCACAUUACGGGAUUUUAUGCAUUAAAAUGAUAAGGGCAAACCAUAUUCCAUUUUUCUAUUUUCGCAUUUUUUUUCUCUACCCGAAGACCUUUAUUUGUUACCUUUGUUUGAGCCUUAACCAUUACCCAUCUAAUUCUCUCCGUUGACUUAACCAUUUUUCUUCUUUUUGAGCCUCAAUUUAAGGAGAUUUUUGAACUCAUUGUGUGGUUAUAUUUUGUUGCUUUUUCUACCUUGUAUUAAAGUUUCUCAAUUAGAUCAACAAGCAUUAUGCUUGAAUUAAAUUGUGCAACGUUCGUUUCUUUUGUUUGAUUAAAAAAAAAAUCAAUAAAAAAAAACAAAAACAAAAACAAAAAGAAAAAAGAAAAAAGAAAAAAGAAAAAAAAAAAGAAAGAAAAAGAAAAAGAAAAAUCGAAAAAAAAAGUUUACAUUCUUGGUGACUUGAGUAGAAAUAAGCAUUUUGAUAUCAUAAGUUCAUUCAAUGAGUUCAUUCUUCUCAUUUUAUUUAUUUUUCUUUCAUAGACCUUUCUUUUUUAUUUCACCUAUUUAACCCCAUUACAACCCUUUUAAGACCCUUAGAUUUUUGCAUUUUAUUCAUGUUUUGUGGAUUGAGAUGUGAUAUAUGAGCAAGCUUAUGGUAAUAGCAUUCUUUGAUUUGAUUUGAGUGGAUAAAUGACACCCUAAACACUUUGAGUGCAUGGAGUGAAGUCAAUGAGAGGGCUAUUAAAUCUUGUUGCACUUGAAUUUUAAAUGGAUCUUCUUGGUGGUUGAAUGUUCUUAUUCUAUCUUAUGAAAUUCUAUGCUUUAAAAUCCUUGUCUCUCGAAUGUUGAUCGACUUAAUUUCUUGAGGUAUGCUUGCUUAAAAUUGUUUUUGGAUGAGUUGAGAUGAGAAUUGAGUGGAGAUUUGGAAUUAAUCUUGAGUUAUAUGCUUGAGGACAAGCAUCAUCUUGGUGUAGGGGAAUUUGUUAGAGUGCAAUUUACGCACUAGUUUUGCAUUGUUUACUUCCCUUAAUAUCGAUGUUUUGCACUUAAUAAUAAUGAUUUACUUGUGUUUUACUUUUGUAGGUACAAUUCUAGUGAUUGGUGAUAAAAUUGAGAUAAAAGAUGAUGUUUAAGGAGAAUUGUUCUCUUGGAGAAAUUAUGAGCGUCAGAAGAACUUUGUUGAUAAGGCGUGGGCGCGUGCUGUCAACUGCGGACCUGCAGUUUUUAGUUUAACGUGUUUUGUAUUUUUGGUUAUUUUUGUAAUUACGAAUUUAAUAUUUCAGAUAUUAGGAUUUUAUUUUAAAUAGAAUUCUAAAAGAGAAGAGAGAGAGAGUAUUUAAGGGAGGAAUCUAUUGUGGAAAAGGGGGAUUUUUGGAUGGGAGAAAAGAAAGAAACACUAGAUUUAAUUUUUCUCUUCUCUCUAUGAAGAACUAAACUUAUUUUUCUGGUUGAAGGUUAAUGAAGCUUUGAUUCAUCACUACUGUGAGAUCUUUCUUGUGCUUUAAUUGUUUUAUUGCUUUUUGGGUAUUUGUUUAUUCUCUGAAUUAUUUUCAUGAUUAUGUUUGUUAAUUAGGUAAUUGGCCACUAUUUAAUUAUCAACUUAAUCUAUUGUCAAUUAAAGGAUUCAUCGUAUGAAGAAUUUAAUGUUUGUGACAAAUAACAUAGCAGAGAGUUGUGUUGUGAGAAUAAACAAUCUAAUUUAAAUGAAUCAUCAUAUGUGUUGAUUAGGAUUUGGGUCUCUCUGGUUUUUCAGGCUGUCAAUUGAUUAAAUCCUAUGAUCGUAUUUAGGGUUGUCUAUUGAUUGGGGAAAUAACCAACGGUCAUACCUUGGUUAUCGACUAGUUAAGGAGAGAUUGGCUAUUAGAGGGUCUCAGUAGCUAUAACUGGUCUAUUCAUGAGUAAUAAUAAUCUAUAUUUGAAUCAAUGAUCAGUAGUCGAAUCAAGCUGAGUUAAUUCCUUCAACCAGAGCUUUCUCCAAUUUGAAUUACAACUUUAAUUUGCAUUCUUGUUAUUUUAAUUUGAUUUUUAUUAUUGUCAACAAAACCCCCAUUUUAUGUUUUACGUUUUAAAAGGAUUUAAAUAACUACCGAUCUCUGUGGACACGACCCUGCUCAAUUACUAUACACAAUUUAUUUAGAGUAGGAAUUUAUUUUUGUUGGCUUCGACACCCACCAGUUUGCUAGUCUUAAGUCCUUCAUUUUAAACUACCUAGCUAAUUGUGCCUUUAAUUCUUGGACCCAAUCUUUGUUUGAGCCUGCUACUAACAUGUUAUCCACAUACAAUAGUAUAAUGAUAAAAUUAUUAUCCUCAAACCACUUGUAAUAUGCACAGGUCUAAACCGAGUCUAUUGUAGCCAAGACUCAUGAUGAAGGAAUCAACUCUCUUAUACCAACAUCUCAAUGCCAGUUUAAGACUAUAUAGAGAUUUGUUUAACCUGCAAAAGAAGUUUUCUUUACCUGUUUAAGCAAAACCUUCUGGUUAGAGUAUAUACAUUUUUUCUUUAAGUUCUCUAUGAAAAAACACAGUUUUCACAUCUAAGUGCUCUAGGUUUAUGUUAAAUACAACACAUAUUGCAAGGACUAUUUUGAUUGUCGUGAGUCGAAUUACUCGGGAAAAUAUAUCGUUAAAGUUAAUACAUUCUUUCUGAGCAUAUCCUUUCACUACCAAUCUUACACGAUACCGCUCUACUUGGUCAUUGCCAUCACGCUUGAUCUUGUAAACAUAUUUUUUUCCUAUGAUUUUUCUUUCACGUGGUAGUGGUAUAAGUUCCCACGUCUUAAACCUAUGUAGAGCUUUAAUUUCUACCUGCAUUGUUGUCAUCCACAAAACAACAUUUAAGCCAUUUAAAGCUUUAUGGAAAGUUGAUGGCUCUGCAUCCUCUGUUAGAAGAUAGUAUACAACAUUGAUCCUAUAACAUACUCUAAGUGCCACACCGACGGUUGUCUCUCGCAAGUUGACCGAUGAACUUCUGUAGCCUCAGACUCCACUGGUUCUUGCUUCUCAUGCUUUAGUGGUGUUUCAGAAUAAUCUAAAUCUUCUUUUCCCGGAUUAUUUUCAUAUACAUUGGUACAAUCUCUGACUUGUUCUUCAAAGUGCUAUCAUUCUCAUUUUUCUUUUGUAGUCGAUCUUCUACAAAGAUAACAUUUCUACUUAUGACAAUCUUGUGGGCAAUGAGAUCCUACAGAUAAUCUUGAUGAGAAUCUUGUAGUCAAUCUUCUUUCUUGAGCAUUGUAAGUGCAUAGGGCAUCCAUAUGCAUGCAAAUGAGAAUAAUCAGCAGGUUUCCUAGUCUACAUCUCCAUUGGUGUCUUUAACUUAAUUAUUGUAUGUGGCGAUCAAUUUACUACAUAAUAGGUGGAUUUGGUUAUUUCUAACCAAAAUGAGUUGACUAGAGCAGUCUUCAAUAUAACUUGUAUUCAUUCUGUAAGAGUAUUGUUCAUUCGCUCUGUCACUUCAUUCCAUUGAGGAGUGUAUGCCACAAUGAAUUAUUUUUUAAUACCUUUUUGCUUAUAGUAUAUAAAAAACUAACUAUUUGUAUAUUCUCCACUAUUAUUUAUUCCCCAAACUCUUGAUAUUUUUCCUGAAUUUAAGUUCCACCCGUGCUUUGUAUUCUUUGAACACUGAAAAUGCUUUUGACUUUUUCUUAAUUAGAUAAGUUGAGUGUUAGAAAAUGUAUAUUUAUAAAGGAGAAAACCGUCAUUUUACAUUUCAAGUCUUACUAACAACCCUUACUUUUAUGUAUUUAACCUUCUUGUGAUUUAAUUACAUGUGUUUUAUUUUAAUUAAGUAUUUUAUUUAUUUUAGGGGCAUUAUAGUCAUUUCACAAUAAAGGAGAGAUCAGACGGCAAAACGAACAUCACUUUUGAACUCAGGACGGUCGAAAACCUUAGGAGGAGCAUAAAAGGAAAAAUGACACUAUUCACAUGUACGGUACUAUUCACGUGUACGGUACUGUUUACAUUACUGUUCACGACACUGUUCACAUAGACGGAUCGAUGACGUGGCAUUGACCGAUGAUGUGGCAUUGACUGAUGAGGUGUCACGAUCCUGUUGGGCUAAAAUUCUUAUGUACUGUUGAUGAUGACGUGGCAGUAUAUCAGUGGAUGAAAAAUCUUGCGUACGGUACAUGCAUCACACAGGAUUAUUUUCAACCAAACCGCAUUACUGUUCAUCCAGGUCAAACCGUGUUACUGUUCAUCCGCGUGGUCAAACCGCGUACUGUUGACUGAUGACGUGGCGCAAUCCUGAGCGUCCAAACUAUUUUUAAUCCGAUGGCCAUGAUUUACUCCAUGUAUCUAUAAAAAGGGGGCCUCUCCCCCCUAAUUUGAUAUCUCCGAAUCCAUUUUUGGGAUCCAUUUUCUGUAAUUCCUUUUCCAUCUUGUAUUUUCUUCAUAUUUUAAUAAAUUUCCAUUUUGCCCCUAGUUCAAUUAUGAGUGGCUAAUUUUCUUUCAAGCUUGGGUUGAAGGUGAAGUCUCAACAUGUGUCAUGGGCUUUAUUUGGUAAAUUUAUUUUCUCUUCCCCUCUAAUUUUUGUGGAUGUUUUGACUUCUCGUCGACAAAUAAUACUAAUCUUGUCUAGUACCGCCUUGGUUUCACCGGCCCUCUAGUACAAGGUUAUUAUUAUUUGGCACGAUAAGCCCUUAGCACCAUAUUGAUUAGAGAGUGGUUCAUGAGGUGUGGAUUCCCCCCUCAUGAUUUAAUUGGCAUUAAUAAGGAUUAUUUAGUCCAUGAUGCAUGUUGAUACGGAUCCAGAUACCCAAGUAUGUCAUUUCAAUAGCUUUCUAUUCAAUUUAUUCUCGCCAUUUCAAUUCCAAUUGUAGAAUUUAAUCUCGCCAUUUCAAUUCCAAUUUUUAGGAUAAUUUAAAUCACUUCCACCAUAAUUCCAACCACCCAUUUACAAAAUUAAUUCUAUACACAAUUAAAAUCCACCUCCUCGUGGGAUCGACACUCGUCACCAUUAGUCUAUACUACAAUAGAUUCGUGCGCUUGCGAGUACAUUAAAAUUUGCACAACAAGAUACACCUAACAUCUCUUGGAAUAAUCAUCUAUGAAAGUCAUAAUGUACGUUACACCUCCUAGGGACAUAUUCCGGUGAUUCCCAAACAUUAGAAUGAACCAAGUCUAGAAUGCAUUUACUUUUGGUAUCAGAUUUACUGAACUUCAAUCUAUGUUACUUACUGGUAACAUAAUACUCAUAAAACAGUAAGUUCACCAAUUUGAGCCCCGAAGCAAUUUUCGUUCUAAGAGAAUCUUCAAACCUUAUUUUGACAUGUGGUCAAGUUUGAGAUACCACAUCAUCAUCGACUUUUCUCCAUUUGACGAGACACAUACAUUAGCUUCUUGUAAUGUUUCCUCUUUAAGUAUGAACUGACUAGCACUAAUUUUUUCCCAUCUUUAUCAAUACAAGCAUAUCUCUUAAAAUCUUCAUGAUUUUAUUGUCCACAUGAGUUUUAUAGUUAAGACUAUCUAUUUAUCCUAAAAACAAUAGAUUUUUCUUCAAUCCUUUGAUAUGUUGUACCUUCUGAAUUGUACGAACUGUACCAUUAAAUAUUUUUAUUUUGACAGUAUCAAUACCAACGAUCUCCAAGACAUGAUCAUCACCUAUAUAUUCUCUUAAAAUGGGUUCAUUUCUAUGGAACCAUUCUCUUCGAGAGGUCAUGUGCCAAGUGGUUCAUAAGUCUAUAAGCCAUACAUCAAAUAAUUGUUUUGUCUUCUGCAACCAUUGCUGCCUUGCUGUAUAAAAUGUCACCAUCAACUGAGGUACUUGCUACACGUCCUUAAACAUUUCAUGACUCAUGAUUUUUACUCUCUUUUCUCUUUUAGUUACUCCAAAACUUUUUCUUAACAUGCCCCAUCUUACCACAUUUGUAGCACCUAAUUUUCUUCUUCUUGAUUUUGAUCUACCAUGCACUGGAACCACGUUCCACUAAUUUUCGUCUCACCAUUAUUAGUGUUUCUGCUUGCUGCAAACUUGCUUGCCUAUCUUUAUUGUUCUUGCGUCUACCCACUUCCUCUAAUACAGAGGCUAUAACAUCGUCAAAGACUAAAUACUCUGUGCGGAUAUUAUUUGUCAAGUUGAUGAUGAUUUGAUCAUACCAGUCAGGUGAACUUUGAAAUAGAAGCUUUGCAUGUUCAAUUUUCGCUAUUUUAUGACCUAACAUUGUAAGUUGUAAAAAAAAAGUUUUCAAAGUGUUGAUAUAGUGGGUCAUUGAUAUGGUUUCUACCAUUUGAACACUAUAAAGUCUUCUCUUUAAGAAGAUUUUGUUGUGUAGCGACUUGGCCUUGUUUACUUUUGCAAGGGUAUUCCAAAUACACUUCCCUGUCUUUUGCUUUGCCAUACUGGAUAAUAUCUUAUCUGCAAGUGCCAAGUGUAGAUCAAUAAUUGCAUUGUCGUCCAUUUAAUUCCACUUGUCAUCGGUGAUUUCUAUAAACCUUUCUGCAAUUACUUCUAAAUAAUUAUUUUUCCUCGGGAUUGCUCAUGUCUUUAUUUUUCACAAUGAGAGAUUGCUCAUAUUGAACUUCUCAAUUUCAAACUUUGUUGCCAUUUUGUUAAUAAAUACCAUACACAAGUUAGUGUACCACCUUGAGUAGUUAUGAGUGAUCGCACGUGUGAAAAUGCACAGCAGAAAAGUUUCCAGGAAUGACUGGAGGGAUUACAACGGUGCCAUUUAAAACCCAAACUCUCUAGGCUCUUAUCGCCUUUGUGACGGAACUAUCCUAGACAUGUACAAGACCACGUGAUUACUUCUACUCACACCAAUACUCCUUACUUUACAUUGUGGAAUUCUUCGAUCGCUCCCACUAUUUUAAGUAAACAGUAUCAUAUACAUGAAGAGUAUUGUAUACGUGAACAAUAGCUGACUCCAAAAACUAUAACUAAAUGGCUCUGAUACCACUAUUAGGAAAUUGAUGUGUGAAGCAGACACAUAAUUAAAUUGAAAUUGAGAAAUAAUGAUCACAGGAUGACACCAUAAUUUAAGUGGUUCUGCUUUUCACCUACAUCCACGGGCGAAGGCAGAAGGAAAUAUUUUACUAGUGAAAAGGAGUUACAAGUACUGGAGUAUUUUGUCUCACAACCCAAAAAACCCAAUGCACCCAAACUCUCAAGACACUAGAAUAAGAGCUUAAAACUCUCAACACACUCUCAAUCUCCAAAUCUUGGCUCUUUCACUUCUCAAUUAGAUUGAGAAUUGAAGAAAAUGAGAUGAAUGAAGAGGGCAAAUAAAGCCUCUAUUUAUAGGCCAGGCAAUGCCCUAAAAUCAACAACAGUGGGCUUUAAAAUAAUAUAUAUUUUCAUUUAACUUUCCCCUUUGGUGUCAAAAACAAAAGUUGUGUGCUAGCUAAAUGCUUUCCACUUACUCAUGUCUCCCACUUACUUAACAAAUUAUGCCAAAAGUCAAAAGUUGCAUGCGAGCCACAUGAAAUUGUUUGCCACAUGCAUGUGCUUGUUCAACAGUAAAAACCACAAGCAAGGAUUUAACUAGUUUAAACAAGGACUACAAAACCUUCAACGUUGGUGGAUUUCACUAGUUUAAACGAGGAUCACAAAUUUAUCUUUUCUCUAAACAGUAAGAGAGAACUUGAAAUACAAGAAUGCAACCCAAGAGGGGGGGGUGAAUUGGGAUUCUAAAAAAUUAUUCAAUUUAUUAAAGAAAAUCUUAAUGCAAUUAUAAAUCAAAUUCAAAGCAAUAACAAUUAAGAGAAUCACAAUAUAAAAAGAUAAGGGAAGAGGGAUUCAAACACCGAGAUUUUUACGUGGUUCGGCCAACCUCGCCUACGUCCACGCCUCCAAGCUUUCCGGGCUUGAGGAUUCCACUAAGCAAGCCUCCAAGGCUUCAAAUGCUUACACUUGACUUCCAAGGUGUCAAUGAACCUUUACAACAAGAGAUUAUCCCCAAUCUCUUAACCCAAGUGUAUCCCAACACUUACAAUCACUCAAAAUAAAAGAUUAUAAAUUGUUUUGCCUCUCACAAUAUAUAAGAUUACACAAUGAUGCUUAAUAUGUGAAUAGAUGAAGCAAGAAUAUGUUCUAAGCUCUAUGAAGAUUGUAUUCUCGAAUAUUAGCUCAAAUGGUCGUGUUGUGAUCAAUCUUCUUUGAAUUUGAAUGAGCUUAUUUAUAUUUGGAGCCGAAAAUCUAGCCGUUACAAACUGUCGGACAGAAAACGGUUCGCUGUUAACCAUAAACGGUUAACCGUUUAGGCUGGUCAAAGUUACCGUUGGGCCAGAUUUCAAAUAAACGGUUUGCCGUUUAGGGUUGCCCUUUCGCCGUUAACUUCCAGAGACCUGCAAAAUGAGUAUUUGUUAUCCGUUUACGCUAAACGGUUAAGGACUUGCGUGAAGUGGCUUCUCUGGACAUUAUCGGUUAACCGUUUGAUAUAAACGGUUCGCCGUUUGUCUCCAGUAACCUGCAAAACAAUUUAGCCUUAUCAGUUUUCGUUAAUCAGUGCCAGAGGAGGACAACCUUCAAUUCUGGACGUUAUCGGUUAACCGUUUAAAAUAAACGGUUCACCGUUAGGUUCCAGUAGCCUUCCCAUCUUGGGUGUUUUCCGGUAAGCAUAAACGGUUAGAGCUUAGGUAAUAUGUUGCUCUCUGGUGAUAAUCGGUUAACCGUUUAAAAUAAACGGUUCACCGUUAAGUUCCAGUAACCUUCCCAUCUUUUGUGUUUUCCGUUUUUCAUAAACGGUUAGAGGUUUAGGAAAUAUGUUGCUCUCUGGCUGUUAUCGGUUAACCGUUUAAUAAACGGUUCACCGUUUAUAACCAGAAUUACAUUUUAAACCAGUUUUUUAUUUUUGCAGAGAAUCUUUUUCUAAUUUUAAAGUCCAUCUUUUAUGAAGCAUGAAUUGAAUGAUUACUAAGGCUCUCGUUUAUUAAGAAAUAGCUCCAAUACUUUUAUAAAAAAUCAUUUAAAAUUUGUUAUCAUCAAAAUCAAUAUUAUUAACAUAUUUAUGUUAACAAUCUCCCCCUUUUUGAUGAUGACAAAUUCUAAUCAAUGUUUAGCUCCCCCUUAAUAUGUGCUCCCCCUAAAUGUAUGGCCAAAUUGAGAAAUGUGAAUAAAAGGAUAUUUGCUUUAAAUUGCCCCAUUUUAAAUCCAUCUUAAAACAAAUAUCUCCCCAUUUAAAAACCAUCUUAAAAAAAUAUCUCCCCAUUUAAAAAACUAUCUUAAAAACUUAAAAACCAUCUUAAAAACUUUAAUUAUCUCCCCCUUCAUCAUCAAAAAGAAAAGAGGAAAUAAGAAAUACGCAAAUCCAUGAAAGAAAGUGCCCGGUUUUGGCAAACAAAAAAAAAAUUUUGGCAGAGUUUCCCCUUAAAAAUGAGUAAAACCAUAAAUACAAAAUGAGAUAAAACACUUCCAAAAUUAGAUCAACAUUAACUUCUGCUUUCAACAAGCCAACAACUCCAUGAACAAGACAAAAUAACACUUCAAUAUCCACAAAUAUACCAACACUCCAAUAUCCACAAAUAAACCAUUUCUACAAUAUCCAACCAAUUAGGCAAUCACAAAGCAUCAAUAAGCUAAUCAUCAAGAACAUCACACACAUAUGCAUCAAAAUCAAAAUAAUAAUAAAAAUGCUAGCAACCAAAAUGUAAAAUGUAUGUGCGAAGACAAAGCUCAGAAACUACGGAGGCGGAGAAGAUGUGCUCCCUGGAUCAUAGCCGAAAUAGCCGAGAAUAGUGCGCUGUCCAGCGAUAAGCUCCAUCUGCUGAUCAAGGCUCUGCCGCUGGAAUAUCUGAAAGUCAGAACGCAGCUGCUGGUGGUCCCGGGAAAGAGUGUCCAACCGAUCAAGAAUCAGCUGCUGGCGCUCCGAAAUCCGCUGAACAUCAGUGAUCAGCUGCUGCACUGCGUCUGAAGCAGGGGGCUGAACUGGAGCUGGAGGCGGCAUAGAGGCAGAUGGCUGCUCGGGAACAGCAGAAGGCUCAGGAGCAAGAGGCGGCUCGGAAGAGGAGGGAAUAUCAGCAUCCAUCGCACGCUCCUCAGAGUCUGAGUCAGCUGGAGGCUGAGGAACAAAACGGCGACGCGGAGGAUGAGGAUGAGCGCCUAGUCUAAAGUCAGGAAGCUGGUCGGGACGAUAGACAUCAUUGAGCAUCCGAUCGUCCUCUGGAGCAAUCAAGGUAUCCCGGUUUUUGGAGUUGCUUGUCUUUAUCCACACUCCAUUCUUUCUAGAGAAUCCGAUACUGGUUACUGCCUCGGAACCAAUCCGUCGAGUCUCCAUAUGUCCAGUAUCAAGAAGUGGCACCUCAAAGCGUCGCAGUAUUUUAGUGAUGAUACUGCCGUAGGGAAGCAAGCGGUGGUUGACCACUGGAGUACUCAGCAUAUGUCGCACAAUAAUAUACCCGAGGUUAAUGGGACGGUCUGUAAGAAGGCUAUCCAAUAAGGCGACGUCUAACCUCGUAACCUCAUCCGAGUGACCCUUCCUAGGAGUCACUAUGUGCUGUAGAAUAGAGUGAAGAAUACGAACUUGGAGCGGUAAAAGUUGAGACCGAAAUGGAAGCUGACAGACAUCAUCCGAUAAGUCUCGACGACGACAUAUAUUACGGACGCCGUGAGUAUGAGAAAAAGUAUCAAAGGAGAGGGUUUUCCUAGAGGUGUAGAUGUCAAUCCCCUCACAAGAGAUACCUAGAAAGUCAGCUAAGUCCGCAUCAUCAAAUUCUAUGGGUACACGGCCGACUUGAGUGACUAUCCUAUUUGGACGAGUAUUGGAGAUUUCCAUGUUCGAAUAAAAGACUCGCACUAAGUUUGGAUAAACUCGGUCAUCAAAAUCAAUGCCAGACUCCCAAGGCCGAAGCAUAUCCCGAAUACUUCUACCACAUACAACCAAAUUAUGGAAUUCAUCAAUGUCAACAAAGAAGGAGUCAAGUACCUUUCGACCAUUGAAGCGUUCUUCGAAUCGCUUGGCCAAGGAAGGAGUGGGGAAGUGAAUCCUUGCAAAUUCCGAGACUUCCCGAGGUGGUAUGGGAUUCCUUGGAGGCACAGAUUUACGUCUGAGAUUUCUCCGAGGAGGUUCAGCCAUGGAAACACGUAAUGAGGAGUAGAAGAUGUGAGUAGGAUGUUUAAUUUGGUUGAAGAAAGUUGGAAAUCGGAUUAAGGACAAGGAAACCCGACCCGCGACAGUUAGGGUUUAGAUUUGGGAUUUUUGAAUUUUGGGUUCGAUUUGAAGUUUUGAAUCGGUAGAAAUGUUCUAAAGGUGAUAAGAAAUGAUUUUGAAGGUUUGAUUUGGCAAGGAAAGCAAGAAAAAUGAGGAUUUGAGGACAGAGAAACCUUCGGCUGCGCAACAAUGGUGGAAACGGUGAAAGGGUAACUGGAGAAGAAGAAGAAAACCUUUAAACAGUUUAUACACUUCGCGAAAACGGUUAACCGUUUAUUGAAACGGUUAAAGGGUAACGUCCAGAGGCUGAAGAAAGGGAAACGGUGAAAGCCUAAGCGCUUAACGGCUAAGGAGUAACUGUUAGAGGACUCUCUGUUGAAAAACGGUUCACCGAUUGUGGCAAACGGUGAAAGGGUAAACGGGCAGACACAUAAUCUCGUUUCUGGAAUUAAACGGUGAUCCGUUUAUAGGAAACGGCUAACCGUUUAUUCAAUCUGUAAUUUCGCACAUUUGAUUUAAUUUUUGGCCAGCAAAUAAUAUAUUCCAAGAUCAUUUAAUUGAUCUGAAAAUAUUUUAUGAGCCAAUUUUAAUGCAUGAUUCAUGGACAUGUUUUCAACCAAUCAAUUCAUAUAAUCAAGAGUUAUUAAUGCAAAUUCAUCAUUUGUCUACCAAGCUCAAACAUUUCAUAAAUAGUAAUCAAUCAAUUCAGUACACUCAAUAGCAUGAAUAGAGAUGUUAAUGCAAAAAUUUCAUCAUCCCAAGUUCAUGCCGAAUUUUUGAAAAUUGUUCUUCGCAAAGCGGUUUUGUGAAAAUAUCGGCAAGUUGUUUUUCCGUGGAAAUAAACUCUAAUGCAAUAUCUCCCUUUUGAACAUGAUCUCUCAAGAAAUGAUGUCUUAUUUCUAUAUGCUUGGUUCGAGAAUGUUGAAUGGGAUUCUUUGAAAGGUUUAUAGCACUAGUAUUAUCACACUUAAUAGGAAUUUGUUCAAGAUUAAUGCCAUAAUCUCUAAGUGUUUGUUUCAUCCAAAGUGCUUGUGCACAACAACUUCCGGCAGCUAUAUAUUCAGCCUCAGUAGUUGAAAGUGCAACAGAAUUUUGUUUCUUGCUAAACCAUGAAACAAGAGAGUGUCCUAGAAUAUAGCAAGUUCCACUAGUGCUCUUCCUAUCCACUUUAUAACCAGCAAAAUCCGCAUCCGAAAAACAUGUUAAAUCUAUAUGAGUUCCCCUAGGAUACCAAAGGCCAAUAUCUAUGGUUCCACUCAAAUAACGGAAAAUUCUUUUAACAGCGAGCAAAUGAGAUUCCUUGGGACAUGACUGAAAUCUUGCACACAAACAUACACUAAACAUGAUAUCGGGUCUACUUGCAGUCAAAUAGAGUAGGGAUCCGAUCAUACCUCGAUACAUUUUGAUAUCCACUUCUUUACCUUUUUCAUCUUUGUCCAGCUUGGUUGUUGUGCUCAUUGGUGUAUUCUUGGUCUUUGAAUCAUCAAUGCCGAAUCGUUUGAGUAGAUCCUUUACGUACUUGGCUUGAUUUAUGAAAAUUCCUUCCUCGCUUUGUUUGAUUUGAAGUCCAAGGAAGUAUUUCAACUCUCCCAUCAUACUCAUCUCAAAUUCUUUGCUCAUACACAAUGAAAAUUCUUUACACAACAACUCAUUAGUAGAACCAAAAAUAAUAUCAUCAACAUAAAUUUGAACAAUAAGUAUGUCUUGGUUCUUAUGCUUAACAAAAAGAGUAGUAUCCGCUUUACCCAUAGAGAAGUCAUUUUCUAGCAAGAAAUUUUUAAGUCUAUCAUACCAUGCUCUAGGUGCUUGUUUUAAUCCAUACAAGGCUUUGAGCAACUUAUACACAUGAUUUGGAAAUUUUUCAUUUUCAAAACCAGGAGGUUGUUUCACAUAAACUUCCUCCAAAAUAUAUCCAUUUAAGAAAGCACUCUUGACAUCCAUUUGAUAUAAAAUAAAAUCCUUAUGACAUGCAUAUGCUAACAACAUCCUAAUGGAUUCUAACCUUGCUACAGGUGCAAAGGUUUCAUCAAAAUCAAUUCCUUCCUCUUGGUUGUAACCUUGAGCCACUAAUCUAGCUUUGUUUCUUACAACCACACCGGAUUCAUCCAUCUUAUUUCUAAACACCCAUUUAGUACCUAUUAUAGAUUGAUGUUCAGGUUUAGGAACUAGUUCCCACACAUUGUUUCUUUCAAAUUGAUUUAACUCCUCUUGCAUUGCCAUAAUCCAAGAUUCAUCAUUUUCUGCAUCCUCAAAGGAUUUUGGUUCAAUUUGAGAGAUGAAUGCAUUAUGCUCACAAGUAUUUCUAAGUGAUGAUCUAGUUGUUAUACCUCGUGAGGGAUCUCCUAAAAUUACAUCUUUAGGGUGAGAAGAGACAUACCUCCACUCCUUGGGGAGUGUUUGAGAAGUACCUUCAUUUUGCUCCACAUUUGGUUCUUCAUGAUGUUCCUCUUGAAUUCCAUGUGGUGCAUCCUCUUGAUUGUCAUUUGAUGCUUCUUCUUCUUGUUCUUCUUCUCUUGCAUCAUCAUCAACAACGACUUUCUUCGUAGAGGAGGGGUUAGACUCAUCAAAUGUGACAUGCAUAGAUUCUUCCACAACUAAAGUUCUUUUGUUAUAAACUCUAUAAGCUUUGCUUGAAUUUGAAUAACCAAAAAAAAUACCAACAUCGGAUUUUGAAUCAAAUUUACCAAGAUUGUCUUUUGUGUUCAAAACAAAACAUUUGCAUCCAAAAACUUUAAAAUAGCCAAUGUUGGGUUUUCUAUCUUUCCAAAGCUCAUAUGGAGUUUUAUUAAGAUUAGGUCUAAUCAACACCCGAUUUAAAACAUAACAAGCGGUGUUGACGGCUUCGGCCCAAAAAUAUUUUGGUAAUGCAUUUUCAUUUAACAUGGUCCUAGCCAUUUCUUGAAUAGACUUAUUCUUUCUCUCAACAACUCCAUUUUGUUGUGGAGUUCUAGGUGAAGAAAAUUGAUGCUCAAUGCCUAGAUUAUUGCAAAAACUCUCAAAUGCAUGAUUUUCAAAUUCUCCUCCAUGAUCACUCCUAAUGCAUACAAUACCAUGCCCUUUUUCAUUUUGUAAUUUCUUACAAAGCACUUUAAAUGCAUCAAGAGCAUCAUCCUUAUUGGCUAAGAAUAAUACCCAUGUAUAUCUAGAAUAAUCAUCCACUAUCACAAAAGCAUAAUAUUUGCCAUUUAGACUUGCAUAUCUAGAUGGCCCAAAAAGAUCUAUGUGAAGAAGUUCAAGUGGUUUUGAAGUAGAAAUAUGGUUUUUAUUCUUGAAAGAAGUUUUAAUUUGUUUUCCAAAUUGACAAGCUUCACAAAUCUUAUCCUUUUGAAAACCAAUUUUCGGAAGACCUUUAACUAAAUCAUCUUUCGAAAUUUUUGAAAUCAAAUCCAUACUUGCAUGUCCUAACCUUCUAUGCCACAACCAACAAUCAUCAUGCAAUGCCGAAAAAUAUUUAUCAAGAGUAGAUGCACAUUCUAUGUCAAUGAUAUAAACAUUACCACAUCUAUUUCCAACAAAUAAGGUUUUGCCAUCACAUGAGUUCUCAAUAACACAACUAAAUUUAUCAAAGAUAACUUUAUAACCUUUGUCACAUAAUUGACUAAUGCUAAUUAAGUUGUGUUUCAAGUUUUCAACCAAACAUACAUUCUCAAUUAGAGUUGAAGAAACUUUACCAACAUUUCCAAUUCCAAGGAUUUUUCCUUUUGAGUUGUCUCCAAAGGAUACGUCUCCACCAUUUUCAAUUUUGGUAAAGCUUGAGAACCAUGCAUAGUUUCCGGUCAUGUGCCUUGAACAACCGCUGUCCAAGUACCAUUUAUUCUUCUUCUUCUUCAAGCCCUACAAGAAAAAGUCUCAAGUUUUAGGUACCCAAAGCUUUUUGGGUCCUUGAGAGUUAGCAACGGUUCCUUUUGGAACCCAAAUGCACUUGACACCAUAAUAUGCAUUCCUUUUCACGGGACAUUUAAAUUUCAUGUGACCAUUUUGAUUACAAUAAUGACAUACAAUCUUAUGAUCAUUUGUGGAGGUAGCUUUAACAAAAUAAUUCUUAUAAUACUUUUGCUUCAAAUUUGGCUUAUAUCCAAGUCCUCCUUUAUCAAAAACACAUUUUUGUGAGUUAAGCAUAUUAUCCAACAUCUUUUGCCUAUUUGUAAAUUUCAAAACAAUUUCAUUUAAUUCAUUAUUCUUUUUCUUGAGCAAUUCGUUCUCAUUUUUCAACUCAUCUAUGUGUGAUUUCAAAUGCUCAUGUAAGAUGCUAGGUUUCUCAUUUGAUAAUGCAAUUUCAUCAUGCAAUGUUUUGUUUCCUACUUCUAGGCAUACAAUUCUUGCAUUUAGAGAUUCAUUUUCAUUUUUAAGCUUUGCCAUUUCCUUUUUAAGACAUACAUUCUUUUUACUAAUUUUCAUCAACUCAUUAUGCAAAUCUUGAAAAGCAUCAUAUAAUUCAUCAUAGGUAGGAUCACUUACCUCAUUGAGAUCAUCAUCUCCUCCUAUUGCCAUGAGUGUUAGGUUUGAUACUUCUUGCGAUCCUUCUUCAUCAUUUGAUUCUUCCUCACUAUCAUCCCAAGUUGCAACCAUUGCUUUCUUCUUGAGUUUGUUGAUAAGUGGGCACUCCGAUCUUAUAUGUCCAGGCUUCUUGCAUUCAUAGCAAGUGAUUGCCUCCUUCUUCUCCCUAUAGUUCUUGAAGUUUCUGAAAUUUCUUCGCUCUCCGGUUUUCUUGAAGAAUUUUCUGAACCUCCUUGCUAGCAUGGCUAGUUCUUCAUCAUCCGGUUCACUCUCCUCAUCACUCUCAUAUUUUGAAGCUUUGAGAGCAAUGCUUUUCUUCUUCUCCUCAUGUCCUCUUUCUGCAGCUAAAUCCUCUUCAUACGAAAUAAGAGAACCAAUUAAAUCAUCAAGAGGUAAAGUAUUUAAAUCUUUGGCCUCUUCAAUAGCGGUUCGUUUAGGUCUCCAUUCUUUUGGAAGAGACCUAAUGAUUUUCUUAACUUUCUCACUAUUUGAGAAGGUUUUCCCUAAGGCACCUAGGGUGUUCACUAUGUCCGUGAAUCUAGUAUACAUAGAAUACACAUUUUCAUUUUGUUCCAUUUGGAACAACUCAUAUUGACGAGUGUAUCUACUGAUUUUAGACUCUUUCACUUGAUUUGUCCCUUCAUAGACAACUUCAAGUUUGUUCCAUAUCUCUUGUGCACUUUCACAACUAGAUACUCUAUGGAAUUCUUUCUUAUCAAGGGCACAAAACAAAGCAUUCAUAGCCUUGGAGUUUAGAGACAUCUUUCUCUUUUCUAACUCACUCCAUUGACUCGAUGGUUUAGGAAUAUCAUCUCCUACUUCAUCUUUGAACGUAGGCAUGAAUGGACCAUCACAAACAACUUCCCAAAUUUCAUAAUCUAAGGCUUGCAAAUAAAUUCACAUUCUAGUUUUCCAAUAAGCAUAGUCAUUACCAUCGAAAAAUGGUGGUCUAGUUGUGGAUUGCCCUUCUCUAAAGGUUGAGUCAUUUAGGGUUGCCAUGGAUCUUUUACUCUAGACGAUUAAGUCUUAACAAGAGAACGAGGCUCUGAUACCAAUUGAAAUACAAGAAUGCAACCCAAGAGGGGGGGUGAAUUGGGAUUCUAAAAAAUUAUUCAAUUUAUUAAAGAAAAUCUUAAUGCAAUUAUAAAUCAAAUUCAAAGCAAUAACAAUUAAGAGAAUCACAAUAUAAAAAGAUAAGGGAAGAGGGAUUCAAACACCGAGAUUUUUACGUGGUUCGGCCAACCUCGCCUACGUCCACGCCUCCAAGCUUUCCGGGCUUGAGGAUUCCACUAAGCAAGCCUCCAAGGCUUCAAAUGCUUACACUUGACUUCCAAGGUGUCAAUGAACCUUUACAACAAGAGAUUAUCCCCAAUCUCUUAACCCAAGUGUAUCCCAACACUUACAAUCACUCAAAAUAAAAGAUUAUAAAUUGUUUUGCCUCUCACAAUAUAUAAGAUUACACAAUGAUGCUUAAUAUGUGAAUAGAUGAAGCAAGAAUAUGUUCUAAGCUCUAUGAAGAUUGUAUUCUCGAAUAUUAGCUCAAAUGGUCGUGUUGUGAUCAAUCUUCUUUGAAUUUGAAUGAGCUUAUUUAUAUUUGGAGCCGAAAAUCUAGCCGUUACAAACUGUCGGACAGAAAACGGUUCGCUGUUAACCAUAAACGGUUAACCGUUUAGGCUGGUCAAAGUUACCGUUGGGCCAGAUUUCAAAUAAACGGUUUGCCGUUUAGGGUUGCCCUUUCGCCGUUAACUUCCAGAGACCUGCAAAAUGAGUAUUUGUUAUCCGUUUACGCUAAACGGUUAAGGACUUGCGUGAAGUGGCUUCUCUGGACAUUAUCGGUUAACCGUUUGAUAUAAACGGUUCGCCGUUUGUCUCCAGUAACCUGCAAAACAAUUUAGCCUUAUCAGUUUUCGUUAAUCAGUGCCAGAGGAGGACAACCUUCAAUUCUGGACGUUAUCGGUUAACCGUUUAAAAUAAACGGUUCACCGUUAGGUUCCAGUAGCCUUCCCAUCUUGGGUGUUUUCCGGUAAGCAUAAACGGUUAGAGCUUAGGUAAUAUGUUGCUCUCUGGUGAUAAUCGGUUAACCGUUUAAAAUAAACGGUUCACCGUUAAGUUCCAGUAACCUUCCCAUCUUUUGUGUUUUCCGUUUUUCAUAAACGGUUAGAGGUUUAGGAAAUAUGUUGCUCUCUGGCUGUUAUCGGUUAACCGUUUAAUAAACGGUUCACCGUUUAUAACCAGAAUUACAUUUUAAACCAGUUUUUUAUUUUUGCAGAGAAUCUUUUUCUAAUUUUAAAGUCCAUCUUUUAUGAAGCAUGAAUUGAAUGAUUACUAAGGCUCUCGUUUAUUAAGAAAUAGCUCCAAUACUUUUAUAAAAAAUCAUUUAAAAUUUGUUAUCAUCAAAAUCAAUAUUAUUAACAUAUUUAUGUUAACAGAACUAUUACUCAUUUUCGUAAUAGUUGGGGGCUUAGGCCUAAGAUGCAAAGGUAUGCAUCCAACUUAAAUGACUAGUUUUUCACUAGUGAAUUUGGGACACACAACUCAAUAGAGAGAACACAGCACUCUCUCACAAAGCUUAGGCCCUGUUUGGCAUUAUUUUCUAAAUGAUGUUUUCAUGAAACAAAAAUGAGAAUGGAAAUGACGUUUUCAAAUUUGUUUUUAAAAUUUAAAGUGUGUUUUGUAUCAUUUUAAAAAAUAAUCUUGAAAAUGAAAAAAGUUAAAUACUUUCGAUAAGAAAAUCUUCAAGAAUUAUUAUUAGAAUAAUUUUCCUAAACUUAAAAUUGAGUAAUGAAUAAUUAUUUUUAUUAUUUAAUCAGUUUAUUUUUUUAAUUUUAAGAAUAAAUUAGGUGAUCCCAUUAUUAUUUUUUGUUUAAAGAAAAGUUAUAAACUCUACAUAUUUGAUUUAAUUAAUAUAUAAAAACAUAAAUAUUAUAAUGUAUAUAAAAAGAAAAGAUUAUUGUGGAGGAGGGAAAUCAAUUUUUUGGGAAUAAUAAUAAUAAUAAUGUUGAAAUUAUUAAUAUUUUUUGAGGUGUUGGAAGAAAAUUGUUCAUUUUGAAACUUAAUACUGUAUUGGAAAAUAAGGAAAACAAUAAAAAGCUGUUUUCCUAUUUCUUUUGUUAAAAAUGUAGAAUGAAUUUUAUAUUUUCAAAAAUAUGUUCAAAAAUGAUCUACCGAACAAGUAUUUAGUGUUUUCUGAAUGCAAAAAACAAGAAGCAGGAUUUGGAAACAAUACUAACGUACCUUUACUUGCUCUCAAACAAUGAUCUUGCAGAUACUUUAUUUUAUCGAAAUGAACCUCAAACAACUUUAUUUGCUUCUGGCUGUCAUUGACUCAUUGACCAUUAGCAAUAUAGCAUUAGGUAGUGCCCUCUCUUUUCUUUUUUGUCUUUGUCUUCUCCAAUUCGGGCUACAAAUGUUGCGAAGAAUUCCUUUUCCAUCUCCUCUCCAUUGUUUGGCUUCAAUAUUUUGGAGUUGAAUGGAAUCACAAUUUCUCACCUAUUGUCACACAAAGUUUCGAAUACAUUAUUAUAUAAAAGUGUAAGUUAAAAAAAAUUAGAAUAAAAUUUAAUAAUAUCAUAAAAAAAUUUAUAUUUUACAUCAUCCAAUUUUUGAUAAAAACUCAAGUAGAUAUCACAAGUAACGCAGCACCAACAUUUGAUUUUUUUCUACUUUUGUACCCAAUUUUGAGCCAGAGUUAAAGUAAAUAACUUUUAAUUAAUUAUGAAAAAAUAAUAAUAAUAUGAGAUCGACGGGUCCCAUCGAGAUUUUCUUAUCUCUUUAGUAAAUUUCCUGCAUAUUUAUUUUGCAUCAACCUUAACAUUGUAUGUGAAAAAUUUCUGCAUAUUUAUUUUGUCCUACGGAGACAAUAUUUUGAGAUUCAUAUACAAUUAACAUAAGGAAGCUUCCAAGAAAUUUCUGGGUGGACUUCAAAAUGAGAAAAGAAAUUAAAUUUGUUGGACCACCAUCAUGAAAUUUUAAAUUUUUUGGACCCCAAUCUGCCUUUGUCUUUUCAUCUGAUUGGAAGCCACUUGAUGACAGUGACUGAUCAUUGACCAUUUGGUGCUCUCUUCUCUUCGUCUUCUAAUUCAACUUACCCUCAUCAAAUUAAACGAUCAUUCUAGGCAUCUUCUUUGAAAUUAUUUGUUGCGACAAUCCCAUAAUAUACGGCAAAUAUCAAUCGCAUAAAGCAUACAAGGAUAAGUCAAUGUUUACGGGGAAAUAUAAAAAAAAAAAAUAUUUCACUAUAAAAAUAUAUAGUGAAAUAUUUGAUCAUUUCUCUAUCUACUCUAAAUAAAGACAAUCUGCCUUUGUCUUUUCAUCUGAUUGGAAGCCACUCGAUGACAUUGACUGAUCAUUGACCAUUUGGUGCUCUCUUCUCUUCGUCUUCUAAUUCAACUUACCCUCAUCAAAUUAAACGAUCAUUCUAGGCAUCUUCUUUGAAAUUAUUUGUUCCGACUAUCCCAUAAUAUACGGCAAAUAUCAAUCGCAUAAAGCAUACAAGGAUAAGUCAAUGUUUACGGGGAAAUAUAAAAAAAAAAAAAAAAAAAAAAAAUUCACUAUAAAAAUAUAUAGGGAAUACAAAUAUUGAAAUAUUUAUCACAUAAACCAAAUUCUUAAUAAAAUCAAGUUCUUAGAUCACUCGAAAACAUUUUAGUUAUCUCAAAGCUAAAGAAUUGCUUCUCAUAGAACACACGUUAAGUUUUCAAAUUGUUGGAGACUUUUCUAACACUGGCUCAUGGAUUCUGCAUCCAAUUUAUAGGCAAAUCUAGAUUUCAAAUGUCAAGAAUAACGGAAUCUAAUAGCUCGCAAUUAGAGCAUGCAAAUCUUGACUUUUAGAAUGCGAAAUCUCUGACUUUUAGGCCUGGUGAAAAAGUGAACAACGAACAUGGCUUGUUUCCAAUUGCACGAUAAAAAAAUUCUAGUGGACGGUAAUUAUUGAAACAUGAAUAACGAGAAAUAUUUUAGAUGGUGUAUUAAUUUAAAGAAAAAAACGUACUAAAAAAUCUAAGUCGUGUAUUGAUGCGCAUGGGAGUUGUUAAUAGACCCAAUUGUUGUAGUUAAUUAGAUGACUCAAUGUAUCGGCUUUGACUGUGAUCUGAGAGAUGAAAUUACAAAUAUAAAUGUGGGUAAUAAAAGAAAUUUUCUUGUCAAAAUCUUUAAAAAAUACGCUGAAAUGUCCGGGGAAAAUUUUUGUUUUUUUUUUCCCCUCAGACGUGUAGUUUGGGGCAAGCAAAGUUUUUUCUCUUCUAAUAUAAAUAGGAAAAUUAUGAUUUUUUGUCCUUCACAUCCAGAAAGGCUCAAGGAAAGUAAGUAAUCGUGAGUAUGAGUUUAUUGAAAAAUAUGCUGUGAGAUUAAUUGGUCUUUUAUUUUAUUUUUAUUUUUAUUAUUUUCUUUAGUGACGGUGGCGAAUAGUAUUUACACCUUUUUUUAAUAUUAAUUUUUAACCAUCAUUCACUAUUUCUUUUGUUUUUUUGGAGAAACGCGGUUCAACAGUAACCAUAAAGCUGCAUUUAAUUGUGGAGGGUGCACAAGAGUAAUAUAGAGUGUUUUAGUCUAUUCAGUGUGCAAAUAACCCAAUGUUAUAAGAGUUAUGAAUAUAUGUUGUAUGUAUUUGUAAUAUUUUUGUUUUGGGAGGGGCUUAUAUUAAUUUAAGAAUUCAACUUCAAUCUAGACAUCAAAAUAUGACCAUUUAUUUCGUUCAAUCAAUUAACCCACGAAUUUAUGGUCAGACCCUUGGAUUGUUUGUUGAUUGGAGAGGCUAAAAUUGAGUGGGAAAGUAAAGCAAUGAGGAAUAGAAAAGAUCUAUGGCAAAGAUCGAUGAACAGUGGGCAUGAUUUAAUAAUGAAUUACAGAUAUGUUGGCGUUACGGAAUAUGUUGUUGACAAAAUUAUGGAGUCUUGAUUUCUUGGGGAUGAAUUUUUUUUGUUUUUUCAAUUUAGGUUAGGAAUUGUUAUUUACUAGUAUAAUCGUUGAGGAAUGAGGGAAAAGAGUCGGUAUUCUUUCUCUCUUUCUUUAUUAAGUUUUAAUAUGUCAUCUAUGCUUUUUGUUUUCUGAAUCUUAUUUUAUUAAAGUUUUAUUAUCACAUAAUCAAUUAUCUCAUACCGUGGAUUGAAUUAAAUAAAUUUUCAAGUUUUCAUGCUUAGAUUACAAUCAAAUUCUUAAGUUAAAAUCCCCCUCCCGUUUGUUUUGUCUCUAAAAAAAAAACAUUGGUACUAAAAAAUAAAUAAUCUUAUUUUUAAUGAAAAUAUAAUAUUUUUAGUCUUCUAAUUUGUUUAUUUUAAAAGUAACUCAUUCACUGCUUUGUAAAAUCAAAAUCUCAUGUGGCAAUGAAUUUAUUUUACAAGAAGUAAUUUUAAAAAGUUUUUAUCAAACACUUAAAUUAAUCAUUAGCUUUUCAAUAUCACUUUUGAACAUCCCAACAACAAUCUCAAAUUGGUCAUAAAUUAUUUCGUUUUCUAGAUAAUAAAUGUAAAUUGAUGGAAAUAAUUUUUAUAUCAUAAAAGUAAAAAUAAUUUUAUUAUUUGUAUCAAAUUAAUAUUAUUUAGAUAUAUUUAUAUUUAAUUAUUAUGUUAGUAAAUUAUCAAAUAAUAUUUUUAUUCAUAAUAAGACAAAUUUAUGGUGUGUUUACUUCAUGGAAUGAGAAAUGGGAAUGAAGGAAUGAGAAUGAAACCCAUGUUUACUUGGCAAAAUGUAAGUUGGGAAUGGAAAUAAAAUGUGUGGGUCUCACAUAAUUUGGGAAUAAGGAAUGGGAAUCCCAUUUCCAUGGGGGGGUUGUGAAUGAAAAUGAGGGAAUAUGAAUGAAAUAUAUGUUUACUUUUGUAUCUCUCUAAUUUUUUCAUAUUUCCCAAAUUACCCUCAUUCAAAUCACAAUUAAUUUUAUUAUUUUAAAUGUCAUUAAUAAUAAUAAUUAUUAUUAUUAAAUUUUAUUAACUUUAUUAUUUUAGUUAUUAUUAAUUAUUUUUAUUAAUAUUAUCUAUAUUAACAAUAAAAAAUGAUAAAAAUAAUAAUUAAUAAAAAUAAUUAAUUUAUCAUUAUUAACAAUAUUAUCAUUAUUGUUGUUAUUAUUAAUAAUAAAAAUAAUAAUAACAAUAAUUAAUAAUAUCUAAAAUAAUAAAGUUAAUAAAAUUUAAUAAUAAUAAUGUAAUUUUCAUUAUCUAGAUACAUGUAUAAAUUAUAUUAUAAAAAUGAUAUUAAUUAAAAUAAUAAUAAAUGUUAAUAAUGAUAAUAUUAAUAAAAAUAAUAAUAACAAUAAUUAAUAGUAACUAAAAUAAUAAAUUUAAUAAAAUUUAAUAAUAAUAACAAUAAUAAUAAAUGUUAAUAAUGAUAAUAUUAAUAAAAAUAACAUUAAGAGUAAUUAAUAAUAACUAAAAUAAUAAAUUUAUUAAAAUAUAAUAAUAAUAAUAAAUAUUAAUAAUGAUAAUAUUAACAAAAAUAAUAAUAACAAUAAUUAAUAACAACUAAAAUAUUAUUAAUAUUAUUUUUAUUAAUAAUAAUAAUAACAACAAUAAUAAUGGUAAUUUUGUUAAUAAUUAUAAAUUAAUUAUUUUUAUUAAUUAUUAAUAUUAUGAAUAAUUUGGUAAAUUGAUUCUCAUUCUCAUUUAUUAUUCUAAUUUAUUUUGCCAAAUAAACAUAUCAAUGACAUUCCAGCACAUUUUUAUUUCUAUUUAUUUUUGUCAAAUAAACAUUAAAAUUUCAUUCUCAUUUCUUAUUUUCAUUCGAGUCCAUUCUUAUUUUUAUUUCUUAAAGUAAACGCACCAUUCGAGAAAAAUUAGAAGGUGUUUGCUAGGAAACUUAAGAGAAAAAUUAAUAUGGAACUGUCCCACCACUUGGGAUUCUUUCACGUAUUGUUUCAGUGGAUCUGAUUGAAUUUUAUUUUGAAAAAUCAAUUGAUAAUACUCGGAUGGUAUAGCCUGGUAGGGUGAUACUCUAAGCGGUCCCUUUAACCUUUUUAGUUGUCGUACACGAAUUAUUUCUUCACUUGAAAUAAAAGUCAACAAAGCUGCAUCUUCACUGAAAUUAUUGUCCACAGUGCUUCCUGGAAAAUGAGAUAAAGAUAAUUUUAAAGAAACUUUUAGGAAAUUUUCCGGGAAAUUUUUGCUUUUUCUCUUCAAACGUAAAGUUUGGGGGCAGAAAUGUUAAAGGUUUAAAGGUGGGUACAAUUAUUCUUCUUCUUGUUAUUUAAGCAUUUCCUUCCAUUCACAUUAGUCGGUCUUCAAUUAAUUUUAGAUAAGGAGAUGAAACUACCACAAAAUUAACUCCAAGUGAAGGACUACUAAAGUAGCCAUAUAUUCCACGCACAUUUUAUUCAAUUAAUUAAUUUAUGAUCACAUCCCACAUCAUAUUAUUAUUGUAUCAACUUGCACGGUCGUAACAAUUAACAUAAAUUUUCAUUAAAAUUAUUACAUUAAUUUUUAAAUAGAAAUAAGAAAAAAAUUCUUAAUACUGAAAAAACAUAAGAUGAAAUCGUGUGUCGUUUGUCACGAGUCAAACUUUUGAGAAAAAUACACGAAUGAAUGUGGCGCGUAAAAGGUGUUGAUGUACUAUCAACAUUUUCAUUUUAUUUUUAUUGAACUUUCAUAUAUUUUUUUUAUAAGCUGUCAUCAAUUAUUUGUUUCUUGCUCUGCGCGUGCACGACAAGACCUACUAUUUGCACCCUUUUAACCCUUUUAGUUGUCAUGCACUAUUUUCCUUCUUCACUUGAAAUGAAACAGUCUGUAAAGCUGCAUCUUCAGUGGAAUUCUUAUCCGCAGUGCUUGGAAAAUAAGACGAAAUUGAUUAUUAGUUGGGUCUUCCUAAGCUACAACUCAUGUAAUUUGAACUUUACAUGUUUCGCAUGAGUUGUAAAUUACAUAUUUUUACAUGUUUUGCAUGGAUUGUAAAUUAUAUGAAUUGUAAAUUAGCAAAACCCUUAUCACGAAACUUAAGUCUCAGGAAGAUUCCCCCUUCCAAGCAUAAUGUGUUCUUGAUUUCAUCUCGUCGAAAUUUCGAAGUUGGUAACUGCUUUUGGUAAUUAUAUCUUCAUCACUUGCAAUCUUUUAUUGCUUUUCCAAGUUAAUUUUUAGGGUAAGUAUCAUAAACCUCUGCUAGAUUUGAUUUAUUCACAGUUUCAUAGAUUGUAUUCGUAUAUUCUCAAAUACCUCCCUUAACGUUAGUAUAAUGUUUCUUUGAUUGUUUGUUGCAUAAUAAAUUAUCAAAAUACUCCAGCAAAAAUUAUUUUAUACUGAAAAUAAAGAAUUCUGUACCAACAUGUUUGAUUUGGCGCCAAGGGAUGUAAAUAUAAUUAAAAUACCAAAUCACCCCCCACUACUUUUUAAAAUGACUUUGAUGGAUGAAACAAACAAAAGAUUUGACUUAUGUCAAAUAUCAGCGAAUUCGAAAGGAAGCUUUUUUGCACUUUGCCUCAUUGCUCUGCUUUCUACAUCAAAUUUCUUUAAUCUUGGUGAAGAUUUUGGUGUCCCGAUUUGUGUCUCUCUCUCUAAUUUUCUAUUUUUCAUUUCAUGAGCACAUCUUCCCUUAAAAUUGUAGAGAUACUAUAUGAAAUCACCAAACCAUGAAAAUAUUAUAUUAGAGAAAAAAAACAAUUAUAACUUAAACAAUAUUUGUAAUCAGCAUUUGCACUUUCAUUCAUGGUUAAUUUCUUUUAUACAUAACGAAAGCUUGAUUAGGGAGAGAGAAUUUUAGUCGAUCCCAAAAGAUAUUCAUAAGAAGAAAAAAUUAUUGGCUAAAUUCAAGCCUUGAGCAAUAAUAAAUUUUUGGCCAAAUCGAAAUAUAUAACAACUUCAUGCAAUUUUAAUUCAGUUGAAUAAUAUAUGGGUUUUCAUGAUCACGUAUAAAUUUUCUCGCGCUAUCAAUUAUCGCGUCGCAGUCAGCUUUCUAUUAUCCAUUCUGCAUUCAAUCAACCUAUCAUAUUCUAUCUCUUCAAUUAAUUUAUUUCGUGAGCUUUGUCAAACUAAUCAAAUUAAUUCAUUAAUGGAGCAAAACCGUGAAGGAUUAUUUUUCAAACUUUUUAAGAAAAUAAACAUGUUAGCAACCAAUCAGGGGCAUGAAAAUGGUUGUGCAUAUAUAUCUUUGUUGACAAUUCCUCUUUGAAAUUAAUUGUCUUGUUUAGGUUAUAAUAGUAUUUUAUGUUAGAGUUAUUUUAUUAAUAAAAAAUUUAGUUAAAAAAGGGUCUAAUGAAUAUUUUGGAGGGUUUAAAUAACCUCACCUUUUUUUUUUUAUCAUUAAUAGAUGCUCUUAUGAUUUUAUCCUCACCAACCUAAUUUAUAUGAAAUAGUAUACUAUCGCUAGGGGAGAUAUUUAAAAAUAUGUGAAUAUAAUUUAUAAAUAGAGAAUACGCCAAAAAUUAGGGGAGGUUUCCGAUAAUUACCCUUUCAGUUACUCCUCCUCAAUCCGUCCUGGUGCAUGAACUUGAGGGAAGGGUCAGGUUCUGUGGUGGUGUUAAUAAAAAGAUAAAUUAUAUUGGAAAGUAAAUGGUGUUUGUUGGGAAAUUCACACCCUUUAACCUUUUUAGCUGUCAUUCGCUGUUUUCUGAUCAAAAUGAGUCAACAAAGUGAUUCAACUUCCAAGCACCGACAUAUUCCACAGUUCUGUGAUUCAAUUAAUGUUUUAUCUGAUCAAAAUCUAUCUAAUCAAUUGAACUGUUUCUGCUAUGGCUUCAGGUACCAGUACCACAAUUAACAUGUAAAUUAGAAGGAUCAUGCUAAGUUACGAUUUAUAAAAUGGGAUGUCCGAUAUACUUAGAUCCCACCAGUUAAUUCAUUGGGUUUAUUUUAGAGCAUCUCUAAAAAUUUUUAUAAAUUUUAUUUUUUAAAUAUUUAUUUACUUAUUUAUGUAGUAAAUAGAAGGGUGAAAAAAUAUGAUAUUUUUAAAAAAAAUUUUUUUAAAUAAAAUAAAAUAAAUAUUAUUUUAAUUAAAUAAUUAUUUUUUUUAAAAAAAAGUCAAUAGUAAUUAAAGUAUUUCUUUCUCUUUCUCUAAUAAAAAAUAAUAAAAUAUAAAUUGAUGAAAGAGAAAUCAACUCUCUAAAUUUAAAAAGUGAAAAUCAUUUCUUAUUUAAAAAACUUAAUUAGAAUAUCUUUUGAAACCUUAAAUAUUGAUGUGUCUCUUCAAAUAAAUAAUAAAAUCUUAUUUGAAAUUUUUUUUAAUGAUGCUCUUAAUUUUGCCUAACAUAAUUUGUACGGUAGGCGAGCCGAAGGUUUAAUAAAUCACGUGUUCAAUAAGAAGCGAUAAAAAAUUGUUAAACAUAAUUCUAUAUAUUAUGGAAGUGGUGUAAAUCGCGUAUUUAUAGAAAAAAGUCAUAUAUUGAUCUACAAGUGAGUGGUCAAUAGACACUCUGUAAUUAAUUAGAGGAGCUGUGAUUUGAGAUAUGAAUUUACAAAUGUAAAUUUCGGAGGAAAAAAAAAAUUUCUAGUCAAAAUCUUUGAAUACUGUAGUGAAUUGAAUGAAACUCGUCGCUUUUUCUGGGAAAUAUUUUAGUUUUUUGUCAUUGCCUCACAUUAGUCGGUCUUCAGUGGUCGUGAAGCAUCCAUAUGUCUCACGUGCAUUUCAUUCAAUUAAUUAAGUAUUAUCACAUCCCACAUUAUUGUUUCACCUUGCACCGUUAGAAUAACUAACAAGAAUCUUUAUUGAAAUUAUUGUGUCACUUUUAGAAAAGAGAUAGGAAAAAAGUUGAAUUCACAAGCCCAACUUAAUUAAAGUUUUACUGUCAUAUAAUCAAUUAUCUCAUACCUUAGAUUGAAUUAAAUAAAUUUUCAAAAUUUGAUGCUUAGAUUACAAUCAAAUUCUUAAGUUAAAAUAUCCCUUCCCGUUUGUAUUUUAUUUAAAAAAAUCGUUGGUACUGAAAAAUAAAUAAUCUUAUUAUUACUGAAAUAUAAUAGUUUUAGUCUUUUAAUUUGUUUAUUUUAAAAGUAACUCAUUCACUACUUUGCAAAAUUAAAAUCUCCUGUGGCAAUGAAUUUAUUUUACAAGAAGUAACUUUAAAAUUUUUACCAAACACUUAUAUUAAUCAUUAGCUUUUCAAUAUCACUUUUGAACAUCCCAAUAAGCAUAAACAACUAUUUCAUUUUUUAAAUAAUAAAUGCAAAAUGAUUGAAAUACUUUUUAUAUCGUAAAAGUAAAAAUAAUUUUAUUGUUUGUAUCAAAUUAAUAUUACUUAGAUAUAUUUAUAUUUAAUUAAAUUAUUAUAAAAUUAUUAAAUAAUAAAAUAAUCUUUUUAUUCAUAAUAAGACAAAUUUAGAGAAAAAUUAGAUGGUAUUCGUUAGGAAACUUUAGAGAAAAAUGAAUAUGGAACUGUCCCACCACUUGGGAUUCUUUCACAUAAUCUUUCAGUGGAUCUCAUUAAAUUUUAUUUUGAAAAAGGGUAAUUUUUAAAAACUCUCCUGAAGUUUGAGCUUGUUGUAAGUAGAUGGCGAGAAUUUGUUUAUUUGUAAAAAACCCCAUACCAUCAGUUAACUUUAACAUUGACCGUUAGUUGACUGUGCAAAGAUAAUAUUACCCUUAACAACAGUUUGUAGAUGGAAAUAACAAAAAAAAAAAUUAAAAUUGUUGGCUAUUUUACCCUCUUUAAAUUAUUGAUAUUUUCUUAAAGUUCCUACAAGAAAGAUAAAAUUAAAAAUUUGAAAAAUUCUCUUUAAAUUAUUGAUAUUUUCUUAAAGUUCCUACAAAAAAGAUAACAUUAAAAACUUGAAAAUGAAAUAAUUAUAAUUUUUACCUAUGAUAUUGUAAAUCUUUGGAAUUGACAAGGAUAAAAUUGUCAAAAAAUAGGAUUUGUUCUUUUCGCACCAAUAAUUUUAAUUUUUUUUAGUUAUUUUCGUUUACAAACUAUUAUUAAGGGUAAUAUUGUCUUUACAUAGUCAACUAACGGUCAAUGUUAAAGUUAACUGACGGUAGGGGGUUUUUUACAAAUAAACAGAUUUUCACCAUCUACUUGCAACAAGCCCAAACCUCAAUUGAUGGUAUAGCCUGGUAGGGUAAUACUCUAGGUGGUCCCUUUAGCGUUUUUAGUUGUCGUACACUUCACUUGAAAUAAUAGUCAAUAAAGCUGCAUCUUCACUGGAAUUAUUGUCUACAGUUCUUCCUGAAAAAUGAGAUAAAAAAUAAUUUUAUGAUAAAUUAUUUAAAUAUACUCAUAAGAAAUUAUUUUUUAUAAAAAAUGAGUGCUUAAAAUAACUGUUUAGAGUGCAAAUAAUAUCGUCUAAUUAAUUGAUAAUACUCCCAGCACAAAUACAAUUUCUUAAUAGGACACGUGUCAGUAGAAUUGAGCACAGAAGCGUGAUUGGAAAAGUCUAUGGUGGAUUGUUGGGAAACUUAUACCAUCUCCACCUUUUUAUAAGAAAUUAUUUUUAAUAAUAAUAAUAAUUUAUAUCAUGAGUAUUUUUAUGAUAAAUUUUUUAUAAAAAAUGAGUGCUUAAAAUAACUGUUUAGAGUGCAAAUAAUAUCGUCUAAUUAAUUGAUAAUACUCCCAGCACAAAUACAAUUUCUUAAUAGGACACGUGUCAGUAGAAUUGAGCACAGAAGCGUGAUUGGAAAAGUCUAUGGUGGAUUGUUGGGAAACUUAUACCCUCUCCACCUUUUUAUAAGAAAUUAUUUUUAAUAAUAAUAAUAAUUUAUAUCAUGAGUAUUUUUAUGAUAAAUUUUUUAUAAAAAAUGAGUGCUUAAAAUAACUGUUUAGAGUGCAAAUAAUAUCGUCUAAUUAAUUGAUAAUACUCCCAGCACAAAUACAAUUUCUUAAUAGGACACGUGUCAGUAGAAUUGAGCACAGAAGCGUGAUUGGAAAAGUCUAUGGUGGAUUGUUGGGAAACUUAUACCCUCUCCACCUUUUUAUAAGAAAUUAUUUUUAAUAAUAAUAAUAAUUUAUAUCAUGAGUAUUUUUAUGAUAAAUUUUUUAUAAAAAAUGAGUGCUUAAAAUAACUGUUUAGAGUGCAAAUAAUAUCGUCUAAUUAAUUGAUAAUACUCCCAGCACAAAUACAAUUUCUUAAUAGGACACAUGUCAGUAGAAUUGAGCACAGAAGCGUGAUUGGAAAAGUCUAUGGUGGAUUGUUGGGAAACUUAUACCCUCUCCACCUUUUUAUAAGAAAUUAUUUUUAAUAAUAAUAAUAAUUUAUAUCAUGAGUAUUUUUAUGAUAAAUUUUUUAUAAAAAAUGAGUGCUUAAAAUAACUGUUUAGAGUGCAAAUAAUAUCGUCUAAUUAAUUGAUAAUACUCCCAGCACAAAUACAAUUUCUUAAUAGGACACGUGUCAGUAGAAUUGAGCACAGAAGCGUGAUUGGAAAAGUCUAUGGUGGAUUGUUGGGAAACUUAUACCAUCUCCACCUUUUUAUAAGAAAUUAUUUUUAAUAAUAAUAAUAAUUUAUAUCAUGAGUAUUUUUAUGAUAAAUUUUUUAUAAAAAAUGAGUGCUUAAAAUAACUGUUUAGAGUGCAAAUAAUAUCGUCUAAUUAAUUGAUAAUACUCCCAGCACAAAUACAAUUUCUUAAUAGGACACGUGUCAGUAGAAUUGAGCACAGAAGCGUGAUUGGAAAAGUCUAUGGUGGAUUGUUGGGAAACUUAUACCCUCUCCACCUUUUUAUAAGAAAUUAUUUUUAAUAAUAAUAAUAAUUUAUAUCAUGAGUAUUUUUAUGAUAAAUUUUUUAUAAAAAAUGAGUGCUUAAAAUAACUGUUUAGAGUGCAAAUAAUAUCGUCUAAUUAAUUGAUAAUCCUCCCUGCACAAAUACAAUUUCUUAAUAGGGCAGAAUUGAACAUAGAAGCAUGAUUGGAAAAGUCUAUGGUGGAUUGUUGGGAAAUUUACACCCUCUCUACCUUUUUGGCUGCAUUCACUGUUUUCGUAUUUCUUCACUGGAUAUGAAAGUCAGGAAGAAAGCUGCACCUUCAGUGAAAUUAAUUUGUCCACAGUGCCUCGAAAAUGAGAUGAAAUUAAUAAUUAUUCCCGAAACUUUUUUGUAGGGGGGGUAGGAGGGAUAUAUUUUAUUUCAUAUAUUUACUUCUCCGUUUAAGAUCCUUCCACUACAAUCAAUGAUGCAACUUUUUGAACCAUUUCUCAAAUGGAAGGAUUUCAAAUAUCCCUUUCUUUUUUUUUUUUGGGACAGUUCAAUUGCUGUCUUAUUAAUUAUUAUUAUUAUAUAUCUCUCCUUUGAUUGUCUCACGUCUUUAUGAAAUAUUUUUAGAAAAGUAAAUACUAAAUAGCUUUUGUUCACAAAUUAUUUUUGUUAGAGCUCAUAAUUUAACCAAAACAAAAAAAGAGGACAAAAGCAGGACACUAUUGCCAAUAGUUAUGGUCCGACAAAUUUGAGCAUCGAUCAAGAAAGCAAAGGGUAGCCGGUAGCGUAUGAAAUUGCGCGUUGAAAUUAGGGUGCUUUUGGGGAAUUCUUUGACCUUUUUAACAUUUUUCUUUCAACACUUGAAUAGCGCGGAAUAAUUUCAAUUAAAAGUGAACAAAGCUGCAUUUUAAGUGAAAGUAUUGUCCACAGUGCUAAGGAAAUCAAAUGAGAUGAAAUUAUCAAGAAACUCCCUGGAGGGUUCCAAGCAUCGUUUUACUCUUGACAGAUACUACAGUCACUAACAUUUGCUCGAGAAAACUACGCCGAAUUUUCCGGGAAAUUUUUUGCAUUUUCUCUUCAAACGUAAAGUUUGGGGGCAGAAAAGUUAAAAAGUUUAAAGGCGGGUACAAUUAUUCUUCUUCUUGUUAUUUACGCAUGGCAUCCCAUUUAGAUUAGUCGGACUUCAAUUAAUUUUAGGAGAUGAAACUACCACGAAAUUAACUCCAAGUGAGGGCCUAGUAAUGCAGCCAUGUAUUCCAUGCGUACUUUUUGUAUUGUAAGCCCCUUGUAUUCUGUUUUAUUUUAUUAAAACUCUUACAGUACCAAUUCGUCCUUAUAAUUUUAAAUUCCCAAAAUACCCUCCAUUUAAUUAAAAAAUAUAAUAAUUAUUAAAUAAAUUAUAAUUAUAAUAAUUAUUUUAUUAUAACUAUAACUAUAAUUAUAAUUUUAAAUAUAUCAUUAUUAUUAUUAUUAGUAACAAGAAUAAAAAAUAUUAUAAUUAAUUAAUCUAUUAAUAAUAAUUAAUAAUAAAUUUUUCGUUAAAUUGUUAAUAAUAAUAAUUAAUGAUAAUUAUUAUUAUUAAUGAUUCAUUUUUUAAUAAUAAUAAUAAAAAUAAUAACAAUAAUUAAAAUACAAAAUAAUAAUUAUGAUAAAAAUUAAUUAAGGAUUUUAUAGUAAUUUUUUACAAUUUAACUCAUUCUGAUUUUCAUUAUAAGACAAAUAAAACACAUAAAUGCUAAUACGGCUCAUUAUAAUUACGAUUCAUGCAGUUGAAGUAAAUAAAUUUUUCUAAUUUCAAUUCCUCAUUUUGAUUCUAGCUAUUUCGAUUAUAACUCAUUAUGUUUCCAACUAAUUUCAAUUUCUGUUUAGUGAACGCACUAUAAAAUUAUAAGCUACUCUAUAAAAUUCAUAAUACUUAUGAAUAAAUUGUAAAUAAUAUAGAGUGGUCUAAUUACAAUAAUAAAAUGUAAAUAAUAUAAAAUUCUAAUUGAAUGAUAUCAUUAUUCAAAAAUUAAUUAUUAAUAAUAAUGAUCUAUUAUUAUUAUUAUUAACAAUUUAACGAAAAAAUUCUUAUUAAUUAUUGUUAAUAGAUUAAUUAAUUAUAAUACUUUUUAUUCUUGUUAAUAAUAAUAGUAAUAAUCUAUUUAAAAAUCAUAAUUAUAUUUAUAGUUAUAACAAAAUAAUAAUAAUAAUUAUAAUUCAUUUAAUAAUUGUUCUAUUUUUUAAUUAAAUGGAGGGUAUUUUGGGAAUUUAAAAUUAUAAGGGGCGAAUUGGUACUCUAAGGGUUUCAAUGAAAUAAAACAGAGUGCAAGGGGCUUAAAGAAAGUUUACAAUACAGAAAGUUGUAUAAUACUUAUGAAUAAAGUGUAUAUAAUAUAAAGUAUAGGGGCUGAAUGAAAUUUGACAGGGCAGCUGUAACUUACCUCAGCUGUAAGUUAGCCAAAACAAUGGAGUUAACUAAAGUGCAUUUGAAGUCCAUUAGGGAUAUUCUUCUAAUCUUCUCUUCAUUAUUUUGUUUUUGCUCUUUUUUUUUUAAUCCCAUUUUUAGACGAUAUAGAUGUAUAUGUUUGAUUAGUCCUUGUCGAUUAUAUAUACAUAUGUACUUUUGGACUGUCAUGGGACUGUACCAUUUGGAAAUAUCACAUUUUAUUUCCCGAUGCGAUAAAUUUUCUUCUCCAUUGAACGUUCUCUGGAUGCUAUUAACCAAAAAAUGCAACAUUUUGUUCUGUUUAUAAAUUGGGAUUAUUUGCUUCUGACUGUCAUUGACUCAUUGACCAUUUAGCAAUAUAGCGUUAGGUAGUAGUACCAGCUCUUUUUCUUCUUUUGUCUUUCUCUUCUCUUAUGUUAAACCAUUAUUCUAGGCAUCUUCAUUGGGAUUAUUCCAUCUGUACUUUACCAAAGGGGAAAAAAAAUUGUCACGAAACAGCGUGGAAGGUUCAGAGAAAAAUUUGCUUGUGUUUUCUUUUUGUUAAAUUCAAUUGGUUGAAUUUAUUUUUUAUUUUUUUAAAAUAGAAAACUAUAUUACAAAACUUCCCGGUAGGUUCCAAGGAACUAUCUAAUAAAGCAUCUUUAUAUAACCUCCAUAGACUCAGUCGCAUUAAAUUAUUUUCACAUCCCAAAUUUUCUCAUCUGAUCAAUUUUCUCAUCCACUGAACUGUCAUGGCUUCUUCUUCUUUUUGUCCACCUCGAAACGCUAAGAAGAUGUAUGAUGUUUUUCUGAGUUUCAGAGGAGAGGACACCCGUGACAACUUUACUAGCAUUCUUUACUAUGUUUUGUCUCUGAAAAGUAUCAAAACUUUCAUUGAUGACCAACUUAUCAGAGGAGAGAACAUUUCUCAUUCUCUUCUUGAUACAAUUGAAGCAUCGAGCAUCUCAAUUAUCAUUUUCUCACAAAGGUAUGCUUCUUCUAGAUGGUGUCUCGAUGAACUUUUGAAGAUCCUCGAAUGCAAGCAUAAUUAUGGACAGAUUGUGAUUCCAGUUUUCUAUCACGUUGAUCCAUCACAUGUGAGAUCGCAAAGCCAGGAUUCUUCUUUUGGGAAGUAUUUUAGUGAGCUUGAAAAAUGUUAUCCAGAGAAGAUGCAAAGAUGGAAGAAUGCUUUGACCGAAGCAGCCAACCUCUCGUUUACAUAUAUUGAACUAUAUAAUUGCUGUUAUUUUUUUACCAGGUCUGAAUCUAAACUUAUUGAGGAAAUUGCCAAUGACGUUUUGAAGAGGCUAGAUGCGACUUUUCAAAGUAAAAACAAAGGCUUGGUUGGAGUUGAAUGCCCCAUUGAAGAAAUUGAAUCAUUAUUACGCGUUGGGUCUGAGGGUGUUUGCAAACUAGGGAUUUGGGGCAUCGGUGGUAUAGGCAAGACAACAAUCGCUGGUGCUGUUUUUAACAAAAUCUCUAGACAUUUUGAAGGUUCUUACUUUGCGCUUAAUGUUAGAGAUGCAGAAGAAACUGGCGGAAUAAAGGACUUACAAAAGGAACUUCUGUCCAAGUUAUUGAAUGAUGGAAAUGUGAGGAACAUCGAGUUUGAACUCUACAGACUUGCUCGCAAGAAGGUUCUAAUUGUUUUUGAUGAUGUGACUCAUCCAGGACAAAUAGAAUCAUUAAUUGGAUGCCUUGAUCAGUUAGCUUCAGGGAGUCGAGUGAUGAUAACAACAAGGGAUAAACAAGUUCUUGAAAAUUGUUGGGUCAAUCAAAUAUAUCCGAUGAAGGAAUUAGUAGAUGCUGAUGCUCAUAAGCUUUUCUAUCAGUGUGCUUUUAGAGGAGGCUAUCUCGACGCAAGUUACACAGAGGUCACAGCCAAGGCAAUAAAAUAUGCGCACGGAGUUCCUUUAGCUCUUAAAGUUUUGGGUCGCCAUCUAUGCGGAAGGAGCAAAGAGGUAUGGGAAAGUGCAAUGAGAAAACUGGAAAUAGUUCCUCACAUGGAUAUCCAAAAGGUGUUAAAAAUCAGUUAUGAUAGCUUGGAUGACUCUCAGAAGAAUGUUUUUCUAGAUAUUGCAUGUUUCUUCGAAGGAGAGCAUAGAGAUGUGGUGAUAAGCUUUUUUGAUGCCAGUGGCUUCCAAGCUCAAAUAGAGUUAAGUGUUCUUGAAGAUAAGUCCCUCAUAACUUUAGACAACUUUCACCGGAUAAGAAUGCAUGACUUGCUACGAGAUAUGGGAAGAGAAAUUGUUCGAAAUGAAUCUUUCGAUCAUCCAGGAAAGCGCAGUAGGUUGUGCAAUCAUAAUGAUAUUUAUGAAGUUUUGAAGAAAAAUACGGUAAGCAAUAAUAACUUUUCAAUUGUAUCUUGUUUAUGUUACAUUUAUAUUAGUAGUUUGUCUGAAUUUUUCUUUUUGAAUAAGAAUAGCAUUAAUACAGCUUAAAAUUAAUUGAAAAAUAAUAUUAAAAAAUUGGUAAAAUAAAAUAGAUAGAUCCGAUGUUUCCCCAUCUCAGUUUGAAACAUGCCUCUAAAAUCCCCAGCAAACUAGCGCCUUCGGAGAGAGACACCCCCCCUCCAAAAAAAAAAAACACUUCAAUCUUAUUGCAUUUCCUUUUCAACUCUGCCCCUUUCCUUAUUUGUCACUAAAAAAAAUUGAUUGAAUUAAUUUUACAGUUUACAUAUUAAGCAUUUUCUUGAAUUUUCUAUUUUACACGUCCUAAAAGCCUUACCCAAAUAGUUUAUUAUAAAGUGAUUGUAAUAUCUCUAUUUGGGUUUGACGGCUUAAAAAUAAUUGUUCAUUUGUUUGCUUCAAUUAUAUACCAACUUAUGAUCUCUUAUUUGAUUGUUAGGGAACUGAAGCAAUCAAGGGCAUCUCUUUAGAUAUGGAUAAAGUCAAUAGUGAGAUACAAAUAAAUACUUGUACUUUCUCAAAGAUGACUAGAUUGAGAGUCUUAAAAUUCUAUGGAUAUGAGAACAAAUGUACGGUGUCUUCUUUAGUGGGUGUGCCAUUUACUGAGGUGAGGUAUUUCGAGUGGCAUCAAUUUCCAUUGAAAACGUUGAAUAUAUUACAUUGGAAGAAUCUUGUUUCACUUAUCAUGCCAGGCAGCAAAGUUAAACAACUUUGGGAUGACGUUCAGGUAUAUAUUUAUUUGAAAUUCUUUUAGUAAUAAAUUCUAAAUACAAUUGAUGCUAUAAUAAAUAUAUGUGAUGGCAUCUCUUUAUUUAUAGAGAUAACAACAACAACAACAAUAAUAAUAAUAAUAAUAAUAAUUUAUUUUGGGGCGCAGGAUCUUGUUAACUUAAAAGAAAUAGACAUCAGUGGAUCCGAGUCAUUAACGAAACUCCCGGACUUGUCACGGGCCAAAAAUCUUGAGAUUCUGGAGUUAGAAGGCUGUUUAAGUUUGAUGGAGACUCACCCAUCUAUUCAAUAUCUAAAUAAACUUGAAUUUCUUGGUCUAGGUAAUUGCAAAAGCCUGACGAGUCUUCCAACUAGCAUUCAUUCGAAAUAUAUCAAGGAAAUUAGUCUUUGGGGUUGCUCAAAUUUGAAGAACUUCCCAGAGAUCACAUCUUGUCAAACUUCUUUUUUAGAUUUAGGAGAAGUUGGAAUCAAAGAACUGCCCUCAUCCAUUGAGUGCCAGUCCAAUCUGAAACGACUACUUAUUACGGAUUGUUCAGAGCUUGAGAGCAUCUCGAGUAGCAUAAUUAAGUUGAAGUCUCUUAAAUCUAUUGAAAUCUGUAAUUGUUCAAAUUUUAAGAGGUUUCUAGAGAUCCCAUCUUGUAAUGUAGAUGGAGGUGCUGGAAUUGAGCAACUACACUUAUGUGUGUUGGUAUUGAAAGAAUGUCCAAAUAUUGAGAGUCUCCCAAGCAGCCUGUGUAUUCUCAAAUCUCUGACGUCUCUUUGAAUCAUUGAUUGCCAAAACUUCAAGAGAUUGCCUGAUGAGCUUGGAAAUUUAGAAGCCUUGAAGAAGUUGAUCGUUAAUGGAACUGCCAUAAGAGAAGUACCAGAAAGCCUCGGUCAGUUAGCCAUAUUACAGCGGUUGAAAUUGACUAACUGUUCAGAGCUUGAGAGCAUCUCGAGUAGCAUAUUUAAGUUGAAGUCUCUUCAAUUUAUUGAAAUCUCUAAUUGUUCAAAUUUUAAGAGGUUUCUAGAGAUCCCAUCUUGUAAUGUAGAUGGAGGUGCUGGAAUUGAGCAACUACACUCAUGUGUGUUGGUAUUGAAAGAAUGUCCAAAUAUUGAGAGUCUCCCAAGCAGCCUGUGUAUGCUCAAAUCUCUGACAUCUCUUGAAAUCAUUGAUUGCCAAAACUUAAAGAGAUUGCCUGGUGAGCUUGGAAAUUUCGAAGCCUUGAAGAUGUUGAUCGUUAAUGGAACUGCUAUAAGAGAAGUACCAGAAAGCCUUAGUUACUCCUAUUAGUAAAAUUGGACCUAUCUAGCAAUAAUUUGCAGUGAAUACCAGAAAGCCUUGGUCGGUUAUCCUCGCUAAAACGUUUGGUACUGUCUAAUAACAAUUUGGGUAGAUUACCAGAAAGCCUCAAUCAGUUAUCUUCACUAGAAUAUUUGCAACUAUCCGAAAACAGUUUGGAGGGAAUACCAGAAUACCUGAGGAGUCUUCCAAGUAAGUUGACAUCACUCAAUUUAUCUGUUGAGUUGAGAAAUUGUUUGAAAUUGGACCCGAAUGAGCUCAGUGAAAUCGUCAAAGAUCAGUGGAUGAAGCAGGUGUGUCUCUCAACUCACUCCUUUCAUUCUAUUUUCUUUUUCUUUUUACUUUAAAUCAAGUUAUCAUUAUUUUUCAAAAAUUAAUAAUUUUUUAUUUUUGUGUUGCAGUCGUUUGAUGGUAACAUUGGGAUUACUAAAAGUAUGUAUUUCCCUGGGAAUGAAAUUCCAAAGUGGUUUAGGUAUCAAAGUAUGGGAUCUUCUGUAACCUUGAAAACGCCACCAGCAGAUUUCUUCAAUAAUAAAAUAUCAGUAGGCUUUGCUUUUUGUGCUGUUGUGGCAUUUCCUGCCUCAGAGUGGUUUGAGGAUCAAAGAGUGAAGUCUGCAGUGUGCUGUGGUUGGAAACGCAAAUCCAAAUACUAUCCCUACCGUCAGUCUUUGGGGACAAUUAGUUAUGUUGAGUCAGAUCACGUGUUUUUGGGAUCUUAUUUAUUCUGUAGUGAGGAUUUAAGUAAGAGAGAUGACGAGGUCUAUAUUGAUGAGGUCUCUUUCGACAUUUCGCCUAGUUUUGGUUGUAAAGUGAAACAAUGUGGGAUUCAUUUUGUGCACGCUCAAGAUUCUACGGAAUCAAGAGAAGAGGAAGAGGAACCACACACCAAAAGACUGAAAUGUUCUUGAACUCCAAAGCAGCUGGUACUCUUUGGCACGAAAAUCAAUCUGUAGACCUUGUUUUUGUCUUCAUUUUAUAUAUGCGUUUUUCAAAUACGUUCGUUUAUGUAAAAUUUAUUAAUUGUUUGUUGUUGGAUGGAUGAAUCAAUAAAUUCAAAAUAAAUGGUAAUUAACCGAGGAUGUAGAUCUAUGAGUUCUCUCUUUGUUUUAUCUUUAAUUUGUGUUCGGUUCAUGUCUGGAAUAUCCCAAAAAUUACAUAUCCAAUUACUAACUAAAAAUGCGCUGAUUAGAUUAAAGAUUAUUUUAGUUAUUCUUACUUUUUCAGUUUUCAAACUUUAUAAGAAUAAAAUCGUUUUAUUAAGUUUUGAGAUUUGAAUUUAAACCAAAAUACAAAUUUACUCUUGAGGAUUAAAUUUACCAUAUUUUAAAUUAAUGACAAGAUGUAUGAUGUGAAAAUUACUAUUCCUAUGAGUAGUGAUCUCAGCAAGACAGUAAAGUACAUAUUUACUGAGUCAUCAUAUAGUACCGCGCUGUAUGUAAUACAGCAGCUUCAACAGUGAAAAAAAAAUUUGAACAACCGGUAUUUUACCGGUUGUUCAUCUAAAAUUUGUAAAAAAAUUAUUUCUAAUGUGAAAAAAAUGAGGAAAUUUAUAAACAAUUAAUAUUAAAAAGAUUUGAGUGAGAAAAAUAUUUUUAAUUUAAAAGAAAGUUAAAAAAAGAGUAAAAUAAUCAUGUUCCAAUUUUUUUGGUUAAAUAUCAAUAUAUUAGGUGGACGUUUCAAAUUAAUUUUACAUGUCCCUAAUUUUCGUUAAACUUUCUCACUAAUUGGUUUAUUUGUUUCCACUUCUCAAUCCACUAGUUUUAUGUAUAGUAUUCCUACUAAAUUCGUUAAAUGCAAAUUUUUUAGGUUAGAUUCCAAGUAAAUUAAUUUCUCGUUGAAUUAGUUCCUAAAUUUGGUUACACUUUCUCCCUUUUUGGUUUAUAUGUUUCAACUAUUAUUUCACAAAUUUUACUUUCAAUAUUCCAAUUUGCUUGGUAAGAUUUCAUUUAUUUGGGUUAAAUACCGAAAUGAUUUUUUUUUGUUAAACAAGUUCCCAAUUUUGGUUAAACUUUUUCAUAUUUAGUUUCACAUGUUUCAAAUUAUUAGUCCACUAGUUUUGUGUUAGGUAUUCCUACUAAGUUCGUUCAAUACUAAUAUUUUGGGUUAGAUUCCAAGUAAUUUUCAUUUCCCGUUGGAUGAGUUACUAAUUUUCGUUAGAUUUUCUCGCAUAUUGGUUCAAAUGUUUCAUCUAAUUAUUCCUCUAGUUUUGCAUUGAAUAUUCCUAUUAACUUGGACAGAUUCCAAUUAUUUGGGUUAAGUACCGAAUUUAUUUUUCGUAAUUUUAUUUUUGGUUAAAUAAGUCCCUAAUUUUGGUUAUAUUUUCUCCCUUGUGGGGUUAUAUUUUCACUAGUUUUGUGUUCAAUAUUCCAAUUAACUUGGUAAGAUUUCAUUUAUUUGGGUUAAAUACUGAAAUAAUUUUUUUUUGUUAAAUUAGUUCCCAAUUUUGGUUAAGCUUUUUCGUAUUUAGGUUCACAUGUUUCAAAUUAUUAGUCCACUAGUUUUGUGUUAGGUAUUUCCACUAAGUUCGUUUAAUACCAAUAUUUUGGGUUAGAUUCCAAGUAAUUUUCAUUUCCCGUUGGAUGAGUUCCUAAUUUUCAUUAGAUUUUCUCGUUUAUUGGUUCAAAUGUUUCAUCUAAUUAUUCCUCUAGUUUUGUGUUGAAUAUUCUCAUUAACUUGGACAGAUUCCAAUUAUUUGGGUUAAGUACUGAAUUUAUUUUUCGUAAUUUUAUUUUUGGUUAAGUAGGUUCCUAAUUUUAGUUAUACUUUCUUCCUUGUGGGUUUAUACGUUUCAAUUAUUAUUCCACUAGUUUUGUGUUCAAUAUUCCAAUUAAUUUGAUAAGAUUUCAUUUAUUUGGGUUAAAUACCGAAAUAAAUUUUUUUUGUAAAUUAGUUCCCAAUUUUGGUUAAGUUUUUUCAUAUUUAGGUUCAUAUGUUUCAAAUUAUUAGUCCACUAGUUUUGUGUUAGGUAUUCCUACUAAGUUCAUUCAAUACCAAUAUUUUGGGUUAGAUUCUAAGUAAUUUUCAUUUCCCGUUGGAUGAGUUCCUAAUUUUCGUUAGAUUUUCUCGCUUAUUGGUUCAAAUGUUUCAUCUAAUUAUUCCUCUAGUUUUGCGUUGAAUAUUCCCAUUAACUUGAACAGAUUCCAAUUAUUUGGGUUAAGUACCGAAUUUAUUUUUUGUAAUUUUAUUUUUGGUUAAAUAAGUCCCUAAUUUUGGUUAUAUUUUCUCCCUUGUGGAGUUAUAUGUUUCAAUUAUAAUUUCACUAGUUUUGUGUUCAAUAUUCCAAUUAACUUGGUAAGAUUUCAUUUAUUUGGGUUAAAUACCGAAAUAAUUUUUUUUGUUAAAUUAGUUCCCAAUUUUGGUUAAGCUUUUUCAUAUUUAGGUUCAUAUGUUUCAAAUUAUUAGUCCAUUAGUUUUAUGUUAGGUAUUCCUACAAAGUUCGUUAAAUACCAAUAUUUUGGAUUAGAUUCCAAUUAAUUUUCAUUUCCCGUUGGAUAAGUUCCUAAUUUUCGUUUGAUUUUCUCGCUUAUUGGUUCAAAUGUUUCAUCUAAUUAUUCCUCUAGUUUUGUGUUGAACAUUCCCAUUAACUUGGACAAAUUCCAAUUAUUUGGGUUAAGUACCGAAUUUAUUUUUCAUAAUUUUAUUUUUGGUUAAGUAGGUUCCUAAUUUGGGUUAUAUUUUCUCAUAUUUGGUUUUAUAUGUUUCAACUAUUAUUUCACUAGUUUUGCGUUCAAUAUUCCAAUUAAUUUGGUGAAAUUUCAGUUAUUUAUGUUAAAUAUCAAAAUUACUUGUAUUACCGGAAACAAUAAUUUUAAUAAGUUGAAUUAUGUUUGAACCCUUACUAUUUUGUAAAAUAUCAACUUACCAUAUAAUACUAAAAAAAUUUCAUUGUAACACUUAAUCUUUUCCAAUAUUUUGGGUCCUUAACCUAAUUCCCUUUUAUAUAUAUCAUGAGAUCUCUUGAACUUGAUUGUAUAUAUACUUGAGCUUUUAGUCUCUAUACAUAUUUAUUCUCAUUUUAUCAUUUUAGUUGAUUAUUUUUAGUUAUUGUUAAAAUAAAUUAAUGCUUUUAUUUUCAUCUCUCUUUACUUUUUAAAAUAAUUUUUUAAUUUUUCAAAACUUCGACAGCAAAUAAAAAAUAACAUGUAAGAGCGCAUGGAAUUGCUAUGCUUCUCCAAAAAAUUAUUUUUAAAAAUUAUGACGGCAUAAGUUAUAAAAAAUAUUUAAGCUAACAAAAAUUGAAACUUUCUUAAUCUAUUUGUGUUGAAUUUUUUUUUUUUUUUUUGGAAUCAAUUGACUUCAGGAGAUUUCUUGAACUUGAAAUUAUUUAUACUUAACCUUUGAUCUUUAUAAAUGUUAUGCCCAUUUUAUAAUUCAAUUAAUUAUAUUUAUUUAUCUUUAAACUAAAAUAAAUCAAGAAUUAAGAUUUUUUUAUUCAAAUUAAAUUUUUACCACUAUGUUUUCUUUUCAAAUUAUUUUUCUUAAUUUCUUAUUACUUCAACCAAAAAUUUAUGCUAUUAAUUAUAAAUAUUAAUAUAUUAUACUUGUAUUAUUAUCACUAUUAUUAUUUUUUUUACUAUUACUAAAAGCUUAAUAUUUUUACUAUCUUGCCCCAUGAGAUUUGUUAACAAUUUUUUUUUUAAUAAUGAGUAUCCUUCUUUUUUGUUUUUAAGUAUGGAUAUAAUUUUUAAUUUAUAUAAUAAGUUCUUAAAUUUUCAAGACUUAACUAAAAUAAUUUUUAAGAGUUUGUUAUGACUAAUAUGGUUAUGAAAAUUUAUUACUAUGGUAGCAACACUUUAUACCAUACCAUUUUAUAUUUAUUACUAUACCAAAAUUUGUUUAUUUAUUUUAUGAUUAUCCCAUGAACUGUGAAAAUUAACUUUUAUAUUAAAAUUGAAAAUUUUUAAAUUAGUAUUACAUUGAUCCAAUUCUACUAAGCCACAAUUUAUUUAUCUUUAACGAAUGCUUUAAACACAGUAAACGCAAUUCAAAUUCAAAAAUAUUUUGUAAAAUAAAAAAAUAAAAAUCAAUGCAAUCAAGAAAGAAGAAAAUAUAUUAAACAUUAAUUUUUCUUCCUAAAUUAAAUAUUGAAAAGAUAUUUUUCUCUAGUAGGUAAAUUCAACACCGUAAUUUAACAAUAAUGUCGACUUUUAUUUUUAAACUAUUUUUUUAUUACUCCGAAUUGCAAUACAUUUUUAUAGGUCAUAAAAAUUAAUAACCAAUAAUGAAAGUAUCUUUAUUUAUUCAAUAUCAAUAUUCAUUACUUCAGGAGAUAUGAUCAUAAAUUUGAUUAUCCCUAGUACAAACAAAAUAAGUUAAUCAUUUUUCACGACUUAAACAAAAAUUAUCUUAGUAGCUAAAAUUAUUUUUAAAAGCUUAAUAUUUGGAUGGAUAUUCCAACUAAUAUGGUGUUACAACAUAACACUGUGAUAUAAGAAACAACAUUCACUUAUAUGAUUUUGGUCUGCACUUAAUAAUGGAGUUUCACAUUAAUAAUUUCACUCAAAUUCGAAGAGUACAAUUGAACCUUUAGAUAUACUAAAAAGUAAAAAAAAUAAUACACAAAAAUCUCUCAUUUCAACUUUUCAAUGCUUGCUUGCUCUUUAAAGAUGGAGAAAUCAUAGAGUACCUGUAGAAUAAGAACUCAAUUUAUAGAUUAAAAGAAGUUAAAGAGAAUUGCUCAAUUGGAGGAUGAAUUAAACAAAAAUUAAGUUCAUUUACAACUGAAUUAGAUGGUAGCCAAUUCUUGUUCAUGACUCAACUAUAUAGCAUUAGUUCAUUCAAAAACUUAUAAUUUUUAACAUUAUUUUUUUUAAUUAAGUAUCAUUCUCGUUUAAAUAUCCCUAUAAUUUUUCAUUUACCAAAAUAAGUUAUUCAAUUUUUAGGACUUAACUAGAAAUACAAUUAUUUAGGACUCAACUAAAAGAGUUCUUCAAUUUUUAUCAUGACUAAUAUGGCAUUAAAAAAAUAUCUUGUUGCAAUGCCUGCCCAUAUUUUUAACUCUGGUUAGUGAGAGUAAAACAAUUUCAAAUAAUAAAAUUCUUAUUUUUACACCUAUGAAUAAAGAAAUAAAACCGCACCUGCUCAGCUGUAAAUUCCUCGGGCGCAUCUGAGUCAAAUGAAAAUUUAUAUUGUAAGCAUGCGAGUCAGUCGGGCGUCAGCGGCUUUAUUGUGAUGGGUGUGGCGGCAGCCAGCAGCUUCAAAUUUGCGAGAGAAGGAACCCAGAUGAAUGGGUUAGGCUGUGGCUAUGUUAAAAGUGUUAGGGUCUGUUCUGUUUUGUGGCUUUAGAAAAUUGGGAAUUUAGGGAUCGGGUUUGGGUUUGGGUGUUUGGCUUUGAACAAUUUAUGCUUUUUUCUUUCAAUUAUAAGGUAUAACCCGAUUAGCUUCAGUAAAUUCAAUCUCCAACCUUCUUCGUGCUUUGGUAGCGCAAGAGAUGAUGACUCUUUUAAACGGUCAACGACAGCCUUUGAUUGACCUCCACUUGAUUUAGCUCACAGGUCUAGGAUUUGCGUGCAGAGAAAGUGAGAUACGGAAACAGCUAGUGGCUGAUACAUAGGACCGUAAUGGGCGUAGGAAUGAAGACGGCGGCAACUGCUCGCUUGUUGGCUUGUGAGGGUUUGACGUGAGUGAGCGUCUUUGAUGGUUUAAGGAGAGCGGCUAGGGUUUCCAAAGAAAUGUCAUAAUGUGAGUAUUUAUAUUAUCAGUAGAAAUUGGAAAAAAAAAUAUGAAAGUUUUCAAAUUAAUAAAAAAGAUAAUAAAAGUUUGAUGAAUAAUAAAACUUCCAUAGAUAGAUUUGUUGUGACCAUUCAAAAUCUCAAAAUUCAUUUUUGUAAUUUGGUAAAUAAUAUUUUCAUUUUUACCUGCCAAGAUAAAACUUUUUUAUGUGAAAAUUUUACAUAAUACAUACAUACAUACAUACAUACAUACAUAUAUAUAUAUAUAUAUAUGUGUGUGUGUGUGUGUGUGUGUGUGUGUGUGUGUGUGUGUGUGUGUGUGUGUGUGUCUAUAUGUAUAUAUAUGUAUAUAUUUUGUUGAUAUAAAAUUAAUUAUUUACAACUAUAUUAAUAAUUUAAUAUAGAUGAGAUACACUACUAUGUAAAUAUAUUAAUAAUCAAAUUAUGGCUAUUAGUUAAUUUAGUUGUAAAUCAUUUGAGUUCAAAACAAAACAAUUGAGGUUUGAAUCUAUGGGCACAAAUUUAGUUGUUAUUAAGCUAUAUUGAAAAACAAUCAUAUUCAAAUUCAAUUCCUUUUACCACUAGAAUAAAAUUAUAUAUAUAUAAUUUAGUUAGAAGUAUAACGAAAACAUUUUUCACUGCACAUAAGAUAAUAUUAUAACAAGUUCAACAUGCAUAAAUAAAAAUAGAUUCAUAAGAUUAUAUUUCUCUCCAAUAGAAUAGAGAGUUUCAAAAGUAAAUUUAGUCAAACAUACUACUUAAUAUGAAAAUGGAUAUAUAAUUUUUAUAUUUUUAUAUGGUUUUAUAUAAUUUUAUUAUUUUUAGUUGUUAUAUAAAUUAACUUAAUUUUAGAAAAAUAUGGAUAUAAAUGUAAGAUUGAACAAAUUUUGUGAUAAUUGUGCAUCAUUCAAUAUAAAAAAUUACAAAUCAUGUAACUAUCUAGUGAGUGCAGUAUUACUCAAAUAAUUUGAUUUAAUUUAGAAAUAUAUUUGCCAUGCUUAAAUUAUUAUAUUGUAAGUACAAUAUAAUAUAACAUUAUUCAAUAUUAGUUGCAUUUAAAUUGUAAUUACCCAUGUCAUGUACCAAUAUGAAUUUGAUUAAUGUUUAACAAAAAAAUUAUUAUAGCAAAAAAGAUUAAAUAAAGUAAUUAAUUUACAUAAGUUUGUAUGAAUUAAUUUGCAUAAGAGAUUGUUUGUGAGUUUUAUUUAAAAAUAUCAAAUAUUAGAUGCUUUAUAUUUGUGGUAUAUAUAAAACAUAUUAAUGUUAGCCUCUAAUAAUAACAACAAUAUUUGAGGGGUAAUUACAUGUUUGGAAUCAUAAUAAUUCGAUAGUUGGAUGAACAUUACCAUCAUUUUAGUAGGUAGAGAUUUAAAUCCCUAUAUGUGUAUCAUGAGAUAGUAAGAUUGAUUUCUUCCAAAUAUUUAGAAAUAAAUUGAUUUCAUUAUGUGUUUAGAUAUUUAGAUUGUAAUGCAAUUAAAGAUGAUAAAAUUGUUUUGAUAGUUUCUUAAGAAAAAUAUCAUUACAUUUAUAACAUAAUAAUAAAAAUAGCUUAAUUAAUAUAUAAUUUAUUUUAAUUUAUUAUAUUUAAAUAUUAUUCUCAUUAGUACAUAAGUUACGUUUUUUAAAGCAAAAUAUCAUUUAAUUUAUAACAUAAUAUUAAAAAAUAAUAUAAUUAUAGUUUUAAAUAUAGUAGUUUAAUUAAUUUUAUUUAAUUAUAUUUUUUCAUUAGUACAUAGCUUAAAUAUAUUAACUAUAUUUUCCAUGAAUUAAAAGAAAAAAGAAGUAUUUUCAUUUUUUAAAGUUGAGGGGUUCUUUGAUAGUUUAAUAGUUUUGAAUUGCUUUUCUUAAUAUUUACCUAAAAUGAGGGAUCUGUGUGAUAGUUACCUUUUAAUUUUGACCUCUUUAACCAAUUAAAACGAUGGUACCGGUGGCCGGUUACCUGCUGAAUUAAAAAAAUAAAAAAAUGCGGCUGUACGAGAUACAGCGGCUGUAUUUUAAGCGGACCCAUACUACUUGUGAUAAAUUACAGGCUCUGUUUAACAUAUAAAAAUAACAAAUUUUAAAUAUUACAAACAAUAACAGAAUCAUAUGCUGUUAUUGUAAAUAAACCCCACCAUUCCGUUUCAAGUUUCCACAGUCAGUUCCAUUGAUCAUAUGCUGAAGCUACGGUGGAAUGAUAGAUCUUCUUUUAGUUUCCUGCACAUCGAAACUCUCUAAUUGGUGUGUUGUUUUUUCGUGAAAUUUCUAAUAUCUAUUAAUAAUUUCUUAAUGUAAAUGAGAAGUUAGUAGAUCAUGGGAUGAGAGCCGAAGACUUUUUGGCUGAUCUAACUCCUAUUACAAUCAAGUUGGUAACUGCAUUUGGUAAUUACAUCUUCAGUACUUGCAAUCUUUUAUCGCCUUUAGUAAGAAAUCAGAAAAAGGAUGUUUGGAAGCUGAGAAAAUUUAAGAACUGAAAGCUUUUAGCUCACACGAUUUUAUUCAUCUAAAACUUACUUAUGAAACUGUACACAGAGAUGCUUAUAUACACAACUGAUGCUCAGCUCAAUUAGUUAACUAAUUACAAAACUAAUUCUAGCUAGCUAUAACAACUUCAACUAAUUAUCACGUGAACAAGUGAUUACAUAACCACCAGGUGCCAGCUGGCAUGCCAUGUCAUCAACUCUUAACUGUAAGCUGGAGCUGCUGCUAUCCUCUGCUUUACAGUCUAUGCUACUGAUGUGUGCUUCCUUAACAUCCCCUCUCAAGCUCAAAGGUCUACUAACGACAUUGAGCUUGGAUCUAAAAAAGCUGAAUUUAGAAAAAGAUAAGGGCUUAGUCAGAACAUCAGCUACUUGUUCUUCAGUAGGAAUGUAUCUAACCUCCAAUUCUUUUCCAAGCACUUUGUCUCUAACAUAAUGAACAUCCAACUCUAUGUGCUUAGAUUUUGAGUGAAACACAGGGUUGCGAGCUAGCUCCCCUGCACUUUGGUUAUCACACCAAAGAACUGGAGUAGGUAGUUUAGCAAUGUUGAGUUCUGAAAAUAAAGACUGCAACCAAGAAAUUUCUGAGCAUGCUGCUGACAGGGCUCGAUAUUCACUUUCUGUGCUUGACUUUGCUACAAUUGCUUGCUUUUUGGAAGACCAUGAAAUCAGAUUGUUACCCAAGUAUAUACAAUAGGCUCCAAUUGAUUUUCUGUCGUCAAGAUCACAAGCCCAGUCAGCAUCUGUAUAGCCUGUUAUUCCAAUUUCCAGAGUUGCUUCCUUUCUAAGAUAGAGACCAUAGGUGAUGGUUGACUGGAGAUAUCGAAGAACUCUUUUGCAGGCUAACCAGUGCUGAACAGUAGGAGAACUGAGGUAUUGACUGAGCUUAUGAACUGAAUAAGCUAUAUCCGGCCUGGUGAGAAUUAGAUAUUGUAACCCUCCAACUAUGCUUCUGUAUUGUGUUGGAUUUUCGAACUCCUGACCCAAAGGACCCCUGACAUUUCUUUCUAGCUUCAAACCAGUACUAAGAGGAGUAUCAGACCCUUUGCAAUUCUCCAUAGAUGCUUUACUCAGCAAGUCUUUAAUAUACUUUGUUUGAGAUAGAUGCAUACCUUCAUCAAAGUAACUAACUUCAACACCUAGGAAGUAAGCAACUAAUCCCAGAUCUUUCAAGGCAAAUGUCUGACUGAGUUUAACAAUAAAAUCCUCUAGUAAAGCAGAAUCUGGUCCAGUGACUAGAAUAUCAUCCACAUAGAUCAAUACUAUGAUUAAGCCCCUUGUAUCAUGUUUAAUGAAUAGAGAUGUAUCAGCCUUUGAAUUAAGAAAUUGCCAAGUAGUUAGACAACCCUUCAAUUUUUCAUACCAGGCUCGUGGAGCUUGUUUUAGACCAUAGAGAGCUUUAUUGAGUUUGCAGAUGUACCCUUCCUUAGUUACAAAGCCUUCUGGUUGUGUCAUAUAUACGUUCUCAGAAAGAUCUCCAUUAAGGAAUGCAUUAUUUACAUCAAUUUGUCUGACUUUCCACCCUUUUAUAACUGCCAAGCUGAGUAUGACUCUAACUGUUGAAGACUUCACCACUGGACUGAAAGUUUCUGAAUAAUCUACCCCUGCUGUUUGGUGAAAUCCCUUUGCAACCAAUCUAGCUUUAUACUUGCUGACAGUUCCAUCUGUGUUAUACUUUGUUCUGAAUACCCACUUACAACCAACUAGCUUGUAUGUAGAAGACAUUGGCACAAGAGUCCAAGUGUUGUUGUGAAUAAGAGCAUCAUACUCAGUUUGCAUUGCAUCUUUCCAUUUAGGAUCUGAUAAUGCCUCAGGGACAGUGGAUGGUUCUAAGCUGUUGUGAGUUGUUAGAAAGGUCUUUGGUUUGAAAAUACCAGCUCUAGCUCUGGUUAUCAUAUGAUGGGUGGAAGUAGAAGGUUUAGGCUGAGAUGUUUGUGUUGUGCAGGGUAUUUGUGGUGCUGGUGACUGGGGUGCAGGUGAAGGCAAAGAUGUAGAGGUCUGAUUUGUGGGUGACUGAGAUUGAGGUGAAUUUGAUGAUAAAGAAUGAUUGACAGGGAAUUGAUCUGCUGCAGUAGCUUCAAGACUGUUCAGAUUGCUAUUAGGAACUGACAGAGUAAACCUUUGAAAAAGAUUAUAUUGAAAAUCAGAGGAAGUGUGUUUAGAAGAGGAAGAAAAAUUUGGAUCUGAAAUGUAAGGGAAAGUGGUUUCAUCAAACAAUACAUGACUGGCAAUAUAAAUUUUGCCUGAUGAAUGUAGACACUUAUAGCCCUUAUGUGAAGGACUAUAUCCUAAGAAGACACACUUUGAAGUAUGGAAAUGGAAUUUAUGGUUAUUGUAUUCUCUGAGAAAAGGAAAACAAGAACAUCCAAAUGUUCUUAGAAAGUUAUAGUCUGGUUGAUGAUGAAAGAUUGAUUCAUAUGGAGUUUUCAUUGCUAGAAUAGGUGUUGGUAAUCUGUUAAUGAGAUAGGCUGCUGUAUGAAAAGAAUCCCACCAGAAUUUGAUAGGUAAUUUAGCUUGUGCAAGAAGAGUAAGACCUGAUUCAGUAAUGUGUCUGUGUUUCCUUUCUACCAAACCAUUUUGGUUAUGUGUAUAAGGACAAGAGUGUCUAAAUUCUAUCCCUUCUUCUUGAAGAUAUUUGCUAAAGGAUCUGAAUUCCCCUCCCCAGUCAGAUUGAAGACAUUUAAUGGGCUGUUCUAAUUGUUUUUCAACUUGAGCUUUGAAAAUUUUGAACACAUGAAGAGUUUCAUCUUUGGUUUUCAGGGGAAAUAUCCAAGUGAAUCUGGUAAAAUCAUCCACAAAGCUCACAUAAUAUUUAUAACCUUGUGUGGAAACCACUGGAGCUGGUCCCCAUAAAUCAGUAUGUAAAAUGGCUAAAGGUUGUUUUGUUUUUGUUUCAGUUGCUGGAAAGUGUAAUCUAUGCAUUUUCCCAAAUUUACAAGCAUCACAUGAAUCAAACUCUUUAUUUCCAUUGAUAGGUUUGAAAGAGGAACAAGAUUGUAUUACAUGGUUUAAGAUCUUAGAGUUAGGAUGACCUAGCCUCUGAUGUAAUACAGAAGUGCUUAAAAGACACUUAGAGUUCAUACAAGGUUCUGCUGCCACAUUUUGCAAGCAGUGAUUAUUUGACUGACUGAGAUUGACAGUUGAUAGCAUUGACAAAGGAACAAAUGACUGAAAAGAAGACUCAAUAUUGGCAACAUGACCUUGAAAGGAAGACUGAGCAGAAGUUUUAUUUGAGGACACUAAUAGCAAUCUGUACAAGCCUUUUUCAGCCUUGCCCUGCAGUAUGAUCAAAUUCUUCACCUUGUCCUUCACAAAACAAGAUUUGUCAGUAAACUCAACUGUGAUAUUGUUGUCUUUGGUUAGCUGAGAAAUGCUUAUAAGGUUCUUGGUUAUUUGUGGAACUAAAAGUAUAUUGUUUAGUUUAAUCACAGUGGAAUCAGUGCAGUUGUGCAAUCUCAGAACAGCUUUUCCAAUAUUUGUAAUAUUCAAGCCAGUACCAUUACCAAUAAUGAGUUUAGAUGUACCUGUAAAUGAUUCAGAAAUCUGCAUAUUGUUCAUGUCAUUUGUGAGAUGGUGAGUGGCACCACUGUCAAGGUACCAAUUUGUAUCAGAUGAUCCUUCCAUGUUUGCCAGAUAUGCAGAUUUCGGAUUCCUGUUUGGAGGUGGUCUAUAAGCUCCUGAAGCAAUAAAUUCUUCCAGCUUCCAGCAUACAUUAGCUGUGUGGCCUAUUUUGAGACAAACUUGACAUGUAGGCUUAGAAGGAUUCCACUGAGAUUUAGGAUUUCCAGGUGUUUUGCCAUUAUUGACAGCAUUAUUAUUAUUCCAGUUUCCUCCUCCUCCUCCUCCAUAGUUUCCUCUGUAACCAUUAUUUCCAGCACUUCCAACAGCAAAACCAGAUGAUCCAUAAUUUCCUCUGUAACCACUAUUUCCAGAAUUUCCAGCAUUAUUGUAGCCUGUAUUAUAUCCAAGACUACCAAAACCUUUUCCUCCUGAGAAGUUUCCUCUCUUAGGUCCUCUAUUUUGUGCAAAGUUAGCUUCUAAAUUGUGUUUAACAUCCAUAUUAGCAAGUGUUGUGCAAAUUUUAAUGAACUCGCAAGCGCACGAAUCUAUUGUAGUGUAGAUCAAUGGUGACGAGUGUCGAUCCCACGAGGAGGUGGAUUUUAAUUGUGUAUAGAAUUAAUUUUGCAAAAUGGGUGGUUGGAAUUGUGGUGGAAGUGAUUUAAAAUAUGCUAAAAUUGGAAUUGCAAUGGCGAGAAUAAAUUGUAGAGAAAAUCGAUUAAAUUGACGUACUUGGGUAUCUGGAUCCGUAUCAACAUGCAUCAUGGGCUAAAUAAUCCGUAUUAAUGCCAAUUAAAUCAUGAUGGGGGAAUCCACACAUCAUGAACCACGCUCUAAUCAAUAUGGUGCUAAGGGCUUAUCGUGCCAAAUAAUAAUAACCUUAUACUAGAGAGCCGGUGUAACCAAGGCGGUAUCUAGACAAGAUCAGUAUUAUUUGUCGACGAGAAGUCAAAACAUCCACAAAAACUAGAGGGGAAGAGAAAAUAAAUUUACCAAAUUAAGCCCAUGACACAUGUUGAGACUUCACCUUCAACCCAAGCUUGAAAGAAAAUUAGCCACUCAUAAUUGAACUAGGGGCAAAAUGGGAAUUUAUUAAAAUACAAAGAAAAUACAAGAUGGAGAGGGAAUUACAGAAAAUGGAUCCCAAAAAUGGAUUCAGAGAUAUCAAAUUAAGGGGGGAAGGCCCCCUUUUUAUAGAUACAUGGAGUAAAUCAUGGCCAUCGGAUUAAAAAUAGUUUGGACGCUCAGGAUUGCGCCACGUCAUCAGUCAACAGUCCACGGUUUGACCACGCGGAUGAACAGUAACACGGUUUGACCCGGAUGAACAGUAACGCGGUUUGGUUGAAAAUAAUCCUGUGUGAUGCAUGCACCGUACGCGAGAUUUUUCGUCCACUGAUAUGCUGCCACGUCACCAUCAACAGUACAUAAGAAUUUUAGUCCAACAGGAUCGUGACACCUCAUCAGUCAAUGCCACAUCAUCGGUCAAUGCCACGUCAUCGAUCCGUCUAUGUGAACAGUGCCGUGAACAGUAACAUAUACAGUACCGUAUACGUGAAUAGUACCGUACAUGUGAAUAGUGCCAUUUUUCCUUUUAUGCCCCUCCUAAGGUUUUCGACCGUCCUGAGUUCAAAAGUGAUGUCUGUUUUGCCAUCUGAUCUCUCCUUUAUUGUGAAAUGACUAUAAUGCCCCUAAAAUACAUAAAAUACUUAAUUAAAAUAAAACACAUGUAAUUAAAUCACAAGAAGGUUAAAUACAUAAAAGUAAGGGUUGUUAAUAAGACUUGAAACGUAAAAUGACAGUUUUCUCCUUUAUAAAUAUGCAUUUUCUAACACUCAACACACCCCCCAACCAGCUUAUUGCUAGUCCCUAGCAAAUAAAGCGAAAACAAAAUUCAAAUUCAAAAUGAUUUUUUUUUUUUUUUUUUUUUUUUGAAACACUCGUGUUUAUUCAAUCAGAUUAAUGAUAGCAAUCAAAUAAAAAUAUAAGCAUUAUCUCCAGUCUAAAGCAACAUCACACCCACAUCAACCAUCCACAUGAAUUAGCCCAGUAGACUUUGUUAUAGCUACUUUCAAGAAUGACAUGUCAAACCCCAAAAUCUCACUGGAAGUAGUGACACUCUCACAAAGAAAUUAAAACCCAAUAAACAUAGUCACUCCAAUGAAUGGUAAUUGAGAGAGAAAAUAAUAAAGAAAUGAUAUCACAUGCUCUCACCAAGAUGAAAUAAAUAUGCCCUCAGCUUAGAAAUAAUACGAUCUCAAGUCAAAUAAAAUGUUAGUCAACCCACUUUAUUUAUCUUUUUUUUUUUUUUUUUUAUUAUGCAUCACUACAUCUUUUUAGCCCAUAUAACUAGCUUCUACUUCAAACUAUAGUUCCCUAAAAUCAAGAAGGACUUUUAUUAGGACGUAACGUAGGCUAGGGAUAUGGCUAACAAAGAAAGGAAAUAAGGAAAACAAAGUGUAUGUUUGAGAAAAAUGCAGAAUUUUUUUUUUUUUUUUUUUGGAACUUGCAAGGUGGAUUUCACCUAUUAUUGUUAUUUUUAUUCUUUUGAAACAACAACUUUUGUUUUUGUUUUUUUUUUUUUUUUUUUUUGCUUUUAUUUGGCAUAACUUCACUGAACAACAUAAUUAUUUACAUUUUCUCAAACAUAAAUAGGUGAUGGAACUUAAAAGACAUUGGGUAAUACUCCAAAUCGGAGUGGGUCAAGAUGAUAAGUUGACAAAGAAAAGGUUUUUGUUCUUUUUUUUUUUUUUUAAAGGCUCAAAAGGGGUAACUAUGGAUAUUUAAUAAAAGGGAUGGCUAGAAAGGCUCAAACGGAUCAAAGAUGGCCUUUCCAUCGUCUUUUAGGGCUCUAAAUAAUCAUCCAUAUCUACUAGUUAGAUGGGCCUCCCAAUGUAGCAACACACAUUUUUUUUUUUUAAUUUUACCAUUUUUUUUUUUUAAGGGUUAACUCAAAAGAAAUCUAGAGAUCGUGUAUAAAAUAAUAAACUACUAAGCUGUAUAGAGAAUGGGCAAAAGGGUUACUCUCCAAGAAAAUAAUAGGCUCAACUACUCACUUGGCACUUAUUUAUGACAUGUUCAUUCCUUCAAGCAACUCAUAUUUGUCUCCGACAUCAACAUGUAAAGUAGCAAACAUAGCGUAACAUCACUUAAGACCAAAGAUAAUACAAAUACUAAAAUUUGAAAUUAAUCAUGUCAUCCAAUGUUAAAACAAAUAACACAAAUUUUUUUUUUUUUUUUUAAACAACAUUCUACCCCCCAACCUAUUCUAAACAUGAAAGGAAAAUAUGCAUGCGGAAAUGUGAAAAUGAUGUAGAAAAAUUAAUUAGAAAAAGAAUUUUUUUUUUUUUUUUUAAACUAAGAAGAUGCGUUUCUAGAGGCACUACACUCCAUAUUCAGCCAUCUUCGACUCAAAAAUUUGAAACUACAUAUUUAUAAAGGAGAAAGAGGAAGAAAACAGGUUUUUUUUUUUUUUUUUUUUUUUUUUUUUUAAAACGAUGAAGAUGCGUUUCUAGAGUAACUACACUCCAUAUUCAGCCAUCUUCAACAUAAAAUGUUAGCAACUGUUAGUUUCUACAACAAAAAAUCAGUAAAAACUUAACCAAGAUUCCACAAUUGUCGACUAUUCCCUCCCCCCAACCAGAACGAAACAUUGUCCUCAAUGUUUUAAAGGAAAGAAGUAGAGUUUAGAAGACAUCACCUGGGUGGUGCAACACAGAAGAAAAUAUUUACAGGCGGAGAGUUAAAUCUAAUUUGUACUUCUUACUGCGGCUACUGUUACCAUCAUUAUUUGGUCGCUCCAACACAAAGGUCCAGGGGUCUGGCUCCGGUUUAUAAGCUUGUAACAUAUCAAGUAGCUCAUUAGCAGUGUGAGCACAAAUAAAGAGUUUUUUCACAUUAGAAGGAAUGAAAUAGUUUUUUAUUGCAUGGUUAAGAAAUGCGAUAAAGCCAUCAUAAAAGUUAUUGACAUUUAACAAACCGAUGGGUUUCUGGUGGAUGUGCAGAUGGGCCCAAGAUGCUAGUGUCAUAAGUGCCUCUAGUGUUGCAAGAUCUCCUGGAAGGAAAAUAAAAGCAUCAGCAUGAUUAAGCAUUUUAGUUAUUCUUUCUUGCAUACUUGAGACGACUAACUCUUCUCCUGUUGAUGAGUCAGACGAACUGCCCAAUGGUUUUAGGACUCUUGGGAUGAUGCCUAACACUUGACUUCCUCUGAUAAAAGCUGCUUCUGAGACCAUUUUUGAUAACCCUCGGUUACCUCCUCCAUACACCAAAUGUAAUUUUCUCGCUGCUAUGCUUCGACCAAGAUCUAUGGCUGCCUCAACGAACUCUUUAUGUUUGCCAUAGGUAAAUCCAGAAAGCACACAAAUGUUCUUGAAUUGUCUAUUGGGAGUGGCUGCCAUUGUGAUACUUCUCAAAAAUAAUUUGUGAGUGCUUGACAAAAAGUAAAUCACAUUUAAGAAUCUUGGUGACAGUGGAUCACAGCUGUGAAUGAGGUAACAUGUCAGUGUCAAAUAACGCGUAAAGCACGUGGCUCGCGAGUCAAAAAGAAAACAGUAAAAAGGAAAAAGCAAACAGUAAUAAAAUUAUUAAAGGCAAUAAUGCAAACGAUAAAACAAUAGUGAAAUAAAAUAACAGAAAGUAAAAGGAUAUUUACACGUAGUUGCGACUGUGGCUCACAUCUUCCUCUGGUUUUACGUCCAGAAACGGCUUGAACGCCCUCUAUGGGUCGAGGAUGGGCUUCCCAUCCAGUUUUCUUAUAAACUGGCAAACAGGGUCGUUUAUAGUCAGAUUCCCGAGACUAUAUCGUGCAUGCUCUUUCUGGAAUAAUGGCCAUAACCGGAGAAUCGCUCCUUGCACAUAUCCACUGGGAUGCGUUUCAAGAGACAAAAGGAUAUCAUCCAAUGACUCCUUAUUCAAGCCAUCCCUAAUGAAUUGAAUCUUAUCUUCCCUGUUAUCAGACACCAUUCCUAAAGAACAUGGGUUUCUAUCGCAACUCAUUCUGGCACACUUAUGACAAGCAACAGAAAUUCUUCGAGCUCGUCGUUUUCUUGCAUAAUUUCCUUUACCACAACCAGGCAUGUAUGCAAUAAAUUUAGGAGGUAACUCACCUGCCAAUCGUACUUUAGCCUCGAUUAACCAACGGAUGUCUGCAGGUAUGUUAUUCUUCAUGAGCAAUCGCAUGCGUUCAGACCGGGCUUUAUAGAUCGUAAGGAGGGCAUUCUGAGGAAGUGAAGGGAAUCGCUUGUGAAGCUUCGCUAGAAUCUCGUUUCUGUCCAUACCUUCGCCUCAGAAUGUCAGUUAUUAUGGGAAACUGAAGUUAACCGACUUGAUUGUCACGGAGUACCGUUAUCCGCCACUUCACCGGGGUAACAAACUAAAGCACACAAACAGAAAAACAAAUUAAAACACACAAAGAAAAUUAAAAUCGUCCUCUUAUUGAAUUUACCUCAAGCUCCAACUGGAUGUCGUAAACACUUCUCUCAAUGUCUCUGAGUUGGCGUUCUAAACCCUCAACAUAGGCUACUAACUCUGGUGGUUGUAGAGCCCAAAUGCGUUGUGUUUUACAAAAUUGAAUCUGCUUUUUGAGAUGAGUUUUGACACGUUGAAGUGGUUUAAGAAUGUUCAGAAGGAACGGUCUAAGUAUGGUACUCAUGAUUAACAAUGAUAAGAAAAAAAGAAAACUUAAUGGUAAAACAAACACACUUAUGCAAAAAUAAUUUCAAUUAGCAAAAGACUAAUAAAAAGAAAGAAAGAAAAAUCAAAUCAACAAAAAGAAAAAAUCAAUUCAAAUCUGGUGGGUCACUCAAAUUUAUUUCGGUGUCUUCUCCAUGUGGUUGGUACUCUAGAUAUGGCUUUAAUCUUUGACCAUUAACUUUAAACGUGACACCGUUCUUUGGGUCUUUAAUUUCAAUUGCCCCAUGUGGAAAAACAGUAUGAACAAUAAAGGGACCAGACCAUCGAGAGCGUAACUUACCUGGGAAUAGGUGCAAGCGAGAAUUGAAUAAAAGUACUUUCUGACCUGGAGUGAAAGAUUUUCUCAUAACGUGCUUGUCGUGGAAGACUUUCAUUCGUUGCUUGUAAAUCUUGGCAUUUUCGUAUGCAUCAUUGCGAAUUUCUUCAAGUUCUGCCAGCUGUAAUCUUCUUUCUGAGCUGGCUUGCUGCAUGUCAAAGUUGAAUUUCUUGAUGGCCCAAUAUGCACGAUGCUCGAGUUCCACAGGUAGGUGGCAAGCUUUUCCAUACACUAGCCUGUAGGGUGACAUCCCAAUCGGGGUCUUGAAAGCCGUUCUAUAUGCCCAUAAUGCAUCAUCAAGUCGUAAUGACCAAUCUUUCCUGUCUGGCCUCACCGUCUUUUCUAAUAUGUGCUUUAUUUCUCGAUUGGAGAUCUCAACUUGGCCACUGGUUUGCGGAUGAUACGGGGUCGCCACUUUGUGUGUGAUUGAAUACUUUGUCAAAAGAGUCUUGAAUGCUUUGUUACAAAAGUGGGCACCACCAUCACUGAUUAUCGCUCGAGGGAAUCCAAAGCGUGAAACAAUGUUGCUUUUCAAAAAUCCUAUCACCACUUUGUGAUCAUUGGUUCUGCAUGGAAUUGCUUCCACCCAUUUCGAUACGUAGUCAACAGCAACCAAGGUAAUACUUCCACAUUCAUUAAUUGUUCAUCUGGAAAUGACUCAUUUAAUAUUAAUGGCUCUGUAAUUGUGUCAAAAUGGAGACGAGAGAGGUGGUCCGCCACAACAUUUUCUGUGCCUUUCUUAUCCUUGAAUUCCAAGUCAAAUUCCUGCAAAAGUAACACCCAACGAAUUAGUCUAGCUUUUGCAUCUUUUUUUGUGAGAAGAUAUUUAAGAGCAGCAUGAUCUGUGAAUAUAAUUAUUUUACAACCAAUGAGAUAAGAUCGAAAUUUCUCUAAUGCAAACACUACUGCUAGCAUUUCUUUUUCAGUAGUUGAAUAGUUCAACUGUGCAUCAUUCAAUGUCAUACUAGCAUAGUAAAUAACAUGGGGAAUUCGAUCAACUCUUUGUCCUAAAACUGCUCCUACUGCAUAAUCAGAUGCAUCACACAUAAGCUCAAAUGGUAAGCUCCAGUUUGGGGCCUGAAUGAUGGGUGAUGAUGUCAACAAUUGCUUUAAUUUUUCAAAAGCCAUAAGACAUGAAUCAUUAAAGAUAAAAGGUACAUCCUUAGCAAGUAAAUUGCAUAAGGGUCUAGAAACUUUGCUAAAAUCUUUAAUGAAACGUCUAUAGAAACCAGCAUGCCCAAGGAAAGAUCUUACUUCUCUGACUGUUUUAGGUGGAGGAAGAUUAGAAAUGAGAUCCACCUUGGCUUUGUCAACCUCAAUACCUUUGCUCGAAAUGAUGUGACCGAGAACAAUACCUUGUUUUACCAUAAAAUGGCACUUCUCCCAAUUCAAGACUAAGUUCUUCUCGGUACAUCUCUGCAGAACUAGUGUUAGAUGAUGUAAACAUUGAUCAAACGAGUCACCAAAGACAGAAAAAUCAUCCAUAAAGACUUCAAGGAAUCGUUCAACCAUAUCAGAAAAAAUGCUCAACAUGCAUCGUUGAAAUGUAGCAGGUGCAUUACAUAAUCCAAAUGGCAUUCUCCUAUAUGCAAAUGUGCCAAAAGGGCAAGUGAAAGUAGUCUUCUCUUGAUCUUUUGGUGCUAUGGGAAUCUGAUUAUAUCCUGAGUAGCCAUCUAGAAAGCAAUAAAAUUCAUGGCCUGCUAAUCUAUCAAGCAUUUGAUCAAUAAAUGGUAAAGGAAAAUGGUCUUUACGUGUGACAGAAUUCAACUUUCUAUAAUCAAUGCAUACACGCCAUCCUGUAGUUACUCUAGUUGGUAUCAAUUCAUUAUCAGCAUUGGUAACUACUGUGACUCCUGACUUUUUGGGGACGACUUGUACAGGACUGACCCAUGAACUAUCAGAAAUUGGGUAAAUGAUACCUGCAUCUAAUAGCUUAAGGACUUCAGUUCUAACAACUUCUUUCAUGUUAGGAUUUAACCGACGUUGCAUCUCCCUAGUAGUUUUAGCAUUUUCAUCAAGGUGAAUGUAAUGCAUGCAGUCUACUGGGUUUAUACCUUUUAUGUCUGCUAUGGUCCAUCCUAAUGCCCCUUUGUGCUCUUUUAAAACAUCCAACAACUUACCUUUUUGUUCGUCAUUUAGGGAUGAUGAGAUGAUUACCGGCAGAGUACUUUCUUCUCCCAAAAAUGCAUAUUCCAGAGUGUUGGGUAAUGGUUUGAGCUCGAGUUUCGGUGGUGAUUCUGAUGAUGGGAUGAGUUUCUUCUCUGAUGGUGCUAGUUGUUCAACUCUUGACUUCCAUUUAUUAGUGUCCAUGGAUGGUGCUGAGUCAAGUAGGGCGUUGACCUCAUCGACCGAUCUGUCAAUAUCAAAAUCCAAACCAAAGUGAGUUAAACAUGUUUGUAAAGGAUCAUCACUAAUGUUUGAAAUAAAAGUAUUAUCGACUAUUGUUUCUAUUAAAUCCACAUCAACAAUUCCAUCAUCUGCACUGUGAGGUUGUUUGGCAAUGUUGAAAAUAUUUAGCUCCAUAGUCAUGUUGCCGAAGGACAAUUGCAUAUUUCCGGUCCUACAUUGAAUAUGAGCAUCUGCAGUUGCCAAGAAAGGUCGGCCUAGAAUAAUGGGGAUGUGCUUCUUUGAGUCCUGUAUUGGUUGAGUGUCAAUUACAAUGAAAUCAACAGGAAAAUAAAACUUGUCUACCUGAAUAAGCACGUCCUCCACAAUACCACGAGGUAUUUUCGUGGACCGAUCUGCAAGCUGUAACACCACUGGAGUUGGGUGUAAUUCUCCCAGUCCAAGUUUCACGAAAACAGAGUAAGGCAACAAAUUUACACUAGCUCCUAAAUCCAACAAAGCAUUCUCAAUUGUGUGGUUCCCUAUACUACAUGAGAUAGUGGGGGAGCCUGGGUCUUUGCAUUUUAAAUGAAUUUUGUGUUGGAGUAUAGAACUAACGUUUUCUGUUAAAAAUGCCUUCUUUUGAACAUGCAUAUUUCUCUUUUUAGUACAAAGGUCUUUAAGAAACUUGGCAUAAGAUGGAACUUGUUUAAUCGCAUCAAGUAAAGGGAUGUUAACACUUACCUGUUUGAAGAUUUCAAGAAUCUCACCUGUGGAUUUUCCCUUCUUUCCUUUCGCUAACCUAUGAGGAAAUGGAGCUUUCGGAACGUAUUCUCGUGGGUUGGUUUCUUCUUUCUCCUCCGGUGGUGAGUCUUCAACAUUCACAGGUACAAUUUGAUUUUCUUUUGUCACCGGCAUUUCCACUUUGUUGUCGACUUCUUUUCCUUUUCGCAAGGUCAUGACUGCUUUGACCUCUCCAUGCUGCUGUGGUGAACUGGUACUUGCUUCAUGCACUCCUUUAGGAUUAGGCACUGGUUGACUUGGAAACUUACCUUUCUCAACGGUUAUUGCCAAGGUCUGAACUGAAGAAGCGAGCUGUCCCACCAUCUUCUCGAGGCUUGAAACUGAUUGGGCUUGUGAAUUGAAGCCUGCUCUCAACUCAUUUCGUAGUCCAUCAAUAGUGCGGUUCUGUUGCUCAAUCGUAGAGUGAGUAACAUUCUUGAGAUUCUGGAAUGAAUCCUCCCACGGUCUGGGCUGAGUGUAGUUCUGGUUCUGAUUGUAUGGUCUGAAUGGGGGCUGAGAGGCUUGAGGAAUUGGUUGCAUUGGUGGAGCUGGAGUUGUUGGUCCAUUCUGUUGGAAUCCUUGAGACCAUGAAAAAUUGGGGUGGUCUCUCCAUCCAGGGUUAUAUGUGUUGGAGUAUGGGUUGUAAUUUGAUGGCUUUCUCAUUAUCCCUAUGGCAUUGGCUUCAUUUGAAUAUGAGUCAUGGUCAUGUGGUUCUGUUGAUUUAGCAGUCGAUAACGAUGCUAUUUGUCGAGCAAGACCUUCAACAAUCUCCUUGACUUCUUUAAUUCCCGAAGUUGACUCGCCAAUUUGAACCUCAUUUACUCCUUUAAUUCUUCUGGUAUUCCUGAGUGACCGACUCCGUUGUUGGGAAUUAUCCGCUUGUCGCUGGAAGAAUUCCCAAAUCUCUGAUGCACUUUUUGACAUUAGCUCCCCUCCACUUGUUGCCAUUAGCCAUUCUUGCACGUUCGACAAUAAUCCCUCCAAAAAGUAUUGGCAUUGGUGCCAUUUCUCGUACCCAUGAUGUGGACACUUCAAGAGUAGCCCAUUGAAUCGCUCCCAUGUUUCAAAAAACUGCUCGUCUUCUCUUUGAGUAAACUCUGAGAUUUCCCUGCGAAUAGCAUUGGUUUUAUGCACUGGGAAAUAUUUAUUUAGAAAUUUUGUUACCAUUUGUUCCCAUGAUGAAAUGCUAUUAGCAGGUAAUGUAUUAAGCCAUGAACGAGCUCUAUCCUUUAAAGAAAAUGGGAAUAAUCUGAGUUUAACAUCAUCGUCUGAAAAAUUUUCGUAUUUAAAAGUUUGACAAAUGGCAUGAAAAUCAUUCAAAUGAUUAUAUGGAUCCUCAUUUUCUAGGCCAUAAAAUGUGGGGAGACAAUUUAACACACUAGGUUUUAAUUCAAAACUCCUAGCAGCUACAUUUGGGUAUCUUAUGCAUGACGUGCUCAAAUUAGCUAAGGGACUAAAAUAGUCCUUAAAUGGCCUCUCCUGUGGUGCUUGUAAAUCCAUUUUAUUUUUAACGUGUUUGUGUGUGCGAAGUGUUUUUUCUAAUUCAAGGUCUAUAGGUUCAAGAUUUGGUAAUAAUGACCUACGACCAUGCAUGCAAAACAAAUAAAAUAAAAAUAAAGAUGCAAACAAAAUAAAAAUAAAGAUGGGAACAAAACAAAUAAAAAUAAAGAAGAGGGAGAAAUUACGAUACUAACCUUAUUGCGCUAUUACAACCUUUCUAUAAAAAUACACAAAAAUAAAUACGUGAAAUAAAUUAACUAAAAAUUAAAUUAAUAAAAUAAACAAAAAUUACAAAGAAAAAAAUAAAUUGAAAAUUAAAUUACAGAAUUUUAAAGAAGAGAGAGAGAAAAAAAUACUAACCUUUAAAUGCGGAUUUACUUUUUUUUUUUUUUUUAAUAAAAAAAAAAUACAAGAAAACAAAUAAAAGAAAUUAUUCACAAAAAUUAAUUCUAUGAAUUAAAAUUACUUACCUCCCCGGCAACGGCGCCAAAAACUUGUUGUGCAAAUUUUAAUGAACUCGCAAGCGCACGAAUCUAUUGUAGUGUAGAUCAAUGGUGACGAGUGUCGAUCCCACGAGGAGGUGGAUUUUAAUUGUGUAUAGAAUUAAUUUUGCAAAAUGGGUGGUUGGAAUUGUGGUGGAAGUGAUUUAAAAUAUGCUAAAAUUGGAAUUGCAAUGGCGAGAAUAAAUUGUAGAGAAAAUCGAUUAAAUUGACGUACUUGGGUAUCUGGAUCCGUAUCAACAUGCAUCAUGGGCUAAAUAAUCCGUAUUAAUGCCAAUUAAAUCAUGAUGGGGGAAUCCACACAUCAUGAACCACGCUCUAAUCAAUAUGGUGCUAAGGGCUUAUCGUGCCAAAUAAUAAUAACCUUAUACUAGAGAGCCGGUGUAACCAAGGCGGUAUCUAGACAAGAUCAGUAUUAUUUGUCGACGAGAAGUCAAAACAUCCACAAAAACUAGAGGGGAAGAGAAAAUAAAUUUACCAAAUUAAGCCCAUGACACAUGUUGAGACUUCACCUUCAACCCAAGCUUGAAAGAAAAUUAGCCACUCAUAAUUGAACUAGGGGCAAAAUGGGAAUUUAUUAAAAUACAAAGAAAAUACAAGAUGGAGAGGGAAUUACAGAAAAUGGAUCCCAAAAAUGGAUUCAGAGAUAUCAAAUUAAGGGGGGAAGGCCCCCUUUUUAUAGAUACAUGGAGUAAAUCAUGGCCAUCGGAUUAAAAAUAGUUUGGACGCUCAGGAUUGCGCCACGUCAUCAGUCAACAGUCCACGGUUUGACCACGCGGAUGAACAGUAACACGGUUUGACCCGGAUGAACAGUAACGCGGUUUGGUUGAAAAUAAUCCUGUGUGAUGCAUGCACCGUACGCGAGAUUUUUCGUCCACUGAUAUGCUGCCACGUCACCAUCAACAGUACAUAAGAAUUUUAGUCCAACAGGAUCGUGACACCUCAUCAGUCAAUGCCACAUCAUCGGUCAAUGCCACGUCAUCGAUCCGUCUAUGUGAACAGUGCCGUGAACAGUAACAUAUACAGUACCGUAUACGUGAAUAGUACCGUACAUGUGAAUAGUGCCAUUUUUCCUUUUAUGCCCCUCCUAAGGUUUUCGACCGUCCUGAGUUCAAAAGUGAUGUCCGUUUUGCCAUCUGAUCUCUCCUUUAUUGUGAAAUGACUAUAAUGCCCCUAAAAUACAUAAAAUACUUAAUUAAAAUAAAACACAUGUAAUUAAAUCACAAGAAGGUUAAAUACAUAAAAGUAAGGGUUGUUAAUAAGACUUGAAACGUAAAAUGACAGUUUUCUCCUUUAUAAAUAUGCAUUUUCUAACACUCAACAGCAAGCAUAUGAGUUUGUUGAUCAAUCCUAGCCUCUUGAGUUAACAGCAUAGCAUAAGCCUCAUUAACAUUCAUUUUUCCAGUUCCUACUUGUCCAGUGAUGUAAGUAGCAACAGAAUUAUAAUCAGGACCUAGACCAGAGAGUACAUGUAAAAUCAAAUCAUCAUUGCUUAAUGCACUUCCUGCUGCAGCCAUGUUAUCAGCAAUAGAUUUCAUUUUAAUGAAGUAUUCAGUCAUUUUAAGAUCAUCCUUUCUAGUGGAAUUCAUCAAAUAUCUCAAAUGUAAUAACCUAGACUUUGAUUGAGAUCCAAAUUGAGUUUCAACAGCUUUCCAUACCUCCAAUGAAGUCUCAAGAUUGAACACCAAACUGAUGAUACCUUCACUCAUGGAUGAAAGAAGCCAACCGAGAAGUAUUUGAUCUUGUGCUCUCCAGGUUGCAAAUUCUGGAUUCUCCACAGAUCUAAGCUCAUCAUCAUAUCUCUGAGCAAUAUGAGAAGGAGGUGGAGUGAUUGACUCAUCGAUAAAUUUCUCAAGUCUAUUUCCUCGAAUUGAAGCAAGCACUUGAGAUCUCCAGAUCAAAUAGUUUGAUUGAUCAAGUUUAACGGGAGUAUUGAAAGUGAAAUUGACUGUUGUUGAAUGUGCAGCGGUAUUAUGAACUUGAUUUAAGGAAGAGGCAAGAUUCACAGAUGCCAUUGUGGCUCUGAUACCAAGUAAGAAAUCAGAAAAAGGAUGUUUGGAAGCUGAGAAAAUUUAAGAACUGAAAGCUUUUAGCUCACACGAUUUUAUUCAUCUAAAACUUACUUAUGAAACUGUACACAGAGAUGCUUAUAUACACAACUGAUGCUCAGCUCAAUUAGUUAACUAAUUACAAAACUAAUUCUAGCUAGCUAUAACAACUUCAACUAAUUAUCACGUGAACAAGUGAUUACAUAACCACCAGGUGCCAGCUGGCAUGCCAUGUCAUCAACUCUUAACUGUAAGCUGGAGCUGCUGCUAUCCUCUGCUUUACAGUCUAUGCUACUGAUGUGUGCUUCCUUAACACCUUUCCAAGUUGAUUUUAGUUAUUUGUUCUUAAUAUGUCUAAGCGUAUGGACUUGAUGGAAGGUGGGGUUUAUUUACAGGUUCCGUCAUGAUAUUCUCCCGUGCCAUAUAAAUCAUCAUUGUUUUGCAAGUGCUCUACGGCAUUCUUUACUGGAUAGGCUAGCCAGGGUGCCUUAGAGGCAAGCGUCAAGACGGAAAUGAAAUAUAUCUAAAGCUACACACAAGCACAGGUUGGUCAUUUUAUCAUUUAUAAGUCUUCUAUCUCUUUUAACUUAGUCUAACAUCUUGUUGAACCCAAGCACGAUUCAUUUCACAUAGGCUUGACUGCUAUGUGGUCCAAACUUCAUUUGAAACAUUGGAAACUCCUUGGCAACGUUUUUUAUAUUGCAGAUUCUAUAGGUCAAUCCUGUUGCUGUGCAGUUAGGCACGAGUCAACAGCAAUGAUAGACUUGAAAGUAAUUUUUGCUGGGCAAGAGACUGAGGAAACAUUUUGUAUUUUGCUGGUCUGAUAGUGCUGUGCCAUAAAGCAAUUUACCAAGCAUAGCUUUACAAAUAGAUUGCAGAAUUAUUCAAGGUGUUCUGCAUUUUCCAUAAUUGGACCAACGAACUAUUCACGAGGCAGUAGUGAACGAGUGUUCUAUAUGGUGGUUUGCUUUAAAUACUGAACGAAAAAUGUGGUCCAUUGUGUUUUUUUUGUGUCGUUAUAGCUCUAAUCUUUUCUUAUGGCCCCUGUGUAGGUUAGUUAUAUGUUGAGCACAAUGAUGCUAUUUUAGUAGUCAUAAUUCCUGCAGCCAAGCACCCGAAACUGCUUCAUCUCAAGUUCUUACAUUUUGGAGCUGUAACCCAAGAUGUAUUAAAUAUAAUUUUCAUAAGCUUUAGUGAACCAGGGCAUUCUUUGCAGUUCUCUUCAAAUGACAAGACAUCUAUUGGGAUCUUACUUUUGUUGAUGAGAGGGUCUGAAACAGCUGGUGCAAUAAGUAAAAUUGAUUUUAUGUAGACUAGAAAGCUCUGCCCGCUGUGAAGGCUUUCCUGUUAAAUGAAGGUCCUCCAAAGCUGCACAGUCUGAAUCAGAGAGCUUCCUAGAAACUGCAUGGAGGGUAGAGUGCUGAGGGCACGAGAUAAGCUUUGCAAAUUUGCUGCAAAUUUGAGGAUAAGUUUCUGCAGCACAUUACAACUGCUGACUGCUGAGGUGAGUUUAAUUUGUUUUAGAUAUUUAUUAUUGUUCUUGCGAAUUUCCAAGUAGCAUAUUAAAAAGUUUGAUUUUUUAAUGACUUUGCUUAUAUUCUUUUCAUUCAUACAAUUUCAGAGUUGAAAAAGGAGAAAACCAAGACGUAAAUGAGAAUGUGAUAAUAUCCUCUCUUAAACUGAAGCCUUGAAGAAAAUUUCUUGAUUAGUAGCUGUCAUGAUGCGUGGUUCUGGUUGGAAAGCUGUUGCCAAUUUUGAGCGGUGUUUCUUUAACGAGAUCAAACAGCUCUCUUUGGACGGACAUUUUGAUUCGAUAAUGUCAAGAGGGAUUGUCUUGUGCCAAUUCCCUUCCUGAUCUUUUAAUCUUUUCAGGAUUUGCAAGUCAAGCAACCUUCUUGUAUUCAUUUUCUAUUCGAUUGUGUUAGAAGCUGAUGGCUAACAACUAUAUCUAUUAUACCCUGAGAUCUUUAAUAAUAGGUUUCCUCGAGCUUGCAAAAGACCUAUCACGGCUUUGUGUUGAUGAGGCAAUGGAACCAUCUGUAUCCGAAGCUCCUUACUUCUAAUUCUUAGAGACUUUUGCCCUUCUACCCUUUUCAUGAUGCUGGAUGUUCGAUUUUUUGUUUUGGUCAUAGUUUAGAUUCUUUACAUCAGAUAUAUUGAUGGGUCCUACAUGGAUAGUAUUGCUCUCUGUUUGGUGCAUGAUUUGAAUAUUCUUAUUCUACACUAAUAUAAUACCAAGGCAAUUCUUGUUUCUAUUUAUUGAUGAAGUUACUGGCUGACUUAUGAAACAGGUACGUAUAGUUCUGGUUAAGGUGGUUUGUGGUGCUGCAAACGCUACACCAAGCUUGGAAGAUAUCCUUUGUUCAAGAGAGAGGUGUGACUCUUAUUGUUAUGUCACAUAAUAUUGUUGUACGUACAUGCAUGAUUUGACCUGUAUGUGGUUCAAAUUUCCUUUUCUCCUUGUCACAAUAGUAUUGUUUGGAAAUGAGGCAGAGCAAGCUUGCUAUCAUGAACAGUGUCAUUUUCCUUUUGUUUAACAUUUUGGGAUCAAUGGUUGGAUCAAAACUGCUAAAUGGUUGCGAAGAUCUUUUCCCAAAUUCCUCUGAAAUCUGUUUGCUUUUACUAGAAUGGAAAUACAGUGCCAAGAAGAGGAGGUAAAGACUUGAUCUUCGAAGAAAGCAAAUGAGGCAGAGCAAGCUAGCGAUUCUGAACAGGGUAUACAUGCAGGACACGAUGGCUUGUACACUUGCUAGCAUUGAAGGAGAACUAUGAUGGAUGUGUGUCAAGAAGUAGGUAGUUAUAUCAUAGAGAAGAUUUCGACAGUUUGGCUGCUUUGCCAAUUAAAUUUUCACUUACAAGUUCUAAGACUUAUGUGACUGCUUGCAAUUGUUUUUUUUCCAAGUUGAAAAAGCAAAGGAAGAAAUGUUGAAUCAGUUAAAUAGCUGUGUCAGGUUGAUGCUCUCUGCAUCAAUUCUUGAAAGGGGAGGGAUGUAUUUUAUUUCAUAUACUUACUUCUUUAUCUAUUCUGUGCAUUGAUAAUAUUCCUGAAAUUUUCUUAUGAUAAUUUGCAUAGUGCACAAAGCAAAGCAGGGAUUAAAGAGCUUCUUCAGGAGGAGGGAUUGCUUUCAGAGACGGUCUGAACUCCUUUCUAAACUAACACGUACGCCAAUUUAGCACCCCAUGAUCUUUGCUGAUAAUUCAUAUUUUCACUGCAUAUUUUUAUUGGGUGAAAAGGUGCUUAACAACUCCAUGAUCCCACCAGCGCUUUGCUUAAACUUCACUUGAUUAUAAUCACUAGAAGAGGGUACGGGUUUGUGAUUGUGUACUUAGGACUAUGUAUAGUUUUCUGAAUGUUGUGAUUUUACGGUGUGUCCCUAUGUCAGAACAAUGGAUUUAAAGUGUAUUUGAAUUCCAUUUAUCAUAUUCUUCUAUUCAUCAUUUUGUUUUUGCUUUUUCGUUUUCAUUUUUCAAUCAUUGAUUGCCCAAAACUUGAGAGAUUGCCUGAUGAAAUAGGAAAUUUAAGAGCCUUGUCCUAUUUAAGAGUUGAAGGAGCUGUUAUAAGAGAAGUACCAGUAAGCCUUGGUCAAUUAACCUCGCUAGCAAAGUUUGAUUCUAAAUGACAAUCGCAACUUGGAGAGAAUACCGGAAAGCAUCAGACAUCUUUCUAAUUUGGAAUUUCUCGAAUUAAGCUGUUGCACGUCACUGGAAGCAUUAUCUGCAGGUUUACCAUCAAUUUCAUUCGAGUUAUCUGGAGGUUUAAUACUUAUGAUAAAUUUAGAUAGUAUUUCAGCAAAUUACAAGAUCUGUUUAACCUACCAAAUUUUAAAAAUUACAAAGAAUAACAAAACAGAACAGAGGUGUUCUACAUCAUUUUUAUUUCUAUUUUGGUGCCAUGUCUAGAGACUUUUUCUAGCAGCGAAUUUUAAACAAGUCAAGGUUGAGCGUUUGUUAAUGUUUCUAGAUCUCGAUCUGCUUUAAAAACUGAUGUGGCAUACAUAUUUUUUUUAUUUUUUAUUUGGUAAAGAAAUAGCUUCGUCAGUCAGUGUCAAUCGCUUGAAAAGUCUGAAUCUUUGAGAGCUCCUUAGAAACCUCACGACACUGUCAAGUUCGCACUGACUAGUGAUUCGCAGAACAAGUUUGGUAGAAUAGCUCUGCUAGAUGCUCUAGCUCCGCAGAUUCGCAAGUGUUUGAAAGUCCGGGUUCUAAAUCUGCUCCGCAGGUUACAAAUGAAAUCUCAAAUAUUUCAGGAUGAGUUAUUACAGCUGUUAAGGUUAAAGAGAAAAAGAUGGAUGAAAUUCUAAGCUUAAACCAAAGUACAAGAAUGAACAACAACCAAUCAAGAACUAGAGACUUAAAGAAUAGCACAAUACAACCAAUUUGAAGGAACAAUCAGUUCACUUUUAUUGAUAGAAUAACACAGAAAUUGACCAAGAAUAGAGUAGAAAAGCUUUACAAAGAAACAAAUUUUUCACAAAAUGGCUAAGUGAUUAUAGAGAACAAUGCGAAGAAACAGGGCCCAACGCUCAGCACAGAUUUUUGUAACAAACUCUUAUUAGAUUCUUAUUUUGUCGGUUAUGCACCUCAGUUUGGAUAAUGUAACAAAGGCCCCAAACUAUAUGCCUUUAUGACAUAGUCCAGCUGACUUUCAAUCUUUUGCAAAACAGCCCAGCAACAAUAGCUGGGUGAGUUGAUGGUCCGGAGCGCUGAGGGGACGAGAUCUCUGGCUUUGCAACUUUGCUGCAAAUUUGAGGAUAAGUUUCUAUAACACAAUACGACUGCCGAGGCGAGUUUAAUUUCUUUUUGUUAUUUCUUCUUGUGCUGGCAAAUUUUCAAGUAGCUUAUUAAAAAGUUUGAUUCUCUAAUGGUUUUGCUUACACUCUUUUCAUUUAUAUAACUGGAGAAAUGUGAAAGGCAAAACCUAAUACGUAAAUGAGAAUGUGAUAAUAUCCUCUCUAGAACUGAAGCCUUGUAGAAAGUUUCUUGAUUUCAAGAUAUAUAGUACUAGUUUUAAAUUUGUGAUACAGGGGAAUUUUCUGAGUAGGAUCUAACAGCUCCAUUCGCAUGCAACUGCAAUCAAAGAGCUGCCGUCAUCCAAUGAGAUCUUAUUAGUUAAAUUUGAGCUUAUUUACUGUUCAAGGAUUUAGAGGAUUUCGAGAAGCAUAUGAAAGUUGAAAUGUUUUUGAGAUAUUGCUCUUUCCGAUCGUUUAAAUCCGAAGAGGUUUCCAGAGAUCUCAUCUGGUAACACAAAAGGGUUUUAUUUUGAUGGAACUGCAAUCGAAGAACUGUCCUCAUCCUUAGUGUCUAUCCAGUUUAAAUUUAAUAUACAAGAUGACAUAUCUCGAGAAGCAUAUUUAAGCUUAAAUAUCUUGAAGAUCUUAAUCUCUCUAGUAGCAUAAAUCUAAAGUGGAUACCAGAUAUGUCAUCUUGUGUAUUAAAUUUUUAUAUUUAGAUGGAACAACAAUCAAAGAAUCGCAUGCCUUGAUGCACUGCAUGUCCCUCCAGACCAGUUACCUUGACUCUUUCAAAUUUUAAAAGGCUUAAGAGUCUCCCAAGCAGCCUAUACAUGUUGCAAUGUCUUUGAGAUCUUUAUUUCAAAUGGUUGUGAGCAAAUGGCUUCAUCAUUGCCAAUUUCACGGACUUACCUAAAAGUCUUGACCGGUUACUAUCUCUAUGGCAUUUGUAUCUAGAUGAAAACCAUUACAAGAGAAUAUCAGAAAGCAUUGAUGAAUUGGUUUAUGUGCCCUACGCCAAAGUCCUUGCUCAUUACGGGAGUUAAUUGUGCUCAUUAAGAUAUUCCUGUUACUAAAAUCUCUAUUUAUUCAAAUCUUCUUUGCCUCUGGCCAUUUUUUUUCUAAAUUUUUAUAGGAUUCAGGAACAUAUAUGAAUCAUUGUCAGUUCUUCGGAUUAGCUUCCUGUAUGCGUUGUCGUCCAUUUCCAAAUAAUAUACGACAGCUAAUUCCAAAACCACAGACCACAUUGUCUGUCGCUCUGUUUUGAGAUCACAGAUUCAACUUUUCAGUGUUAAAAAAUUUUGGAAAUGAUAUGUCUUUCCAUGGAAAAUAUGUGUUGCGUCGCGUUAUCAUUCAUUAUUUCACUAUUCUUUAGUGAAUUACUAUUUUGGUAUGGGGACGGCUACAGUAAAUGCAUGUAUGUGACACAUGCAAGCUAGGGGUAUUCGCGGAUCGGAUUUUACGGAUUGGACAUCAAUCCAUAUCCAAUCCAUGAUUUUGCGGAUUAUAAUUUUUCAAUCCAAUCCAAUCCACGGAUUGAUAAAAUUCAAUCCAAAUUCAAUCCAUACAUCUGCGGAUCGGAUACGGAUUUGACUCAAUCCAUAUCCAAUCCAUACGUCUACGGAUCGUAUGCGGAUUUGACUCAAUCCAUAUGCAAUUCAUCAUUUUGUGCAUUAGUUUUCGAAUUAAAAAUUUUUAGUUCUCUCCAACUAAUGAAAUAAAAAAAUCUAAUAUAAAAAUAAUUUUGCUACCAAUUAAAUUUAAAAUUGAAAAAAAUUUAAAUAAAUUAAUUGUUUAAAUAAAGCUAAAAUAAUACAUUUAAAGUUUUAAAAUAUAACACAUCGAGACUAAUUAUUCAAAUAAAGCUACAAUAAUACGUUCAAAGUUUCAAAAUAUAACACACCAAGUUUAAUUGUUCAAAUAAAGUUACAAUAAUACGUUAAUAUAACACCGAAAUUAAUUGUUCAAAUAAAGCCACAAUUAAUUGAAAUGACGAAGUUUCGGAAACCAAACACAAUCUGAUCAUUCACCAGGGCUGUUGUACCUAUUGAAAAGUGGUGAUUACGGAGCCAUCUACGAUGGGAACCAGGAGAAGCCGUACGGGUGGCGAUCUUGAAGGUUGUGAUAGUGAAAUUGUUCAGUUAGAACCAGUGAAUGUGAAGUGGCUCGAUGGACUUGGGAAAGAAGAUGGCUUGCUCUCGCCAGAAUCGCGUGGCCGAUAUCCUUUAAAUCUGUGUCGAGAGUGUAUCCAACCAGUAUUGAGUGUUGCUAGUGUGUGUGACGGCGGGGAAGCUUAGGGUUUUUUGUUUGUAAAUUGUUGGUCACUUGGUGUUAUGUUACUUUGCUUUUAUUUUAUUUUACAAUUUUUACAAGUUAUAUUUGUAUAUUUGAUUAUUUAAUUAUUUUUCAUUUUAUAUUAUUAUUGGGCAAUGGUUAAGAUAUGUUAUAAUGCUUAGUAACUAUGCAAUGUCACAUUUGUAAUUUUUUAAUUUUAUAUAUAUAUAUAUAUAUAGAUAUAUUUUUUUUUUUUUACGGAUUCACGGAUUUAUGCGGAUUUACAGAAGUAAAUCCAUAUCCAAUCCAUCGACUGCGGAUUUUUAAAUUUUCAAUUCAUAUCCAAUCCACCAAUCCACGGAUCGGAUUUAUACGGAUCGGAUUCAGCGGAUCGGACGGAUUGAGCGGAUCGGAUUGGAUUCUGAACACCCCUAAUGCAAGCAAUAAAAAAAGGAAAAGGGUUAUUAUCAAAAACCUCCCUUGAGGUUUAGCGUAUUCUCAGUUUGAGAGAUUGGAUUCACGUAUUAUCAGCCACCUCCCCUGACGUUAGUAUACCGUUUAGUAUAAUUUGAGUUGGUGAGGAUAAAAUGGUAAUAGAACUCAUUAAUAAUAAAAAAUUCUAACAAACUUUAAAUUAUCACAUUCGAAUCGAGAAUGAUUUGAAGUUUGUUCAAAUCCAUUGGGUUUAAAAUCGAAGCAAGCAUUUAACCAAAAGAUAUUACCACUCUACCAAAAAAAAAAAAAUGGUUUGAUGUUCGUUCAUAUCCAUUGAGUAAAAACCAGAAGCAAGCAUUUAACCAAAAGAUACUAUCAAUCCACCUAAAAAGAAAGAGAAAUGGGUAUCUCCUUGCUCAGCUCAAACCAAUGCUACCGAGAACAACAUUCCAUCCAUUUUCUCCAUCUCUGUUAUGCUUUAGUAGAGAAAGAGUGCCAUAAGCAAGAAACAAUGACGACAAACCUGAAGACGCCAACACCAGGAACAACUGAAUCACGACCGCCAGGUGAAAGAAGACUGACCAGUGAGUUUCGUCGUCGACCCACAAACAACCCCAACUCGUCUGAGCCACGAAAAGGGUAUGAAAAUAAGCACACAUUUUAUAAAAGCAAAACCCAUAACCUCACUUGUUCAUGCUUUGAAACGAUGAUGUAAUAAUUAUUGCUUCGUAUGUGUGCUGUUAAAGUGGCCAAAUUUUUUUUUUUUGAACUUCUUUCGAACAUUUAGUAACGAGAUUAUGGUUUCAGAUCCCCAGUUGAGCAAUUCCCUGUUUCGUUGGAUAAAGAGGCUGAAUUUGAGUGGUUUGACCUUGCUGAAGUGAAUGAAAUUAUAGUGCCUGACUUGAAUGAAGCCGUAAUAACUUCAGAAUUUGAGAGCAAUAGUGUUAUUGUAGAAGAUUCAUUCAAAAAGCGGCAGCCAAUUGAGAUUGUACGAGAUGGGUCAGCCAAGAAUAUAACUGUUGAUGACUAUGUAGGGUGUGAAGAAAUAGUGGACAGUGAUAGUGGGGAUGAUGCUGGAAAUAAUAAUACUUGGGAUGCUGGUUUAGAUGACUACGAAUCAGCAGAUUAUAGUGGUUCAAACUCAGAUAUGUUGUCAGAUGAUGAAGUUCAGGAUGCGUGUAAUAGAUAUGAGGCCAAUUCAGAGGGUUUUGAGUUCAAUAUAGAUGGGGAAAUGAUUAUGUUGAGGGUUGGAGCAGUGUAUAGGAACGUGGAUGAGUUUAGGAAUGUGGUGAAAGUUUUUGCGAUACAAAAUGGUUUUAGGCUAAAAAGGGUAAAAAUGAAAAGAGUAGAGUCACACUGGCAUGUGCAGCAGUAUGUUGUACUUGGAGGGUUCACGCAAGUCCAAAUUGGAAUGGUAAACACUUUCAAAUCAAAACAUUCCGGCCUGAACACAUUUGUGCUAGAGGUAAUGAUAACUACGAAGCAAAUUCAACUUAGAUUGCUGCAACAUUUCUUCAUCUAUUUAGAGCCAACCCUCAGCUAAACAUUGAAGUAAUAGCAAGUGAGCUGCUUAGGAGAUUUGGUAUUAAAUGCAGUAAUCAGCAGUUGUAUAGGGCUAACAACAAGGCAUUGGAGCUGUUAGGGCAGGAUCAUAAGGCCAGUUAUACCAAACUAUACAGGUAUAUGCAUGCAAUUCUCAUCUCUAAUCCUGGUUCAACUGUAACUAUAGAUAGAGAUUGGUUAGGUGGUGGGCAGAACCCUCAUUUUAAAAAGUUCUUUGUUAUGUUUGAUGCAAAUAGGAGGGGGUUCUUUGAGGGAUGUAGACAGUUUACAGGGCUUGAUGGUUGUCAUCUAAAGGGGUUAUAUAAAGGUGUAUUGUUGUCUGCAGUUAGUAUAGAUGCUAAUAAUGGUAUCUACCCACUAGCAAUGUGUGUUGUUGAGAGUGAAAAUACUAACUCUUGGGUGUACUUUAUGAAUAAAUUAUAUGAGCAAAUAGGCUGUAAUGAUGGUAGUGGGUUGUGUUUCAUGAGUGAUAGGCAGAAGGGAAUUUUAAAUGCUUUGGAGAUAGUGUUUCCUGAAUCUUUGAAAAGGUAUUGUUGUAGGCAUAUAUAUGCUAACUUCAAGCAGAAAUUUCCUGGUGUACUAUUACGUAAUUCAUUCUGGAAAGCUUGUAGAAGUUCAAACCUAGCAGACUUCAACACUCACAUGUCUGAGUUGAAUAAUAUUCAUUCUGCAGCACAUGAUUGGCUGAUGCAGAUUCUAGUUUAUUGCUGGGCUAAGCAUAAAUUUCCAACGCACACAAAAUGCUCCCAUGUGACUAACAACAUGUCAGAGUCAUUCAACAACUGGAUUAAUAAUUUUAGGGGAUUGCCUAUUGUUAGGAUGGUAGAAGAGAUAAGAAGAAAGGUGAUGAAUCUGAUUCAUAGAAGGUAUGAGCAGGCUGUCAUGUGUCAAGAUGAACUGCCACUACAAGUUAGGAGGAGAAUACUAGAUGGAAGGGUGAAGUCCAGGUCCAUGUCAGUUAUAUUUGGGCAUAAUGAUACCUUUGAAGUUAUGGAGGAUGUUUCCAAGAGAAAAGUUGUCAAUUUAAAGGCCAAGGAGUGUGAUUGUGUGGAGUGGCAAUUGUCUGGUUUGCCUUGUGCUCAUGCACUAUGUUGCAUUGAUGCUAUGAGGUACAACGUCAAUGAUUUUGUGCAUCCUUUAUUGAAAGAAUGAAGCAUUGAAGAAGACUUAUAAGCAUCAGUACUAUCCAGUGCCUGAUGAAAGUAGGUGGCCUCCUGAAUUGCAUGAUAACAUGCUUCCACCUAUAAUCAUUAGAACUACUGGCAGGUCUCAAACGAAAAGGAGAAGAGAGGCGGAUGAAAACAGGGCAUUCAAGAGGAGUUCCAAUGUUAGGUGCAGUAAUUGCGAAGAGUGGGGGCAUAAUGUGAGGACAUGCAAAGUUGAUAAAGGGUUUAAAAAAAAUGACAAAGAAGAAAAAUUUAAAGUCAACACAGGUUACUUUGUGUAAUUAUAAGUUUUGAAGUUCUCUUUAUUUAAAUUUCCAGCUUAUAUAUCUGUUUAAUAAUCUCAUGAUUUGUUUACACUUCAACUCAAGGGAAAUGGAUCGGGGAUCAAUAAUGAAAGAGGACAGAGCUCAGGAGCCUAGAAUCAACUUGAGGCAGCAGCUGUCAUUGAAUCUGGAACGCAAGAAUUUGUCCAUGAUGAUGGUUUGAAUUUACUGAUUCAGCAACUCACUUUUCUUAAUUUAUUUGUUUAUAAACUAUUUCAUACUUGCUAAUACAAAUUUUUAUUAUUGAAGGACAAUUAACCCAAUCAUAGAGAGCUUGUAGAUGAUAAAUCCUGCAGCAACAACUUUAGUGGUAAGAAAUUUUUUUGUAUAGUAAUGACAGAGCCUAGACUAAUCCCAUACUACAAAUUUUUUGGAGGGAUGAGAUGAUACUUCACCUUACCUAUAUAAGCUUUAAAUUGUAUAGAUGUUGUAUCAUCUUUUUGUUCUUUUUUUUUGUGAACUGUGUGAUAGUGAAAAUACUCACACCAUUAACAAAGCAUUUCAGUUAAGUCAAAACUUAACAAACUGUUGAAAGUUGAUUUUUUUGUAAAUAUGGGUUGCUGUUGAUGUUGUAUUGGCUGAUUGUUUCACAGCCAUUGGUGACAGUUAACACUUGUGUUGUUGCUGGAUUUUAUUAAUAUUGAAAUAUCAUAUUACUACAUUUGGUUGCUUGAUGUUUUUAAGUUCAGUUUUAUUUGUUGAUGGAUUGGUUACAAGUGAUAUUGGAAUAUCACAUGAUUAGAUGUGUGAAUGUUCUUUGACAGAUGCUCAGAAAUUAUUAUUGUUUACUUUGUAGUUACAAUUUCUUUUUUGCUCGAACACAUUUGGAUGCUGAUAAUAGGUCAACUCAGUUAGUUUUUUUAAAAAAAUAUAUGAGUGGCAUGAUUGACUUUGUGUUUCAUUGCAAAUUAGAUUUAUAAAUAUAUUUCACUUAGAAAACACUAUUGCAUUUGAGUUAUAAAGUAGCAAAAAAAAAUUUAGUCAUCACUGGAACAUUUAGUUUAAAAAGCAUUAGACUUGGUGACACACUACAUAAGGUACAUCACAACAUUUAAAAGAAAGAAUAACACAUUGAAUACAACUAUAACCUUAGCAACAGUUGCAACCUUCGUAGGUUUUCGUGAUUUCUCCACUAUGGUCUUCAUUGUCUUCACGUCAUUUUCAAUUCUAGAUAGUACCGCAUAACAUACAUCUGUUGACACACAUCCUUCAAAUAAAGCUUCAUUGUUAAAAUCAUCUCUAUUUGGUGCCCACCACUUAAAAUAUCCACAACCAUUUUUUUUGGCACAACGGUAGUAAAGCAUAUGUGGAUUGUCAUCGGAUUCUGAAAUCUUCAAAUCAGCUCUCAUAUAGCAUUUGCAUAUCUUGUUUGAGAACCUAAUGAGCUUGCCAUUGACUGUAUUCCUCCAAGCAGGCUCAUAAAAUGUGCUUGAUCGAACAGAAUUGUUUGAACUUUGUGACUCCAUUGAUGUGCAAGAAUGUUCCAGCUUUGAAUAAUGCUGAGUUUUUUAAUUGAUUGAUGAAUAUAUCAGAGAUGGUUGAUAAAGAGAUGAAGUGAUAUUGGUAGUGUUGGGUUGGUGCCUUUGAAGUGAAAUGAAAGCUAAUUUUUUUCUUCAGUUUGAGUUCAAAGUGUAUGCUGCUUAUUUAGCUUGUUUAUGGCAGGUUAUAUAGCCACUGGUAUUGGCAAUAUAACCAUUAAAGGCAACAGUAAUAAUGUCAGUAACAACUGCAGUUCAAUUUCAAGUAUUAACUUCAAUAUUUCACAUCCUGUCCAAUAAUUAAAAAAAAUUGUAAUUGUUUGUUUAAUUCAUCCAAGUCAUUUUAGAAAGUCCAAAAGAUGAUUUGGUAUUUUUAUUGACCAUUUUGGCACCAAAACAUACAUGUUAUUAUCAACGCACAAUUCUUUAAUUUGUGUACAGAAAGAUAUUUUCCCACAAUAGGGGUAUUUUCAUCAUUUUAUUAAUCAAUAAACGGUCAAACAAACAAGUUAUUAACGUCGGGGGAGGUGGCUGAUAAUAUGCGAAUACAAUCUCCCAAACUGAAAAAUACGCUAAACCUCAGGGGAGGUUUCUGAUAAUAACCCAAAAGAGCAGGCAGCCAAACACCAAAAAAAAAAAAUUGGGAGCAACCGGUUGCAAAUAAAUUAAAUAAUAAUAAAAAUAAUAAUAUUCAAUUAUAAGAAAUAAAAUAAUAAUAAAAUAAUCAUUAUUAAAGGACAUAACAAAAAAAUUAUUUUUAUAAUAAUAAAAAAGGAGUUUCAAGUUUAAUGGUAUAGGUAUCAAGUUAAUGGUCUUAAUUUCAUGUUUAUUGGUUCAUUAAUUUCAUUAUUUUUAUGGUUGCGAGUUAAUGAUCUCAUGGUUCAUGUUUAUUGCCCUAGGUUUCAAUUUCCUUCAAUUUCAAGUUUAAUGGUCAAGGUAUCAACUUAGUGGUCACGGUUUCAUAUUUAUUGGUCCAUUAAUUUAAUGAUUUUUAUGGUUGCAAGCUAAUGAUAACAUAUUUUAUGUUUAUUACCAUCCGUUUCAUGUUCCUUUGGUUUCAUAUUUAAUGGUUCGGGUAUCAAGUUAAUGAUUAUGAUUUCAUGUUUAUUGAUUCAUUAAUUAAAUAAUUUUUAUGGUUGCAAGUUAAUGAUCUCAUGUUUCACGUUUAUCUUUGCAUAUAUAUAUAUAUAUAUAUAUAUAUAUAUCUAAUCACCGUAAAAUUUUGACAUGUUUUUUGCACCACUUUUGUUUCUCAACUUGCAUCGGUCAACCACUUUGAUACUAAAAAUGACUAUUUUACCCCCAAAUAAAUUAAAAUAUUAUUUUAUUUUUUAAAAUUUUAAAAAAUAAAAAUAUAAUUACAAGAAUACCCCUAAAUUAAUAAAACAAAUAAAUCUCAAAAUCUAAGAUGUUAAUGUUUUAUAAUUAUAAUUUCAUUUAAUUUUUGUAAGUAAAUUAAGUAUGGCAAAGUUUACAAAAAUUAACAUGAAGAAAAGAGUACCUUAUAAUUAUUGUAAACUUCCCUAUAAUUAAAAUUAACAAAUUUUUCUAUACAAAUUGAAGAUUCUACUAUAAGAAUAACUAGUUUUGAAGUCCAACAAAAAUACACUCACUAGUUGUGUUCUUGGAAUAUCGGCUUACAAAGUAGGACUUGUUACAAAUAUAACAUAUACAAUCACCAACAUAUAGGUUUUCUAUUAACCAUCAGCAGCAGAUACAAAACUUCCAAACCCAUAAUUAGAUAGUGUUAUACAUGAUCAUAUUAGGCAAGGAUUUGUGACAAAUGUCAAAUAACCAAAGUUUAGAUAUAAGCAAUAAAAUGAAAAUAUUAUUAAAAUAGUUGUAAAGCUUACCUAUUGAAGGAAAAUUACAGCAAGAAACAAUCACAACAUAUUCAAGUUGGAGUUGGAUUGCACUUGGAGUGGUGAUACUUGACCCUCUCAUUAUAUUUCACUAACCCCUAUUUUUUUAGUAAACCCUAUUAAAAAUUUUAAACUAAUCUUUAUCUCUCAACAUAUCCCAUCUUAUAUCGAAUUUACCCUUAUUAUAAUUUUUAUCUUUUUUCCAUAACAUCGUAUAAAACUUACAAAAUCUAUUUUAAAAGAAAAAAAAUUUAGAGUUACUAUAAUCUCUCUCUUUCUUUUUAAAAGUUUUAUUCACCAUGACCAUAACCGUAAAAAAAAUUGAGUUUUCUUCAUCAUCCUCUAUUGAGUAUUGCAAAUUAACUUCUUUCAUGAUUACAAAAAUAGAGUAUACAAUAAUUGAGAAGAGAAAAUAAUUUAAAAAAAGUUAAAAUAAAUUAAGGUUAAAGAAAUUAGAUUAGCUAAAUUAGAUAUUAAUAGAAAUUAUCAUUAUGAGUACACUUAAAAACUAUUUAUCCUUUUAAGUCAUUUCAUAUAAGGAUAAAAUAGUUAUUAGUAUAAAAAUGAUUAGUGAAGGUUGGUGAAAUAUAAUGAGGGAGUCAAAUAUGACAACUCUUGCACUUAAAGAGCAUCCAAGCACACACAAAAAAAAAAAAAAAAAAAAAUUAAUAAUAAUAGUUAUGUUCUUUCCCAUAGCUUUUAUAAGUUUUCCUAGCCCAAGUAUCUCCUCAUUCUUGCUUAAUUCUUUCGGCCCUUUUAACCCUUCAAGUUAUUUGAGCCCACUCCAGCUUCAAUCACCAUUUCAUUUUCCCGCCUCUGUGUUUUGUGCUCCAGACACAUAUGGGUGCUUUAUUGCACUUUAAGAAAUUAGAUUAGCUAAAUUAGAUAUUAAUAGAAAUUAUCAUGUGGGUGUAUUUUAAAAGCUAUUUAUCCUUUUAAGUCAUUUUAUAUAAGGAUAAAAUAAUUAUUAGUAUAAAAAUAAUUAGUAGAGGCUGAUGAGAUAUAAAGAGGGAGUUAAAUAUGACAGCUCUUGCACUUAAAGAGCAUCCAAGCACACAAAAAAAGAAAAAAAUACUAGUAAUGUUUUUCCCGUAGUUUUUAUAAGUUUUCCUGGCCAUAGCAUCCCUUCCGUCUAGCUUAAUUCUUUCGGCCCUUUUUACCCUUCAAGUUGUUUGAGCCCAUUGAGCCCACUGCAGCUUCAAUCAUCAUUUCAUUUUCCCGCUUGUGUGUUCUGCUCGGCGGAUAUUGUCGGCCAUUAGUGUUCCUGAAUUAUUCCUUUUUUUCGUCAUUUACGCAUCUCACGGUCUUCAAUUAACUUUAGAAAAGUAGACAUAUCACAAAAUUGAACUCCUAGUGAAAAGAGUGUAGUAAUUAGUAAAGAGAAAAAUCAAUUUCUCCUUGCUUUUUUUUUUUUUCAAGUGAGAGAGUUGUUUUCUCUUUUUUUUUUUCAUUUUAUUAAAAAAAUUGUUUAAUCCUCUAUUCUUUUGUUUAUCGGUAAUUUUUUAACCCAAUAAGUUUAAAAAUUUCCCACAUAAAGUGCUUGUGUAUAAUUUUAUCUUCAAUAUUUUUUCAAAUUUCACUAUAAUUAUUGCAUGUCAUAAUUCCCUAACAAACACAAAAUUCCUCUGCAGCUAAUAUAAGGCAGCUUCUGAGAAAUUAUUGGGCGUACUUCAAAAAGGAAAAAGAAAUUAAAUUUUGAAAUUUUGUUUCAAAAUAAUUUUCAUAGAUAUUUAUCAUAAAUCUUUUUUUCUAAGUCUUCUAAUUCCAACUCACAGUCAGCAAGUUAAACUGUCAUUCUAGGCAUCGUCAUUGAAAUUACCGAAUCUUUAAUUCGAAGAGGGUGUUUGUGUACUUAGGAUUUUAUAGUUCCUGGACGUCAGGAUUUUAUGGCUUUCUUCAUGCCAAAACAAUGAAUUCAAAGUGUAUUUGAUCAUUCCCUUUUUAUCAUAUUCUUUAUUCAUUAUUUUGUUUUUGUUUUCACAGACGAGAUAGGGACUCAGCUAUCUUGCAACAGUUGCAAGGUACCACCAAAUUUUGUCUUUUUCUUGAUUUCAGUCAUUUGCCAUUAGAUUUAAUAAAAAUGUAGUUUCAAUGGUAGAGAUUUGUACAUUUAAAUAUUAACAUUACACUUCUUGAUAUUUAUUAAAAGCACAAACAAGUUAAAAAUAUAAAAAUUUUAGCACAUAAGUCCGGAUUGUUUACAAUUUAUAUUGUUUAAUUAGUAGUGAGUAUUAAAAAUAAAUUUUAUUUUUUAAUAUUAUAUAUUUUAUUUAAAAGAAUAAAUUUUUAAUAUUACAUUUUAAAGGUCACUAGCUAAACUAUAUAAACUUAUAAAUAAAAUGUAAAUAAGAAAAAAAAUAAGCGGUUAAAUGAAAUUUAACGUUACAUAAGAUAAAAAAUAGUGGCUAGCUGGACCCACGAGAUAGUUGUAUUUACUUGUAUUUAUAUGCGUACUUUCGGACUCAUGUCCCUGUGUGAGUGGGAGAAAUUUCUUGUUAGUGCAGAGAUAUAUUUUAUUUCGUAUAUUUACUUCUCUAUUGAAGGUUCUGCUAUUGUAACCAAAAAUGCAUUUUUUUGAACUACUUCUGAGUUGAUAUGAUACUAGAGCUUGUGGCGAUUAUUUAUUUUGACAGUUCAAUUGGUGUCUAAUUAUAAUUUUAUUGAAGAAAAGAUAAACAGAAUGUAGAAAAAGAUAAAAGAAAUAAAAUUUCUGGAUGAAUAAAAGUCUGAAAAAGAUAAAAGACAAAAUCAUCUGCUUUGGGAUUCCAAAUUUAAUUUCUGAUCAAAAUCUCUUAAUAUUGUCCGAAUUUAGUUUAAUUUCUCCUCAAAAGUAGAGUUUGGGCCGACAACAGAAUUUUAGAAAAAUUAAAGAAUUAUUUUCUUUCUUUCCUGCGGUCCAUGAAUCAUUCUUUUUCUCAUUUCAAUUUCUACCUGCGUUGUCACUACUUUACUCAUUGCCCAACCUCACAUUAGUCUUCAGUGAAAUUAUUUAAUAUCACCUUUUGAAAAGUAGACAAUUUAUACUUUACCGGAACAAUCAGAUGAAAUUAUCACGAAACUUGCUGGUAGAUUCGAGGGAGUAGCCUGCUAAAGGCAUCUAUUCUCCGAUUAAAGUAUCUUUUUGGCCUAUUGUGUUUGCCUCUGGUCUAUUACUGUCCAAGCAUUUAGAGAAGUAAUUAAUCCAAAGAGGUGCUAUAUCGUAGAGAUAAGAUGCUCGAUUCAGUAUGUUCCAUCAAACAAUUGCUCCACCAUUUGGCAUUUUUGUAGAUAAGCUAUCUUAAUCUGAUUAUUUUUUCUUUUGAAUUGGUGUGCACGUCAACGUGGGAUUGUUUUUAAGAGCACAAAUACAGAAUUUUAUUGCUAGCCAAUUGCGAUAUGGAACAAUUAUGUGGUGAAUUGUUUUAUGCUCUCUGACAAACUCUUUGUUACAAGAGUUGAUUUUGAACAUUCAGUUAAUCCUGUUAAAAGCUCUGUUCAGUCAUUCUUCUUUGCCUUUGGUCUACUGUGUUGCAUAUUUUUAAAGGAAUCAGUUCACAAAUAUUGGCCAUAUGGAACACUGUUGCUCUUCAUAUUAAGUUUUAACUUCACAGCUUCCAUAAAAUUUACUGCCACAUCAACUAAGUUAACUGCAUGUUUUAUUUUAUUGGUUCUUCCUUAUUGAAGUUUACUUGCUUUUGACUCUAAAGUCCAAGCACAAUUUGAACUUGGACCUUGGCUGUAUCUUUCACAGCAUGACAAUUUGAUUUUCCCCUCAAUCUUUUAUAAUGUCUCUGCCUUUUCCUACUUGAAAAAAGAUAGCCACUGGCAUCAUUAGACCAAGACUGCACUCAUAAGAUAUGAAAAAAGACACAGAUAUCCCAAUUAUAAACAAAGAAUUAGCAAAAUAGAUCAAGAAAAGAAGAUGAACACAUACAGAUUUUGAUGGUUCAGCCACCACGUGGCCUACUUCCAUGCAAGUGACAAAUCGAUUGAUUUAUUGAUUUAACGAUCUAAAGAUUACAAGAAUAUUAAAAACUUUACAUAGAACAAUUUAUAAUAGGAAAUAUCCCUGUAAUCGCUCUCUUAAGUCAAGAAACCGAUUUCAGAGAUUUGCCGCUCUUUCUAACACACUUGACAGAGGUUUGGCAAAAUUUAGGUCAGAACAAGCGACUAACGUGUGUAUCACAUGUGACCACAAUUUUGCUAUAAAACCAGACUUGCAUUGGACUUGAACGAUUAAAAUGUAAAACUUCAAUGUACAAAACUCAGUCGUUUUGCAGCCGUUUGAUUAACCAUCAACAACUUGUAAUCCUCUGACAGUUUGAAACCAGAACAUAAUUAGUAUAAGCACAUAAAUUUUAGGAUCGAUUUAGACAUGGUAUGGUUUGAGUAUUUCUAACACUUCCUAGUGAUGCAUCUAUAGGAGUUUCUUUUAGAAAAUAUAUCAUUAAAUUGACCAUCUUGACCAUUGACCAUCGUCUGAUUAUUAUUUUUUUUUAUCUCGCUUACCACGUUGAUAGUGCGGCAUUUUGGGUACUACAAAAAGCACAACAACGAUUAAAGAGCUGCUUCAAAUAAUUCAUCUUUCACUUUUGUUGGGUGAAGUGCCGCUUAACUACUCCAUGAUCCCCCCAGCACUUGAAGAGGGUACGUGUUUGUGUACUUAAGACUAUCUAUAGUUUCUAUUUGUUGGGACUGUACGGUCUGCCCUUCUGUCAUAACAAUGGAUUCAAAGUGUAUUUGAAUUCCACUUAUCAUAUUAAUUAUUCUGUUCAUUAUUUUGUUUUUGCUUUUUCGUUUUCAUUUUUCAUUAAUCCUCCCCUCAUUUUUUGAGGAUAUAAAUUACUUAUUUGAUCAGCUCUAGUGGUAUGUACAUAUACAUACAUACAUACAUACAUACAUACAUACAUAUAUAUAAAUUUUUACAAAAAGAUGAUUUUGUCUUUGUAAUGUAAGUUUAACAAAGGUUAUAUUUGUUGAUUUAUACAUAUAAUAGAUUGUUUGAAUCUCCUAACAAGAGGAACAAAAGUAAUUACAAAUGAUUUGUCAAAUUUUGUUAAGUUACAAAAUAGUAUAUUAUACACUCAAAUCUAACAUCAAAUACAUAGCAAACAACAACUUCAAAAGCAAAAUCCCUAGAAGCAACUCCCAUAUCUUCAUCAACCAACGGCUUCAAAAGCAUCCCAUGAUUUUUGUUAAAAAUUCAUAGUUUCAUGACUGCAUAUUUUUAUUGAGUGAAGCCUUGCUUAAAAAACCCAUUCCACGAUCCCAGUCCCACCACGCACUUUGUAUAAAAUUCAAUUUAUUAGAAUAAUUAAAAUCAUUAGUAGAGGAAUUCAACCAACAACUUCAAAAGCAUCCCAUGAUUUUUGUCGAUAAUUCAUAGUUUCAUGACUGCAUACUUUUAUUACGUGAAGCCUUGCUUAAACAACCCAUUCCAAGAUCCCAGUCCCACCAUGUACCAUUUGGAAAUAUCACAUUUUAUUCCCCAAUGCGACAUAUUUUCUUCUCCAUUGAAGGUUCUCUGAAUGCUAUUAACCAAAAAAUGCAACAUUCUGUUCUGUUUAUGAAUUGGGAUUAUUUGCUUCUGGCUGUCACUGACUCAUUGACCAUUAGCAAUAUAGCAUUAGGUAGUGCCAGCUCUUUUCUUUUUUGUCUUUGUCUUCUCUAAUUCGAGCUACAAAUCCAUGUUCCGAUGAAUUCCUUUUCCAUCUCCUCUCCAUUGUUUGGCUUCAAUAUUUUGGAUUUGAAGUAAAUUUUCCGCAUAUUUAUUUUGCAUCAACCUUAACAUCGUAUGUGAAAAAAUUCUGCAUAUUUAUUUUGUCCUACAGAGACGAUUUUUUUGAAAUUCACAUACAAUAACAUAAGGCAGCUUCAAAGAAAUUACUGGGUGGAGUUCAAAAUGAGAAAAGAAAUUAAAUUUUAUUGGACCACCGUCAUGAAAUUUUAAAUUUUUUGGACCACAAUCCGCCUUUGUCUUUUCAUGUGAUUGCAAGCUACUCGAUGACAUUGACUGAUCAUUGACCAUUUGGUGCUCUCUUCCCUUCGUCUUCUAAUUCAACUUACCGUCAUCAAAUUAAACUGUCAUUCACAUAAUAUACGGCAAAUAUCAAUCACAUAAAGCGUACACGGAUAAGUCAGUGUUUACGGGGAAAGAUAAAAAAAAAAAAUAUUCCACUAUUAAAAUGGGGAAUAUAAAUAUUGAAAUAUUUAUCUUACAAUCCAAAUUCUUAAUACAAUCAAGUUCUCAGAUCACUUGAGAACAUUUUAGUUAUCUCAGUUACUAAAGAAUUGCAUUUUAGUUAUCUCAGUUACUAAAGAUUGCUUUUCAUAAAACACACGUUAAGUUUUCAAAUUGUUGGAGAACUUUUCUCACACUGGCUCAUGAAUUUUGCAUCCAAUUUAUAAACAAAUCUAGAUUUCAAAUGUAAAAUUAUGAUUUUUUGUCCUUCACAUCCAGCAUCCAGGAAGGCUCAAGGAAAGUAAGUAAUCGUGAGUAUGAAUCUAUUAAAAAAUAUGCUCUGAGAUUAAUUGUUCUUUUAAAUUAAUUGGUCUUUUAUUUUAUUUUUAUUAUUUUCCUUAGUGACGGUGGUGAAUAGUAUUUACGCCUUUUUUUUUAUUAUUAAUUUUUAGCUAUCAUUCCCUAUUUCUUUCCUUUGGAAAAACGCGGUUCAACAGUAACCAUAAAGCUGCAUUUAAUUGUGGAGGGUGCACAAGAGUAAUAUAGAGUGUUUUAGUCUAUUCAGUGUGCAAAUAACCCAAUGUUAUAAGAGUUAUGAAUAUAUGUUGUAUGUAUUUGUAAUAUUUUUGUUUUGGGCGGGGGUUAUAUUAAUUUAAGAAUUUAAUUUAAAUCUAGACAUUAAAAUAUGACCAUUUAUUUCGUUCAAUCAAUUAACACACGAGGAUUGUUUGUUGAUUGGAGAGGCUAAAACUGAGUGGGAAAGUAAAGCAACAGAGGAAUAGAAAAGAUCUAUGACAAAGAUCGAUGAACAGAAGUGGAGAGGAACAACAGUGGGCAUGAUCUAAUAUUGAAUUACAAAUAUGUUGGCCUUACGGAAUAUGUCGUUGACAAAAUUAUGGAGUAUUGAUUUCUUGGGGAUGAAUAUGAUUUGUGAGAAUGGGGAUGAAUUUUGAUUCCCCCAAUUUAGGUUAGGAAUUGCUAUUACUAGUAUAAUCGUUGAGGAAUGAGGAAAAAGAGUCGGUAUUCUCUCUCUCUUCCUUUAUUAAGUUUUAAUAUGUCAUCUAUGCUUUUUGUUUUCUGAAUCUUAUUUAUUAAAGUUUUACUAUCACAUAAUCAAUCAUCUCAUACCUUAGAUUGAAUUAAAUAAAUUUUAAAGUUUUGAUGCUUAGAUUACAAUCAUAUUCUUAAGUUAAAAUAUCCCCUCCCGUUUGUUUUUUAUCUAAAAAAAGAAAAAAAACAUUGGUACUAAAAAAUAAAUAAUCUUAUUUUUACUAAAAAUACAAUAUUUUUAGUCUUCUAAUUUGUUUAUUUUAAAAGUAACUCAUUCACUGCUUUGCAAAAUCAAAAUCUCCUGUGGCAAUGAAUUGAUUUUACAAGAAGUAAUUUUAAUAGUUUUUACCAACCAUUUAAAUUCAUCAUUAGCUUCUCAAUAUCACUUUUGAAAAUCCCAACAACAAUCUCAAAUUGGUCAAUAAAUUACUUCAUUUUCUAAAUAGUAAACAUAAAAUGAUGGAAAUAAUUUUUAUAUCAUGAAAGUAAAAAUAAUUUUAUUAUUUGCAUCAAAUUAAUAUUAUUUAGAUAUAUUUAUAUUUAAUUAUUAUGUUAUUAAAUUAUCAAAUAAUAAAAAUAAUAUUUUUAUUCACAAUAAGACAAAUUUAGAGAAAAAUUAGAUGGUGUUUGCUAGGAAACUUAAGAGAAAAAUUAAUAUGGAACUGUCCCACCACUUGGGAUUCUUUCACGUAGCGUUUCAGUGGAUCUCAUUGAAUUUUAUUUUGAAAAAGGAUAUUAUCAUUUUCCCACCAAAGUUAUUCUGACACAUCAUGUCAAUACCACGGUUUGGUAAAACUAUCAAUUUACUACCAAACAUUUAAACUGUUAGCAUUUUCCUACCAUUCCGUUAAAACUCAGUUAAUAUGUAACGAAAUUUUUUUAAAAGGUCAAAUUUACCCUUGGAGCAUAAAAGAUCAUGUAAUUAAUCUUUUAUGAAUUUUGUAAUUAAAUCAUCAUUUGUUGUUCUUCCUUCUUAAAGGAUAAAAAUUACCCUUUAUGAAUUUUGUAAAAUUGACCGUGUGGUGUUAGGUACUUCAUAAAUUGAUUUAAUUUAUUUAAUUUUUAAAGGGCAAAUUUAUUUAUUUAAUUUUGUGUAAAAUUAUUAUCAUCAUAUCAAAGAUUAAAUUGCUUCUUUUGCACAUUCUUUUUUUUUUUCCCUUUCAUAAAUUGAUUUUUAGUAGUAGAAUAAAUUGUCUUUAGCUCGUCAAUUUAAUAAAUAAAUUUGCCCUUUAAAAAUUAAAUAAAUUAAAUCAAUUUAUGAAGUACCUAGCACCACACGGUCAAUUUUACAAAAUUUAUAAAGGGUAAUUUUUGUCCUUUAAGAAGGAAGAACAACAAAUGAUGAUUUAAUUACAAAAUUCAUAAAAGGUUAAUUACAUGGUCUUUUACGCUACAGGGGUAAAAUUGACCUUUUAUGAAUUUUCUAUUACAUAUUAACUGAGUUUUAACGGAAUUGUGGGAAAAUGCUAACAGUUUAAACGUUUGGUGGUAAAUUGAUAGUUUUACCAAACUGUGGUACUAACAUGAUGUGUCAGAAUACUUUUGGUGAGAAAAUGAUAAUAUCCCUUUUGAAAAAUCAAUUGAUAAUACUGGGAUGGUAUAGCCUGGUAGGGUGAUACUCUAAGCGGUCCCUUUAACCUUUUUAGUUGUCGUACACGAAUUAUUUCUUCAUUUGGAAUAAAAAUCAACAAAGCUGCAUCUUCACUGAAAUUAUUGUCCACAGUGCUUCCAGGAAAAUGAGAUAAAGAUAAUUUUAAAGAAACUUUUAGGAAGAUUCCAAGCAUUAAUAAUUAUUUAUAUUUAUUUAUAAUAAAUUACUUUUAAUAAUAAUAAUUUAUAUCAUGAGUAUUUUUAUUAUAAAAUUUUUAUAUGAAUGUAAGUGCAUAAAAUAAUUGUUUAGAGUGUAAAUAAUCUCGUCUAAUUGAUAAUCCUCGCUAAUCAAAUACAAUUUGUUAAUAGGGCACGAGUCACUGCCCCCUUGAGAAUUGAGCACAGAAGCAUUUACUAUUUUCUAUGGUGGAUUGUUGGGAAAUUUACACCCUUUCCACCUUUUUAGCUGCAUUUACUAUUUUCUUUCUUCACUUGAUUAUACAAUUUGAUUAUCAAGAAACAACCUGGAAGGUUCCAAGCAUCGUUUUACUCUGCACAGAUACUGCAGUCACCAACGUUUGCUCGAGAAAAAUACGACGAAUUUUCCGGGAAAUUUUUGCUUUUUCUCUUCAAACUUAAAGUUUGGGGGCAGAAAUGUUAAAGGUUUAAAGGUGGGUACAAUUAUUCUUCUUUUUGUUAUUUACGCAUUGCCUUCCAUUCACAUUAGUCGGUCUUCAAUUAAUUUUAGAUAAGGAGAUGAAACUACCAUAAAAUUAACUCCAAGUGAGGGACUACUGAAGCAGCCAUAUAUUUCCACGCGCAUUUUAUUCAAUUAAUUUACUUAUGAUCACAUCCCACAUCAUAUUAUUAUUGUAUCAACUUGCACGGCCGUAACAAUUAACAGAAAUUUUCAUUAAAAUUAUUACAUUAAUUUUUAAAUAGAAAUAAGAAAAAAAUUCUUAAUAGUGAAAAAACAUAAGAUGAAAUCGUGUGUCGUUUGUCACGAGUCAAACUUUUGAGAAAAAUACACGAAUGAAUGUGGCGCGUAAAAGGUGUUGAUGUACUAUCAACAUUUUCAUUUUAUUUUUAUUUUUCUUGAACUUUCAUAUUUUUUUUAUAAGCUGUCAUCAAUUAUUUGGGUCUUCCUAAGCUACAACUCAUGUAAUUUGAUUUUUACAUGUUUCGCAUGAGUUGUAAAUUACAUAUUUUUACAUGUUUUGCAUGGAUUGUAAAUUAUAUGAAUUGUAAAUUAGCAAAACCCUUAUCACGAAACUUAAGUCUCAGGAAGAUUCCCACUUCCAAGCAUAAUGUGUUCUUGAUUUCAUCUCGUCGAAAUUUCGAAGUUGGUAACUGCUUUUGGUAAUUAUAUCUUCAUCACUUGCAAUCUUUUAUUGCUUUUCCAAGUUAAUUUUUAGGGUAAGUAUCAUAAACCUCUGCUAGAUUUGAUUUAUUCACAGUUUCAUAGAUUGUAUUCGUAUAUUCUCAAAUACCUCCCUUAACGUUAGUAUAAUGUUUCUUUGAUUGUUUGUUGCACAAUAAAUGAUCAAAAUACUCCAGCAAAAAUUAUUUUAUACUGAAAAUAAAUAAUUCUGUACCAACAUGUUUGAUUUGGCGCCAAGGGAUGUAAAUAUAAAUAAAAUACCAAAUCACCCCCCACUACUUUUUAAAAUGACUUUGAUGGAUGAAACAAACAAAAGAUUUGACUUAUGUCAAAUAUCAGCGAAUUCGAAAGGAAGCUUUUUUGCACUUUGCCUCAUUGCUCUGCUUUCUACAUCAAAUUUCUUUAAUCUUGGUGAAGAUUUUGGUGUCCCGAUUUGUGUCUCUCUCUCUAAUUUUCUAUUUUUCAUUUCAUGAGCACAUCUUCCCUUAAAAUUGUAGAGAUACUAUAUGAAAUCACCAAACCCUGAAAAUAUUAUAUUAGAGAAAAAAAAACAAUUAUAACUUAAACAAUAUUUGUAAUCAGCAUUUGCACUUUCAUUCAUGGUUAAUUUCUUUUAUACAUAACGAAAGCUUGAUUAGGGAGAGAGAAUUUUAGUCGAUCCCAAAAGAUAUUCAUAAGAAAAAAAAUUAUUGGUUAAAUUCAAGCCUUGAGCAAUAAUAAAUUUUUGGCCAAAUCGAAAUAUAUAACAACUUCAUGCAAUUUUAAUUCAGUUGAAUAAUAAAUGGGUUUUCAUGAUCACGUAUAAAUUUUCUCGCGCAAUCAAUUAUCUCGUCGCAGUCAGCUUUCUAGUAUCCAUUCUGCAUUCAACUAACCUAUCCUGUUCUAUCUCUUCAAUUAAUUUAUUUCGUGAGCUUUGUCAAACUAAUCAAAUUCAUUAAUGGAGCAAAACCGUGAAGGAUUAUUUUUCAAACUUUUGAAGAAAAUAAACAUGUUAGCAACCAGUCAGGGGCAUGAAAAUGGUUGUGCAUAUAUAUCUUUGUUGACAAUUCCUCUUUGAAAUUAAUUGUCUUUUAUAUUAUCUAUCGAAAUGUAACAUAUCUGAUCGCAUGGAUUAAUUUAGAGGAUACAUAAUUUCAAUGAAAGACUACUAAUCGAGGGCAAUUUCGAUUCUGAUUGAAUGGUAGAUGUAUAUAUGAGCAUCAUUCUAAUCAUUAAAUUGAUAAAAUUAGGAAGUUAACUUCGAUCCAACAAUUAACUUUAAUGGAGCAGCAGGGAAUUGUUUUGUUUAUGUUAGAGUUAUUUUAUUAAUAAAAAAUUGGGUUAUUAUUAUUUCACUACUUCAAAAAUUGUGAAAUAUCAAAUGACUACAACAAGUAUUGUCUCUUAUCAUUUUUCUAUCAUAUCUGUAUAAAAUUAUCAUUUAACUACUUUUUUAUUAUAACCAUUAGUUGACCAGUUAAUUGACUAGUUAAUUGUUGAAUAAUUUUAACCAUUAGUUUAUAAAAUUAUCAAAAUUUUCUGGUCAAAAUCUUUGAACACUGUAGUUAAUUGAAUGAAACACGUCGCAUUUUCUGGGAAAUAUUUUAGCUUUUUGUCAUUGCCUCACAUUAGUCGGUCUUCAGUGGUAGUGAAGCAUCCAUAUCUCUUACGUGCAUUUCAUUCAAUUAAUUAAUUAUCAUCACAUCCCACAUUAUUGUUUCACCUUGCACCGUCCGAAUAACUAACAAGAAUCUUUAUUGAAAUUAUUGUGCCACUUUUAGAAAAGAGAUAGGGAAAAAGUUGAAUUCACAAGUCCAACUUUAAAAAGGCAGAAAAAAAAAAAAGGACUGGAGUAGAUGUCACAGGUAUUAAAUGCAUUGAUGAGGUUUCAACAUUUUUUAAAAAUAUUUUUAUAUAAUUUUUUACCAAAGUUCAAAUAACUAUUUUCAAUUAGUUUUAAAGUAAUAUAUAUAAGAUGAUGAUGAUAAUACGGGAUCAACAUCAACAUAAAAUUCAUUGGUGCUCCAUCAACAUUGAUUUUCCCAUCUCUUCAGUAAAUGUUUUACAUAUUUAUUUUGCAUCUAAUUUAAUAUUAUUGAAAGUUAAUAGACGUGAUUAGUAAUAAAUAGAAGACUAAAAAUAUUUAAAGAAAUAGAGCUAAGCGUGCUGCGUGCAUGAAAUUGCAUCUAUACUUUACCAAAGGGAAAAAAAAUUGCCACGCAACAGCGUGGAAGGUUCAGAGAAAAUAUUUGUUAGCGUUUUCUUUUUGUUAAAUAUAAUUGGUUGAAUUUUUUAUUUUUUAUUUUUUUAAAAUAGAAAACUAUAUUACAAAACUUCCCGGUAGGUUCCAAGGAACUAUCUAAUAAAGCAUCUUUAUAUAACCUCCAUAGACACAGCCGCAUUAAAUUAUUUUCACAUCCCAAAUUUUCACAUCUGAUCAAUUUUCUCAUCACUGAACUGUUAUGGCUUCUUCUUCUUCUUGUCCACCUCGAAACGCUAAGAAGAUGUAUGAUGUUUUUCUGAGUUUCAGAGGAGAGGACACCCGUGACAACUUUACUAGCAUUCUUCACUAUGUUUUGUCUCUGAAAAGUAUCAAAACUUUCAUUGAUGACCAACUUAUCAGAGGAGAGAACAUUUCACAUUCUCUUCUUGAUACAAUUGAAGCAUCGAGCAUUUCAAUUAUCAUUUUCUCAGAAAGGUAUGCUUCUUCUAGAUGGUGUCUCGAUGAACUUUUGAAGAUCCUCGAAUGCAAGCACGAAUAUGGACAGAUUGUGAUUCCAGUUUUCUAUCACGUUGAACCAUCACAUGUGAGAUCGCAAAGCCAGGAUUCUUCUUUUGGGAAGUAUUUUAGUGGGCUUGAAACACGUUAUCCAGAGAAGAUGCAAAGAUGGAAGAAUGCUUUGACCGAAGCAGCCAAUCUCUCUGGCUUUGAUUCUAAUGUCAUUAGGUACGAUAAUUUUCUGUCUAAUUCUUAGUAUUAAUCUAGUACAAGUAAUAAUAUAUAACAUUAACUAUGACUAUGUGUUUAAAUAUUUAUCAAUAAUAUAUCAAUUAAAUCGUUCUUAAUUAUAAGGAUUAGGUUAUUUUCUUGCACAUUUGAAUAAGUUUCCAAUUAAAUAGCUAUUUGAUGAAAUUGAUCUUCACAUUCUAUUAAUUAGCCAUUUUAUAUUGCAACUAAUUAAAAACACACGAUUCUCUGUCUCGUUUACAUAUAUUUGAACUAAUUGCUGUUAUUUUUUUAACUAGGCCUGAAUCUAAACUUAUUGAGGAAAUUGCCAAUGAAGUUUUGAAGGGGCUAGAUGAAACUUUUCAAAGUGAUAACAAAGACUUGGUUGGAGUUGAAUGCCCCAUUGAAGAAAUCGAAUCAUUAUUACACAUUGAGUCUGAGGGUGUUUACAAACUAGGGAUUUGGGGCAUCGGUGGUAUAGGCAAGACAACAAUCGCUGAUGCUGUUUUUAACAAAAUCUCUAGACAUUUUGAAGGUUCUUACUUUGCGCAAAAUGUUAGAGAAGCAGAAGAAACUGGCGGAAUGAAGGACUUACAGAAGGAACUUCUGUCCAAGUUAUUGAAUGAUAGAAAUGUGAGGAACAUCGAGUCUCAACUCAACAGACUUGCUCGCAAGAAGGUUCUAAUUGUUUUUGAUGAUGUGACUCAUCCAAGACAAAUAGAAUCAUUAAUUAGACGCCUUGAUCGGUUAGCUUCAGGGAGUCGAGUGAUAAUAACAACAAGGGAUAAACAAGUUCUUAAAAAUUGUCGGGCCAGGCAAAUAUAUCGGAUGAAGGAAUUAGAAGAUGCUGAUGCUCAUAAGCUAUUCUGUCAGUGUGCUUUUGGAGGAGACCAUCCAGAUACAAGUCAUACAGAGCUCAUAGACAAGGCAAUCAAAUAUGCGCAGGGGGUUCCUUUAGCUCUUAAAGUUUUGGGUCGCCAUCUAUGCGGAAGGAGCAAAGAGGAAUGGGAAAGUGCAAUGAGAAAACUGGAAGUAAUUCCUGACAAGGAAAUCCAGAAGGUAUUAAAAAUAAGUUAUGAUAGCUUGGAUGACUCUCAGAAGAAUAUUUUUCUAGAUAUUGCAUGUUUCUUGGAAGCUCCGCAUAGAGACUAUGUGAUAAGCUUUUUUGAUGCCUGUGGCUUCGAAGCUAAAAUAGAGUUAAGUGUUCUUGAAGGUAAGUCUCUCAUAAAUUUAGACUUAUCUGACCGGAUAAGAAUGCAUGACUUGAUACGAGAUAUGGGAAGAGAAAUUGUUCGAAAUGAAUCUAUCGAUCAUCCAGGAGAGCGCAGUAGGUUGUGGUAUCACGAGGAUAUUUAUAAAGUUUUGAAGAACAAUACGGUGAGGAAUAAUAAGUUUUUAAUUGUAUCUUAUUUGUGUUACAUUUAUAUUAGCAAUUGGUCGAAUAUGUCUUUUUGAAUAAGAAUAGCAUUAAUACAGCUUAAAAUUAAUUGAAAAAUAAUAUUAGAAAAUUGGUAAAAUAAAAUAGAUAGAUCCGAUGUUUCCCCAACUCAGUUUGAAACAUGCCUCUAAAAUCCCCAGCAAACUAGCGCCUUCGGAGAGAGACCCACAAAAAAAAAAACACCUCAAUCUUAUAGCAUUUCCUUUUCAACUCAAGCUAUGCCCCUAUCCUUAUUUUUCACUAAAAAAAAAAAUUGAUUGAAUUAAUUUUACAGUUUACAUAUUAAGCAUUUUCUUGAAUUUUCUAUUUUACACUUCCUAAAAGCCUUACCCAAAUAGUUUAUUAUAAAGUGAGUGUAAUAUCUCUCUUUUGGUUUGACGGCUUAAAAAUAAUUGUUUAUUUGUUUGCUUUAAUUAUAUACCAACUUAUGAUCUCCUAUUUGAUUGUUAGGGAACUGAAGCACUCAAGGGUAUCUCCUUGGAUAUGAAUAAAGUCAAUGGAGAGAUACACAUGAAUUCCAAUGCUUUCUCAAGGAUGCCUAAAUUGAGAUUCUUGAGAUUUUAUGGAGAUAAGAACAAAUGUAUCAAGGGUAUCUCCUCGGAUAUGAAUAAAGUCAAUAGAGAGAUAUACAUGUCUCAUUUGGAGGGUGUGCCGUUUGCUGAAGUGAGGCACCUCGAGUGGCCUCAAUGUCCUUUGAAAACGUUGAAUAUAUGUGCGGAGAAACUUGUUUCACUUAAAAUGCCUCGCAGCAAAGUCCAACAACUUUGGGAUGAUGUUCAGGUAUAUAUUUAUUCAAAAUUCUUUCGGUAAUAAAUUCUAAAUACAAUUGAUGAUAUAAUUAAUAUAUGUUAUGGUAUCUGUUUAUUCAUAAAGAUGAUGAUGAUGAUGAUGAUAAUAAUAAUAAUAAUAAUAAUUUUUGGGGGGGCGCAGGAUCUUGUUAACUUAAAAGAAAUAGACCUCUCUGGAUCCAAGUCGUUAACGAAACUCCCAGACUUGUCACAGGCCGAAAAUCUUGAGUUUCUGAUAUUAGGCGGCUGUUUAAGUUUGAUGGAGACUCACUCAUCUAUUCAAUAUCUAAAUAAACUUGAAAUUCUUUCUCUAGAAAAGUGCAAAAGCCUGAGGAGUCUUCCAACUAGCAUUCAUUCGAAAUAUCUCCUGAUACUUGAUAUUUCGGAUUGUUCAAAUUUGAAAAACUUCCCAGAGAUCACAUCUUGUCAUAUGUGGAGUUUAGAGUUAACAGAAGUUGGAAUCAAAGAACUGCCCUCAUCCAUCGAGGGCCUAUCCAAUCUGAAAGAACUACAUAUUAAGGACUGUUCAGAGCUUGAGAGCAUCUCGAGUAGCAUAUUUAAGUUGAAGUCUCUUGGAUCUAUUGAAAUCUCUAAUUGUUCAAAUUUGAAGAGGUUUCUAGAGAUCCCGUCUUGUAAUAUGGAUGGAGGUACUGGAAUUGAGCAACUAGCCUCAUGUAAGUUGGUACUGGAAAAAUGUUCAAGUCUUGAGAGUCUCCCUAGCAGCCUGUUUAAGUUCGCAUGUAUUUUAGAGUUAACAGAAUUGGAAUCAAAGAACUGCCCUCAUCCAUCGAGUGCCUAUCCAAUCUGAAAGAACUAUAUAUUAAGGACUGUUCAGAGCUUGAGAGCAUCUCGAGUAGCAUAUUUAAGUUGAAGUCUCUUGAAUCUAUUGGAAUCUCUAAUUGUUCAAAGUUGAAGAGGUUUCUAGAGAUCCCGUCUUGUAAUAUAGAUGGAGGUACUGGAAUUGAGCAACUAGCCUUAUGUAAGUUGGUACUGGAAACAUGUUCAAGUCUUGAGAGUCUCCCUAGUAGCCUAUGUAUGUUCAAAUCUCUGACAUCUCUUGAAAUCGUUGACUGCCAAAAUUUCAAGAGAUUGCCUGAUGAACUUGGAAAUUUAGAAGCCUUGGAGGCGCUGACAGUUAAUGGAACAGCUAUAAGAGAAGUACCAGAAAGCCUUGGUCAGUUAUCCUCACUAGAAAAUUUGGUACUAGCUAAUAACAAUUUGGAGAGAUUACCAGAAAGCCUCAGUCAAUUAUCCUCACUAGAGUAUUUGCACCUAUCCGGAAACAGUUUGGAGGGAAUACUAGAAUACCUGAGGAGUCUUCAAAGUAAGUUGACAUCACUCAAAGUUUUAUCUGUUGAGUUUAGAAAUUGUUUGAAAUUGGACCCGAAGGAGCUCAUUGAAAUCGCCAAAGAUGAGUGGAUGAAGCAGGUGUGUCUCUUAACUCACUCCUUUCAUUCUAUUUUCUUUUUCUUUUUUCUUUAAUUAUUUUUCAUAAAUUACUAAUUUUUUAUUUUUGUGUUGCAGUCGUUUCAUGGUAACAUCAAUAGCGCUAGAAGUAUUUAUUUCCGUGGGAAUGAAAUUCCAAAGUGGUUUAGGAAUCAAAGCAUGAGGAUCUUCUGUAACCGUGAAGACGCCGCCAGCAGAUUUCCUCAAUACAACCUCAGAGUACUUUGAGCAUCAAAUCCCAAGGAAAUCUCGACCUGGGAAUUAUGGCGUGUACUGUCAGUGGGAACACAAAUCCCAAAGAAAUAUCUUCCGUCGGUUUUUGCGGAGAAUUAGUUAUGUUGAGUCAGAUCACGUGUUUUUGGGAUCCUAUUUAUUGGGUUAUGAGGAUUUAAGUAAGAGAGACGAUAGUGAAGUCUAUUUCUACAUUCGGCCUCUUGAUUUUGAUGAAGAGGGUGAAGUGAAACAAUGUGGGAUUCAAUGUUAUCGAAUUAAUAAUUCAUUUAACUCAAAGAUUCUACGGAUGAAGAGGAAGAGGAAGGAUGAAGAGGAACCACACACCAAAAGACUGAAAUGUUCUUCAACUCCAAAGCAGCUGGUAUUCCUUGUUACGAAAAUCAAUCUGUAGACCUUGUUUUUGUCUUCAUUUUAUAUAUGCGUUGUUGAUGCGAGAUUUUGGUUAUCCCUCGAUCACGACCAGGAUCUCUGCUCAACCAACUCUACUACGAUCAGUAUUUCUCCUUGUAUGACUUCCUCCAAAGGUUCUUGCGUACACAGAAAAAGGUCAGAGCACGCCGGUUGUUUUCCCAGUGUAAACCCUCCGACGCUCAAGUCAGAAAUGAAGGUUUCUCGUUCCCGGGAAUGUUGGCCAGUAAUCUUAUGGCUUCCUUUUUUGGUACUGAUUAGCCAGUACUCUUUUUUAUCUCAGUUUCAAUGUCCAAAAUUCUAACCCUUUUACCUUCGUUGGCUACUUUUUUAUAGACCUCUCCUGAAUUUAGACCUUCCCUCCAUUCACGCUCGUUAUCCUCCCACCUCUCGAAAGUGGAUGCUGCAUUUCUGUGAUCGUGGGUGGUUGUGUGGCCUUCGUGCCUUGAUUCUCGGAUUGGAGAGCACGUCUUGCCAACCGUCGUUGACUGGGUCUCCUCGACUCAACCCUUAGCAAGAAUGGCUUUAUACCUCCAACAGGAAAUCGGCCUCGCGGAUGAGAUAUUCGUGGACGAGCAUAAUAUUCCUGCUCCUGCUCUCUUGCUACUAGACUCUACUACAAGAUAUACCUGCUCGCGGGACCCUGCUACCAGAUGUCUGCUCAUCAUUGUUAGUCCUCGCCGGAGUACAUCCCCCAAACAUGCAUUUUUUCAAUAUGUUCGUUUAUGUAAUAUUUAUUAAUUGUUUGUUGUGGAUGGAUGAAUCAAUAAAUUCAAAAUAAAUGGCAAUUAACCGAGGAUGUAGAACUAUGAGUUCUCUUUUUUUUGUGUUUCAUUUCCAUUCGGGUCAUGUCUGGAAUAUCCCAAAAAUUACUUAUCCAUUUACUAACUAAGAAUGCGCUGAUUAGAUUAAGAUUAUUUUAGUUAUUCUUACUUUUUCAGUUUUCAAACUUAAUAAGAAUAAAAUCGUUUUAUUAAGUUUUGAGAUUUGAAUUUAAAAGAAAAUACAAAUUUACGCUCGAGGAUUAAAUUUACCGUAUUUAAAAUUAAAUUAAUUACUCUCGAGGAUCCUAUUAGUAGUGAUCUCAGCAAGGCAGUAAAGUACCUGUUUAACUUGUGAUAAAUUACAGGCUCUGUUUAACAUAUAAAAAUACCAAAUUUUAAAUAUUACAAACAAUAACAAACAGAAUGCAGCUCCUAAUCGGUUAUUUGUUUUAGUAAAUAAACUUCACCGUUCCGUUUCAAGUUUCCACAGUCAGUUCCAUCGAUCAUAUGCUGAAGCUACGGUGGAAUGAUAGAUCUUCUUUUAGUUUCCUGCACAUCGAAACUCUCUAAUUGGUGUGUUGUUUUUUCGUGAAAUUUCUAAUAUCUAUUAAUAAUUUCUUAAUGUUACUGAGAAGUUAGUAAAUCAUGGGAUGAGAGCCGAAGACUUUUUGGCUGAUCUAACUCCUAUUACAAUCAAGUUGGUAACUGCAUUUGGUAAUUACAUCUUCAGUACUUGCAAUCUCUUAUCGCCUUUCCAAGUUGAUUUUAGUUAUUUGUCCUUGAUAUUCUAAGUGCAUGGACUUGAUGGAAGGGUCAGGUUCUGUGGUGGUGUUAGAAUUGCUAGAAAACUUGUUGUAUAGGUUGUCAUGAUAUUCUCAUGUGCCAUAUAAAUCAUCAUUGUUUUGCAAGUGCUCUAUGGCAUUCUUUACUGGAUAGGCUAGCCAGGGUGCCUUAGAGGCAAAAGUCAAGACGGAAAUGACAUAUAUCUAAAGCUUCAGACAAGCACAGGUUGGUCAUUUUAUCAUUUAUAAGUCUUCUAUCUCUUUUAACUUAGUCUAACAUCUUGUUGAACCCAAGCAAGAUUCAUUUCACAGAGGCUUAAUGUCAUGACCCAACCCAGACCUGGCAAGAUAUUGUCCGCUUUAGGCCUUAACAAGGCCCGCACGGAUUUGUUCUUGGGGUGCCCAUACACCCCAAAACGCGUCUUGCCAAUUAAGGUGUGGAUCACUCCUUAUAAACCCAGCAUCUCUCCCGUGCUUUGCCGAUGUGGGAUUCGCCUAGGGUGUUACAUACACCCCCCCUUGGGGACUCAGCGUCCUCGCUGAGGUUUGCCCCACCAUCGCUCAAGAGGACACGCGGAGCCGCUCUGAUACCAUAAUGUCAUGACCCAACCCAGACCUGGCAAGAUAUUGUCCGCUUUGGUCCUUAACAAGGCCCGCACGGAUUUGUUCUUGGGGUGCCCAUACACCCCAAAACGCGUCUUGCCAAUUAAGGUGUGGAUCACUCCUUAUAAACCCAGCAUCUCUCCCGUGCUUUGCCGAUGUGGGAUUCGCCUAGGGUGUUACAUACACCCCCCCUUGGGGACUCAGCGUCCUCGCUGAGGUUUGCCCCACCAUCGCUCAAGAGGACACGCGGAGCCGCUCUGAUACCAUAAUGUCAUGACCCAACCCAGACCUGGCAAGAUAUUGUCCGCUUUAGGCCUUAACAAGGCCCGCACGGAUUUGUUCUUGGGGUGCCCAUACACCCCAAAACGCGUCUUGCCAAUUAAGGUGUGGAUCACUCCUUAUAAACCCAGCAUCUCUCCCGUGCUUUGCCGAUGUGGGAUUCGCCUAGGGUGUUACAUACACCCCCCCUUGGGGACUCAGCGUCCUCGCUGAGGUUUGCCCCACCAUCGCUCAAGAGGACACGCGGAGCCGCUCUGAUACCAUAAUGUCAUGACCCAACCCAGACCUGGCAAGAUAUUGUCCGCUUUGGGCCUUAACAAGGCCCGCACGGAUUUGUUCUUGGGGCGCUUAUACACCCCAAAACGCGUCUUGCCAAUUAAGGUGUGGAUCACUCCUUAUAAACCCAGCAUCUCUCCCGUGCUUUGCCGAUGUGGGAUUCGCCUAGGGUGUUACAUACACCCCCCCUUGGGGACUCAGCGUCCUCGCUGAGGUUUGCCCCACCAUCGCUCAAGAGGACACGCGGAGCCGCUCUGAUACCAUAAUGUCAUGACCCAACCCAGACUUGGCAAGAUAUUGUCCGCUUUGGUCCUUAACAAGGCCCGCACGGAUUUGUUCUUGGGGUGCCCAUACACCCCAAAACGCGUCUUGCCAAUUAAGGUGUGGAUCACUCCUUAUGCCUUUUGGAUUAACUAAUGCUCCUGCAGCGUUCAUGGAUUUGAUGAAUAGGAUCUUCCAACCUUAUCUUGACCAGUUUGUCAUCGUCUUUAUUGAUGACAUAUUGAUUUACUCUAAGAAUAAGGAGGAGCAUGAGACGCACUUGAGGAUUGUAUUAGAAACAUUGCGGGAGAAGAAGUUGUAUGGAAAAUUUAAGAAAUGUGAGUUUUGGCUUGAUCGUGUGAUGUUUUUGGGACAUAUAGUGACGAAGGAUGGUAUUUCAGCAGAUCCAGCCAAAUUGGAGGUAUUUCAGUUUGAAGCUUAUGAGUAAAGAUUAUGAUUUGUGAGUAACCUCCUUCUUCACGUGCUUCGCACGUGUUAGAUUUGGGGUGUUACAAUUGUGGUAUUGUUCUUGGGGUGCCCAUACACCCCAAAACGCGUCUUGCCAAUUAAGGUGUGGAUCACUCCUUAUAAACCCAGCAUCUCUCCCGUGCUUUGCCGAUGUGGGAUUCGCCUAGGGUGUUACAAGACAUCUAUUGGGAUCUUACUUUUGUUGAUGAGAGGGUCUGAAACAGCUGGUGCAAUAAGUAAAAUUGAUUUUAUGUAGACUAGAAAGCUCUGCCCGCUGUGAAGGCUUUCCUGUUAAAUGAAGAUUGUGAAGGCUUUCCUCUAUUGGGAUCUUACUUUCCUGUGCAAUAAGUAAAAUUGAUUUUAUGUAAAAUUGAACCUUAGAGAACAGAUUUUUAUUAAUUUUUAAUAGAUAAUAAUCAUAUUAAAUGGAAUUAGACUGUCGAAAAUUGUGAAAUACUGCUUCCUUUUGGCCAUCCUUCGCACUGUUGUUCCUAGCAGACUAGGCCACCUGGGACCCUGCACUGGCAAUCAAGGCUGCUUGACCCUAAGAUGAUCCUAGUGACCUCAAACUUCUGCAGACUUGGAUUUUCCUCUUAUGUUAUCUUGAGCCAGAGGCUUGACUUUUUAUAUGGUUCAAAAAUUGAUUAGGAACUUUGAUAAGUGCUGUAUGAAGGGCAGCUGAUAUUGAUGAUUCUAUAGCUAAGGUUCUGUUUGAAUUUUAGAGAACGUCCUGGACCAUAAUGCAGUUCGUUGUGAGCUGUCAGUGUUCUUUGUCUAUAAAUGACAAAAUAGGAAGUAGAAUACCUGCUGAAGAGGUGGGGUUUAUAUUGCUAUGCCCUAAGCCAUUGUCCUUUGUUGAGUAAAGACAUUCUUCAUGUGUUUGAACCUUCUUCUUUUCUGACACUGAAUUCUCUUGUUCUAAUCUUCAGCUUGUUAGCCAUCAAAAAGGUAAUAUGGGAAGGCUAAGCAAUAGGUUGGGAAUGUGGAUGUUUGAUCAGGCGCUCAUGAUGGAUGAUAUUUCACGCUUUUUAAAUUGAAACUUGUCUCUUACUCAUGUCUUGAAAUUUUGUUUGAAACCUUUAAGAACAGGAUUCUGUAUUGCUUAAGAUUUUUAAUGAGUAGAAACUUUGAAUUAUGAGGGAGGAGGAGUUUCCACCUUGUGAGUCAUCUAUCAUAUCAAGGGUUUUUUCUUUAAUUUCUACACGGGUAAAAUAAUCACAUGACAACAUGAACAUUGGUGUGUUUUGAGGUUUUUAAUAAGUUCUUAGCUAGUAUCUUAUUUAUUCAAUCAUUUACGGAAUGCAAUGCCAAUAAGAAAUUCAAGUAACCAUCAUUGAAUUGGAAUUGACAGGUUUGGCCGCCAAAUAUUUGCUUAAUUUAUUGUUAACAUAUUGUUAUGAGCUCGCGCUGAGAGGAAAAAGGAAAAAGUUGCAUAUUGUUAGCAUGCCUCAGAAAUUCAGAAUAAUGUCUAAGUGCAGUUGAUAACCCUUGAAUUAUAACUUUUAGCAUGAGAGAUAUUUUAUGAGCAUAAUUUCCAUCUUAUCAUUUAAAAAAAAAAAAAGGAUGCUCCAAUUUUGAGGGCUCUUGUAGGUUAGCUUCAUGAAGCAUAUCAUCUUGUAGAAUAUCUGCGGUUUGAGUAUUUUAUAGAAUGACUUUGGGAUGGGGAUGAACUGGCAUUGUUGUCAAGGUAAAAUUUAUACUUGGAAAUUUGGCAGUCUGAAAUCAUGUUGGCUCAGUUCUCUUCAAAAUUGCUAUAUUGCAUGCAGCUAUAUAAAGCUUUUGUAAUCUGCUGUUAUAAUCAUGCUGAAUUUUAAUCACUACAGGGACUGAGCUCCCUGUAUGUGCUGUGGAUUACAGUUGCUUGAUUCAUUUAAUGGCACGGUGUUUUGCAUAUGGUUUAUUAACUUUUUUGGUGCCUUAUCUAAUGGUUUUUUUUUUUUGGGUCUUGAUUUUGCAGCACCACCAUUGAAAUUAAUUGACUUGCCUGGAUUGGAUCAACGAAUAAUGGACGAUUCAUUGGUGAGGGCUUGUUUAAUUUUUUUAGACCUUGAUGCUCUAAAUAUUCAUGUGUCCCAUUAUAUAUUUAUUUGAUAGAUGUUAUUUGCUUGUGUUUUCAAUGGUGGAAAGAUGUGGUCUGUUCUUUGCAUGUGAAUUAUGGUUGGUAACUUAUAAGUUAGUAACAAUAAUUUUGUGAUGUCCCUCAUAGGUUAGUGAAUAUGCCGAGUACAAUGAUGCUAUUUUACUAGUAAUUAUUCCUGCUGCCCAAGCGCCUGAAAUUGCUUCAUCUCGAGCUCUUAGAGUUGCCAAGGAGUAUGACGGAGAUGGUAAUAUGCUUAGACAUUUUUAUACCUCUAAUUUUGCUGUUAAAUUUUUUGAUUUGUAAAUCAAAAGAUAUGCUAUUUAUGAUUUUCAUAAUCUUUGGCACACUAGUACAUUUUUUGGUGCAUCCUUUGAAGUUGCAGGAAUGUAACUCUGCCUUCUCCUUCCUAUUGCUAUCAUUACUGUUUCCUUGUUAAUUCUUUAUCUCGCUAAUUUGGGAGCUUAUUUUGUUAACGUCAGGAACCAGAACUGUUGGUGUAAUAAGGAAAAUAGAUCAAGCUUCUGCAGACCAAAAAGCUCUUGCUGCUGUGCAGGCUCUCCUGUUAAAUCAAGGUCCACCAAAAACAGCUGACAUUCCGUGGGUUGCAUUAAUUGGUCAAUCGGUAUCAAUAGCUACUGCUCAGUCUGGAUCUGAGAGCUCCUUAGAAACUGCUUGGAGGGCAGAAAGUGAGUCUCUUAAGUCUAUAUUGACUGGUGCUCCUCAGAGUAAGUUAGGCAGAAUAGCAUUGGUGGAUGCUUUGGCUCAGCAGAUCCGCAAGCGUAUGAAAGUCCGGUUGUUAAACCUUCUCUCUGGGUAUUAAAUGAUUUCCACAUGCUGCACGAAAAGUUUCAAUUUUACGCAUGUUUUAGUUUAUCUUUGGAAAGUUGUAUUCUUUUUUCUUUUUUUUUUUUUGACACAUGAAAAUGAUUUUCUUGAACACACUUAGAUCCUUGGAACUUGUUUUACUGUCACAAAUGGAUUGUGAGAACUUGGCAAUAGGAAGUUCGAGAUACAUUUAACCAUUAAAAUUUCUCUUCUGCCUGGUAGGCAUGUCAUUACUAAUCAUUGUGCUUGUACUUGUCCUCGAUGGUUAGAAGAUGACGAUUAUUAUUGUUGUUAUUAUUAUUAUUAUUUUAACUUCUAUCACCCCUAUAACUCUGUCUUGCACUUUGCAUUGUAGUUAAUAAACGCAGUUCAGUGGGAGUUAAAAUUGAAAAUAAAGAUAUCUUAAUUCAUAUAAUUAAUUAUUCCUCGACCCUUUUUCAUGACCCAGCUUAAUGAGUAAAUAUGUAUUCAGUUUUUCCUUUAUGAAGGGUAUGAGUACUUCUUCCAGUUAAGGUAACUCCUUUAUUACGUAUACCUGUGCAGGUUACAAGGAAAGUCUCAAAUAGUUCAGGAUGAGUUAGCGUGGCUUGGUGAGCAGAUGGUCCAGAGUGCUGAGGGCAGGAGAUCUUUGGCUUUGGAGCUUUGUCGUGAAUUUGAGGGUCAGUUUCUGCAACACAUUACAACUGGUGAGGUGACUUAUUUUUGUUUUUGUGCUUGGUGACUUUCAUGUAGCAUAUGUCUUCUUUCUUGGCUUGCUUAUGUUGUUUUGAUUUCUCAAUUUGUUUUUCAGUAAUAGUGUAUAUUACCAUGUACAAGAAAAAGCUUUAUAUAGAAAUUUGAAGGAGGAAAUCUAAGACAUAGAUGAGGGGAAUAUGUUACUUUUUUUGAUAAGAGACGGGAUUGUGAUACUAUCACCUCUGGAAUUGAAGCCUUCUAUAAAAUUAGAUGGAAGUGAGCUCCAUUACUUGUAUCAAUUUGUAAUCCCUCUCAUUGUAGAAGUUUACCUGGUUCUUGGACCUCUAAUGAGAAGCUUCUUAAUGUAUAACGUGGAUACUGCUUCUACCUAAUGGAAUGUGUGAAGCUGGCAGGGACUAGGGGUCUUUUGUAGGAGAAACGAUUUUUUCAAACCUAUUCAAGUGCUUAGAGGUAGUGCUUGUUUUUACUAGGUCAGCUGAGGAGGGGUUGAUGUCUGCUUUGCGGUCAUUGUAACCUUAUUAGUUCCAGGUAGCUCCUUUAAAGUUGUUUUUGCUCUCUAACGCUUUUUCGGUUGACGAGUGUGUCUGGUCAUGGAAAUGUAGGGGCUGGAUUCCAAGUGUUGGAAGUUCAUAUGGUAGUAUGAGGAUGCCCCUUUUCCAAAUUUGGUUAGCUAAAAUGGAUCUAAUUGGUACUUCAUGCUUGUUCUGUUCCUUUGGUCUUUUAUUAUUUUUUCCCUUUUUCUUACUUAUAAGUUUCAGGCCAUGUCUAAUUGAUAAAUCUCUAAGUAUCAGUACUUCUUCUGGUUAAAAUAGUUAAUGUAUCCAAACUUUGUUUAGUGUCCUGCUCUCUGUUUUUAUUGGCUAGUGAUUUUGGUCGUGCUUUUUUGAGUGGCCUAUGGUAUUUUCCUCCGUCACUACCUGAAAAGUAGAGGAUACUGAUUUUUUGAGAUAUCAGUUGUCAUAACAUUAUGUCGAUGCAGGGUUCUGGUUGGAAAAUUGUUGCCAGUUUUGAGGGGAAUUUCCCGAAAAGGAUCAAACAGCUUCCUUUGGACAGACAUUUUGAUAUUAAUAAUGUCAAGAGGGUAUGUUGGUGCUCUACUGCUUAUAUCUAUUGUGUUCCUGUUGCUUUAAUCUAAUUUUUUAGAUUUUGCAUUUGCAUUGAUCUUCUCAUAUUCAUUUCUUAUCAGAUUGUGUCAGAAGCGGAUGGCUAUCAACCAUAUCUAAUAUCCCCUGAUAAGGGUUUGAGAUCUUUGAUCAAAGGUGUCCUGGAGCUUGCAAAAGAACCCUCUCAUCUUUGUGUUGAUGAGGUAAUGGAACCAUGUAUAUAAAGAUUUUACCCUUUUUCUCUUUUUAUGAUGUUGAAUGUUAAAUUUUUUGUUUUGGCCUUAACAUGUGGUUCCUUCAUAGUAUUGUUAGUCAAUAGUAUGCUCUCUGUUGGAUGCAUGAUAUGGACAUCCAAAUGAUACACUUUUUAAUAUUUUUCCGAGGCACUACAUUUUAUGUUCUUUUUGUUCCUCAAGAACAUGCUUAACUAAUGACAAGUACUUCAGGUUCAAUAAGAAGGAUUUGUCAACUUUUAUUUGACUUAAGAGGUCAGAUAUUCUUAAAAUUUGUUUUUCUAGAAUAGGUACAUCAGGUCAUUUGAUGUCUUUUACCCAAUUUUCUUUAUGGAUGGCAGUGAAAAUCUGAAGCAAUUAUUGUUUCUGCUGACUGAUAGAGUUCCUGGCUGACUGGUAAAACAGGUACACCGUGUUCUGGUGCUGCAAAUGCUACACCAGGCCUGGGAAGAUAUCCUCCUUUCAAGAGAGAGGUAUGGCUGCUUUUGAUUAUGUGUCACAAUAGCUUUUCUGCAUUUGUACAUGAUUAGACCUAUAUGUGGUUCAAAUUUCCUUUUCCGUGUGGCAAUAGUUGAAUGGUUUGAAACUUUUACAAGGUUGUGGCCAUUGCAAGUGCUGCCUUAGAUGGGUUUAAGAAUGAAGCAAGAAAGAUGGUGGGUGCACUAGUUGACAUGGAGAGAGCUUUUGUCCCUCCGCAACAUUUCAUUCGUUUGGUGCAGCGGAGGUGUGAUAUGAUUGAACUUCUUCGAUAUAUUUGAGAUAUGUGCAACAUUGUCUUCCGGAUAUCUGGGUCUGAGUUCUUGUGACGGGAUGGCUUGUCAAUAUUUAUUUCUGGAACAUUUUGCUUAGAAAAUGCUGACAUUACCAACUUUUCUGAAAUUUAUGUCAUAGUCUAUUUCUUCUCUCUCCCCAAUUUUGCAUGAGCUGAGUUUUGAAUGCAUGCAAAUGCAACUCCACGAAUUUAGAAAAUUUGGUAUUUAUUAGUCUCUAAAUACUAUUGUUGGGUAUUUUCCUAUCAACUUAAAGCUAGCAGUUUUGUAUUUGACUUUUGUUGUCAGUCGGGCUAGUGUUUAGAUCCGAUUGUGUUUGUGUGGGUUUGGUUCCAGAUGAUAUCAAAUUCUCUAUGCAUGAAACCAGCAUUUUUUCAGUUUAAACUCAGUUGUUUGGGCCUUUUCUAUUAGUUUAAGCCUUUGGGACCUAUGGUUCCUUAGCAUUACUAUUUUUUUUUUUUUUCUGUAAGUUCUUUCCUGAAAUUCCUGUGCACCAUGCUUAUUGCGUAAUCUAUUUAUUUUGUUAGGAUGGGAAGACAGCGGCGAGAGGAGGAGGUGAAGACGCGAUCUUCGAAGAAACCAAAUGAGGCAGAACAAGAAAUACUGAAGAAGGUACGAUUUCCUUUUCCUAAUGUAAUUGGAGUAUGACAUGAGGAGAAUGGGACAUACUGAGGAGGCACUAGUUCCUUUUAAUUUCUCCUUAAGAAACGCAUUUAAAUCUCUAUUUUAUGUUUUUCCAUAUAUUCUCUUUCAGGCAACCAGUCCUCAAACAGGUGGUCAGCAAACGGGUGGAAGUUUAAAAGCAAUGAAGGAUAAAUCCAGUCAAGCAGUGAAAGAAGCAAAUGAAGCUUCUGCUUUAAAGACUGCAGGCCCUGAAGGAGAAAUAACAGCAGGUUUGUGGAAAAAACUGUCACUGUGUGUACUCAGACGAGCCUAUCAUAUUUCAUCAUAUAUGUGCAUGUAUAAUCUAGUCCCCAAAGGACAAAAGCACCCAAGCACACGGCCCAAAACCUCUGUGUGUACUUAGACGAGCCUCAAAAGCUUGUAUCUCAUCUGUAUCAUCUGUAUCUCAUAUCUGUAUCUCUGUAAUCAUCAUACCGCAUGCAUAUGCCCCCAAAAGGCAGAAACGCCCAAACACACGGCCCAAAGCCUCUAUGUGUGUUCAGACGGGCCUAAAUGCCUCUAUCUCAUCUCAUUUUUAUCACUGUAUCUGGAGGGGAAGGAUACUAUCUAAUUAUUUAAAAAACAAUCAUUAUACUCAUAUUCACAUACCUUUUAACCAUACUUUAAAUCAUACCACAUUUGAAUCCACUUUUCUUGUCUUUAAAAUACUAUAAUGUUUUAUUCAAAAUCGAUACACAAAAUCAUUAAUCAAACAUUUUAAUAAAAUACCAAUGCGUGAAUAAAAUCUAUUUUGAGAAAAUCAUUAAAUUAGAACAUUUAAAACACUUAUUUCGCAAACAUACUUUACUUUCAUAAUUAACUAUGAAAAUAUGUUUUAUAUAUUCCACUCACAGUGACGGUGUUCACGCUCGGUUAUUGUCCACGUCUGCGGAUCAGUACUCGCUCGCGGACCCCCCUAAAUCAAGAAAACGAAAUAAUUAUUUUUCGUAAAUUGAAAUUAGGACUAAAUUUAUGCAAUAAACUCGAAACGAAUAUCUAUCCAUAAUUUACAACUCCUGUAUCGAUAGAAUUACCAAAAUACCCUCGAAUCUGUAAAUCGUUAAAAUACUUCAAAAUCGUAAGUCACCGAAUUACUCUUGGAAUCAUAAUUAUACUCCACUCCUCAAUUUUAGGAAUUAUUAAAAUAUUCAUAGGCUCAUAAACUAUAAAAUUGCCCUCAAAGAGUGAAAUUACCGAAAUGCCCUUGCCGGUCAACGGUCACCGGAAUUUAGUCAACGCUGGCCAAGAAGCUCAAGUCUGAAAGUUCCAAUCACGCUGAAUCUAAUAGUGCCGCAACGACGCCGGAAUCUAGCUCGGCAGCCGUGAAUUUCCAACAAUUGGCCGGCGGAGAAACAGUGACUCCCGGUGACUGUGGAUGGUUGGGAAUUGAAGAGGGAGUCGUCGGGAACAAAACUGAGGUGGUGACGUGGUCAAAUUCCGGUGGAAUCAACGGCGGUGGUGAUGGGUUUCGGCUCAAGCCUUAAACGGCGGUGUUCCGGUCAAUUUUCGGCGAAGAUGACAGCUGCAAUAUGACCAACGUCUCACGGGCUUUCGAUUGAUACCUUGAUCAACCGGAGGGGUGGCCGGAAAUUGGAGACAUGGCCGGGUCACGUUCGCGGGUCGGGUCGGGUUUUGGGUCUGUUUUUGGUCGCUUCUCCCCUUCACACGUGUGCCUCUGUUUUCCCCUGUUUUCUCUUUCAUUUAUUUUAACUUUUAGCCGCCUCAUCUUAGUAUUUAUUUUUCUUCUAUUUUCACAUAUGUUUACUUAAACAACAUUUUUGAACUAUUGAAAGAAAUGAUCAUGGGUUACUAGAUGGGCCUGAUUCGUUAGUCUAUUAACCUUGGAUGCAUUUGAUCCAUAACAAUACCUGUGGUACGUGAUUGACUGGAAUCAUUUGCAUUCAUAGUCGUUCACUAGAAUCAUUUGAAUACCACCACACUGCUUUCCGAUCCUCUAGGGGUAACCUUGCUGUUUUGCUUGUGUUGAAAUAAGCCGAGAUUCAUAGGGGUGGAUGAAGUUUUGAACAUCAAACUCUUUCUUGGCUGAGUGUCAUCGUCUUCUAUCUUAUGCUGCAUUGGCUUGUUCAUUUUGUUCCUUGGACUGCAUUUGGAGAAAUAGAUGCCUGAAUUCAGUAUGAGCAAAGUUAAGAGUAGAUAAUAUACAUCACAUAUUUUCUGAUUGCUAAAAUAGUAUUAACUAGGGUUGGUCCCUGAUGUGUAUCUUGACAUGGUCUUAAACCUUCAUUACUUUUUCAUCAAGCCAUAAAGUGCCUGCAUACAAGUUGAAAACCAGGAAACUUGCAACUGCUGCCCAAGACUAUAUACUGUUGUAGCAGAUAAUUAGCUAUUCAAUAAUUUUGGUAUAUCUCAUUAGUAUUUGUGGAAUGCCUUUGAAAUCCUUGCAUGCAUGCUUCAUAUCCCAGCAGUUUAUGGAUAAAGGCACGUUAAUCCCCCUCUAGAUGAAAUUACUUAAUUGCUUAAAUGAUUUUUUUUUUCACACAUUUAUAUUUAGAAGUUUGUGACUAUUUUUUGUUGUCCAGGUUUCUUGUUGAAGAAAAGUGCAAAAACUAAUGGAUGGAGCAAGCGAUGGUUUGUUCUGAAUGAGAAGACUGGAAAGGUUUGUAACUAACAUUUUGUCCCAUACGCUUACAUUUUUUAGACAUGGAGUAGUUAUGCUAUUCAUAUGUUUUAGGUGCUUUUAGGCAUGGUAUCUAACCUUUGUUAAAUGAUUUUAGCAUUAUAAAAUUUUUAAAAUGAGUUACAUUCUAGCCUCCAUUCUCUUAUUUUUUAUGUUUUUGCAUUAAAGAAAUAUAGGACACUGUUAUGAUAGGCAUGAUUUAAUCUCAAUCAUCCUUUGUUAGACAGCUGGGCUACACCAAAAAGCAAGAGGAAAGGCAUUUUUGUGGUGUCAUUGCUUUGGAGGUAUGGAGAAUUACUACUCUGUUUCAGUUUUGGUAUUAUAUUAUCUAUUCUUUUGUCACAACCUUUUUUCACCAUUUUGUAGUUUAUUGCCAUCUUACUGGCUGGGCAGGAGUAAGUUGUAUAUGAAUAGGCCUAUAAAUAACCUUUAUGAAUGAAGUUUGCCUUAUUACUGCAAUAGGAACACUUUCUAAGUUAAAAUGGAUAAAGAUGGCCAAUGAUAAAUUUAACAAGUUAACAGUUGCCUCACAUACUAACGAACUUCAAGUAAAAUAUUUUAAGCUUUUUCUUAGUUUUCUAACUUCUAGUAAAUUUUUUUAAGCUUUUUCUUUGGAUACAUGCUACCCAGUGUUCAUUCCUUUGGAUGUUACUUUAAAUAUUUUACCAAGUAGCUUCUGUUUUGAGCUAUUUUUAAUCGUACUUCGCAAUAAUGUAUGUACAUUUGCUGGCGCAGGAAUGUAAUAUUCAGGAGAUUCCGGAGGAGGAGGAACCUCCAGCUAAAAGUUCGAAGGAUAAAAAGGCUAAUGGACCUGAUUCUGGGAAGCACCAAGUCUUGUAUUUAAGAUUACUAGCAAAAUUCCUUAUAAAACUGUUCUGAAAGGUAUUCUUUAUGUUUAAAUCAUGGAGUUCCUCUGGUGGUAAAUUUUCUUUUUUUAUUCACUUUAUCUUGCAGCCCACAAUGCUGUUGUUUUGAAAGCUGAGAGCACCGCUGAUAAGGCGGAAUGGAUAAACAAGAUAAGCAAAGUUAUUCAAGCUAGGGGAGGACUUGUUAGAGUUGCUGAAAGUGGUCAUACGAUGCGUCAGAGUCUUUCUGAUGGUUCUCUUGUGAGUUUACACUCUCUUAACUUUGCAAUACAAAUUUUGAAGUAAAGAGCUACUUACCUGUGAAGGAUGUUGUUCCUUUUGCACAUGCAUAGAAAUUGUGAUCGAGUGUUAAUUUCUCUUCUUGGUGGUUUUUCUAGGAUACAAUGGCUCGAAGACCUGCUGACCCUGAGGAAGAACUUCGAUGGAUGUGUCAAGAAGUACGUGGUUACGUUGAAGCAGUUUUGAAUAGUUUAGCAGCUAAUGUGCCCAAAGUAAGCGCAUUCCUUAACUUUGCCAAUUUAGUAUUUUCAGUUGGUUACUUAAUAGAUCUGAUAUUUUUGUGAAUGGUUGAGCAGGCAGUUGUACUUUGCCAAGUCGAGAAAGCGAAGGAAGACAUGUUGAAUCAGUUAUAUAGCUCUGUCAGGUUGAUGGCUUUCUUAUUUCUCUCUUAUCAAUUAAUGAUCAUUUUGUUUGUAGUAAUUGUGCAUGGAUUCAAUAUAUGGUAACAUUAUUGAAAUUUUGUUAGAAAGCUGAUUGAUGCUAAAUAAUUUGUAUUUUACCUUGGGUAGUGCACAAAGCACGGCAAGGAUUGAAGAGCUGCUUCAGGAGGACCAGAAUGUGAAGCGUAGGAGGGAUCGCUAUCAGAAACAGUCUGAACUCCUGUCUAAACUAACCCGCCAACUUAGCAUUCAUGACAACCGAGCGGCUGCUGCCGCUAACUGGUCGGACGGUGGUGGUGGAGCAGGUACGUGGUCUUUUGUUCAUAUACCAAGUGGAAAAGAUUGUUCAAUUUAACAUUUCCCUUUUGUCUGUUUAAAAAAUUAAACAUUGAACUUUGAGUAAAUAUCUAUAGUCUAAUGACAGUGGAUCUUUUCUUAACCUAAUUGUUUGCUGAUUUUGGAAUUAAAAAUUUUGUUCUGAACUUGAAUUAAAUUAUUGGAAAGGUUUCUCAGGUGACACUCAAGAAAUGCUAACCAAACCUAUUAAUUGCUUGAACAGUCUUACUAUUGAGCUACUUUCUGACAAAAGAUUGUUAGAUUGAUUUGUUUAUACCGUUGGAUUUUAAAAUUUUUCUUUAUUUGUACCAUUUAAUUAACAAUUUUUUUUUAUAAGACCGUCAUUUUGAUUUUAAAAUGUUACUUUGUUAAGUCUCUAUUUGAAACAUUUUGAUGAUGGAAGUAUUGGGUUAUGUAAUAUGCAGAAAGCAGCCCUAGAACAAGUGCCGCAUCAGGUGAUGACUGGGGAUCCGCAUUUGAUGCUGCUGCCAAUGGACCUGUAAGCCUUCGCAGCUACUCUCGGUCUGCAUCCAAUGGUCACAGCCGGUGUUACUGUGAUCCAGCCGAGAAUGGUGAUGUGAGAUCUGUUUCAAACUCGGGCAGUCGUCGUACUCCUAAUCGGGUGCCGCCGCCUCCACCACCAACACAGUCAGGCUCCAAGUACUUUUAGGUGGCUUACAGAUUUUGGUUGACAAUUCAUAUUUUCUCUGCAUAUUUUUAGUGAGUGAAGGCCUGCUUAAGCACUCAUGAUUCCAGUAGUUGGUUAAUCACUUCUUUAGAAUCUUCAAAAGAGGGUGCUUUGUGUAAAUAGGACUCUAUAGUUCCUGAGCUGAAAGUCAGGAUUUUACGGCUUGCCACUUGUCAAAACUAUGAAUUCAAAGUGUAUUUGAAUUCCAUUUAUCAUAUUCUUCUAUUCACUAUUUUGUUUUUGUUUUUGCCCACGUGCUUAUUAAAAAAGUAUUUCUGAAAUAUUUAGUCGCUCAAGUAAUUCAUCAUUAAAAAAAAAAGUUUAUUAUUUUAUUUAUUUAUUAUUAUUUUUAAAAAAAAAUUAAAAAAAUAAAAAUAAAAACAAAAAAAGGUUUUUUUCUUUCUUUUAUUUUUUUAUUUAUUUGAAAAAAAUAAAAAUAAAAAACGAAAAAAAAUUCAUUGUUCACAAAAUCCCUAAUUCACCAGAAUUUUGUUUUCUUCUCUAGCCACUUGCAGCACACCAGCAGCAAACCAGCCCGCGUGAACUAGCAAGCAUCUCCCGCAGCAACCGGCCGCGCGUGCGCGCAACACCAGCAUCGAGCACCAUCCGCGCAACGUCAGCACGCAUCUCAGCAUCCCGCGCGCACAACCAGCUCCAUCUCGAGUCUCGCAGCACCAGCAUCACCAGCGCAGGCGCCAGCAUCCCGCGCGCAGCUCUGUGCCGCAAUCAACCGCGCAGUAUCCCGCGUGCAAGCAGCCCGCGCGUAGUUUCAUCCGCAACCAUCCCACGACCAUCAAGCACCGGCGCGUGCGUGCAAGCAUCUCAUGAGCAGCAGCCCGCACAAGCAACCAACGUCAGCCCAGCAGCGCAAUUUCAUCCGCAACCAGUCCGUGCAAUUCCAGCCGCGUGAAUCGAAACCCAUGAGUGAAAUUACUGUAACAAUGCCGAAGAGGAAAGCAUCAACUUCCAAGCCAUCAACGUCUAAAAAGAAACCCGUCGCAAAGAAAUCUAAGAUUGCCGCUCCCACUACGGUCCCAUGGAAUACAGUUUCAAAUUCACGCUAAGCCGUGAGACAAAGAUCGAAACAUGGAAAGGGCAUGAGUGUUUUGCCACUUGCGGAAUCCAAUCUCGGAGGAUGCCUUACAUUUACGACUCAACAAGAGAAAGAAAUGUACAAAGAUAUUUCCAAAUGAAAAAUACUUCCAGCUAAGUAUAUUCAUUACCCAACUCUUGAAAAAUUGAAUGUUAAGGAUAAUUUUGAUUAUUUGAUAGAUAAGAUUGGUUUGCGUAAGUUUGUUGAUAUUGAUUGUUUGGGUUAUGUUGAGUUGAUUAGGGAGUUCUAUGCUACUUUUCAAUUUAAUAUACCGAAUGAUUUUACUUUGCAUACUCCAGAUGUUAUAAAGUUUAAGUUAAUGGGAUGAAAUUUUUCACAAUCUAUCACAGAUUUUAACCUAGCUUUAGGAUUCAUUAAUGAUGAUUAUUCUUCUAGUGAUGCAUAUUUAGGAACAACUUGUGAUUUUAGCAAAAAUUUUGAGCCUUAUGGUCUUUAGCGUAAUUUAUUGGUUGAUCACAAUGCCUAUGACCCCGAGUAAAUCAAAGAGUUCUUUCUUACGUGAUUUUGUUUUGAAAUGUGUGUAUCGGUUCUUAGCAUAUAUUUUUUUAGGAAAGAAAGAUCACUCGGGAGUUUUCUCUAAAACUGAGUUUUAUUUUAUCUGGUGCAUGUUAAAUGAUGUGAGGCCUAAUUUGGGUUUUUGGUUAGUAGAUCAAUUUCAAAGUGUGCUUAAACGGUAUAGGACUUUAUUUUAUGGUCCAUACAUUACUCUGUUAGCUAUAAACUUAUGUGUGCUUGAUCCUGACAAUAAUGAUUUGCAUCCUGCUUACAAAAAGGAAUUUUUGGUUAUGUAUGUGUUUGAAAGAAUAGGUGUGGUCGAAUUUAAGGAGGGGAGAUUUCAGUUUACUGAACUAGGACCCACUCAACCACCAAAGAAGCUUUAUGCUAGGAGUGGUGCUACCUCUGAUGACGAGUUUGACGACGAAACUGCUGCCCCAUCAACUAUUCCUUCUACAUCCGCACCACCUUUGAGCAUUCAGUUAGAGAAAAUGGAGCGCAAGCUGAACAAGAUGGAGCAGAAUUUGGCCACAUACUUCGAGAGUGUGGGAUUUAUCCCACCAUUGCCGCCAAGCCCAUAGACGUUAUGUGGAUCAAAGCUCACAAUUCAGAGAAGGUUUUGCCUUUAAUCUUUUAUCUUUACGCUUUAAUUUUUAUGUGAGCUUUGAUUAUCUUACAUUGGAGACAAUGUAAGUACUUGAUGUGGGGGAAGGAUAUUUGCAAUAAUGAUGUCUGAAAGUAUUAUUUUCACUCUGCUCAUCCUUAAAUUAUUUUAGAGUUAGUAUGCUUCAUAUAUUAUUUUUUUUAUUUUCUUUUCUUUUUCACUACUUUUUUUCUCAUCUAUCUCAAAUUAUUUACAUCUAUUUUUAUUCUAUCAUACUCUUUCAUCACUCACAUUUUAUCUUUCACUUUUUAUAUUACUACAUACAUCUUUCUCGCUUCUUAUCCUUUUUACCUUUCCUUUCAUAUAUCACUUCUACCUUCUUCUCAAUCUAUACCACUAUUGAUGGUUGAUUCAUUUGAAGAGUGUACAUGAUUUGAUGGCAAAUUUACCAACUUUGUGAGGAUUUGAGCCUAUGAGCAACCGCUUUGCUCUAAUUAUUUUUGUUAUGUUAAUAUCAAUCUUAGUUUGUUUAUUCUAAAACUUGCUUUGUUAUGCAUGUUGAAGCCACAUUAAAAGAUUUUAUGCAUUAAAAUGAUAAGGGCAAACCAUUUUCCAUUUUUCUAUUCUUGCAUUUUUCUUUUUUUUUUUCCUCUACCCGAAGACCUUUCUUUGCUUCUCUCCAUCUAUUUACCCAUUUUCCUUCUUUUUGAGCCUCAAUUUAAGGAGAUUUUUGGACUCAUUGUUUGAAUAUAUUUUGUAUAUAUUUUGUUGCUCUUGCUACCUUGAAUUAAAGUUUCUCAAUUAGAUCAACAAGCAUUAUGCUUGAAUUAAAUUGUGAAAGGUUCAUUUCUUUUGUUUGAUUAAAAAAAAACAAAACAAAAAAACCAAAAAAAAGAAAUCGAAAAAAAAGAAAAAAAUGUGUUUACAUUCUUCGUGACUUGAGUAGAAAUAAGCAUUUCGAUAUCAUAAAGUUCAUUCAAUGAGUUCAUUCUUCUCAUUUUGAUCUCUUUUUCUUUCAUAAACCUUUCUUUUUCAUUUAAUCCAUUUAACCUCGUUACAACCUUUUUAAGACCCUUAGAUUUUUGCAUUUAAUUCAUGUUUUGUGGAUUGAGAUGUGAUAUAUGAGCAAGCUUAUUGUAAUAGCAUUCUUUGAUUUGAUUUGAGUGCAUAAAUGAUACCCUAAACACUUUGAGUACAUGGAGUGAAGUCAUUGAGAGAGCUAUUAAAUCUUGUUGCACUUGAAUUUUGAAUGGAUCUUCUUAGUGGUUGAAUGUUUUUCUUUUAUUUUAGUUUAUGAGAUCCUAUGCUUUAAAAUCCUUGUCUCACGAAUGUUGAUCGACUUAAAUUCUUGAGGUAUGCUUGCUUAAGAUUGUUUUUGGAUGAGUUGAGAUGAGAAUUGAGUGGAGAUUGGGAUUAGUCUUGAGUUAUAUGCUUGAGGUCAAGCAUCAUCUUGGUGUGGGGGAAUUUGUUAGAGUGCAAUUUAUGCACUAGUUUUGCAUUGUUUACUUCUCUUAAUAUCAAUGUUUUGCACUUAACAAUAGUGAUUUACUUGUGUUUUACUUUUGUAGGUGCAAUUCCAUUUAUUGGUGAUAAAAUUGAGCUACAAGAUAAUGUUUAAGGAUGAUUGUUCUCUUAGAGAAAUUAUUAGCGUUAGAAGAACUUUUUUGAUAAGACGUGGGUGCGUGCUGUCAAUUACGGACUUGCAGUUUUUAGUUUAACGUGUUUUGUAUUUUUGGUUAUUUUUAUAAUUACGAAUUUAAUAUUUCAGAUAUUAGUAUUUAUUUUAAAUAGAACUCUAGAGGAGAAGAGAUGGAGAGUAUUUAAGGGAAGAAUCUAUUGUGAAAAAGGGAUAUUGGAGAAAAGAAAGAAACCCUAUAUCUAAAUUUUUCUCUUCUCUCUAUGAAGAACUAAACCUAUUAUUCUCGUUGAAGGUUAAUGAAGCUUUGAUUCAUUACUGCUGUGAGAUCUUUCUUAUGCUUUAAUUGUUUUAUUACUUUUUGGAUAUUUGUUUAUUCUCUGAAUUAUUGUCAUGAUUAUGUUUGUUAAUUAGAUAAUUGACCACUAAUUAACUAUCAACUUAAUCUAUUGUCAAUUAAAGGAUUCAUCGUAUGAAGAUUUUAAUGUUUGUGACAAAUAACAUAGCAGUGAGUUGUGUUAUGAGAAUAAACAAUCUAAUUUAAAUGAACUAUCAUAUGCAUUUGUUGAUUAGGAUUUGGGUCUCUCUGGUUUUUCAGGCUGUCAAUUGAUUAAAUUCUAUGAUCGUAUCUAGGGUUGUCUAUUGAUUAGGGAAAUAACCAAAUGUCGUACCUUGGUUAUCGACUAGUUAAGGAGAGAUUGGCUAUUAGAGGGUCUCAGUAGCUAUAACCGGUCUAUUCAUAAGUAGUAAUCAUUUAUAUUUGAAUCAAUGAUCAGUAGUCGAAUCAAGCUGAGUUAAUUCCUUCAACCAGAGCUUUCCCCAAUUUGAAUUAUAAUUUUAAUUUGUGCCCUUGUUAUUUUAAUUUGAUUUUUAUUAUUGUCAACAAUUCCCCCAUUUUGCAUUUUAUAUUUUAAAAGGAUUUAAAUAAUUACCGAUCUUUGUAGACACGACCCUUCUCAAUCACUAUACACAAUUUAUUUAGAGUAGGUAUUUAUUUUUGUUGGCUUCAACAACCAUCACAAAUUAACUACAUUAGGGUGCGUUUUAGAGCCAUCAAAUCCACAGUAAUGUGGCAACUAAAACAUGUGAAUAAAUUUCUUCGGUCAAUGGUAACAAAGUCCAAGAGUGAUUUAUGAUGCCUAAUUACCACGAGCACACGUAAUUUGCAUGCAACAUGCCUAGCUCAUUUGAAAAUUUGGAUCAAUGAGUGUUUCACAAAACACCAUUCAAGUUUUCACAUCAUGAAAAUAGGAAUUAAUUUGAACCAAUUGUCAACACUAUACAGCAUGUUUAUUGCUCAAAUUGAAGAAAAUUAAGAAGACAAACAGAUCGAAGAUUACAGAAAAGUCAAUUCAAGGAAAAGGCUCUUAUAUGUGACGUCAUACUUUGCCGUCUCACAUAGCUACAAUCAAAUUUUCUAUUUUCUUAAUGCUAGCUAAUAAAAGAAAAAUGUAGAAAUAUAUGACAGAAUCCAUCGCUUUCAUCAGUGGAAUAAGCAAGAGAGCAACAUGAAACAUGUAAAAAAGGAAAAUAAUAUUUGCCUUUUAAAUAAUUUUAUUGAAUCAGGAGACGUAACUUUAUACAAGAGAUUUCCUAUAAUCAUGCUAAUCUAUUCUAGGUAGUCUAAAUAUAAAAGGCAACUGAACAAAUAUACAACUAAUACAAUAUAUUUGUCAAUGAAUGGUCAGAUAUCAUUGACCUUUCCUUCUCAAUACUCCCCCUCAAGUUGGAAAGUGAAUGUUAAGAACUCCCAACUUGCAUAUCGUAGUUGAGAAAGCUUCCUUUCCCAAUGGCUUGGUGAACACAUCUGCAAGUUGAUCUGUUGAGGCAACAUGUUUGGUUACAACUGAACCAUCUUGUAUUUUGUCAUGAAUAAAAUGGCAUCCAUCUCUAUAUGUCUGGUUCUUUCGUGGAAAACGGGAUUGGCAGCUAUAUGUAAGGCUGCUGUGUUAUUAUAAUAUAAUAAUGCUGGCUUUGGAUGCAAUAUUCUCAAAUCCUUCAAUAAUGAGCGUAGCCAGGAUAAUUCACAACAUGUACCUGUCAUGGCUCUAUAUUCAGCUUCUGCUGAGGAGAGAGAUACGGUUUUCUGCCUCUUUGUCUGCCAAGAAAUAAGAGAAGAUCCCAGAAAACACAAUAACCCGUAGUGGAUCUACGAGAUAUUGGACAACUAGCCUAAUCCGAAUCAGAAAAAGCUUGCAAAGAUAAAUCAUUCUGAGAAGGGAAAGACAAACCUUGCCCUGGACUAUUUUUCAAACAACGCAAUACACGUAAGGCAGCUUCCAUGUGUGGUCCACGUGGUGCAUGCAUGAAUCUACUUAACACAUGGACCGAAUAGGUGAUAUCCGGCCGGGUAAUAGUCAAAUAAAUUAAGUGUCCAACAAGUCGCUUAUACUGAGACUGAUCUUUAAGCAAUUCACCUGAAUCCGAGAGCUUUAUGUUUUGUUCCAUGGGAAAGUUCACAGGUUUAGCACCCAAAAAUCCACCAUCUUUUAAAAUUUUCAAAGUAUAUUUUCGUUGCGAGAUGGAAAUGCCUUUUUCAACCGAGAAACUUCGAUGCCCAAAAAAUACUUCAAAUCACCCAAAUCUUUAAUUCGAAAAUGACUAUGUAGAAAUUGCUUGAGGGCUACUAUGGCAUUGACAUCAUUACCCGUAAUAAGAAUGUCAUCGACAUAUAUCAACAAAGUUGUAAAACAUUUGCCUUUCCAACAUGUGAAUAACGAGUAAUCGACUUUGGAUUGAACAAAGCCAGCAGCUUGGAUAGCUGUAGAGAACUUGGCAAACCAUUGUCGGGAAGCUUGCUUUAAGCCAUAUAACGACUUGUGAAGGCGACACACUAGAUUCUCCCCCUGUCGUCGAAGACCAGGAGGUGGAGACAUAUAAAUUUCUUCAUGGAGAUCGCCAUGAAGAAAAACAUUGUUGACAUCAAGUUGGUGAAGAGACCAAUUAUGGGCAGCUGCUAAAGCCAAUAAACAACGAACAGUAAUCAUUUUAGCAGUGAGAGAAAAAGUGUCAUGGUAAUCUAUACCUUCCAGCUGUGUGAAACCUUUUGCAACCAAACGAGUUUUAAAAUGCUCAAUAGUACCAUCCGAGUGCUGUUUGAUUUUAUAAACCCAACGACAACCAAUAGGCUUCUUACCAGGAGGAAGAGAAGUGAGGGACCAAGUGUGGUUGGCUUCUAAAGUAGCCAAUUCAGAUUGUAUUGCUUCUUGCCAAUGGGAAUGGGAAGCUGCUUUAGCAUAAGAUGUAGGCUCAAUAUCUUGACUGACAGCAGCAGUAAAAGAGUGAUGUUGUGGUGAGUAACGAUGAUAAGAGACAAAAUUACAAAGGGGAUAUCGUGUACCUUUUUGUGGACCUGAUGACAAAGGCGGCAAGUGAUUGUUAGAUGUUACUUGGUUAUAGACAUAAUCACGUAAAGCCAUGGGAGGGUGAUGAGGUUUUUGGGAACGGCGUAAAAUGGGUUCGGGAAGAGGACUAGUAGGUGAUAGCUGAGUAGAAACUGGAUUCAGUGGUAAGGGUUGUUGGAUAGUAGAAAUUGGUUUUGGUGGUAAGGGUUGUUGAACUGGUAAGGAAGGAUCGGAUAUAGAAAGAGGAAUCACAAGGUCUGAAUUUAAGGAAGGGGAUGGAAUGGACUCAUAAGGGAAAAUAGUUUCAUGAAAAACAACAUCACGGCUAGUGAACAUAUAGUGGGUGUCAAGGUCAUAGAGCUUGUAAGCUUUUUGACCAAUUGGAUAGCCAAGAAAAAUACAUCGUUUGGCUCGAUGAGCAAAUUUAUGGGGGACGUGCACAUCAGUAGCAUAGGCAAGACACCCAAAAACUCGGAUAUGAGAAUAAGAAGGAAGUUUUCCAUAAAGUCGUUCAAAAUGAGUUUGGCGAGAAAGGAGUGGUGUGGGCAAACGAUUAAUUAUAUGAACAGCACUAGAAACACAUUCUGCUAAAAAAUGUAAAGGAAUGUGGGCUUGAAAAUGAAAAGCUCUAGCGGACUCAAGAAUAUGGCGGUGCUUGCGCUCUACAACCCCAUUUUGUUGAGGGGUAUAGACACAAGAAUGUUGGUAAGUGGUCCCUUUUUGUUUAAAAAAUUCCCGCAGAGAGAAGAAUUCUCCACCAUUAUCAACCCGAAUGUUGGCUAUAGAUACAUGGAAUUGUGUUUGGACAAAUGAAAAAAAAAAUUGACUAGUAAAUGUUGUGUUUCACUUUUGUGAUGCAUAAAAAAUACCCAUAUGAAUCUAGAAUAAUCAUCCAUAAUAGUCAAAAAAUAUUUCGCACCAAAAAGAGAGGCAAUUUUAUAGGGGCCCCAAAUGUCACAAUGAAUUAAUUCAAAAGGUCUAAUAGACGAAAUUGAACUAACAGAAAAUGGAAGUCAACUUUGUUUCGCAAGUGCACAAACAUCACAAGCAUUAUUAGACUGGAAAGGGAAAUUUAACAAAGGUUUUGCCAUAAAAUCUAAUCUAGAAGAAGACAAAUGCCCUAAACGGUGAUUCCACAAAAUGGUGGAGGAGGUGACCUGAGAACUGGGUGAACAGCAAAAAGUGGCUGCUGCGGAUGGAGUUUGAGGUUUUGGCUUCUCUGAUGCUAACGCAACCAAGUAAUAAAGUCUGUCUCGUUGUUCAUCCAAACCAAUCGUCGUCCUCGUCAUCAAGUCCUGCAAAAUACACCGAUGAGGGAAAAAGGUUACUGAACAAUUGAGAUCUCUGGUAACUCGACUCAUAGACAUUAAAUCCACCUUAAAAGAUGGCACACCAAGCACAUUUUGUAAAGUAACAGCAGAAUUCAAAGGUAAAUUCCCAAUGGAUGUAAUCGGAGCCUGUUCUCCACUUGGCAUAGCAACUAGUGGCAAAAAGGUGUUCUUAUUGAUGUUGACAAGCAAAGUUGGAGAUGAAGUAAUGUGGUCUGUUGCACCACUAUCGAUAAUUAAUUGAUGGAGGCGCAACAAUAUUUGUAACAAACCUGAGGUAGCAGUAUUAGCUUUAGGAUUGGUGGAUUGUGUUGUCCCUUUACCCUGCAUGAUAGACAAGAUUUGCUGGAUUUGCAAAUCAGAGAGCCCAUUUGUCACCGAUGGCACUUCCUGCAUUACUGGACUUUCCUUGACAUUGUUGGCUAAAGAUUGAUGGCUAUUGUUGCGCUUGAAAUGAAUGCUUCCUUGAUUAUACCUGUUUGAUGCAUGUUUAGGGUGUUCUGGUGGGUACCCAUUCAGCUUCCAGCAUUUUUCUCAUACAUGAUGGUCACGGUCACAAUAAGAGCAAUGCAAAGGUUUUCGAUUAGAUGGGUUGGAACGAGAAGAAGAACCUUGUUCAUGUCGAACAGCUAGAGCCACCGGUUCAGCCCUUCGAACAACCAUGGCUGAGUGCUCCGUCGUCUCACGUAUAGCCCCCAGGCUUCGCUGCUUCUCUUCUUUUACAAUGGAAGACUAAGCCUUGGCAACAUCAGGUAGCGGAUUCAUCAACAAAAUCUGCCCUCGAAUUGCACUGUAGGACUCAUUGAGUCCCAUGAGAAAUUGCAUCAAUCUACAUCUCUUAUGGUCUGCCCUACAAAAGCAAACGGGGUCAUUAUAGGAUCCUAGUUCAUCCCAUAAUUUUUUUAACCUUGUGUAAUAAGUUGCAAUAGUCAUCUGAUCUUGAGCAAGACAAGCAAUGUCCCUCUCAAUCUGAAAAAUACGAGGGGCAUUGCUUUGAGAAAAACGAUCUCGAAGGUCUUCCCAUACCUCCUGGGCGGUGGUCGAAAAAAUGACACUGUCUGCAAGGUCCUGUGUGAGUGGAUUGAGAAUCCAAGAGAGGAUCAUAUCAUUGCAUUUUUUCCACGAAGCGUAUUCGCCUAGUUUGGCUGUGGCAGACGACAUUGUGGUGGUCCCGUUUAUGAAACCUAACUUGGAUUUGGUGUUCAAAGAAAUCGUCAUGGCUCUAAACCAUGUCGAAUAAUUAUCCCCAUUGAGGGGCUUGGAAACAAGUACCAUUCCUGGAUGAUCAGAAUGGUGAAGAAAAUAUGGAUUGGCAGCAUCAAGCUUGCCUCCGUUCGAAGGUUGCUGUUCCGUCAUGAUAAUGAGAAACAACAAAAAAAGAAAGGCAAAAAGAAAGAGGGCAGAGAGCUAGGGUAUCGUUCCCUUCUCUGAUACCAUGUAAAAAAAGAAAAUAAUAUUUGCCUUUUGAAUAAUUUUAUUGAAUCAGGAGACGUAGCUUUAUAAAAGAGAUUUCAUACAAUCAUGCUAAUCUAUUCUAGGUAGUCUAAAUAUAAAAGGCAACUAAACAAAUAUACAACUAAUACAAUACAUUUGUCAAUAAAUGGUCAGAUAUCAUUGACCUUUCCUUCUCAACAAAACAAGGGUAAAAAGAGUGAAACCUUCUUAUUGUUUGAAAAAACUAAUUGAAACUCCCCUAAUGUUUUAAAACACACACACACAUUAGUUUUGCAUUUAAUUUUUCAUAAAUUUGAAAAAAAAUUCAGAAUUAAUUAAUAAUACAAUACAUUUGUCAAUGAAUGGUCAGAUAUCAUUGACCUUUCCUUCUCAACAAAACAAGGGUAAAAAGAGUGAAACCUUCUUAUUGUUUGAAAAAACUGAUUGAAACUCCCCUAAUGUUUUAAAACACACACACACAUUAGUUUUGCAUUUAAUUUUUCAUAAAUUUUGAAAAAAAAUUCAGAAUUAAUUAAUAAAUGACGACACUUUCCUUGCUUUUUCCAAUAAUUUUAAAUUUAAUUUUUCAAUCAAUUAUGAUUUAAAAAAUUCAAUUAAUUAAAUAAUUAAAGGUAUUUAUAUUCUCAAUAUCAAACAACCAUCAAGAAUAAAAUGGUAUUAAAAAUUUGAUAAUUAGAGAGUUUAAAUGUAUUUUAAAACAUCAGGAGAGUUUUAAUUAGUUUAGUCAAAUAAUAGGGAGGUUUUACAUUUUUUUCCCCAUUAAACAAGUGUCUAAGAAAUUAAACUUUUAACAAGUGUCGAAUGCAUCUUAAUUUCUGAAUACUACAAAGUGUCUGACUCAGAUCGGAAGAAUGAAUCUGAAAUUUUCUUUCAGGCAUGGAAGAAUCACUGCAUAAUCAGUGUGUAUGGAAGAAAAAAUUAAUAAGCCAAGUGACAUGGAAAUAAAUGAAUUCACAUUAAACAUGUACCAUGUGCGUCGGUUGUCGCAAAAAAGAACAACAUUUUCCAAGAAAUAAUCAUGCCAGUCUACACAGAAGCACAAUUCACGUUUAAACUUUCACCUUUUUUUUUUUUUUUUUUUUUUUUUUUUUUUAAGAAACGAACAUCUACACUCUAAAACUUAAGAAAAUGGUCACCAAUACCAUCAAGUUUUAAAAAAGGAGCAUUAAGACCUAAGACCCUCUUUUUAACUAUAAUACCUUUUACCUCUACGAUCCCAAAAAAUUAACUCUAAUAUUUUUAUAAUAAAUAGGAAUAUAACAUUAAAAUAAAUGUAAUAUUAUAUACAUUUUAAAAUAAUUUCAAUAUUUAAAUUUUUUAAUAUUUUACAAUCUAUUGGAUAUAUUUUAUUAUAUUAAAGUAAAUUUUAUAAUAAAUAGAAUCAUAAUAUUAAAAUAAAUGUAUUAAAAUUUAAAUUAUUUUGAAUAUUAUGUAAAAUAAUAAUUUUAAUAUUAUUAAUAUGUGAGAUUUAUUUUAAGUGUAAAUUUAUUUAAUGAAAAUAUUAAUUUAAAAUCUCCACAAUAAAUAAAAUUUAUUAUUAAAAUAAAUAUAAUAAAUUUACAUAUUUAAAUUUAUUCAAAAAUUAAAAUAUUUUAAUAUUGUUGGUCUACUGCAUAGAUUACAUUAUAUUUGUAUUUAUUAAAAAUUUUAAAGUCAAUUGUUUUAGGAAUAAUAGAGGUAAAUGGUAUAAUGGUCAAAAGGGAGUUUUGAUGUCUUUUUUAAAAAAACUUGGGUGUUGGUGACUGUUUCCCUAAACCUUGAGGAUAUAGAUGUCCUUUUUCCUUUUUUUUUUUUUUUUCCAUUUCACACACCAUAACCCCCAUUCACGUUUAAAGUAAAGCUUCCCGAUUGUGAGGGGAAUCGAUCUCAACUAAGCUAUGUGAGCUUAGAUGGAUUAGAAUUUUUACCAUUCAAUUGUGUGUUUUUUCUAGAAUGAUUGGACAUUGGCGAUGAAAUGAAGUAUUAAAAAUUUAUCAAGGAACAAAGUAGUAAAAAUAAAUUCAAGAAAUUGUGUUUUCUGUAGCAGAUGUGAGAUCCUAACAGGUCAUUUGGAUUAUUUUUUUAAAAACAAAAGUCUUAAUAAAUUAAACUUACAAAAUUUUAGUGAAUUAAUAAUUUUUUAUAUUUAAAUAAAUUAACUUUCUGAAAAUUUUAAUAAUUCACAAAUGCCCUAAAACUUAUCGAAUGUUUGGCAAGGGUUUACUGCAUGGGGAUAAACUUGGUGUACUAAAUUUGGCAUAACAAACGCACCCUAAAUACAAUAGAAAUAACUCGUGCCAUUCCUCCAAAUAACUCCAAUGAUUUUUCCCGAAAUUAAAAUCAUAUUCUUUAGACUUUAACCUAUACCAAAAAAAAAAAAUUAGUAUCUUAAUAAAGAGGCAUAUAAUGACAAAAUUAAAGGGUAGUGAAAAGACAAUCCCAAACGGUGUGUUAUUUUCCUUUCAUUUACUGGCAUGAAUUUUCGGGAGACAAAAGCCCAGUAAACAAGUUUGUUCGGUACAAUAGGAUCCAAAAAAACCUUAGUCAAUUUGUCCAUUAAUCUUGACCACAAAUAUUUUUUUAUUCUAUUUCGUAGGAUGACUUUUCAUGUUAUUCUAUGAAAAAAGAGAGAGAGAGAGAGAAGAAUUUUUGUGGAAAAACUUUGAUCAUUAUUCUUGAUUGUUUGUCAGCUUUAGUGGAAAUGCCCAAGCGUUUUCACAUUUUCUGAAUUGUUGCUAUCCAAAUGAGAAGAAUCUCUGAGAAAAAAUUUUGAGCACUAAUCUAACAGUUUGUUAGCUUUAGCGGAAAAGGCUAGAUAUUUUAACAUUUUAUGAAUUGCACAUUGAAGACGCAACGCGAAUAUAGUUUUGUGACACCAAGCUAAAUUAACCAGAUUAACUUACUCUCAUUUACCGUACCAAAGAAAUUUACCCUACAAGUUAAUUAACCAACAAGUAGUAGACGGACAGCUACAAGUUGUACAUUGACGUAGAAGAAGAUGCAUUCGAUACGAAGAUUGAUUUGACAGAACUGCAACAAAGUGAACCAUUUUUGGGAUAAGUUUAGAGCAGUACUAAUAUAUAUCAAGAAAGAAACAGUAUUACUGUUUUCUCUCUUUAGCAUUUCUACUAAUUUUAAUACAUUGAUCUUGGAAGACUUUUCCACAAUAUCAAUUGAUGCAUUGACUUGUUGACCUCUCAAUUGCUCUUGUAUGUGGUUUCUAUAAAUUUGGCAUCCUAUAUGCUUGUUUUCUGCACCGUUGUUAAUUUGUACGUUUUUGAAAGCUGAGAGUCCUCAAGUGAUCUUAAUUUUGAAUUUUAACACAUUUUGGUUUAUCUUACUUUGUUUUAUUGUGUUUUAUAAUGUCAAUGGGGGCAACAAACAUGAAUAAAGUAGUUUCUUCACUAGCUUUGUUGAUCCUAUUUUCUUUGCUAGAUUUUUCAAUUGCUGUUUCUUCUGAUUCUAAUGAAGAAGCUGAUGCUCUUCUCAAAUGGAAAGCCAGCCUUCAAAGCCACAACCGAUCUCUCCUUCCUUCCUGGACUAACGCCACCACCAAUGUUUCAUCCAAAAUAAGCUCGUGUGCUUGGUAUGGAAUCAGUUGCAAUGACGCUGGAAGAGUCGUCAACAUUAGCCUCCCAGCUAAAGGAUUAAAAGGUAAGCUUCAUGAUUUCUCAUUCUCAUCGUUUCCUCAUCUUGCUUAUCUUGAUCUUAGCUAUAAUAAACUCUUCGGUACUAUCCCGCCUCAAAUUAGUAACCUUACGAAUCUCAUCUACCUUUAUUUCGGAGGCGAUCAAUUUUCAGGAAAUAUUCCACCAGAAGUUGGUCUUAUGAGUCAUUUGAAGUUCCUUUACAUUGAUACGAACCAAUUAGAUGGCUCAAUUCCACCAGAAGUAGGUCAGUUAAGUUCUCUGGUGGAGCUUGCCUUCUUCUCUAACAACUUGAAUGGUUCACUCCCUCCUUCUUUAGGUAAUUUGACACACCUCUCUAAAUUGUUCCUUCAUGAUAAUUCAUUUUCUGGUUUUAUUCCUCCGGUCAUUGGAAACUUGAAAUCUAUGUCCGUCUUAAGUUUGGGCAUUAAUCAAUUUAGUGGUCCAAUCCCUCUUUCUUUAGGUAAUUUGACCAACCUAAAAGUAUUAGGCCUCGUUGAUAACAACCUAUCCGGUUCCAUUCCACCCUCCCUCGACAAUCUUGUGUUAACCAACCUAUCAUUGGAUUUCAAUCAUUUUACAAGUUAUUUACCGCACAAUGUUUGUCGAGGUGGAGCAUUACAGUAUUUUCGCGUUUCUGAAAACCAUUUUCAGGGAACAAUCCCUAAAAGCUUGAGAAAUUGCACAAGCUUAAUCCGAGUACGCCUUGAUGGAAACAAACUUACUGGAAAUAUAUCAGAAGCUUUGGGCAUUUAUCCUAACCUAACUUUCAUAGAUCUCAGCCGCAAUAAUUUUUACGGCGAAAUCUCAUUUAAUUGGGGGAAAUGCCCAAAAUUAGGCACUCUCAAUGUUUCUAUGAAUAACAUUACUGGAGGUAUACCGCGUGAGAUUGGAAACUCGUCUCAACUACAUGCACUCGAUCUUUCAUUGAAUCAUAUAGUUGGGGAGAUUCCAAAGGAACUUGGGAAGUUAAAUUCUCUAACCAAGCUCAUUUUGAGAGGGAAUCAACUUACAGGACGCCUGCCUACAGAAAUCGGGGCAUUCAAUGAACUUGAAUACCUCGACUUAUCUGCAAAUAGAUUCAACAAUUCAGUCCCAGAAAGUCUCGGCAACUUGCUGAAAUUGCACUACUUGGGUUUAAGCAACAACCAGUUUGUCCAAGAAUUGCCAAAGGAAUUGGAGAAGCUAGUUCAACUUUCAGAAUUAGAUGCAAAUCAUAACCUCUUUGGAGGAGAGAUACCAUUUCAAAUAUGCAGUUUGAAAAGCUUGGAAAAGUUGAAUCUCUCCCACAAUAAUCUCUCUGGUUCGAUUCCAAAUUGCUUUGAGGGAAUGCACGGUCUAUCAGUCAUUGACAUUUCCGAUAAUCAAUUGCAAGGCCCAGUUCCAAAUAGCACAGCAUUUCGCAAUGCCCCAGUGGAAGCCUUAGAGGGGAAUAAGGAAUUGUGUGGAAGUGUGAAAGGAAUGCACCCAUGCAAAGUUUUCUCGUCACACAAGCAAAAUUCUGGAGCCAAGUGGUUUGCAAUAGUGUUCCCUGUUUUAGGAGCACUAUUUGUUUCAAUGGCGUUGAUAGCAAUUUUCAUUCUUCGAAAGCGGAAGUCAGACUCAGGAGAUCGACAGAGUAGCAACCAGAACCCUAAGGGAUUGUUUUUUAUAUUAAAUUUUGAAGGGAAACUUGUGUACGAUGAAAUUGUUAGAGCAUCAAAUGAUUUUGAUGCAGAGUAUUGCAUUGGAAAUGGUGGACACGGAAGUGUUUAUAGAGCUGAGCUACCAUCUGGGGAAGUCGUAGCUGUUAAGAAAUUUCACUCACCACUCCCAUGCGAUCAGAUUUCAGAUCAAAAAGAAUUCUUAACCGAAGUUGAGGCCUUGACAGUGAUACGACAUCGAAACAUUGUGAAGUUUUAUGGAUUUUGCUCACAUGCCCGACACUCUUUUUUGGUCUAUGAAUUUCUUAAAAGGGGUAGCUUGGCUGCGAUCUUGAGCAGUGAUGCAGCAGCACAAGAACUGUGUUGGAGUCAGAGAAUGAAUGUGAUCAAAGGCAUAGCUGAUGCCUUGUCUUACUUGCACCAUGACUGCUUUCCUCCAAUUGUCCAUCGAGACAUAUCAAGUAAGAACUUGUUGCUGGAUUUGGAAUAUGAAGCUCAUGUUGCAGACUUUGGAAUUGCUAAGUUCCUGAAGCCAGACUCGUCCAACUGGACUGAAUUUGCAGGCACAUAUGGAUACGUUGCACCAGGUAUUUAGUAUUUAUUUGUUACCAUUUUGAGGAAUAUUUUUGUGUUAUGUGUGCGGUAGCAGAACAAUGCAACUAGAUAUUUAUCUCAGAAACAGAGUAAACAUUUUUUUUUUGGUCCUUGACCUUGCAGAGCUUGCUUAUACAAUGAAGAUCACAGAGAAAUGCGAUGUGUACAGUUUUGGAGUGUUAGUGUUGGAAGUGAUCAAAGGGACGCAUCCAAGAGAUUUUCUUUCUUCGACUUCAUCUCCAUCUCUCAACACGGAUAUAGCACUUGAUGAAAUGUUGGACCCGCGUCUUCCAGUUCCAUCAUGCAGUGUUCAAGAAAAACUGAUAUCAAUCAUGGAGGUUGCUUUUUCAUGCUUAAAUGAGAGUCCGGAGUCUAGACCAACCAUGAAGAUAGUCAAUCAACAAUUACGGAUUUAACCUCAGCUGCCUUGAUUGAGUCUUAAUUUUCUCAUUAUGCUUGUAAUUUGCUUGGUUUAUUUUUCUCAUCUAUUGUAGUUUGUUUGUUCUAGUUUUCAAGAACUGGGAGGCGUUAGUUAUUACGUCAUCCAUAUAUGCUUGGUAUGGGGUGUACUCAACUCUUUCAUUUAUAAAUAAAGUUUGUUCAUUCCUUAGAGGUUUAGUUAAAAGAACGCAUGGGGCAGUGGUGAGCACAUUUGAGGACAUGUGGAGUCUGUACAAUGAAGACCAAGAUCAGUAAGAUACUUUGUAAUAAUUAAAAAAAUAAUUUCUUGCCACAUGUACAAACAUGUGAACCCCUCAAAUGUAAACUUGAAAGUGUGUACCACUGUACUAAUUAGUGGGUGGCUCUUACUUAUUGAUAAUAUUAAAUUAAAUGUUAAAAGAAAGGAAUAGAUAAGGAAAAAAAAUUAAAUAUUGAACAUAAUUUACAAUGUAGUCCUUGUGAUUUAACCAAAAAUCAAAUAAACCAAUAAUAAUUAGUUUUUUUUGGGUGGGGGGUGGGGGGGAGUGGGUGGUGAAGGAUGGAGUUUGAUUGUGAAUCUCGGUUAAAUGACUUAAUUUACAUUUGUCAUGUCAGAGUUAGCCGAUGUCCUAUAUUUGAUCAAUGUGGAUGGCUGAUCAAAAUUAAAUAAUCCUUGAACGAGAUUGAGGCCUUGACAGAGAUACAACAUCAGGGCAUUGUAAAACAGAGAGAAGAUGCACGUGUGACAGAGAGUGAGAGAGAAGCUGCCAAACCGACCCAACUACAGACCCAAAAACCCGACCCGAACCACAAACGUGACCCGGCCGUAUCUUCCGAUUCCGGCCACCCCACUGGUCAAGCUUGUUACCAAUCUGAAGCUUAGAAGCCGACUGUCGUUUUCGGGCCAUCCUCUCCGCCGCAAACUAACCGUAACGCCGACGACCAAAGCUUGAAAACCCGCGACUGUUUCGCUUUGUUCCGCCGAGAUUUUCGCCGGUUUUGGGUGACACCACCGGUUGGAUUUUGUUCCCCACGACUCCUUCUUCCAUUUCCGACCAUCCACUGCUGCCGGGGACAUCGUUUUGCCGUUGAUCGGCCGUUGGAGGACUUGCGGGUUUGGGAGCUCAAUCCGGAGCCAUCGCCGAGCGUGGCAGGUCACCACCGCCACCGUUGGACUCAGUGUGGCCAGAAAUUUUAGACUUGAGCUUCCCGGCCAGCGUUGACCAAAUUUCGGUGAAUGUUGACAGGCAGGGGCAUUUUGGUAAUUUCAUACUAUGAGGGCAAUUUUGUAAUUUCUGAGCCUGUGGAUUUGUUAGUAAUUCCUAGAAUUGAGGAUUGGGUUUAAUUAUGAUUCUGAGGGUGAGGGUAAUUUGGUGAUUUACGAUUUCAGGAUAUUUUAAUGAUUUAUGAAUUUGAGGGCAUUUUAGUAAUUUUAACAACACAGGAGUUGUAAAUUAUAGAUAGAUGUUCGUUUCGAGUUUAUUGUAUAAAUUUAGUCCUAAUUCUUAUUUACGGAUAAUAAUUAUGUCAUUUCCUUGAUUUAGGAGGAUCCGCGAGCGAGAACCGGUCCGCGGACGUGGAUGAUAACCAAGCUUGAACACCGUCACUAUGAGUGGAAUAUACAAAACUUAUUUUCAUAGUUAAUUAUGAUAGUAAUGCAUGUUUGCGAAAUAAGUGUUUUAAAUGUUCUGAUUUAAUAAUUUUCUCGAAAUGGAUUUUGUUCAUGCAUUAGUAUUUUAUUAAAAUGCUUUAUUAAUGAUUUUGCGUAUCGACUUUGAAUAAGCAUGAUAGUAUUUUAAAGAUAAGAAAAGUGGAUUCAAAUGUGAUAUGAUUUAAAGUAUGGUUAAAAGGUAUGUGAAUAUGAGUAUAAUGAUUAUGAGUAUAAUGAUUGUUUUUUAAAUCAUUAGACGGUACCCUUCCCCUCCAAAUACAAUGAUACAAAUAAGAUGAGAUAAAGGUCUUUGGGGCCCGUCUGAACACACAUAGAGGCUUUGGGCCAAGUGUUUGGGCGUUUCUACUUUUUGGAGGCAUAUGCAUGCAGUAUGAUGAUUAUAGAGAUACAAAUAUGAGCUACAGGCAUAUAUUGAGAUAAAGAUGAUAUAGAUGAGUUACAGGCCUUUGGGGCCUGUCUGAACACACGUAGAGGAUUUGGGCCGUGUGCUUGGGCCUUUUUGUCCUUUGGGGACUAGAUUAUGCAUGCACAAAUAUGAUGAGAUAUGAGAUUGUUAGAGUGCAAUUUAUGCACUAGUUUUGCAUUGUUUACUUCCCUUAAUAUCGAUGUUUUGCAUUUAAUAAUAGUGAUUUACUUGUGUUUUACUUUUGUAGGUGCAAUUCUAUUGAUUGGUGAUAAAAUUGAGCUAUAAGAUGAUGUUUAAGGAUGAUUGUUCUUUUGGAGAAAUUAUGAGCGGCAGAAGAACUUUGUUGAUAAGGCGUGGGCGCGUGCUGUAAACUGCGGACCUGCAGUUUUUAGUUUAACGUGUUUUGUAUUUUUGGCUAUUUUUUAAUUACGAAUUUAAUAUUUCAAAUAUUAGUAUUUUAUUUUAAAUAGAACUCUAAAAGAGAAGAGAGAGAGAGUAUUUAAGGGAGGAAUCUAUUGUGAAAAAGGGGGAUUUUUGGAUUGGAGAAAAAGAAACCCUAGAUCUAAUUUUUCUCUUCUCUCUAUGAGGAAAUAAACCCAUUUUUCUGGUUGAAGGUUAAUGAAGCUUUGAUUCAUCACUACUGUGAGAUCUUUCUUGUGUUUUAAUUGUUUUAUUACUUUUUGGGUAUUUGUUUAUUCUCUGAAUUAUUUUCAUGAUUAUGUUUGUUAAUUAGGUAAUUGGCCACUAUUUAAUUAUCAACUUAAUCUAUUGUCAAUUAAAGGAUUCAUCGUAUGAAGAAUUUAAUGUUUGUGACAAAUAACAUAGCAGAGAGUUGUGUUGUGAGAAUAAACAAUCUAAUUUAAAUGAAUCAUCAUAUGUGUUGAUUAGGAUUUGGGUCUCUCUGGUUUUUCAGGCUGUCAAUUGAUUAAAUCCUAUGAUCGUAUCUAGGGUUGUCUAUUGAUUAGGGAAAUAACCAACGGUCGUACCUUGGUUAUCGACUAGUUAAGGAGAGAUUGGCUAUUAGAGGGUCUCAGUAGCUAUAACCGGUCUAUUCAUAAGUAAUAAUAAUCUAUAUUUGAAUCAAUGAUCAGUAGUCGAAUCAAGCUGAGUUAAUUCCUUCAACCAGAGCUUUCUCCAAUUUGAAUCACAACUUUAAUUUACAUUCUCGUUAUUUUUAUUUGAUUUUUAUUAUUGUCAACAAUUCCCCCAUUUUACGUUUUACGUUUCAAAAGGAUUUAAAUAAUUACCGAUCUCUGUGGACACGACCCUGCUCAAUCACUAUACACAAUUUAUUUAGAGUAGGAAUUUAUUUUUGUUGGCUUCGACACCCAUCAAAUUUUGGCGCCGUUGCCGGGGAUUGGUGUCAUUUAUUUAAUCCUUUUUACGUUUUACUUGGUGUAUGGUUCGUUCUUCUCGUACAGGUACACUUUCGUUUGAUCCUGAAAUUGAGAAGACAGCUCGCCAGCUGAGACAGCAGACAAAGCGAGCUAAGCAACGAUCCUCGUCGCCUUUGCUUUCUGAAACAGAUACGGUGCCUGAUUUAGUUCAAUCAUCUAGCGAUUCGGAAGAACAAGUGAUGGAUAGAGCUGCACCUGUAGAAAGAACUCUUAGAGAGUUAGCUGAACCAGACUUGAAUCAGCAACCACUCUGCAUUCAAUAUGUAGACUUGGAGGUAAAUUUUGAAUUAAAGUCUGGUCUUAUUCAUUUAUUACCCAAGUUUCAUGGUUUUGCAGGUGAAGAUCCUCAUAAACAUCUUAAGGAGUUUCAUGUUGUAUGUUCAAGUAUGAGACCACAAGGCGUGACUGAAGAGCAGAUUAAGCUGCGUGCUUUUCCGUUCUCUAUAGAUGGGCUAGCUAAAGAUUGGUUGUACUACUUGCCUCCUGGAUCGAUUACAACGUGGAAUGGUUUGAAGAAGCAGUUCCUCGAGAAGUACUUUCCUGCUUCAAGAGCUGCCAACAUCAGAAAAGAUAUUUGUGGGAUCAGACAACUUCCUGAGGAGACUUUGUAUGAGUAUUGGGAGCGAUUCAAACAAUUGUGUGCCAGUUGUCCUCAGCAUCAGAUUUCUGAUCAACUUCUUAUUUAAUAUUUUUACGAAGGACUGUCAUUGAUGGAUAUGAGUAUGAUAGAUGCUGCUAGUGGAGGCGUGUUAGUGAACAAGACCCCUACUCAAGCAAGGGAGUUGAUAUCAAAUAUGGCUGCCAACGCACAACAAUUUGGCAGCAGGCAAGAUCCUACUUCAAGGAAGGUGAAUGAGGUAAAUAUUUCUUUUGUUGAACAACGUUUAGAUAAACUUACUUCUCUUGUGGAAAAGUUUGUUGUAGGCAAUGUGCAACAGGUGAAGACUUGUGGCAUUUGUUACAAUAUGGGUCAUUCAACUGAUAUGUGUCCUACACUUCAAGAAGAACCCGUUAAACAAGCCAAUGUAGUUGGAGGAUUUCCAGGCAUGCCUCAGAGGAGGUAUGAUCCUUAUGCACAAACAUACAAUCCGGGAUGGAAGGAUCAUCCCAACUUCAGCUAUGGAGUUAGGCCGUCAGGAUUCCCACAACAGUAUCCACUAAGACAACCAGCACCUCCACAGUCAACCUCCAAGUCAGGUAUAUGUCUUGAAGAAAUUGUUAAAUCGCUUGCGACUAACACUCAACAAUUUCAGCAGGCAACUACAGCAAGCAUUCAGAACUUGGAGAACCAAAUGAGUCAAUUGGCGACUACAGUGAGCCGUCUGGAGUCUCAAGUAUUAGGGAGAUUGCCUUCACAAUCUGAGGUGAAUCCAAAGCAAAACGUUAGUGCUGUCAUCCUUAGAAGUGGGAAGGAGUUGCAAGAGCCUAGUAAGAAAGUGACAGAGCAUGUAGAAGAUGAGCUUGAGAAGAAUGAAUUGAUGCCUCAAUCUCAAGAUGCACAACCCACUAGAGCGAAACCCCUACCUAUUGUGAUACCUCCUCCUUUUCCAAGCCGGUUUGCAAAAUCCAAGAAGGAGGAACAAGAGAAAGACAUCCUUGAGACAUUUCGCAAGGUUGAGGUAAAUAUUCCUUUAUUAGAUGCUAUAAAACAAAUACCUCGAUAUGCUAAAGUCCUUAAGGAACUAUGCACCUCUAAGAGAAAAUUAAGAGGAGAUGAAAAGGUUCAUAUGGGGGAGAAUGUUUCAGCAGUUCUCCAAAAGAAAUUACCUCCUAAGUGUAAGGAUCCAGGUAUGUUUACUAUCCCUUGCAAAAUUGGUAAUGUCAAAGUUGAAAAGGCUAUGUUAGAUCUAGGAGCUUCUAUUAAUGUCAUGUCUCGUUCCAUUUAUUCAUCUUUGAAUGUUGGUCCAUUAAAAGAAACUGGCGUGAUAAUUCAACUAGCUGAUAGGUCUAAUGCAUAUCCUGAUGGGGUAUUAGAAGAUGUCCUAGUACAAGUUAAUGAGUUGGUUUUUCCUGCUGAUUUUUAUGUACUUGAUAUGGAAGAGGAUAACUUCUCUAAUUCUGUCCCAAUUUUGCUAGGAAGACCUUUUCUUAAGACUGCUAGGACUAAAAUGGAUGUACAUAAAGGGACUCUCACUAUGGAGUUUGAUGGAGAGGUUAUAGAAUUCAAUAUGAAUGAUGCCAUGAAAUAUCCUAGUGAGGAACAUUCAGUAUUUUCUGUGGAUGUUAUUAACCCUAUAGUGCAGGAAGUUAUUUACAAGGAAAAAACGAAGACAUUUCAUGAUAGAAUGAUUUUGAGAAAUGAGUUCUCUAUUGGUCAAAAAGUUCUUCUUUUUCAUUCUAAGCUUAAACUUUUUCCGGGUAAAUUACGUUCUUGCUGGGUUAGACCUUUUAUUGUUACUAAUGUUUUUCCUCAUGGUGCAGUUGAGAUUCGGAGUCCGACCUCUGACAAAGUUUUUAAGGUUAAUGGUCAUCGCUUAAAACCUUUUUAUGAAGGUUUUUCGGUGAAUAUUGUGGAGGAUGUGGCUCUCGAGAGUCCCAAUUAUGGAGAUUGAUGCAUAAAUGUGUCUAGCCAAAGACAUAAAACAAAGGCGCUUUUUGGGAGGCAACCCAAAUGAUUUAUUUAUUUUGGUUUUUGUUAUAUCUUUUUUUUUAAUUUUGAUUCAUAUUUUUUUUUAAAUAAUGUGUUUGCUUAUUUUGGUCAGAAGAAAAUUUUUGAUAAGGCGUGCCCACGUCUUAACUAAUAAAUACUUCUGUGAUUUUUAAAGUAAAAUGGUUUUAAGGCGUGCCCACGUGCUUAUUAGAAAAGUACUUCUGAAAUUUUUAGUGUUUCAAGUGAUUCAUCACUAAAAAAAAAAAAAAAAAAAUUUGUUUUCUUUCGCAGCAACAGCCGCUCUAGCCUUCACCGAGCAGCCCGUGCGCAACUAUCUCACCAUUUCCGCCAAGCCCAUAGACGUUAUGAGGAUCAAAGCUCACAAUUCAGGGAAGUUUUUGCCUUUAAUCUUUUAUCCUUACGAUUUAAUUUUUAUGUGAGCUUUGAUUAUCUUACAUUGGGGACAAUGUAAGUUCUUGGUGUGGGGGAGGGAUUUUUGCAUUAUUGAUGUCUGGAAUUAUUAUUUUCACUCUGCUCAUCUAUUUUCACUCUACUCAUCCUUAAAUGAUUUUGGAGUUAGUAUGCUUCAUAUAUUAUUAAUUUUCUUUUCCUUUCUCUCUCACUACUCUUUUCCCAUCUAUCUCAAAUUAUUUACAUCUAUUUUUUUUUCUCUAUCAUACUCUUUCAUCACUCACAUUUUAUCUUUCAUUUUUUUUAAUACAUACAUCUUUCUCGCUUAUUAUCCUUUUUACCUUUCCUUUUAUAUCUCACUCAUACCUUCUUCUCAUUCUACACCACUAUUGAUGGUUGAUUCAUUUGAAGAGUGUACAUGAUUUGAUGGCAAUUUUACCAACUUUGUGAGGAUUUGAGCCUAUGAGCAACCACUUUGCUCUAAUUAUUUUUGUUAUGUGAAUAUCAAUCCUAGUUUGUUUAUUCUAGAACUUGCUUUGUUAUGCAUGUUGAAGCCACAUUACGGGAUUUUAUGCAUUAAAAUGAUAAGGGCAAACCAUUUACCAUUUUUCUAUUCUCGCAUUUUCCUUUUUCUCUACCCGAAGACCUUUAUUUGCUACCUUUGUUUGAGCCUUAACCAUUACCCAUCUAAUUCUCUCCGUCUACUUAACCAUUUUUCUUCUUUUUGAGCCUCAAUUUAAGGAGAUUUUUGGACUCAUUGUGUGGAUAUAUUUUGUUGCUUUUUCUACCUUGUAUUAAAGUUUCUCAAUUAUAUCAACAAGCAUUAUGCUUGAAUUAAAUUGUGCAAGGUUCGUUUCUUUUGUUUGAUUAAAAAAAAAAAACAAAAACAAAAAAACAAAAAAAAGGAAAAAGAAAAAAAGAGAAAAAAGAAAAAAAAAGAAAAAAAAGAAAAAUCGAAAAAAAAAAGUUUACAUUCUUGGUGACUUGAGUAGAAAUAAGCAUUUUGAUAUCAUAAGUUCAUUCAAUGAGUUCAUUCUUCUCGUUUUGAUCUCUUUUUCUUUCGUAAACCUUUCUUUUUCAUUUAACCCCAUUACAAACCUUUUAAGACCCUUAGAUUUUUUCAUUUUAUUCAUGUUUUGUGGAUUGAGAUGUGAUAUAUGAGCAAGCUUAUGGUAAUAGCAUUCUUUGAUUUGAUUUGAGUGCAUAAAUGAUACCCUAAACACUUUGAGUGCAUGGAGUGAAGUUAUUGAGAGGGCUAUUAAAUCUUGUUGCACUUGAAUUUUGAAUGGAUCUUCUUGGUGGUUGAAUGUUCUUAUUCUAUCUUAUGAAAUUCUAUGCUUUAAAAUCCUUGUCUCUUGAAUGUUGAUCGACUUAAUUUCUUGAGGUAUGCUUGCUUAAAAUUGUUUUUGGAUGAGUUGAGAUGAGAAUUGAGUGGAGAUUUGAGAUUAAUCUUGAGUUAUAUGCUUGAGGACAAGCAUCAUCUUGGUGUGGGGGAAUUUGUUAGAGUGCAAUUUAUGCACUAGUUUUGCAUUGUUUACUUCCCUUAAUAUCGAUGUUUUGCAUUUAAUAAUAGUGAUUUACUUGUGUUUUACUUUUGUAGGUGCAAUUCUAUUGAUUGGUGAUAAAAUUGAGCUAUAAGAUGAUGUUUAAGGAUGAUUGUUCUUUUGGAGAAAUUAUGAGCGGCAGAAGAACUUUGUUGAUAAGGCGUGGGCGCGUGCUGUAAACUGCGGACCUGCAGUUUUUAGUUUAACGUGUUUUGUAUUUUUGGCUAUUUUUUAAUUACGAAUUUAAUAUUUCAAAUAUUAGUAUUUUAUUUUAAAUAGAACUCUAAAAGAGAAGAGAGAGAGAGUAUUUAAGGGAGGAAUCUAUUGUGAAAAAGGGGGAUUUUUGGAUUGGAGAAAAAGAAACCCUAGAUCUAAUUUUUCUCUUCUCUCUAUGAGGAAAUAAACCCAUUUUUCUGGUUGAAGGUUAAUGAAGCUUUGAUUCAUCACUACUGUGAGAUCUUUCUUGUGCUUUAAUUGUUUUAUUACUUUUUGGGUAUUUGUUUAUUCUCUGAAUUAUUUUCAUGAUUAUGUUUGUUAAUUAGGUAAUUGGCCACUAUUUAAUUAUCAACUUAAUCUAUUGUCAAUUAAAGGAUUCAUCGUAUGAAGAAUUUAAUGUUUGUGACAAAUAACAUAGCAGAGAGUUGUGUUGUGAGAAUAAACAAUCUAAUUUAAAUGAAUCAUCAUAUGUGUUGAUUAGGAUUUGGGUCUCUCUGGUUUUUCAGGCUGUCAAUUGAUUAAAUCCUAUGAUCGUAUCUAGGGUUGUCUAUUGAUUAGGGAAAUAACCAACGGUCGUACCUUGGUUAUCGACUAGUUAAGGAGAGAUUGGCUAUUAGAGGGUCUCAGUAGCUAUAACCGGUCUAUUCAUAAGUAAUAAUAAUCUAUAUUUGAAUCAAUGAUCAGUAGUCGAAUCAAGCUGAGUUAAUUCCUUCAACCAGAGCUUUCUCCAAUUUGAAUCACAACUUUAAUUUACAUUCUCGUUAUUUUAAUUUGAUUUUUAUUAUUGUCAACAAUUCCCCCAUUUUACGUUUUACGUUUCAAAAGGAUUUAAAUAAUUACCGAUCUCUGUGGACACGACCCUGCUCAAUCACUAUACACAAUUUAUUUAGAGUAGGAAUUUAUUUUUGUUGGCUUCGACACCCAUCAGAGAUGAUAUUUCCCUGUCUAUCUGUGUAGCUUCAGGGCGUGACGGUACCCAGAUAGUACGUCAUUGCCCGUUCGUUGAGGUCCGGAUAUGACGAGAUUAUUCCCCUGAGUACUUGUUUGGUGAUGAUUUUCAGAUUUGUGUAUUCUAUAUGAUAUUGUGAUAUGAUUUCCAUAGUUAGUAAUCUGAUUUAAAGGUUAAAUGAUUUAUGACUAGUUUCUCGUAUAUGGUUUGAUGAAAUUGUGUUUGGAAAUGACAUGAUUAUUUCUUUUAAAGUAAGAAUUAAAUUUUCAAAAACUACUAUCCACUCACUGAUCUCACUGAGUUUUAAACUCAUCCCGUUUUUAUUAUAUUUUUCCCCCCGUCAUCAGGAGGUUGCAGGUACACCAAACCGACCCAGCGACUGUAAAUAUAUUUUGAGUCUUAACUACGUAAUGAUGUUAGAAGAUAUAGAUGUUUUUGGUAGGACAUCUUGGUUAUCUCAUCUUGUUGGGAUUGUAUAAUUUUGUUAUAUUAUUUUUUUGGGAUUAAGAAUAAAUUGAAAUAUUAAUAUUAGUUAUAAUAUUAUCUUUUGAAACUCAUAAGAUAUAAAACUCAGCAUUUUGGUUGAGGAUGUUGAUCACUAGAGUUUGUUAUAUAUUGAAUUAUAUUGGGAGUUUUAUAUUCAUAUUUAUAGAUUGGGAGUGUUAUAUUUAUAGAGGAGAUUUUGCCAAAUUUUCGACAGAAUCCUUACUAAUAGAAUUAUUAUCGAGUCCGUUUUGAUGAGACUAGAUUAACUCGUUAGGGGGAGAUUUGGGCAGGUCGUUUCAAUUUUAGUUUAUGAAUUUCUUGAAAGGGGUUGGAGUCAGAGAAUAAACGGGAUAAAAGGCGUUGCCGAUGCCUUGUAAAAUUCGUUUGUUGCCAUUAGAGGAAUAUUAUCAUGCAACACAUUCUAUAGAGAUAUAAAAGCUUACUAAUUUAUACGCAUUGAUCUUUAAAAAGAGCAUUGAUCUUUAAAAAGAGAGUAAACAUUUCUUAUUUUCUCUUUUUUAUUUGUCCUUGACCUUUCAGAGCUUGCUUACACAAUCAAGAUCACAGAAAAAUGACGUGUACGGUUUCGAAGUGUUAGUAUUGGAAGUGAUCAAGGGAAAGCAUCCAAGAGAUCGGAUGUUCUUUCCGCAGUUUCAGCUUCGUCUUCCAAUGCCAUUUGAUGAAAUAUUGGAUCCUCGGCUUCCACCUGAUCCAUUAUUCGAUGUUCGGAGGAAGUUAGUAUCAAUCACGAAGGUUGCCUUCUCUUAAAUGGGAAUCUAGAAUCCAGACUAAUCAUAUUAUUAUUGUUCGAGUUUCAAAUAUUUGCCUUCAUUUCCCAUUGUUUGUUACUAUAAAUAAACACGUGUGCUAUACGUGGCUACUCAACUUGCUACGUGGCCUUGAAUUAGUCUUUGUUGAAUAAGUCUUGUUUGUUAGUUUUGGUUAUUAAGUCUAGAUUCCAUUUGAAUGAGUCUUCCUAUUUACAAGAAACUGAAUUUGUAAUAUUUCUAUUUAUUUGAAGUUCAGUGAAUAAUAGAAGGGGUUUUUACCAACUUCACUUGAAGUCUUACAAAGGAGGAUUUUGGGUUUCCCUCGAAGUACCCAAGUGUUAUAACUUUAUUAAUUCUCUGUUGAAGAAAAACUGUGAAACGCCAAAAUAGGUAGAACUAAGGACGCCAUACCAUUAUUGCACGAGUUAAUUAUACGUAUCAUGCUUAUGCAGGCCUUAAUUUGGAAUAAAAGAAUGUUAGUUGACAGAAUUUUGCAACUAGAGGAUGAUGUACUUCAUAAUUAGUCUGCCUUCAACACAAAAUAGAAAAUUUAGUUGACAGAUGGCCACAAAAACUAGCUUUGUUUUUGCUAAAAAAGAAAUAAAAUCUGCUUCUAUGGCCUCUGUCAACCAACUGCUUCAAUGCCCCCAAUUUCAAAACUAUCAUUGAUAUAGAGCCAUUGACCCUGGGCUUCAUAUUCAACUUUUCAUAGUUCCAUUUCUAGCGCGAAGCUUUUGAGAGCGUGGGCACACUUGACACUAGAUAACCCUCGCGAGACAGGUCCCAAAUCUCCUCGGCCAUAAUUUUGCUGCAAAAGCCGAUAUAAUUAAUGAACCUUAUUUGCACAAUUUUGGAAAAAAUAUUUGGACCAAUUUCGGUGUUCAGCUGAGCUUGUGUUGACUAUUAAGCACUAAAUCAAUAGUCAAGAAUUUAUCCAACACGAGUUUCACAUGGAUUCCAAUGAACUCUUGACCAUAGAUUAUGUACCCAACACAAUAUGCUUGUGGUUUAAAAAUAAAAUAAAUCAUGUUAAUACUUUGUAUUAAUACUUAAUGCAUGGACAAUCGUUUUCUUUGUGCACAUACUUGUCGAUAAAAAAAAGCUUAAUGGUCCAUCUAUUAGUUAUUAGUUUACAUCUGCUUAAUCUGAUUAGGAUGAAACGAAAUUAAUUGUUUCUUUGUUUUAAAAAAUAAAUAACUAAAACUUCUUGAAUAUUCGAGAAUUAACAAAACAAUUGUGAAUGAAGUUUUGUUUGAUAUUAAGGUAUUGUUAUCUUUAAAUCACAAUUAUUGUGAAUAAUAAAACUAUAACAAAAAGUAAAAGUUGAUAAUAUAUAAUAAAUAUUACUUUUAAAUGAUAGUUUUGAUUUAAAAAAAAUAUUAUAAGUUUUCUAUCAUUAAAAUCAAAUCAUUUUAGCUUGCAAGUCAUAAUAAUGAUAACUAUGAACUCUUUCAUAAAUUUAUUUUGUAUAAAGUGACAUGAAAUAAAUUCAUUGGUUAAGUAAAAAAUAUGAAGCAAUAAAAAUAAUUUAUGUAAGAUAAAAAUAUUUUAUUUAAUUAGUUUGUAUAAAAUAAAUUUAUAUAAAAGAUUUGUAAUUAGUUUGCAAGUGACAAUGAUGAUAGCUACAAACUCUUAUAUAAAUUUAUUUUAUAUAAAAUAAUAUGAUAUAAAUUUAUUAAUUAAGUAAAAAUAUAAAAUAAUAAAAAUAAAUUAUGUGAAAAAAAAUAUUUAAUUUAAUUAAUUUAAUUAUGUUACGUUUGUAUAAAAUAAAUUUAUAUAAAACAUUUGUAAUUAGAUUAUUGCUUCUGUGAACCAGCACCGAUAUGUACAUUAUGUUAUUUUCCGUCCAAUACGAUUACUAUUAAAAAAAGAAAAACAUGGACCCCAUCGACGAGACCUCACGUGGGCCCACUAAUCUUGAUGAUCACAUCUUUUUCAUGUGAAAAAAAACACCCCCUUACAACGACACCGUCUUUUCUUUGGCUUUCCUUUCAUUUUCGUCAGCCUCCACAAACACUUACUUAAUAGCCGCCCCAUUUUCUUUCACUCCUAUCCAUUGUCCACGCGUCCGACGACGAUUGCUUUUCCGGUUCUAAUCACAAGAUUUUCGUCAAAUGGACGUACGAGAUGGGCCCCAUCUCUGUGCAGACCACACCGUCUAUUCUCUUUGUGAAAAGAAAAUAAAACUAUUUAAAAUCUCUAAAUCACUCUAUCUUCUCGUGAUAAAUUGAAUUCAACUCUUUUUUUAUCCUUUAUUUAUAAACAGUAAAAAAAAAUCAAAAGAAUUCAAUUGAAUAUUCCUUUUGAGAAAUUAUUAAAAAAAAAAUUAUACGGUAGCGAACUUCCUUGCAUGAACAUGACCUUAAUUCAAUUUAUUAAACAUUUGUAUAUGUUACUUUAACAUACUUUUUUCUUAUAGUUUACAAAAUGUAGUGCUUAUUUUCUUUCGUAUACCAAACAGUAGAUGUGUAUAUUAGGUUGAAGCAAAUAUAAUAUUAUAAACUCACACUAUGCUGUAUCAUAUUUGAUAAAAUAUUUUAUUGUUGACAUCUUAUGAUAUUAUUAUUAAAUCUUCAAUAAAAAAUCUUCAUUGAAUUAAACAAUUUUUUAUGCAAUAUAAAGUAUGUAUUUCAUUAUAAUAGAAGCUGUUAAGAAAGGUUGUCUCAACUUUAUAUUAAGAUUUUGUACUUAUAAAUAUAUAGUAUGAUCUAAUUCUUACACGUAUAAAUUUUUUUUCAUAACUUAGCUAUCUAUAAAAGAUUUAACAAUUUCUUAAUCUUUGAUCAUAAGUAUUAACAUAUUAUAAUACAAUAUUAAAUUUAUCUUAAAGUUAAUUUAUUACUGUCCCCGCAUUUAAUUAGAUUCACGGAACUUUUACCUUAAAAAAGCAAAUGAUCCAAAUUAGAUAAAUAGUCAACCAAUUAAUCAAACAAACAAGGUCCCCACAUUUAAUGAGAACUUGAGCUUUUGCUUAAUCUCAACAACAAGUUGAGUUUUAUGUGAUUUAAGAUUAAAAUAUUAAUCAAAGUAUAAAAUUAUGUCAUUGAAGAAAUUAUAUUUAAGUAUUUACUUAAUUAAAGUUUUAGUUAACCACCGAGUGACUUAGAUUCAAGACUCUAGUUGAUCACUCAUCUAAGAAUGUUAAUUCAUUUACUCAGCAUUAUGUGGCAUUUUCUUUAAAGAUUUUGAAUUGUUUGAUGUUUGUGGGAGUAAAAUUUAAAAUAAUAAAAAUUAAUAUAAUUAUCAUGUUAAUGGGACCACAUCAGAGUCGUUAAUUCAUAAAAGAAUAUGAAUUCAAAUAUCACAUAAAUGAAAUUUAAAAAAAAAAGAUUUGUUAACAAUGCAGUUACAAGUUGACUUUAAAUUUCUGAUGAAUCGGUCAUAAUAUUUUUUUUUUACGAAAUACUCAUAUUAAUAUUUAAGUUAUUAGAUAAGGAUCCAAUGUUAACAUUUAAUAAAGUUGUGUAAAUUUGAUAAAAAAAUUAAAUUCAAAUAAAAGUAAAAUUUACAUAUUGUCAGCUAUCUUGGAACGACAUAGUACUCGUAUAGAGUUACAGUGUUCAAUAAUUAUUACGACCAAAAUAAAAUUUUUUGAUUCGCCAUAACUUUCAGAUAUGUAAUCAAAUGACAGAUGUUUUAACUAACUUUGUAUUCUGUUCCUUUGAUUUUUAUGUUUGGCUAGAUUCCAGCCAAUUAUCUUGUUAUUUUUUAUUGGUUAUUCGGAAAUAAAUGAAGUCUAUUAUUCAGAAAAAUAAUUACCUGCAAAAAUCGGACACCAUUUUCAAAAGGUAAUAAUAUUCCGAAUUAAUUAAAAAAAAUGAUACGCACCCAGGCAAGUUCACACGUAACCCACCAAAAAUUGAAAAAAAGAAAAAGAAAAGAAAAGAAACAAGGAACACGUUCAUUCAAUUUAUCGCGAUACGAUAAAUGCUUAACAAAAUGUCAUAUCAAUUUCACCAUAAAAACUACGCUAUUUUUUUUAUAUUAAAGAAUUUUUUUUUAAAAGCAAAUAGAAUUAUAGAAACCAGCCAAAAAAAACCACCACUGUACUGGAACUCACCGUCCCCAAUUUCCCAAUGAAUAAAAUAAGGGUCCGCCUAUAUUUUCUGUUAUUUAUAUUUUAUUCAUAAAUAUUAUAAAUUUUUUGAAAUGUACAAUUUCGUUUAACCCUUUAUACACUCAAUUUUAUUUUAUUAAAAUCUUAGAGUAUGAAUUCGCCCCUAUAAUAUUAGAUUCUCAAAAUAACUUAUAUUUAAUUAAAAAUAUAAUUAUUGUUAAAUGAAUUAUAAUUAUAAUUAUUAUUUUAUUAUAAUCAUAAAUAUUUUUUAAUAGAUUAUUGUUAUUAUUAAUAACAAGAAUAAAAAGCAUUAUAAUUAAUCUAUUAACAAUAAUUAAUAAUAUUUUUUUAUUAAAUUGUUAAUAAUAAUAAUCAAUGAUAAUUAAUAUAUUUAUGAUUAUAAUAAAAUAUGAAAGGAGAGCGGAGACUUUUAUUUUGAAUAAACUAGUUCCGAUUAACAUAUUUAUGAUUAUAAUAAUAUUUUUUGAGUUGUUUGGGCAAGGGGGUCUCAUGCGUGUGUGGACUUUUAGGCUGCUAGGAGAGCGGAGGCUGGAAAAAUACCUUGCGUUUAGAUAGUGACUUGUGUGUGAGUAAUAACAAUUUUUAUUAUAAAAAUAAGUUUUAUACCAAAUAUUAAAAAAAAUCUAGAUAAUCGUUAAUUAUUAUUAUUAUUAACAAUUUAAUAAAAAAUAUUAUUAAUUAUUGUUAAUAGAUUAAUUAAUUAUAAUGCUUUUUAUUCUUGUUAUUAAUAAUAACAAUAAUCUAUUAAAAAAAUAUUUAUGAUUAUAAUAAAAUAAUAAUUAUAAUUAUAAUUCAUUUAACAAUAAUUAUAUUUUUUAAUUAAAUAGAGGUUAUUUUGAGAAUUUAAUAUUAUAGGGGCGAAUUCAUACUCUAGGGUUUUAAUAAAAUAAAAUUGAGUGUAUAAGGGGUUAAACGAAAUUGUACAUUUCAAAAAAUUUAUAAUAAUCAUGAAUAAAAUAUAAAUAAUAAAAAUUAUAAGGGGCUAGAUAAAAUUUCACAGACUGAGUGUACGUUACACUAUAUGUAACGUAGGCGGACCCAUAAAAUAAAUAUAAAGGACUCGUGCGUCCCUUCCCUUUCGCUCCUGUUUUUGUCACCCGCCUCUUCCUCAUCUCGCCACUUGUUCCCCCCACUACGCCCACAAAACGUCACCGUUUCAUUCUCACUCCUUCCUCACACCCUUCCUUUUCCCCACAUUCCUUCGUUUUAUAUCAACUCAAAAAUUCAUUCUUUUAACAUUAAUAAUAAUAAUUUUAUUGAGAUAAGUCGAUCAAAAAGGUAACUCCAACUAUCUCCUCCAGCUUUUUGCUGCUUCUUAAUUUUGAUCGACUAUGAGGAUGUACUAAAGCUUCAUUUUUUUUUCUUUUUUUUUCAGUCAACGCUUUUGCUUCAAGAUUUCGUUUUACCUUCCUUGAAAAUUAAGGCUCACCUAAUUGAUACGAUUAAAAUUCCUUUUUUAGCUGAAGAUUGAUACAAUUUUCACUUCAUUUUUUCUGAACUUUGUAUCCAGAUUUGCUUCUUUUGUUUGCAGUUUUUUUUUUUAAUAUUUUUCUGUGGAGCUAAGCAUGACAUUGGUUGCAGCUUUAUAUUAUUUUAACAUAUAAUUAGACUAAUUUAUUUAUUUGUUGAUUUAUUAUUUUUUAAAUAUGGUUUGAGACUUCUGCUUUUGGCUCCUCCCCUCAUUUUUGGACGACGGUAUAGUUGUAUUUGUUUGUGUCAGUUCUGGAUAUAUGCUUUUGGACUUUUGGACUUUUGGCUUUGUAUCAUUUGGAAAAUUCUUGUAAGGGGAGAGAUAUAAAAAUAUUUCAUAUAUCUACUUCUCUAUUAAGGGUCCGCUUAUAAUACAGCCGCUGUAUCUCAUACAGCCGCUGUAUCUCAUACAGCUGCUUUUUAUUAUUUGUUUAUUUGUGCAUGCAACCGGCCACCUAAAGUAACUGUUAUACAAGGAAAUAUAAAAGAAAAUACUGAAGGUAAUUAUCAUCUACCUACCCUUAUUUCAGGCAAAUAUCAAACUAAUCAAAUCAAACUAAAAAGCUACCGAAGACCCCCUCAACUUUAUGAAAAUAUACUUUUCUAUUUUUUUAAUAACAUGAAAAUAUACUUAAAUAUGAGACUCCUAUACUACUGGGAAUAAGAUUUAAGUAUCAGUUAAUAAAAUUGAUUGUAACUAAUUAAAUUAUUUUAAUAUUACAUUAUAAAUUUAACUAUAUUUUACAUAAAAAAUUAUCAUAAUAUUUUAUUAAUUUUUUAUAGUAUAGUGUAGUUUGAAUAUCUAGAUCCAUAAUUAAUCAUAUUUAUUUUCAAAUAAUUGGAACAAUCAAUCCUAUAAUACACAAAAUGACUCAAAUAUCUACCUACCAAUCUAAUGAUAGUUUUUAUCCAACUAUCGGAUAAUAAUGAAACAAUUAUAUUGGUGAUAGUCCAUUAUAAUUAAAUGUAAAAUAAUUUUUUUCAUUAUUUUUUAUUAAUGAUAGUUGGUAAUAUUAAUAUGUUACUCUAUACCCUAUAACGAAAUAUUUGUAUAUUAGACAAAUAUAAUGUUUCUAAUAUUCUAUAAGUUUAAAUAAUGCUCACAAAUAACCUCUUGUGCAAAUUAAUUCAUGUGAAUAUAUAUAUGAAAUUAAUUACUUUAUUUAUUCGUUUAUCUUUUAUAGUUAUAUUUAUUCACUAUUUUCAAGUCACAACAAUUUCUAUAAAUACUUAAAAUGGACAAUUACAUAUGUACUGAUAAUUUUUUAUCUAUUGCUAUUAGUGGUAUUGUGAUUAAUGAUCUUAUAACAUUAAGCUUUAUUAUGUUGUUACUAGCCAUAAUUGUUAGCCAAUUUAAAUUUGAUUAAACUAAACUUAGUUAUGAUACUUAUUAUCAGAAUAUGUAUACAUAAAUGACAUUGUUCUUAUAAUAAUAAUAAUAAUAAUAAUAAUAAUAAAAGGAGAUGUUUAGAGUCAUACAUGAGUUUAACUCACCCAUUAGGGUUUAGUAUUAUUAUUAGUAAUAAUUACAAUUCAUAUUCCCAUUGUAUAGUAAAUGUUAGGAAAACGUCAACAACAAGCCAUUGUUUAGCAAAAUGAUCAUAAAAAGUCCAUCUUAAUAAUGAUCAUAAAAAGUCCAUCUUAAUCUCAUAAUGAUCACAUACACAUCUUUUUGGACAAUUAUGCUCUUUGAAUAUAGUGACUAAAAUAUAUUUCAUUUGCAUAUAAUUGUUCAAAAAAAGAUCUAAAUGGUAAAAAGUAAUUGAGUGACAUAUGUAUUUAGAAUACAAAUUAGGUUAUAAAUAUUGGGAUCCUAUCAUUAUUAUAAAGUAUUAAUAUAAUAAUAUCAAAUUAGUUUAGGACCCAUGGGUGUAGCUAAGUAAUUUAAAAUUGCUUUAUUUUAAUUGGCUACCUAAAUUUGAAUUUUCGGGAGGUAAGGGAUUAAAAAUAAAUAUAAAAUUUUAAAAAAAGUCAUAUUUUUUUCUAAUAAUAUAAGUGAAUGAAUUAUUUUUCACCUAGGCGGGCAAAUUAGCGCCUAAAUGAAAUAUUUAACAAAUUUUUUCUAUUUUUAAUAUGUAUCAAAUUGAAUUUUUAUGAUUUUUCACCUAAAGUAUAAAUACUUCAUAUUCUAGUAUUUCUUUAGAAACCCUAGCAGCUCUCACAAUAUCUCAGUCCUCACACACUCAAAGCCUCACCGGCCACCAGCCGAGCUGCCAUCGCUAUUCCAACAUGACUAAACUGCUGUCGUAUUGACCAUCGCAAGCAUAGCUACUAGGUUGAUUGGAGCCGAAAAUAGAGACCGCUGGAGCAGCAGGACCCGAUAAUCAUCAAAAUGUAGAAGCAGUUAUGAGUCAUCAAAAGAAAGGGCUCAAAAAGCAUGCAUUCAUCUGUGUUCUUUUGGCCUUGGUUAAUUCAAUUCUAUUGGGUUACAGUGAGUCUUCAUUCAACACCCUUUUCCUGUUUGCUUUUAAUUUUUACUCUAAAUGUUAAUAUAUAAAUAUUUGGCAUGUAAUUGUAAUCGGAUGGUGGCAUGGUGACGUGAAAUGAAGCUUUUGGGGUGUAGACAUUUGAGUAAUGAGUGGUGUAGUUCUUUUCACAAAAGAAGAUCUUGACAAAUGGUAGUCCAAGUAGAGCUUUUGACAAAUUCUUGCAGCAGAUUCACAGUAAAUCCUCUCUCUUCGUUCCUUAUUUUCACAAAUACUUGCAUGUUUAUAUAAGUUUUUAAAUUUCUUUUUAUCUAAUUGGAUAAAUUUGAGAUGAAAUUUCAGUUAAAUGUCACUGAUUUUUUUAAAUUGAAAGUGUUUUACACAGCUGGUUUCUUUGAUUGAUUCCUUCGGUUACUUGUUUACACCACCAAGUUGAGCUAGUUUAUAUGCCUUUAGAUCACAAACUAGCAUACCACAUGAUUUGGUCUUUGAUCCUAAAACCUUGGAUGGGGUCUGGAUUUUGUUUAAUUGUUAAUGUUUCUUGAAUUGUGAUUUCCUAGAGUCUGGUUUUUCAAACUGCGAGACUGAAAAGUUAUUUUAGUUCUUAAAAAAUUAAAAAAUAAUAAUAAUCUAAGCCCUAAUCUUUCCUUCCAUAAUUUUUCGUUGCUUAGGGUCUGUGAGUCAUCAGAAUAUGAGGGGAGGCUUUUCAGGGAGAUCUCCGUGCCCUGACGGUCAUUAUUCUCAUUGUAACAGACAGGUGACCUUAUCCUGUUACCUACUUGUUUUACUUUUGGUUUUUGUUUUUUGAUCGAGCAGCAGUGAAUAUUUUUUGUGUUUAUUUUCUAAUUUUUUUCUUUAUAUAACUCUUGGUUUUAUGUUAAAAUGAGUGGUAAGGGGAUAUUGUUGUCAUUGUAUUUGACUCUGUCUUUAGAAAUGUUUUAUUAAGAUUUACUUUUGCUAAUAUCACUUGGGUAAUUCCCUGGAAAUGUUUAUCAAAUGUCAUUACUGCUAGUUUUAUGCUCAUUGGCCAUAGUUCUUAGUCUCUAAUUAGUUUGGAAUAUUAGGAAUCUCUUUUUAUGGCAUAUUUGUCUUUUCUUUUCGUAUAUCCUUGCUCUGUAUUCAGAGCUGGUUGACUUCUCCUAAUGUUAUUUCAAAUUCUCUCAAGGUUGAAGGGAGUAAUGUCAAACAACCCAAGUGCUUUGAAGCUCCAUAUUCUUUCUAUAGAGAUUAUGAUCUCCAUUCAUCAUCUACUCAGUCUGAUUGUAAGAACAAACAUUCGGAUGUGAGUAGAAUUUGAAUUGGAAUUAUUUUUUAAUUUUUUUUAAAUGAUGAAUAUGUUAGUAUCUAUGUGUCAUUCAAAUAACAGAUAAAAUAAUAUGAUUAGUCACUGAAAGCACAUUUUAUAUCUUCUCUUUCUUGCUCAUCAUUUGCCUCGUUGUUUUUAUUUAUUUAUAAGCUUACUGCAGCUUCAACUUUUGCUGUUGCUUUCUAUGGAUUGCAACUCUUAAUUUAAUCAAAUUGCACAUUUCAGAUGUUAAAAGCUCCAAUACUUCUAAUAGUGGUCCUUAAUUCGAUCAUGCUAUUGAAUUCUAUUUUUUUGCAAGAAUUUUUAUGAUGCUGAGUUUGAUUGUAUUCUGAUUUCAUAUUGAAUCUUACAACUAUUCCAACUUGAAAAGAAAAAGUAAACUAUUGUACGAAUAUGCUAAGUCUUGCCUUCUUGGCUUUUCUCUCAAUUCAAUUAGGGAUUUACUUAAUUAUUGAUUGACUUGAAUUCAAUUAUGAUUGAAUUGAGUAAAAUGAAGGUGAUAAGGACAUUAUUUGAACAAUUUUUUCUGCACAAAAUACUGUGGAUGUUAACAUUGUUUAUGGGGAAGGGAUUGUAAAAUUGUAGAUAUUGAGGUUCUAUAAUGUUUGUUGAUUUUGCAGUGAGAUUGGAUGUGAAGAAGAGGAUAAAGGCUGAUUGAAUUGAACAAUGACAUUAUACAAGGUGCGAAUUCAGAGCUGGUUGACAUAGUUAUGUCUCUGAUUGUAUUUAAUUUUAUCAUUUAGCUAUGAAAAAAGAGUUUCAUCUUCAUGUUAUAUUUAUUGUCUUAGAAUGGAAAAAUGACAACUUGCUCAAGCUGUGAAAGCUUGGUAAGGCUUCUCAAAAACCAGAAAAGUGGGGAUGGCUACAUGCACAUAUUGAGAAUGACUACAUGGGUAAAGGGAACUUGUAUGCAAAGUGAAAGUUAAAAGUCUGUUAAUAGUCUCAUUGCUUCUAGAAUGAUAAGUUCGUAAUGGUGAAAUGUUUAGGUUAUAUUGAUGGGAAUAAGCCCAUGAAUUGAUGUAGUGAUGGAUACUGAAUUGGAAAAUGGUGUUUCUGGUUCAUGGAAUAUCUUGGAAGAAGUACAAAAAGUGAUACAAGACAACAAAGCAUACAUCUUCUUAAAAAUAUUGAAUGGCUUUGUUUGCUUUCUAGGUGUGGUUUAUUUUUCUACUUUAGCUAGAUGGCUUAUUGAUUCUGGUAAUAGAUUGGUUUGUUACCAAUUCCUUGAUUUGAGUUGCCUUUUUUUUUUUUUUUUGGUUUUUUCAACUAUUGUGGUAUUUAUAUUCCUACAUUUCAAAUGCUUUGGUAAUUAGUAAUCUAGUCAUUUUUAAGUAUUUUGGCUACUUGAACAGUGUCUGGGUAUGCUGAUAAAUUAUAAGAAUUGUCGAAACUAUAAUAAACAAAUAAACAAGGCUUUGUUUUGGAUGCAUUUUACUCAUGAAUGAAUCUAUAUGCUUACAAAUUUUUGCCAGUUAUUUUUAGGUGUUUAGUUUCUUUUUAGGUGUUUAGGGCCCGUUUGGUAUUGUUUCUGAAUUAGUAUUUUUUGAAAAUAAAAAUGAGAAUGAAAAUGGUGUUUUGCAGUUACUGUAUUUCGAAUUUAAAUAUGCGUUUGGUAUUAUUUUCUGUAUCCUAUAUUUUAAAACUGAAAACAGUAAUAUGUGUUCGGUAGACACAAUUGAAAAAUAUAAAAACAGAGAAUAUGCGUUCGGUAGUACUAUUUUUAAAAAAUAGUUUUUACUAAACAUUUAAGUUAUAGUAAAAAAUAAUUGUUUAAUUAAUACAUAUACAUACAUACCAUAAAUAAUUUAAACAAAAUAAUUAUAAAAAAUCACAUAAUGAUAAAGUUUUAGUAUUAGCAUUAAUAGAAAAAAGUUUUACAUUAUAAUUGUUUUUACAUUAUAAUUAAGUUACAUAUUACAACACAUAAAUUAAACAAAAUAAUUAUAAAAAAAUUACAUGAUAGACAUCAUACAUUAACACUUACUGGAGAUAAAUCAAAUUCAAUAGUGUACAAUGUACUUUCAAGUUACACUUAUUUUAUGAAAACAAGCUCUAAUGACAACAAUGUAAACUCUGAACUACAAGUGUUUAUCCUCGAAGCGGAUUGAUCCCAAAUGAAAUUGCACAAAACAUAAGUCCAAGCAAAGCCAAGAAUCCAUAUUUCCUGUACAUGAAUUAUUAAAAAUGAAAUUAAAUGCAUGUAUAAAUCAUCAAAAUUAACUAGGAUUGCUCCAUUAAACUUAAUAAAUACAUUAAAGAUUCACUUUAGUACAAAGAAAAUAAUGCACACAACAAAACCGUGAUGAGACAUCACCAUGUCAUAAACAAACAAAAAGCACUCAUGGAAUUUAAUCAUUGAAAAUAGAGGUUUCAAGUUUGUAAGAUCUUUUUUUUUUUUUUUUAAUAUCAAGUUUGUAAAUUCAAGGCUAAUUGAUAAACGUACUUAAUUUUAACUUAAUAUUUAAGGAACUCUAAGCUACAUUUUUCUUCUCUACAAAUUAAGUAAUAUCAAGACAUACUUUGCAACAAUAAUAUAACCAGCAAACCCAACAAUGAAACUGGUAAGCAAAUAGUGUGUGCAGUGAUGAUUGGUACUACUUUUCAAUUUGGUAACUAGUAGUUUAUUUUCAACAAGGAAAUUCUAAUCUGUGACCUAUCACAAAGCAAGUAAAGUAGUAACCUAGUGAGGGUUAUUCACCCAGCUAAACAAACAGAAUUUUGCACACCAUUUAUUAUAAUAAUUGAGCAACUUAUUUUGCUUUUAUUAUUAUUAUUUUUUCAUAGAGCCGAACACUUCUCAAUCAAAUUCAUAGCAGAAUACUGCACGAAGAACAAUAUUAACACUGCCAUCUGCCUAGGCCGAAGGGAAAAAAAUAAUAUUUUGCACAAGGAUUUACAACGAAAGGAAUAAUUGAAAUUGCUCUGUUAACUUUGAGUGAAAGUUUCAGAUAUAAACAUACAAUUUUCAGUACAUGCUAUUAAUCCCCCACUCAAUUUUCAGUAGUGUAAUAACCCCCAAUAUGAUUAAUUUACAAUACUCUAGUUUCAGUACAUGCUAUUAAUCUACAAUAUCAUCCUAUUAAAAACAAUUAAAAUCACUCAAAUAAUUUCUCAAAAAUUUCAGCUCAUAAACAAAAUAAAUACCGGCAAGUGACAGAUCAGGGAGAGCAACAACGGUCGGGCAAGUGACAGAUCUGGGAGAGCAAAGACGGAGCAGCAUCGGCUGGACGGAGUCGGAGCAGCAGCGGUUACGGUGGAGACAGAGCAGCGGCAGUGGCUAGCACACCAAGAGCGACCAAGAGAGAGUGGAUCGGGAGAGAAAGAUGUUGGAUGAAGAUAAGGGGAGGGAGAGAGUGCAGAUUUGCUGCAACUGGAUCGAGAAAAGUGAGGGGAAAGUGAGAGCUGCAGUGAAGAGAAAAGGAGGAGGAGGGUCACGAUUUGCUUUUGUUUUUUAAUUCAUUUCUAGGUUUAGUUUGUGAUAUUUGAAGAACAUGUUUAAGUUGUUUUCAGUUUAGUAGUUAUAAUAAUGAAUCCGGAUUUUGUGUUUUGUAAUUUGUUUUUUGAAAUUAAUUGGCCGAACAUGUAUUAUAUGUGUAUUAUGAAAAUGAAAACGAAAAUGCUGCGUGGAAAAGGGUACCGAACGGGCCCUUAGUUUCUAUUGCGUUUUGUGAGUUUUUUCAUACCGAUGCUAUUUCAUAAUUUAUAUUAUUCAUGUAAUCAUGAAUCAGUACUGCUGAAAUUUUAUUCUUGUUUAUUUGGAUGUAUUCUCCUCUAUCUUUAUCGCCAUGAUCAAUUUGUUGUUAAAUGAAAGUAAACAUAAAAGAGUAUGCCAUUUGAGAAUAUUUUUUAUAUUUUGAAUAUUGCUGUUAAAAAAUUCAUCAAAAAAUAUGUUGUUAAAAUUAGAAUAUAGUUAUGUGUUUAUUUUAUUUUUAAGUUUCAAUUUUUCUAUUAAUACAAUAUAUGACUGAUCCUGACUAAGAAUUUAGAUCAUGCAUUUGAAAUUUUAAUAUUGUUUAUUUUUUUGCAGCCCUUUUUUCUAAUAUGAUUUUUUUUUAUGCAGAGACCCAUGAAAUCUAAAUCUCAAAUUAGCAGCAGCAUUUGAAGUUUAAUUUUGUGUGAUCAAAACUAUUGAUGUUAAAAGUUAUAAAUUGAUUUAAUUUUGUAUUAGUUUAUUGAUGUUAAAAGUUUUUAAAGAGUUAUUUUCUUGUGAGUUUGUAAAAUAAUUUCUCAAUAGAAGUGGUUUUAGGCUCUUCUUCCUCUGCAAUUCUAACUUUUUAGUAGUCCACAUAUCGGUUCACUAUAGUCAUUAACUGCUUAAGUGAAAGUCUAGUAUUGGAAUUUUUUUUUCAUUAAUUUUCAACUACAUUGGAUAAAAUAAUAGGACAUUAUAAUUUUAUUUGUAAAUAAAUGCCAACAAAUUUAAGAAUAAAGGACCAUUUGAAAAAGAUAAGUUAAUUAAACAUGCAAAAGCAUGUUAAAAAAUGUUGGUUACUAUAGUGUUAGAUUUUCAUAAUGUCGUAGUGGCUAAAAUAAACUUUUAAAAAUUAUUUUAGCUAAGUCUUGAAAAUUAAAGAACUUAUUUUAUAAAUUGAAAAUGAUAUGCAUACUUAAAAACGAAAAAGAAAGAUACUCAUUUUAAAAAUAAAAUGUUAACAAAUCUCAUGAGGUAGGAUUGCAAUAAUGAUCGUAGUAAGAGUAAAAAAGUAAAUAAUAAUAGUGAUAAUAAUUUAAGUAUAAUAUAAUAUUUAUAAGUAAUGACAUAAGUUUUUGGUUACAGUAAUAAGAAAUUAAGAAAACUAAUUUGAAAAGAAAAUAGAGAGGUAAAAAUUUAAUUUGAAUUGAAACAAUCUUAAUUCUUGAUUUAUUUUAGUUCAAAGAUAAAUAAACAUAAUUAAUUGAAUGAUAAAAUGGGCAAAAUGUUUUUAAAGAUCAAAAGUUAACUAAAAUAAAUUCAAGUUCAAAAAGUCUAAUGAAGUCAACUGAGGCCAGAAAAGAAAAGGAAAAAGAUAAUUCAACAUAAAUAGAUUAAGAAAGUUUUAAUUUUUUGUUAAAAAAUUUAUAAUUAUUUAAAUGAUAAAUGAGUAUAAAUGUGAAUAAUUGAUCCCAAGGAAAAGAAAAGAAAAAAGAAAAAAUAUUUUUAUAACAUAUACUGUCGUAACUUUUAAAAUUUUUUUUUUUGAAAAAUAAAGUUUUUGAGAAGCAUAACAAUUGCAAGCACUCUUACAUAUUAAUAAAGUUGAAAUUUAUUAACAAAAAGUAGGACUACAAAAAAUAAACUUGAAACAUCUAAUCAAAAUAUUAGAAUUCAAUACAAAUAGUGAGAAUAUAGAACCAAGAAAUGAUAGAAAAAUGAAUGGAAGAGCAAAACUUAAAAGUUGGAAUAACUUGAUAAGAAUUUGAUAAAUUCCAAUGAAAAGUCGAGAUCCGAAAAAUGAACUUAAAACAUUCACCUAAAUGUUGGAAUUCAAUAAAAAUAGUAGAAAUAUAGUAUAGUGGAAAAAAAAAGUUGAAGAGGUUAACACAAUAGUCGGAACAACUUACAAAGAAUUUGAUGAAUUCCAAUGACAAAUAGGGAUCUUAAAAAUGAACUUGAAAUAUUAACCCAAAAUAUUAGAAUUUUGUAAAAAACAGUAGGAAUAUAUAGCCAAAAUGUGAUGAUAAUAGUUGAAGAAUUUAACCAAAAAAUUGUAAGUAUCUACCAAUAAUAUGAUAAAUUCCAACAGUGAAUGAUAUGAAAAAUAAACUUGAAACAUCCACAUAAAAUAUUGAAAUUCAAUUAAAAGAGUAAGAAUAUAGAACCAAUAUAUGGUAGGAAAAUGAGUGGAAGUGCUUAACACAGAAAUUGAAACAACUUGAUAAGAAUUUAAUAAAUUAUAAUGAAAAGUAGAGAACUAAAAAAUAAACUUGAAACAUGUACUCAAAUAUUGGAAUUCAAUAAAAAAAAAAAAGUAUGAAUAUAGGACCAAAAUUUGGUGAGAAAAUAAGUUGAAAACGUUGACCCAAAAGUUGAAACAACUGACAAAGAAUUUGAUAAAUUUUAAUGAAAAGCAGGGGUUUGAAAACAUAACUUGAUAUAUUUACCCAAAUGUUGAAAUUUAAUAAAAAGAGUAGGAUUAUAGAACCAAUAAAUGGUGGAAAGGGAGUGCAAAAGCAUAACCAAGAAGUUGGAAUGAUUUAACAAGAGUUUGAUAAAUUCCAAUAAAAAAUAGAUAUCUUAAAAAUAAACUUGAAACAUUCACCCAGAUGUUGGAAUUCAAUAAAAAGAGUAGAAAUAUUGAACCAAAAUUCGAUGGGAAUAAAAGUUGAAGAGGUUAACUCGAAGGUUGGAAUAACUUACAAAGAAUUUGAUAAAUUUUAACAGAAAGUAGGGAUCUAAAAACUGAACUGGGUAUAUUUACCUAAAAUGUUGGAAUUCAAUGAAAAGAAUAGAAAUAUAGUACCAAAUAGUUGUGGGAAUAACAAUUGAAGAGUUUAAUCCAAAAGUUAUAAGUACUUACCAAUAGCUUGAUAAACUUCAACAAUAAAUAGGGAUUUAAAAAAUGAACUUGAAACAUCUAUGGCAAAUAUUGGCAUUCAAUGAAAAGAGUAGGAAUAUAAAAUCAAAAAGCAGUGGAAAAAAGAGUUGAAGAGGUUAACCUAAAACUUGGAAUGAGUUACUAAGAAUAUGAUAAAUCCAACAACAAGUAGGGAUCAAGAAAUAAACUUGAAACAUUUGGAAAAAAUAUUGAAAUUACGUAAAAAUAGUAGAAAUAUAGAACUAAAAAAUGGUGGAAACAAGAGUUGAAGAGCAUGACCUAAAAGUUUGAAGAACUUAACAAGAAUCUGAUAAAGUUUAACAACCAAUCAAGAUCUAGAAAAUGAACCUGAAAUAUCCAAACAAAAUGUUAGAAUUCAAUGAAAAGAGUGGAAAUAUAGAACCAAAAAGUGGUGGAAAUAAGAGUGGAAGAAAUUAACCUAAAAGUUAAAAUAACUUAACAAUAAUUUGAUAAAUUUAAACGUGAAGUAGGGAUCCAAAAAGUAAAUUUGAUACAUUUACCUAAAAUAUUGGAAUUCAAUAAAAAGAGCAGGAAUAUUGAACCAAAAAGUAGUGGAAAAAUAAAUUGGAACAACUUAGUAAUAACUAGAUAAAGUCAAACAGAAUAUAGAUUAAAAAAUAAACUUGAAAUAUUAACCUAAAAAUAGAAAUUUAAUGAAAGAACUGGAAAUAUAGAACUAAUAACUAAUGGAAAAAUGAAUUGAAACAACUUACCAAAAAUUUGAUAAAUUGCAAUGGAAAGUAGGGAUCUAGAAAUUGAACUUGAAAUAUUUAAACAAAAUUUUGGAAUUCAAUAAAAAUAUUAGGAAUAUAGAACUAAAAAAUGGUGGGAACAAGAGUAAGAAGUUAACCCAAAAAUUGAAAUAAUUUACCAAGAAUUUAAUAAAUUCAAAUGAGAAGUAGAGAUCUAAAAACUAAACUUGAUAUAUUUAUCCAAAAUGUUGGAAUUCAAUAAAAUUAAUAGGAAUAUAGAACCAAAAAAUGGUAGAAAAAUAAAUCGGAACAAUUCACCAAUAACUAGAUAAAGUUUAACACAUUAUAGAGAUAUAAAAAUAAACUUGAAAUAUUCAUCUAAAAAGUUGGAAGUUAAUGAAAAGAGUGGAUAUAUAGAACCAAAAACUAGUGGGAAAAUGAGUUAGAACAACGUACCAAAAUUUAGAUAAAGCGCCACGAAAAAUAGGAAUUGAAAAGUAAACUUGAAAUGUACACUAUAAAUAUUGAAAUGUAACAAAAUAAGUAGGAAUAUAACCAUUUUGUGGUAUAUUUAUAUUUUUUUAUAUUUUUUAUACUAUUUUUAAAUUUAAAAUUAUUACAAUAUUUUUCCUCAUUUAAUUACAAUUUUAUCUUUUUUUUUCAAAAUUUUUCAUAAUUUGUUCACAUUAAAAACAAAUAAAAAAUGUAAUUUCAUUAUAUUACCCGGUUAAAAAUCGAUUGUACCGGUUGCAUGCAUGUGCUGUAUCAGAUACAGCGCGGCAUGGUAGGUUGACUCAUGUUUAAAAUACCUUUAAUAAAGUACUAAUAAUUAUUAAAGACAUGUUUGACUAGACUUGCAGUUGGCAAGCAAAAGAGGAUGAAAUUAUUAAUUAAUUAGAACACAUGAAAGAUUCCUCUCAUUUUUUUUUUUUGAAAAGAAAGUAAACCUUUCAUUAAACUAAACUUUCAGCCAUAAAUAAAACAUCAGCUGGGAAAUUGUUUCUCCAGAUAACAGAUUCUGAGCUACACAAAGCUCUUUUAGCUAAAAAAUGGGCAAAACCAUUACACUUUCUUGGAACAUGUUGGAAAGAUAUCAGUUGGAAAUCUUGUGUGCUCUUGUGGAUGUCUGACAUAGUCCACCAAAUCUCUGUCCUGUUGCUAACUUUCUUAUUUGCUAAGUCAGCUACAUUUUUGCAGUCGGUCUCUAUAAUCACAUUUGACAGACUAAGAUCCUUGGCUACCUCCAUACCCCACUUGACAGCAUGAGCUUCUGCUAUAGCUACGUUCCCCUGGAAAUUCAUGCUUUUUACUGCUGCUGCUAACACUUGCCCUGAUUUCUGAUGACCACGCCCAAGCCUGCACUCUUCCUAUCUUCUUUGACUGCUGCAUCAACAUUGACUUUCACUUUGUUGUUUGGUGGUGGAGUCCAUAUCUGCAUCUUUCCCUCUACUGUAUUUCCAUGGCUCCCCCGUUCUUUAACCUGCUGAGCCUGAUACACUUCCAUAACUGCAUUGCCCCUAGCCACUGACCCUACUGGAUCUAACUUUUUUCCUUGAAAAAGGAGUUUGUUUCUAGCAUGCCAAGCAACCCACCAAAUCGUGGCCACGUAAUCUACCUCAGACGUAGCCCAAUUAUUCAUAGCCCCAAUCAUGACACUAAGCAUGUCUUCUCUGAUGACGCUCUUCACCUCAUUCUCCAAGUGAGUACAUUUCCAGAUUCUCCGAGCCACUCUGCAUUCCAUCAAGGCAUGGAAAACAUCUUCACAACCCGCUUUGCAUAAAUGGCAUGUCAGUUCCUUCAGCACUUUCCUUCUCCAUAGAUUUUUUGCCGUUGGCAGCAGGUUCUUUGCAACUUUCCACACAAAGAUCUUAAUUUUCUCUGGUAAGUUUAACCUCCAAAUAUGUUGCCAGCCCUGUGGAGCUCCUGUAGAUCCGGCUGGAGAUUCAGAGAACUUAAUUUUGAGAGCUAGUUGAUAUCCACUCUUUACUGAGUAUAUACCUUUCUUAUCAUAAUGCCAUAUCACCAUAUCUUCUUGAGGAGUUCUCGGUAAAGGGAUAUUCCUUAUUAUUUCAGCAUCUUCCUUUGCAAAGUUUUGAUUGAUCAUUGUUUCAUUCCAUUGGUGAUUUUGAUCAAGAAGCUCUGAGACUCUAGAUUCAGUAGGCAAGGACUGUACCAGGAUUAGUUUGAAGGUUGAGGGCCUAGGGAAAGAUUCCUCUCAUUGAUUUCGUUGAAACAGACUUAAUUUGUAAUCAAAGUGAAAAUUCGUCAUCUUUCAGCGGUGGUUCCAACUUCUAACAAUCUCUAAGCAGUAAGUUUUCUGACAGUUUUAUAUUUACAUAUCUCUUGUAUUUGUGUAAUUAGUCUCUCACAUAAUUCAAUUUAAUAGGAAGUUUUGAUCUCUUGCUUCCAAGGCUCAAAACUUAUUGCAACAUUGCUGGCAAUUAGUGUGGGUUUCGGCUCUUUAAUUCAGCUUUGCUAGGUUUAAGUUCGACAUCGAAUUUUAUGCGUUUAGUGCAGUAUUUUUAUGAACUAUUUUUAAGAGAUUUUUAAUUAAUUCUUAGGUACUUAAAAUAAACUUCUUGUCGGCAUACAAAGGACUAAAAGAGUAAAAAUUAACUAGAACACAUAAAAUCUUCUCAUUAAUUUCACUGAAACAACGUAAAAAUUCAUCUAACUGUGGUCAAAUACAUGCAUGUGUCUUGUAUUUUCAGCUUAUUUUUUGAACUUUUAUAUGUAUGUUUUUUGUGACAUAUUUUAAUCUUAUUUGGAAUUGAGAUAUUGUAGCUUUUAAACUACAACAGCUAUGAAAAAAACUGUAAUUAUGAAACAAAAGUUAAUAAUAUAUAAUAAAUAUAAAUUUUAAAUAAUAAUUUUGAUAAAAUUAUUAGAAAUAUAAUGAAUUUUUUAUCAUAUAAGUGAAAAAUCAUAUCAAUAUAAUUUUUAAGUUACAGCAGUUAAUAUUUACCAAAUACUUUUCUGUUGUAGCUUAAAUAUCCACCCCCUAUCCCAAAAGCACUCUUUAUAUAAUUUAAUUUUUCACAUAAUUCCAAAAAAUCAAUUUAGAGGAAAUUUCGUUCUCUUGUUGCCAAGACAUAAAAACUGGUUCCAACUCUGCAGGUAGUGUGUGUUUCUUGGACAGGAAAGUUGGCAGUGCAGGUUUUAAGUCUUCUUUACUUUUUUAUAUGUAUGUUUUUUGUGACAUUCUUAUCUUUGCUUAUUCUUUACUUUUUUAACUUUCAGGGAUCUGAAACUGUUGAAGUCAUAUAUCUCAACUUCCCUGCAGAAGCAGAAGUGCAUUUCGGAGCAAGUUCUAAUACAUUUUUGAAGAUGACUAACCUGAGAAUGCUUCUUAUCCGUAAUGUGCAAGUGCAACUUCCUGAAGGCCUUGAAUAUCUCUCCAAUGAGUUACGGUUACUUGAAUGGCCUGGAUAUCCUCUGAAAUCCUUGCCAUCAAAUUUUCAACCGGAUAAAAUUGUUGAACUUAACAUGUGUUACAGUCACAUCGAACAAAUGUGGAAUGGAAUCAAAGUAAGUUUUAUUUCAUUUCUUUUUUUUCCCGUGAAUAAAUGUUGAUAGAGUUAUCAUUCAUCCCUUGAAAAAUUGCUGAAAUCAUUGUUUUUGAACAGCCUUUAAGCAAUUUGAAAUUCAUGAGAAUUGGCAAAUCCAAAAAUCUGAUCAGAACGCCAGAUUUCUCAGGGAUGCCAUAUUUAGAGGAGCUGGAUCUUGGAGGAUGUACAAGAUUGUGUGACAUUCACCCAACAUUGCUACUUCACAAGAAGGUUAUUUUAUUGAAUCUAAAAGACUGUACAAGUCUCACGACUCUUCCGGGCAAGAUUUUUAUGGAAUCUCUAAAAAUACUUGUACUUUCUGGUUGCUUGAAAUUGAAGAACUUUCCAGAGAUUGUGGGUAGUAUGAAGUGUCUGUCAGAUCUUCUUUUGGAUGGAACCGAUAUUAAAGAACUACCAAUAUUACCAUUUGAACUUCUAUCUGGACUUGUUCAGUUAAAUGUGGAAGGCUGUAAUAAACUUGAGCGUCUUCCAAGAAAUAUAAGCGCUCUAAAAUAUCAUCCAACUUGGAAUCUUUCUGGCCUAUUGAAAUUCUCAAAUUUCCCAGAGAUCAUGACAAAUAUGGAGCAUGUGUUGGAGCUUCAUUUGGAAGGAACUGCCAUAAGAGGAUUGCCGAUAUCAAUUGAACUUUUCUCUGGUCUUGUUUUGUUGAAUUUGAGAGAUUGCAAAAAUCUCUUGAGUCUUCCGUGUACUAUUAACGGUCUGAAGUCUCUUAAAAAGUUGUAUCUCUCUGGCUGCUCCAAACUUAAAAAUGUGCCAGAGAACUUGGGGAAAGUAGAAAGCUUGGAGGUGCUAGAAUUAAGCGGGUGCAAAGGACCACCAGUAUCAUCAUCAUGGUAUCUGCCCUUCCCAUUAGUUUGAAGCGAAGCUGUUCAGAUCCUACCGCUUUGAGGCUUCCUUCUCUGUCAGGUUUGUGGUCUUUAAGGAAAUUGGACCUCAGUGACUGUGAUCUAGGGGAAGGAGCAAUACCUAAUGAUAUUGGCAACUUAUGGUCGUUAGAAGAGUUGUAUCUGAGUAAAAACAGUUUCGUUACAGCGCCAGCAAGCAUUAACCGUCUUUUUAAUCUUGAAGAACUAGAGUUGGAAGAUUGCAAAAGACUACAAUCUAUGCCGCAACUUCCACCCAACAUAAAAGAAGUCGGAGUAAAUGGUUGUGCUUCAUUGGAAAAAUUAUCAGAUGCCUUAAAAUUAUGCAAAUCGGAGUACAUUUCAAUUAGUUGUAUAGACAACCUGAAAUUGCUCAGCAACGAUGGUUUGGCAUUUUCAAUGCUAAAAGAGUAUCUUGAGGUCAGUCUCUCUCUCUCUCUCCUCUCUCAUUUGUGCAAAAAAUUAUGCCUAAAAAUGAUGCAUUUUUAUGGGCUCCUUUUUUUCCCCCUUUUUUCGGUUACAGGCAGUGUCACGCCCAAUGCAAAAGUUUGGUAUAGUUGUUCCAGGAAGUGAAAUUCCAGAGUGGUUCAUGCAUCAGAAUGAUGGAUCUUCAAUAAAAUUCAUAAUGCCUUCAAAUUUAUAUUGUAAGAAUAAGGCACUGGGAUAUGCCGUCUGCUGCGUCUUUCAUGUCCGUGAACAUUCCCCUGGUAUCCAAACAAGGCGUUCAUAUCCCACGCAUCAAUUGAACUGCCAGAUGAAAGGUUCUUCUACCAGUUAUUCAAUCGAGUUCAGAGAGAAAUUUGCUCAAGCAGAGUCAGGCCAUCUUUGGCUACUCUACUUGUCUCUUAAAAAAUGCUAUUAUAGCAAUUGGCGUUUUGAUAAUAAUCUCAUUGAGUUGUCGUUUCGGCCUGUGUCUGGCUCAGGGUUGCAGGUGAAGAGAUGUGGUUUCCAUCCCAUUUAUAGGCACAAAGUUGAGUUCUUCAACCAAAUAAGAAACCAAUGGACUCACUCACUACACUGCCUAUAAUAUGAAUGAAUUCUAUCCCGAUUCUGUUUGAUCAAAGAUACUUGUAGCCACAACGUCAAGGUGAAGUGUGAAUGAAUAUUUGGGCUUGAAGAGUGGGAAUGGUGUUCUGUUGAUGAGGAACCACAGCCUGAAACAUUUAAUGCAGAAGCCUGCUUAUUCUCUGAAUUCAUCGAUAAGCAUUCAUCUUCAAAUUCAGUUCAUGUUCUUUGCACUUGGUAAUUCAUUUACAUUAAUUUUAUUAAUUUAUUGCAUCUCCUUAUCGAAAAACAUUUGAUGUUAAAUUACCAGAAAUCCUCUGCUUGGAUCAAAAGCAAAGAGUACCUAUAGUUGUUUAAGAAUGUGCCUUCAUGAAUUGAAAUAGCAUUACUGCUCUAUUAGCUUGGCUCCUCACUUGAAUUUCUUUGAUGUUUGUUAAUAAUUCCAAAUUCCAGUGAACAUGGAUUUUGAUCGAGAUAAUCCUAUGCUUUUGCCCUGUUGAUAAAAUCAAGCAGUUGUUGUGAUUGUUGCAAGUGUUUCUUAUUUUAUAUUUUUUCGUUUUUGUUGUUUGGUUUGUGAGAAGAUGUGGAAUUAGAACUGCACUAGAGUGAGAAGAAAUGAGAAGAAAAAGAAAGCAUGUAAAGUUUAGUGAAUGUGUGUGUGUAUUUUUUUUAAAGCCUUGAAUUUUUUGAUUUCUCAUGAGUUGAAAAUUAAGGAUUGAAACAAAUCUUCUGUUUUGUUGUAUUCUUAUUAUAUUUCUUCUCAUAAAUUUCUCAUUUUUGUAAAUAGUGCAUAAUUUGGUAGAAGCUUAACUGAAAGCCACUAAUUUUACUACAAGAAUAACUUAAUUUUUAAUUCAAUCCAGGGAUUCAAAAUGACUCAGAGUUCUUUCGAACUUAAAUAACAUGACAACUUAACUAUCCAUUCCCUUCUUUUUGUGCAAAAGUUGGCAGAUUCGGAGCCAAUUAGGGUGAGUUUUUUGGUACACUUGAAGGGGCUGGUGUCAUAGUUCAUGAAUUGCAUUGCUAUGAAUGAAUAACAAAGAAAUUAGAUUAGCUUAUUGAAUCUGUUUGAAUUUUUUUAUAUAGCCUAUGCAGUCAGAGGCAUUUAAAUUAUGUGAGUCAAAGUUCUCACAUAUUAGCUGUGCACAGUGCUUGAAAUUGCUUGGUAACAACGGUUUGGCCUUUUCAGUUUUAGAGAGUAUGUCAACUAAUGCCAGCCUUUUCACUCUGUUUCUCUCGAAUGCUCUUGAGCCUUAUGCAUAAAAAUUUAUGCUGUGGAAAAGAUUAAUCUAAGGGCCAGGAGUUUCUAUAGAAAGAAUAUAAAGAUGAUAAGGUUUGUUGUGUCCAUCUCAAAUAUAUUAUGGGUGUUAGGAGUAUCUGAUGAUGCUGAUGAUGUUGUGCAGUGAUGUUAAGCUGAUGGUACUAUGUAGUGAUGCUGAUAUGGUGUUAUGCAGAGUUUACAGAGCAUGAUGGAAGAACAUGAUAAGGCUGGUGGUUUAGCAUGUAGCUUAGUAUACCAGCUGAGAAUUAGUUAUGCUGAGCUGUCAAGUUGGUUAUAACUGAUUCAGUAGCCUUUAACCACGCAUGAAGAUUCCAGAACAAUCUAGCUACUAGAUUCUUGUAUCCAUCUUGUAGUAUAAGUAGAGUGAUCUGUAGAUUCUGUACACAUUGUUAAGUAUGCUAUGAUUGAAUAAAAUACAUUUUUCGUCACUUUCAAUUUCAUUUUCUCUAUAACCAAACACUGUUUUAGCCGAAUUCAAUCAAUGGGAAUUAUAAGAAAAUAAGCAGUAAAAGCAAAUAAACAUUAGGGAAAUGAACACUCAACAAUAUACCUACAUGUAAACAUCCUCGGAAGAUCUAAGAAGUUGAGCAUAGUACACAAACGCACACAGAGAGCAAUUGAAACUUGUAGCAAGUCUGCAGACUGCAGAUACAUGUCCGUAUCAGCACUAGAAUUUUGCUUGGAAGCGUAGCACUUUGGAUUAAAGAUAUACUUGUUGACUUGCUUCUGUCCACAGAAACAAUAAGAACCUUCAGUUGGAAUGAAAUCAGAGAUACAUUCAGAACCACCUUGAGGAAUUCAUGCUCAACAGCAACUUCAGUAAUAAUCAAGAUUAUAAACAGUAGAGAGACUCCAUUCAGCUUCAAUCCCGAGUGUCCCGAGUGUAUGGAAACUGGAUGGAGACUACACUUCUGCACCUUCAAUCCCGAACUAGUUUGAAACAACUAAACUUGGUCAGAUCCAAACUUCCAGUCAAGAUUAUUGCACUGUUGAAGAUCAAGAAUAUAAUGUAUACGAGCUUCUAUUUGAUCAGCUUUCAUGUGGUAGUGGUAGUGAUGUUUAUGUUUGCCUCUGACAGGAUGUGAAUGUUUUUUAACACGAAACGCACAGCAAAUAGCAUAUCCAACCAUCUUCUUCUUAUCGUAUGAAUCUGGAGGACUUAUUAUUGUUAUUGAAGAUCCCUCAUUCGGAUAGUCGAACCACUCCGGAAUCUUACGUCUAGGAAUAGCUAUGCUGAAAUCUGACUCCCAGGAAGAACAAUGGUGAAAACUCAGGUACUUUGUGGGAUCAUAUAACUCUAUUCAAUUAUUUAAUGGAUGAAUGACAUAUUAGUUGAGAAAUUCAACAUUACACGUGGGUAAAAUAAUAGAGUUUUGGAUCAGCCGUCAUCGUAUUCUUUCUUUAAUGUUAAACAAAUUGUUGGUUAUAAAUAAUUGGUGAUCAAAAUUGAUUAAUCUGUUUAUAUAAAUUAUUGAAAUUGAUCUUGUUCAUAAAAAACACUGCAUAUAGCUAGUAUAGUUAAUUUUGAUCUUCCUAAUGAUGGAGGUUGAAAAGUUUUGAGUCUUCGUAUAUGCAUUGUGAGAGUAAUUUUUCUCUUUCUUUCAGAAACAUAUUAAAUUUUUUCAAGCUAUUUCAUACAUAACAUCAAGGGUUUACUUUUCCAAAAGAGAGAUUAAUGCAACUUAACUGGUCAAUAAAAAUUAACAAUAGGUUCAAUUUAAGUUUUAUCUUGACAAAAAGAAAAAUUACAUUAGGUUUAAGAAUUUAAUAAGCUAAAACAAUUAGGAAAUUAAUGGGUUAAAGUAAACAUGCAACUAAAGUGAAAUUAGAAAAAUAAUGAAGAUGAAAUGGAUACAAGUAUUUUUCUUGGUUUCACUUGGAAACCUCCAAUAGUAUGAGUUAAAUGUAGGGAUGGCAAAAAUCCCCAUGGGGACGGGUACCCUCGGGGAUUUUCCUCAUUCGGGGAGGGUAUGGGGAUAAUUUCAUACCCAAUUUCUUAUUCGGGGAGGGGAUGGGGAAAUUUUUUUACCCAAUUUCUUAUUCGGGGAGGGGACGGGGAUGAGGUGGAAUCCCCAUCCCCUACCCAUUUCCCCAUUUUAAUUUUUAAUUUUAUUUUAAUUUUUUAAAAUUACUAGUAAAUAAAUUAUAAAAUUUAAAUUAUAAAAUUAUAAAUAUUGGUAAAAAUAAAAAAUAUCAAAAUAUUUAUAUUAUUAAACUUUUGGGCCUAAUUAACUAAUUAAAGUCCUAAAUUUUUAUUUAGGAAAUUAAAAAGACAGGGUAGAUUCUAUUAGCCCAAAAAAUUUUAAUUUUAAUAUUCUUUAAAUAUUUUAAACUUAAAUCUAUUUUUUAUUUAUUUUUAGAUGUUAUAAUUGCCCACAGCGAAUCACAAUUUUAAUAUCUAAUCUAAUCUAAUAUAAUAUUUGCUCUUGAUUUGCUCCGAUUUAACUAUUGUGUUGUAAAGGGAAUAGUUCACAUUUAUAAAGUGCCCACGCCACCAUUGAAAAAGUUAAUUUUGAAUCUAAAUUCGAUUUUAUUUGUAACAAUUUUGUAUUAGACUAUUAAUUUGUUCAUGAUAGUUUGUAAAAGAAGUUUGUAUCCCUUGCAUGCUGCGUUACUUAUUAAUUUAAUGUAUGUGACUUUUGUAAUGGAUAUUAAUGUAAGAUAUAUUUCGAACUUUAAUUUUAUUUGAAUUUUUUAUUUUAAUAUGAUUAACUCAAAAUCAAAAACAAAAAAAAAUAUAUUAGUUAUUCGGAGAUCGGGGACCCUCGGGGAUCCCCUGUUAUUAUUCGGGGAGGGGAUGGGGAUUCUCUCAAAUAAUUCUGACGGGGACGGGGAGGGGACAGAGACAUACGCAAAAUAUCGGGGAUGAGUACGGGGAGAUUGGUCCCCUCCCCUCCCCUCCCCAUUGCCAUCCCUAGUUAAAUGUUAGAAAAUUGAUGGGUAAAGCUGACACACAACUAAAGUAAAAUUGAGAAACAAUAAUCAUAAAAGAACACCAGUGAUAACACUAUGAAAUGAGAGUUAUCAUGAUAUUUUUAUGCUUAAAUUAACAUUACUUAGAGAGUAAAUGACAUAUUUUCAUUGCAUUUUAGCUACAUUUAUGGGUAGUCAUUUAAGUUUAAUUUUAAUAAAAUUCAUGUGUUUUUAGAUUAUUGUGUGCUUUGAUUACUUGCAUAAUUGUAGGUGACCAAGAAGCUCAAAUUUCAUGGAUGGAACGUUGCUGUAGCAGGCUUGCGGAGUUACAAAAGAACUUGGAUGAGAAGUAAUUUUGAAAUAAUGAAAGAUGCUGGAGCAAUAUGUUGUAGUACUAUUGCUGCAGCAACUCCUGGAGCAACGAUAAAUGAGAUAUCACACGUUAAAUAGAAGACCGCAAUCUAAAGUUUCCAAAAAUAAGAGAUUCACUGCCAUACGUUUCUGGUAACCCUAAUUUUGAUUUAUAAAAAGAGCACAUUACAAUGAAAAAAGGAGAGUUGUCAUUAGAGAAAAGAAUCGAGAAACAGUACAAGAGAAAAUAAAGAUAAAGAGACAGAAUUAAGGGCUGCAUCAAAGGAUUUAUGAAGAAUAUUAAGGGGAUUCAUAAGGACGAGCGGAUUUCAACUCUUAUUCUUACUCUCUUAUUUUUAUCUUGUUAUGAAGACUUGUUUGAUGGCUGAAACUAUUUUGGUUUUUGUUUUAUAACAAAUUAUGAACUAAAAUUACUUAUGGUUGAGUGAUAAACAAUGUUGAUGGUUAACUGACUGAUUAUAUGUGUUGCUGCAUGUGUGCUAUAGCAUGUUGUUUUUAUAAUACUUAUUUCAAUUCACUAUUUUUAGCUGACUACCCAUUUAGUGGUACUAGCUAAGUAAAAGCCUAAAAAAGGUCUGUCUUAGUGGGACAUAUCAAAGUAAUUCUUGGUUUUAGGUUGGAUUUCAUGAGUUGAGUUUAACUUGAUUCAAAAAAGGUCAUGCUUAAUCUAAAAUUAGUGAUGAACUAGACAUAGAGAUUUACCUUGUAGGAUAAUUAGAAUCUAAAACGUGUAAUGCUAUAUUUUAUGUUAGCAUAACAAUUGGUCACUGUUAAGUUGUAUCAAGAUAUAAGACAUCCAAUAAGUGAUAGCUGAUGAUACAUAAGGAUUCUGUAUAGUACUGUAAAAGAUGUUGUAGCAACAUAACCAAAAAUUAGAAAAAUAGUCAAAACCAUUAAGAGAGUUUAAUCACUCAACUACUCUAUUCUCAUUGAUUAUAUCCUUGUAUUUGACGUGAUGAUUUACCUUAUUGCAUUUUUAUUUUAAUUAAUUCAUUAGUUUUAUAAAUUAUUUUAUUUUUAAUUUUGGAACAAAAUAAGGUUGCUGCAGCAAUUCAUAUAACAUCAAUUCCUAUGGAGACAAUCUCGAAUACUUAUCAUUAUAUUACUUGUUGUGUACACUUGCACAAUGACACCCAUAGCAUACAACAAUCAGAAUUUUCAUAGUUAAACUUUUAGCCUACAUUCAUAGGUGAAGACAGAAGGAAAUGUUUUACUAAUGAAAAGAAGUUAUAAGUAUUGUAGUACUUUGUCUCACAAUCCAAAAACCUUAAUAUACCUAAACUCUAAAAACAUUAGAACAAGAGUUUAAAGCUCUCAACACACUCUUAGUCUCCAAUUCCUGGCUCUGUCACUUCACAAUUAGAUUGAGAAUUAAAGAAAAUGAAAUGAAUGAAGAGGACAAAUGAAACCUCUAUUUAUAGGCCAAGCAAUACCCAAAAUCAGCAAUGUUGGACUUUAAAAUAAUAUAUAUUUUCAUUCAACUUUCAACUUUGGUGACAAAGCCAAAAGUUGUGUGCUAGACAAAUGCCUCCCACUUACUCAACAAAUUAUGCCAAAAGUCAAAAGUUGCAUGUUAGCAACAUAUAAUUGUUUGCCAUAUACAUGCACAUGUUCAACAAUUCUCCCACUUAGAGACUUGAUUGAGAACCAAUCAUGUCUCCACACCAUCCAUUCUUUUUCGUCAUUGUUAUGUUGCUUACAUCUCUGCUAGGCUACAAGAGGAUCUACUCCAUACAAACUUGUCAGCAUUGGUUCGCUUGGUCAAAACAUCUCCUCGGUUCUCUUUGGUAUGGAUUUUUUUGUAAUAAAGUGGUAUUGUACCUGAUAACUCUAGAAAAUGAGAGUUAUCAUGGCAUUUUUAGGCUUAAAUCAAGACUCCUUAGAGAGUAAUUGAUGUGUUUUAGUGCAUUUUAACGAUAGUUUGCAUUACAUUCAUUUUAGUUUAAGUUUAAUAAAGUUUACGUGAAUUUUGAAUAAUUGUAUGCCUAAAACAUAUGUUCAACUAUAGGUCAAUGGAAACCUGAAUUUUAUGGAAAAGAUGUUGUUGCAAUGGACCUAUAAAGAGGACAAACGAGCAUGGCUAUAUAAGAAUUGGAGCACAUCUGGAAUAGUGAAGAUGCUAUAGCCAUUGUUGUAGGCUGUAGCAAUCCUUGAGCAUUGACGGAGAAAAUAUGGGCAAGAUUUUCAUAAUAUUGCGAUAUGCAGUUUUCUAAUCUGAAGAUGCAUGCCCUAGAGUUUCCAGUUACCCUAAUUUGUGAUUAUAAAAUGAGGCAUACAUGCAAAGGAAAGAGGAGGCCGUCAAUCGAAACCAAAAUAGAAAAGAAAUGAAGAAGAAACAGAAAUCCCGAGCAGAAUUCAAGACUUCACCAAUAGAAGAAAUUUACAGAUUCUAUUGGAAUUCACUCUUUCUCAUUCUUUUCUUGUCAUUCAUUGAUCAUGACUAUGUACUCGAUGGCUACCACUUGGUUGUUUAAUUUCUAUGCACAAAUUAUGAGCUAAAUUUAUUUAUGGUUGACUGUUAAGCUAUCUUGAUGGUUGAUUGACCGAAAAUAAGUAUUGCUGCAUGUUUGCUAUAGCAUUUUGCUUUAAUAACAUUUAUUUAGAUUCAUUAUUCUGGUUGACCACUUAUUUAAUGAUACAAGUUAAGAAAGAGCCGCAAAAUGGCCUAUUUUAGUGGAACAUAUUAGAGCAAUACUUAGUUUUAGAUUGAGUUUCCUAAAUUGAGUUUAACUUGAGUCCAAAAAGGGUAAUGCUUAAUCUAAAGAUUAGUGAUAAACCGGAUGUGGGGAUUCACCUUGUAGGGUAAAGAGAACAUGAACGUGUAAUGUUAUAUCUUAUGUUGACAUAGCAAUUGGUCAUUAUUAGGUUGUAUAAAGAUAUAAGACAUCCAACAUGUUACUGCUGAGGAUAAAGAUGAAAUAUAAGUGUGCAACCCAAGAGGGGGGUGAAUUGGAAUUUUAAAAAUUAUCCUAGAAAAUCCACACAACAAACAAUCUAAUGUCUUAAUAAAAAUUGAAAGCAAUAAGUUCAAUAAAAGCACAAUAACAAAUGAGUAAGGGAGAAGAGAAACAAACACACGAAUUUUUACGUGGUUCGGUAAUCCCCGCCUACGUCCACGCCUCCAAGCGAUCCAAACUUGAGGAUUUCACUAUCCAAGCCUUUCCAAGGCUUCAACCAUUUACAAUUAACUUCAAGGUGUCAAUGAACCUUUACAACAAAGAGAUUAUCUCCCAAUCUCUUCACUCAAGUGUCUCACACACUCAAACUUUUACAAUUAAGAUGAAGAAAUGAAAGUUACAAUAAAACUCACUCAAAGAUUAGAUAUUCAAAAAUGAAGAACAAUAGAUGAUUCAAUGUUUUGUGAUUUGCAAAUUGAAAGCUCAAGAUAUUUCGUGUGCUUUUUGUUUAUGCUUGCUAGAGAGCUUGAAAAUGAGUUGGAUUUGAGUUUAUAUAGUUUGAUCUAAAAAACUAGCCGUUAUGCACAUUUUGGUCAUAACCGGCUUGCCAUUUAGGAAUUUGGUAAGCCGCUUUUAUGUUGCCAUUAAGGCAAAAAUUUGAAUUUCAGAAUAUCUGGCAUGCCGCUUUUCAUAUCCAGUAAGCCGCUUUUGAAAUCCGGAUUGCCGCUUUGCGAAAUUCGGAUAGCUGUUUAUGCUCCAGAAGCUUACUAUCCAAAAUCCAGUUUGCCGUUUACCAUAUCCGGUAAGCCGCUUGCUACAGUAACUGCUACAGUGAAAUAUUUUCUAAAUUUAUAGUUUGACCCCAAAACUUUAUAAAACUGUAUUAUAGCCCAAAAUAUUAUAUUAUUUUGCAAAUAGGUCCAAUUUCAGAAUCUCUAAAUAAUGCUUGCUAUUCCCAAAACUUUUUGAAAUUAUAAUAUGGCCCAAAAUGUUAUGAAACUUUUCCAAUAAGUCCUCCAAAAUUUCGAGCAAUACUUGUUGAUUUCAAAGUUUUCAAAACUCUUUCAAUUAAAUCAUAAACUUGAAAAACAACUAAUUUCAUAAAAUCAUUUUUCCAUUAAAUAUAAAACCUUUAUAAUGUGAAAAUAAUGAUUUAUUUAAAAUAUAUAAAAAAUAAUUUGAGCUUAAAUAUUAAUCAUUCUUAAUCUUGUUUGUUAUCAUCAAAAUCAACAUUAUGCAAACAUAUAUAUUAACAAAAGAUGGUUUAUGUCCAGUGUUGUAACAGAUGUUGCAGUAACCGUACUCAAUAUAAAUAAAAUAGUUAACACCAUUAUAAGAGUUUAAUCACUCAACCACUCUAUUCCAAUUGAAUUUACUUUUGUGUCUAACAUGCAAUUUUCAUUCAUUGCAUUUUCUUUAUUAUCGCGGUUAUUUUACAUAGUCUAUUAGUUGUAUUAGUUACAUUGAUUUUUAAUUGAGAACAUAGAUUACACUGUGAAAUUGUUGUAGCAAGUCUGAUAGCAUCAAUCCCUAUGGAGACGAUCUUGGAUACUCACCCUUAUAUUACUUGUUGUGUACAUUUGCACAUUGACAUUACUAGCAAUUGAGUUAAAGAUUACAACAGUACCCCUAUGUGCUUUGUCUUGAAAUGAAAUGUUGGAUUCCUUGCAAUGUACAAGAUACUCUAAUUGUCACAAAACAAAAACAUUUUCUCUUGUUUGUACCCAAACUCCUCCAACAACCUUUGUAUCUAAAGAACCUCUUUGCAAGGUUAUGUAGCUACCAUUAUUAUGCUUCUGUUGUAGAUAAAGUCACAAUGAUUUUCAGUUUUGAAACGCAGGUUACAGCUUUUCUUGCAAGUGUAAACACAUAGCCAGUAGUAGAUUUCCUUUAUCAAGGUCCCCUGCAAAAUAUGAAUCCUCAAGGCCUCUGACAGUAAAUUUUAAUCCUCCAUAACAUAAUGCAACAUCUAAGAUUCAUUUGAUGUAUCUGAGAAUCCUCUUUACAGUUUUCCAAUAUUCUUCACCAGGAUUCACUCUAUAUCAACUGACUGCUCACACGGCUUGUGCAAUAUCUAAUUUCGUAUAUAUCAUAAUGAACAUUAAACUUCCUAUUGCUGAUACAGAAGGUAUUCGAGACAUCUCCUUCCUCUCUGCUCUGUUGCUAGAAUAUUUACUUGAGGAUAACUUGAAAUUAACAGGAAGUGAGGUAGAAAUUAGCAUACAAUCUUGCAUGUUGAAGCGUCACAAGAUUUUCUUCAAGUAAUUCUUUUGGGAUAGCCAAAUCUUCUUGUUAUUUAUGUCUUAGUGAAUUUGCAUUCCUAUAUUCUUGUUUGCUAGUUUUAAGUCCUUCAUUUUAAACUACCUAGCUAAUUGUGCCUUUAAUUCUUGGACCCAAUCUUUGUUUAGGCCUGCUACUAACAUGUUAUCCACAUACAAUAGUAUAAUGAUAAAAUUAUUAUCCUCAAACCACUUGUAAUAUGCACAGGUCUAAACCGAGUCUAUUGUAGCCAAGGCUCAUGAUGAAGGAAUCAACUCUCUUAUACCAACAUCUCAAUGCCAGUUUGAGACUAUAUAGAGAUUUGUUCAAUCUACAAAAGAAGUUUUCUUUACCUGUUUCAGCAAAACCUUCUGGUUAGUGUAUAUACAUUUUUUCUUUAAGUUCUCUAUGAAAAAACACAGUUUUCACAUCUAAGUGCUCUAGGUUUAGGUUAAAUACAACACAUAUUGCAAGGACUAUUUUGAUUGUCGUGAGUCGAAUUACUAGGGAAAAUAUAUCGUUAAAGUUAAUGCAUUAUUUCUGAGCAUAUCCUUUCACUACCAAUCUUACACGAUACCGCUCUACUUGGUCAUUGCCAUCACGCUUGAUCUUGUAAACAUAUUUUUUUCCUCUGAUUUUUCUUCCACGUGGUAGUGGUAUAAGUUCCCACGUCUUAAACCUAUGUAGAGCUUUAAUUUCUACCUGCAUUGUUGUCAUCCACAAAACAACAUUUAAGCCAUUUAAAGCUUUAUGGAAAGUUGAUGGCUCUGCAUCCUCUGUUAGAAGAUAGUAUACAACAUUGAUCCUAUAACAUACUCUAAGUGCCACACCGACGGUUGUCUCUCGCAAGUUGACCGAUGAACUUCUGUAGCCUCAGACUCCACUGGUUCUUGCUUCUCAUGCUUUAGUGGUGUUUCAGAAUAAUCUAAAUCUUCUUUUCCCGGAUUAUUUUCAUAUACAUUGGUACAAUCUCUGACUUGUUCUUCAAAGUGCUAUCAUUCUCAUUUUUCUUUUGUAGUCGAUCUUCUACAAAGAUAACAUCUCUACUGAUGACAAUCUUGUGGGCAAUGAGAUCCUACAGACAAUCUUGAUAAGAAUCUUAUAGUCAAUCUUUUUUCUUGAGCAUUGUAAGUGCAUAGGGCAUCCAUAUGCAUGCAAAUGAGAAGAAUCACCAGGCUUCCUAGUCUACAUCUCAAUUGGUGUCUUUAACUUAAUUGUUGUAGGUGGCAAUUAAUUUACUACAUAAUAGGUGGAUUUGGUUAUUUCUAACCAAAAUGAGUUGACUAGAGCAGUCUUCAAUAUAACUUGUAUUCAUUCUGUAAGAGUAUUGUUCAUUCGCUCUGUCACUUCAUUCCAUUGAGGAGUGUAUGCCACAAUGAACUAUUUUUUAAUACAUUUUUGCUUACAGCAUAUAAAAAACUAACUAUUUGUAUAUUCUCCACUAUUAUUUGUUCCCCAAACUCUUGAUAUUUUUCCUGAAUUUAAGUUCCACCCGUGCUUUGUAUUCUUUGAACACUGAAAAUGCAUUUGACUUUUUCUUAAUUAGAUACACCUAACAUCUCCUGGAAUAAUCAUCUAUGAAAGUCAUAAUGUACGUUGCACCUCCUAGGGACAUAUUCCGGUGAUUCCCAAACAUUAGAAUGAACCAAGUCUAGAAUGCAUUUACUUUUGGUAUCAGAUUUGCUGAACUUCAAUCUAUGUUACUUACUCGUAACAUAAUACUCGUAAAACAGUAAGUUCGCCAAUUUGAGCCCCGAAGCAAUUUUCGUUCUAAGAGAAUCUUCAAACCUUAUUUUGACAUGUGGUCAAGUUUGAGAUACCACAUCAUCAUCGACUUUUCUCCAUUUGACGAGACACAUACAUUAGCUUCUUGUAAUGUUUCCUCUUUAAGUAUGAACUGACUAGCACUGAUUUUUUCCCAUCUUCAUCAAUACAAGCAUAUCUCUUAAAAUCUUCAUGAUUUUAUUGUCCACAUGAGUUUUAUAGUUAAAACUAUCUAUUUAUCCUAAAAACAAUAGAUUUUUCUUCAAUCCUUUGAUAUGUUGUACCUUCUGAAUUGUGCGAACUGUACCAUUAAACAUUUUUAUUUUGACAGUAUCAAUACCAACGAUCUCCAAGAUAUGAUCAUCACCCAUAUAUUCUCUUAAGAUGGGUUCAUAUCUGUGGAACCAUUCUUUUCGAGAGGUCAUGUGCCAAGUGGUUCAUAAGUCUAUAAGCCAUACAUUAAAUAAUUGUUUUGUCUUCUGCAACCAUUGCUGCCUUGCUGUAUAAAAUGUCACCAUCAAUUGAGGUACUUGCUACACAUCCCUAAACAUUUCAUGACUCAUGAUUUUUACUCUCUUUUCUCUUUUAGUUACUCCAAAACUCUUUCUUAACAUGCCCCAUCUUACCACAUUUGUAGCACCUAAUUUUCUUCUUCUUGAUUUUGAUCUACCAUGCACUAGAACCACGUUCCACUGAUUUUCGUCUCACCAUUAUUAGUGUUCUGCUUGCUGCAAACUUGCUUGCCUAUCUUUAUUGUUGUUGCAUCUACCCACUUCCUCUAAUACAGAGACUAUAACAUCGUCAAAGACUAAAUACUCUGUGCGGAUAUUAUUUGUCAAGUUGAUGAUGAUUUGAUCAUACCAGUCAGGUGAACUUUGAAAUAGAAGCUUUGCAUGUUCAAUUUUCUCUAUUUUAUGACCUAACAUUGUAAGUUGUAAAAAAAAAAUUUUCAAAGUGUUGAUAUAGUCGGUCAUUGAUAUGGUUUCUACCAUUUGAACACUAUAAAGUCUUCUCUUUAAGAAGAUUUUAUUGUGUAGCGACUUGGCCUUGUUUACUUUUGCAAGGGUAUUCCAAAUACACUUCGCUAUCUUUUGCUUUGCCAUACUGGAUAAUAUCUUAUCUGCAAGUGCCAAGUGUAGAUCAAUAAGUGCAUUGUCGUCCAUCUAAUUCCACUUGUCAUUGGUGAUUUUUAUAAACCUUUCUGCAAUUACUUCUAAAUAAUUAUUUUUCCUCGGGAUUGCUCACAUCUUCAUUUUUCACAAUGAGAGAUUGCUCCUAUUGAACUUCUCAAUUUCAAAUUUUGUUGCCAUUUUGUUAAUAAAUACCAUACACAAGUUAGUGUACCACCUUGAGUAGUUAUGAGUGAUCGCACGUGUGAAAAUGCACAGCAGAAAAGUUUCCAGGAAUGACUGGAUGGAUCACAACGGUGCCAUUUAAAACCCAAACUCUCUAGGCUCUUAUCGCCUUUGUGACGGAACUAUCCUAGACAUGUACAAGACCACGUGAUUACUUCUACUCACACUAAUACUCCUUACUUUAUAUUGUGGAAUUCUUCGAUCGCUCCCACUAUUUUAAGUAAACAGUAUCAUAUACAUGAAGAGUAUUGUAUACGUGAACAAUAGCUGACUCCAAAAACUAUAACUAAAUGGCUCUGAUACCACUAUUAGGAAAUUGAUGUGUGAAGCAGACACAUAAUUAAAUUGAAAUUGAGAAAUAAUGAUCACAGGAUGACACCAUAAUUUAGGUGGUUCUGCUUUUCACCUACAUCCACGGGCAAAGGCAGAAGGAAAUAUUUUACUAGUGAAAAGGAGUUACAAGUACUGGAGUAUUUUGUCUCACAACCCAAAAAACCCAAUGCACCCAAACUCUCAAGACACUAGAAUAAGAGCUUAAAACUCUCAACACACUCUCAAUCUCCAAAUCUUGGCUCUUUCACUUCUCAAUUAGAUUGAGAAUUGAAGAAAAUGAGAUGAAUGAAGAGGGCAAAUGAAGCCUCUAUUUAUAGGCCAAGCAAUGCCCCAAAAUCAACAACAGUGGGCUUUAAAAUAAUAUAUAUUUUCAUUUAACUUUCCCCUUUGGUGUCAAAAACAAAAGUUGUGUGCUAGCUAAAUGCUUUCCACUUACUCAUGUCUCCCACUUACUUAACAAAUUAUGCCAAAGUCAAAAGUUGCAUGCGAGCCACAUGAAAUUGUUUGCCACAUGCAUGUGCAUGUUCAACAGUAAAAACCACAAGCAAGGAUUUAACUAGUUUAAACGAGGACUACAAAACCUUCAACGUUGGUGGAUUUCACUAGUUUAAACGAGGAUCACAAAUUUAUCUUUUCUCUAAACAGUAAGAGAGAACUAUUACUCAUUUUCGUAAUAGUUGGGGGCUUAGGCCUAAGAUGCAAAGGUAUGUAUCCAACUUAAAUGACUAGUUUUUCACUAGUGAAUUUGGGACACACAACUCAAUAGAAAGAACACAACACUCUCUCACAAAGCUUAGGCCCUGUUUGGUAUUAUUUUCUAAAUGAUGUUUUCAUGAAACAAAAAUGAGAAUGGAAAUGAUGUUUUCAAAUUUGUUUUUAAAAUUUAAAGUGUGUUUUGUAUCAUUUUCAAAAAUAAUCUUGAAAAUGAAAAAAGUUAAAUACUUUCGAUAAGAAAAUCUUCAAGAAUUAUUAUUAGAAUAAUUUUCCUAAACUUAAAAUUGAGUAAUGAAUAAUUAUUUUUAUUAUUUAAUCAGUUUAUUUUUUUAAUUUUAAGAAUAAAUUAGGUGAUCCCAUUAUUUUUUUUUGUUUAAAGAAAAGUUAUAAACUCUACAUAUUUGAUUUAAUUAAUAUAUAAAAACAUAAAUAUUAUAAUGUAUAUAAAAAGAAAAGAUUAUUGUGGAGGAGGGAAAUCAAUUUUUUGGGAAUAAUAAUAAUAAUAAUAAUUUUGAAAUUAUUAAUAUUUUGUGAGGUGUUGGAAGAAAAUUGUUCAUUUUGAAACUUAAUACUGUAUUGGAAAAUAAGGAAAACAAUAAAAAGUUGUUUUCCUAUUUCUUUUGUUAAAAAUGUAGAAUGAAUUUUAUAUUUUCAAAAAUAUGUUCAAAAAUGGUCUACCGAACAAGUAUUUAGUAUUUUCUGAAUGCAGAAAACAAGAAGCAGGAUUUGGAAACAAUACUAACGGACCUUUACUUGCUCCCAAACAAUGAUCUUGCAGAUACUUUAUUUUAUCGAAAUGAACCUCAAACAAGUUUAUUUGCUUCUGGCUGUCAUUGACUCAUUGACCAUUAGCAAUAUAGUAUUAGGUAGUGCCCUCUCUUUUCUUUUUUAUCUUUGUCUUCUCCAAUUCGAGCUACAAAUGUUGCGAAGAAUUCCUUUCCAUCUCCUCUCCAUUGUUUGGCUUCAAUAUUUUGGAUUUGAAUGGAAUCACAAUUUCUCACCUAUUGUUAUACAAAGUUUCGAAUACAUUAUUAUAUAAAAGUGUAAGUUAAAAAAAAUUAGAAUAAAAUUUAAUAAUAUCAUAAAAAAAUUUAUAUUUUACAUCAUCCAAUUUUUGACAAAAACUCAAGUAGAUAUCACAAGUAACGCAGCACCAACAUUUGAUUUUUUUUCUACUUUUGUACCCAAUUUUCAGCCAGAGUUAAAGUAAAUAAAUUUUAAUUAAUUUAUGAAAAAAUAAUAAUAAUAUGAGAUCGACGGGUCCCAUCGAGAUUUUCUUAUCUCUUUAGUAAAUUUCCUGCAUAUCUAUUUUGCAUCAACCUUAACAUUGUAUGUGAAAAAUUUCUGCAUAUUUAUUUUGUCCUACGGAGACAAUAUUUUGAGAUUCAUAUACAAUUAACAUAAGGAAGCUUCCGAGAAAUUUCUGGGUGGACUUCAAAAUGAGAAAAGAAAUUAAAUUUGUUGGACCACCAUCAUGAAAUUUUAAAUUUUUUGGACCCCAAUCUGCCUUUGUCUUUUCAUCUGAUUGGAAGCCACUCGAUGACAUUGACUGAUCAUUGACCAUUUGGUGCUCUCUUCUCUUCGUCUUCUAAUUCAACUUACCGUCAUGAAAUUAAACGAUCAUUCGAGGCAUCUUCAUCGAAAUUAUUUGUUGCGACAAUCCCAUAAUAAACGGCAAAUAUCAAUCGCAUAAAGCAUACACGGAUAAGUCAAUGUUUACGGGGAAAGAUUAAAAAAAAAAAUUCAUUAUUAAAAUAUAUAGGGAAUACAAAUAUUGAAAUAUUUAUAUUAUAAACCAAAUUCUUAAUAAAAUCAAGUUCUCAGAUCACUCGAAAACAUUUUUGUUAUCUCAAUUGCUAAAGAAUUGCUUCUCAUAGAACACACGUUAAGUUUUCAAAUUGUUGGAGACUUUUCUCACACUGGCUCAUGGAUUCUGCAUCCAAUUUAUAGGCAAAUCUAGAUUUCAAAUGUCAAGAAUAACGGAAUCUAAUAGCUCGCAAUUAGAGCAUGCAAAUCUUGACUUUUAGAAUGCGAAAUCUCUGACUUUUAGGCUCGGUGAAAAAGUGAAGAACGAACAUGGCUUGUUUCCAAUUGCACGAUAAAAAAAUUCUAGUAGACUGUAAUUAUUGAAACAUGAAUAACUAGAAAUAUUUUAGAUGGUGUAUUUAAAGAAAAAAAACGUACUAAAAAAUCUAAGUCAUGUAUUGAUGCGCAUGGGAGUUGUUAAUAGACCCAAUUGUUGUAGUUAAUUAGAUGACUCAAUGUAUCGGCUUUGACUGUGAUCUGAGAGAUGGAAUUACAAAUAUAAAUUUGGGUAAUAAAAGAAAAUUUCUUGUCAAAAUCUUUGAAAAAUACGCCGAAAUUUCUGGGGAAAAUUUUAGUUAUUUUUUUUCCCCUGCAGACGUGUAGUUUGGGGCAAGGAAAGUUUUUUCUCUUCUAAUAUAAAUAGGAAAAUUAUGAUUUUUUGUCCCUCACAUUCAGGAAGGCUCAAGGAAAGUAAGUAAUCGUGAGUAUGAGUCUAUGGGAAAAUAUGCUGUGAGAUUAAUUGGUCUUUUAUUUUAUUUUUAUUUUUAUUAUUUUCUUUAGUGACGGUGGCGAAUAGUAUUUACACCUUUUUUUACUAUUAAUUUUUAACCAUCAUUCACUAUUUCUUUCUUUUGGAGAAACGCGGUUCAACAGUAACCAUAAAGCUGGAAUUUUAAUUGUGGAGGGUGCACAAGAGUAAUAUAGAGUGUUUUAGUCUAUUCAGUGUGCAAAUAACCCAAUGUUAUAAGAGUUAUGAAUAUAUGUUGUAUGUAUUUGUAAUAUUUUUGUUUUGGGAGGGGGUUAUAUUAAUUUAAGAAUUCAACUUCAAUCUAGACAUCAAAAUAUGACCAUUUAUUUCGUUCAAUCAAUUAACCCAUGAAUUUAUGGUCAGACUCUUGGAUUGUUUGUUGAUUGGAAAGGCUAAAAUUGAGUGGGAAAGUAAAGCAAUGGAGGAAUAGAAAAAGAUCUAUGGCAAAGAUCGAUGAACAGUGGCCAUGAUUUAAUAAUGAAUUACAGACAUGUUGGCCUUACGGAAUAUGUUGUUGACAAAAUUAUGGAGUCUCGAUUUCUUGGGGAUGAAUGUGAUUUGUGAGAAUGGGGGAUGAAUUUUUUUUAUUAAAGUUUUACUGAAAAUAUAAUAGUUUAUUAAAGUUUCCUACAUUUGUGACAAAAUUAUGGAGUCAUCCAUGCUUCUUGUCUUCUGAAUCUUAUUUUAUUAAAGUUUUACUGUCAUAUAAUCAAUUAUCUCAUACUUUAGAUUGAAUUAAAUAAAUUUUCAAAUUUUGAUGCUUAGAUUACAAUUAAAUUCUUAAGUUAAAAUAUCCCUUCCCGUUUGUUUUUUAUCUAAAAAAAUCGUUGGUACUGAAAAAUAAAUAAUCUUAUUUUUACUGAAAAUAUAAUAGUUUUAGUCUUCUAAUUUGUUUAUUUUAAAAGUAACUCAUUCACCACUUUACAAAAUCAAAAUCUUCUGUAGUAAUGAAUUGAUUUUACAAGAAGUAACUUUAAAGUUUUUACCAAACACUUAUGUUAAUCAUUAGCCUCUCAAUAUCACUUUUGAACAUCCCAAUAAGCAUAAACUAUUUCAUUUUCUAAAUAAUAAAUGCAAAAUGAUUGAAAUACUUUUUAUAUCAUAAAAGUAAAAAUAAUUUUAUUGUUUGUAUCAAAUUAAUAUUACUUAGAUAUAUUUAUAUUUAAUUAAAUUAUUAGAAAAUUAUUAAAUAAUAAAAUAAUCUUUUUAUUCAUAAUAAGACAAAUUUAGAGAAAAAUUAGAUGGUAUUCGUUAGGAAACUUUAGAGAAAAAUGAAUGUGGAACUGUCCCACCACUUGGGAUUCUUUCACAUAAUCUUUCAGUGGAUCUCAUUAACUUUUAUUUUGAAAAAUCAAUUGAUGGUAUAGCCUGGUAGGGUAAUACUCUAGGUGGUCCCUUUCGCGUUUUUAGUUGUCGUACACGAUUUAUCUCUUCCUCACUUGAAAUAAUAGUCAAUAAAGCUGCAUCUUCACUGGAAUUAUUGUCUACAGUACUUCCUGAAAAAUGAGAUAAAAAAUAAUUUUAUAUAAACUUCAGGAAGGUUUCAAGCACCAAUAAUUAUUUAAAUUUACUCACAAGAAAUUACUUUUAAUAAUAAUAAUAAUUUAUAUCAUGAAUAUUUUUAUGAUAAAUUUUUAUAAAAAAAUGAGUGCUUAAAAUAACUGUUUAGAGUGCAAAUAAUAUCGUCUAAUUGAUAAUCCUCCCUGCACAAAUACAAUUUCUUAAUAGGGCACGUGUCAGUAGAAUUGAGCACAGAAGCGUGAUUGGAAAAGUCUAUGGUGGAUUGUUGGGAAAUUUACACGCUCUCCACCUUUUUGGCUGCAUUCACUGUUUUCGUAUUUCUUCACUGGAUAUGAAAGUCAAGAAGAAAGCUGCACCUUCAGUGCUUUUGUUCACAAAUUAUUUUUGUUAGAGCUCAUAAUUUAACCAAAACAAAAAAGAGGACAAAAGCAGGACACUAUUGCCAAUAGUUAUGGUCCGACAAAUUUGAGAAUUGAUCAAGAAAGCAAAGGGUAGCCGGUAGCGUAUGAAAUUGCGCGUUGAAAUUAUGGUGCUUUUGGGUAAUUCACACCCUUUUUAACAUUUUUCUUUCUACGAUUGAAUAACGCGGAAUAAUUUCAAUUAAAAGUGAACAAAGCUGCAUUUUAAGUGAAAUUAUUGUCCACAGUGCUAAGGAAAUCAAAUGAGAUGAAAUUAUACUCCCUAGAAGGUUCCAAGCAUCGUUUUACUCUUGAUAGAUACUACAGUCGCUAACAUUUGCUCGACAGCUCGAGAAAACUACGCCGAAUUUUUCGGGAAAUUUUUACUUUUUCUCUUCAAACGUAAAGUUUGGGGCAAAAAAGUUAAAAGUUUAAAGGUGGGUCCAAUUAUUCUUCUUCCUGUUAUUUACGCACGGCCUCCCAUUCACGUUAGUCGGACUUCAAUUAAUUUUAGGAGAUGAAACUACCACGAAAUUAACUCCAAGUGAGGGCCUAGUAAAGCAGCCAUAUAUUCCACGCGUAUUUUAUUCAAUUAAUUGAUUAUCAUCACAUCCCACGUCAUAUUAUUAUUGUAUCAACUUUACUUAUACUUUAUUACAAGGAUCUCCAUAAGUUGCAGCUAGCGUAAGUUACGUCUGUCCUGUCAAAUUUCAUUCAACUCCUAUAUUUUAAGUUAUUUACACUUUAUUCAUAAAUAUUAUAAAACUUUAUAUAUUGUAAAAUUUUGGUAAGCUCCUUGUACUCUGUUUUAUUUUAUUAAAACCCUUACAAUACCAAUUCAUCCCUAUAAUUUUAAAUUUCCAAUAUGCCCUCCAUUUAAUUAAAAAAUAUAAUAAUUAUUAAAUGAAUUAUAAUUAUAAUAAUUAUUUUAUUAUAACUAUAAAAUAAUAAUAAUUUUAAAUAGAUUAUUAUCAUCAUUAUUAUUAUUAUCAAGAAUAAAAAAUAUUAUAAUUAAUUAAUCUAUUAAUAAUAAAUUUUUCGUUAAAUUGUUAAUAAUAAUAAUUAAUGAUAAUUAUUAUUAAUGAUUAAUUUUUGAAUAAUAACAAUAAUAACAAUAAUUAAAAUACAAAAUAAUAAUUAUGAUAAAAAUUAAUUAAGGAUUUUAUAGUAAUUUUUUACAAUAUAACUCAUUCUGAUUUUCAUUCUAAGAUAAGGUAAACACAUAAAUGGUAAUACAGUUCAUUAUAAUUACGAUUCAUGCAGUUCAAGUAAAUAAAUUAUUCUAAUUUCAAUUUCUCAUUUUGAUUCUACCUAUUCUGAUUCUAACUCAUUAUGUUUCCAAUUAAUUUUGAUUUCUGUUUAGUGAACGCACUAUAAAAUUAUAAACUACUCUAUGAAAUUCAUAAUACUUAUGAAUAAAUUGUAAAUGAUAUAGAAUGAUCUAAUUGAAUAUAGAGUGGUCUCCCUGGAAGGUUCCAAGCAUCGUUUUACUCUUGACAGAUACUACAGUCACUAACAUUUGCUCGAUAAAACUACGCCGAAUUUUCCGAGAAAUUUUUUGCAUUUUCUCUUCAGACGUAAAGUUUGGGGGCAGAAAAGUUAAAAAGUUUAAAGGCAGGUACAAUUAUUCUUCUUCUUGUUAUUUACGCAUGGCAUCCCAUUUAGAUUAGUCGGACUUCAAUUAAUUUUAGGAGAUGAAACUACCACGAAAUUAACUCCAAGUGAGGGCCUAGUAAUGCAGCCAUAUAUUCCACGCGUACUUUUUGUAUUGUAAAAUUUUGUUAAGCCUCUUGUAUUCUGUUUUAUUUUAUUAAAACUCUUGCAGUACCAAUUCGUCCCUAUAAUUUUAAAUUUCUAAUAUACCCUCCAUUUAAUUAAAAAUAUAAUAAUUAUUAAAUGAAUUAUAAUUAUAAUAAUUAUUUUAUUAUAAAUAUAAAUAUAAUUAUAAUUAUUAUUAAUGAUUAAUUUUUAAAUAAUAAUAAAAAUAAUAACAAUAAUUAAAAUAAAAAUUAAUAAUUAUGAUAAAAAUUAAUUAAGGAUUUUAUAGUAAUUUUUUACAAUUUAACUCAUUCUGAUUUUCAUUCUAAGACAAAAAAACACAUAAAUGCUAAUACAACUCAUUAUAAUUACGAUUCAUGCAGUUGAAGUAAAUAAAUUUUUCUAAUUCCAAUUCCUCAUUUUGAUUCUAGCUAUUUCGAUUCUAACUCAUUAUGUUUCCAGCUAAUUUCAAUUUCUGUUUAGUGAACGCACUAUAAAAUUAUAAACUACUCUAUAAAAUUCAUAAUACUUAUGAAUAAAUUGUAAAUAAUAUAGAGUGGUCUAAUUACAAUAAUAAAAUGUAAAUAAUAUAAAAUUCUAAUUGAAUGACAUCAUUAUUCAAAAAUUAAUUAUUAAUAAUAAUGAUAAUUUAUUAUUAUUAUUAUUAACAAUUUAACAAAAAAAUUCUUAUUAAUUAUUGUUAAUAGAUUAAUUAAUUAUAAUACUUUUUAUUCUUGUUAAUAAUAAUAAUAAUAAUCUAUUUAAAAAUCAUAAUUAUAUUUAUAGUUAUAACAAAUAAUAAUUAUAAUUAUAAUUCAUUUAAUAAUUAUUAUAUUUUUUAAUUAAAUGGAGGGUAUUUUGGGAAUUUAAAAUUAUAAGGGGCGAAUUGGUACUCUAAGGGUUUCAAUGAAAUAAAACAGAGUGCAAGGGGCUUAAAGAAAGUUUACAAUACAGAAAGUUGUAUAAUACUUAUGAAUAAAGUGUAUAUAAUAUAAAGUAUAGGGGCUGAAUGAAAUUUGACAGGGCAGCUGUAACUUGCCUCAGCCGUAAGUUAGCCAAAACAAUGGAUUUAACUAAAGUGCAUUUGAAGUCCAUUAAGGAUAUUCUUCUAAUCUUCUCUUCAUUAUUUUGGUUUUGCUCUUUUUUUUUUUAAUCCCAUUUUUAGUCGAUAUAGAUGUAUAUGUUUGAUCAGUCCUUGUCGGUUAUAUAUACAUAUGUACUUUUGGACUGUCAUGGGACUGUACCAUUUGGAAAUAUCACAUUUUAUUUCCCGAUGCGAUAAAUUUUCUUCUCCAUUGAACGUUCUCUGGAUGCUAUUAACCAAAAAAUGCAACAUUUUGUUCUGUUUAUAAAUUCGGAUUAUUUGCUUCUGACUGUCAUUGACUCAUUGACCAUUUAGCAAUAUAGGUUAGGUAGUAGUACCAGCUCUUUUUCUUCUUUUGUCUUUCUCUUCUCUAAGUUAAACCAUUAUUCUAGGCAUCUCCAUUGGGAUUAUUCCAUCUGUACUUUACCAAAGGGGCAAAAAAAAAUUGUCACGAAACAGCGUGGAAGGUUCAGAGAAAAAUUUGCUAGUGUUUUCUUUUUGUUAAAUUCAAUUGGUUGAAUUUAUUUUUUAUUUUUUUAAAAUAGAAAACUAUAUUACAAAGAGUGCUGCUAGGUAGCGAGAGGAACGAGAGAAUGACGAGAGAAACGACAUUCUCUCCCGUCGUUUCGCUUCUCGUUCCUCUCGCUAAAGAAUGAAUAAAAAAUAAUAAAGAAAGACUGCUUUAAUCACUUCGUGCCCAGGGAAAUUUUAGCAUUUUGUCUCCAGCCCCCACUCUCCCUCUCUCCCUCACUUUCCUCUCUCCCUCACCAGCUUCUCUCCCUCACGCUUCCAGAAGCUCCGUCACAGAUUCCGGCGUGCCUCACGCUUCCAGAAGCUCCGUCACGGAUUCUGGCGUGCCUCACGCUUCCAGAUCCCUCACGGCUUCCUUCCGGCGUGCCUCACGCUUCCAGAUCCCUCACGGCUUCCUUCCGGCGUGCCUCACGCUUCCAGAAGCUUCCUCACGGCUUCCGUUCUCGGCUAAAGUUCUUGAUCCGAAUCCGAAAACGAGAAUGAGCAUAGAGAAGAUUAUGAACAUUUCUUGGUUCCAGAAAUUAUUGCAACAACAGAGAAAGACGGGGCAAGGAAGCAGUCUUUUUGAAUUAGGGGUAGCUGAUAAUAAUAAAUAUAUUCUUAAGGAGAAGAUACCGGAUAUGGUAUCAAUUUUGUAAAUCAGAUCAGUUUUUUGUUUAGUGGAUUUAGUUUGAAUGGAAUUCUCGGGUGUUUCUUCAGUUGCCUCUUCUGUUCUGCUCUGUUUGUUUAUCAUGCAAACUUUAUUUGUUUUUCUAAUCCCAAAAUGCAUACAUUUCCAGAGGUAGGAAGAAGCUAAAUCUUUAUGUUAAAUGCUAAAUUUUUCAAAAAAAAAAAUAUGGUUGUCUCAGUGCUUCCUGAAGACGCAGAAGCAGCCUAACCAAAGUAUGAACUGUUUUUUUAAAAAAAAAGAAGGAAAAAAGCAGCACUCAGAUGUAGCAUUUUAGCUAUCGGGCUAUCUGAUAUCACUAUCAUGAUUUCUUUAUGUUAGUUGCCUAAUAAGAAUAUGUUCAUCUGCAGCGCUUCUUUAACAACACACCAUCGUCAUAAGCCACGAAAGUUCAUGAUGCAAGUGCUUUACUGAAUCUGUUGUUCAAGUGGAUGCUGGUAUCCAGAAGUGUGGUAGUGACAUUCUAAUACAUAGCAAACCAAUCACAUAAGCCAACCAUGAAAAUGCAUAGGCAGUCGUUUUGAGUCAAAAUUUUCUAUAUCUUUACACAAAAUCAGAGACUUGUGUGUACUCAAAAAAAUGGAUUAAGAGAAGAUCUAAGCAUUGUUGUAAUCAUCAUCACAUUCUCCGAUCACAGAUGACAGGGUCGACAUCCAUGCCUGCAAACCACUCUGAGCAUUCUUCUUCCUUGUUAAUUCCAGCUUGUUUACAGCUCGCUUUGGUGAUGGUGAUUUGCGUGAGAAGAGCGUGAGGGAGAGAGGAAAGCCAGGGCUGGAGAUAAGUUGAUGAUUUCCCUCUGCACGCACUGAUAAAGCACUCUUUUUUUAUUUUUUUUUAUUAUUUUAAUGUUUUAACGAGCGAGAGGAACGAGAAGCAAAACGGCAGCAACUGCUGCCGUUUCUCUCGUCAUUCUCUCGUUCCUCUCGCUACCUAGCAUUUUCCUAUUACAAAACUUCCCGGUAGGUUCCAAGGAAGUAUCUAACAAAGCAUCUUUAUAUAACCUCCAUAGACUCAGUCGCAUAAAAUUAUUUUCACUUCCCAAAUUUUCUCAUCUGAUCAAAUCUCUCAUCCACUGAACUGUUAUGGCUUCUUCUUCCUCUUGUCCACCUCGAAACGCUAAGGAGAUGUAUGAUGUUUUUCUGAGUUUCAGAGGAGGGACACCCGUGACAACUUUACCAGCCAUCUUUAUUCAGCCUUGUCUCAGAAAAGUAUUGAAACUUUCAUUGAUGACCAACUUAUCAGAGGAGAUAACAUUUCACAGUCUCUUCUUGAUACAAUUGAAGCAUCAAGCAUCUCAAUUAUUAUUUUCUCAGAAAGGUAUGCUUCUUCUAGAUGGUGUCUCGAUGAACUUUUGAGGAUCCUCGAAUGCAAGCACGAUUAUGGACAGAUUGUGAUUCCAGUUUUCUAUCACGUUGAUCCAUCACAUGUGAGAUAGCAAAGCCAGGAUUCUUCUUUUGGGAAUUAUUUUAGUGGGCUUGGAGAACGUUAUCCAGAGAAGAUGCAAAGAUGGGGGAAUGCUUUGACUGAAGCAGCCAAUCUCUCUGGCUUUGAUUCUAAUGUCAUUUGGUAUGAUAAUUUUCUAUCUAAUUCUUAGUAUUAAUCUAGUACAAGUAAUAAUAUAUAACAUUAACUAUGACAAUGUGUUUAAAUAUUUAUCAGUAAUAUAUUAAUUAAAUCAUUCUUAAUUAUGGGGAUUAGGUUAUUUUCUUGCACAUUUGAAUAAGUUUCCAAUUAAAUAGCUAUUUGAUGAAAUUGAUCUUCACAUUAUAUUAAUUAGCCAUUUUAUAUUGCAACUAAUUAAAAACACACGAUUCUCUGUCUCGUUUACAUAUAUUGAACUAUAUAAUUGCUGUUAUUUUUUUACUAGGCCUGAAUCUAAACUUAUUGAGGAAAUUGCCAAUGACGUUUUGAAGAGGCUAGAUGCGACUUUUCAAAGUGAAAACAAAGGCUUGGUCGGAGUUGCACGCGCCAUUGAAAAAAUUGAAUCAUUAUUACGCAUUGGGUCUGAGGGUGUUCGCAAACUAGGGAUUUGGGGCAUCGGUGGUAUAGGCAAGACAACAAUCGCUGGUGCUGUUUUUAACAAAAUCUCUAGGCAUUUUGAAGGUUCUUACUUUGCGCUUAAUGUUAGAGAUGCAGAAAAAACUGGCGGAAUAAAGGACUUGCAAAAGAAACUUCUGUCCGAGUUAUUAAAUGAUGGAAAUAUGAGGAACAUCGAGUCUCAACUCAACAGACUUGCUCGCAAGAAGGAUAUAAUAGUUUUCGAUGAUGUGGGUCAUCGAAGACAAAUAGAAUCAUUAAUUGGAUGCCUUGAUGAGUUAGCUUCAGGGAGUCGAGUAAUAAUAACAACAAGAGAUAAACAAGUCCUUAAAACUUGUUGGGCCAGUCAAAUAUAUCAGAUGAAGGAAUUAGUAUAUGCUGAUGCUCAUAAGCUUUUCUGUCAGUGUGCUUUUGGAGGAGACCAUCCAGAUGCAAGUCAUACAGAGCUCACAGACAGGGCAAUCAAAUAUGCACAGGGAGUUCCUUUAGCUCUUAAAGUUUUGGGUUGCCAUCUAUGCGGAAGGAGCGAAGAGGUAUGGGAAAGUGCAAUGAGAAAACUGGAAAAAAUUCCUCACGAGGAAAUCCAGGAGGUGUUAAAAAUAAGUUAUGAUAGCUUGGAUGACUCUCAGAAGAAUGUUUUUCUAGAUAUUGCAUGUUUCUUUGAAGGAGAGCAUAGAGAUGAGGUGACAAGCUUUUUUGAUGCUAGUGGCUUCCAAGCUAAAAUAGAAUUAAGUGUUCUUGAAGGUAAGUCUCUCAUAAAUUUAGGCUUAUUUGAUGAGAUAAGAAUGCAUGACUUGCUACGAGAUAUGGGAAGAGAAAUUGUUCGAAAAGAAUCUAUCAAUCAUCCAGGAAAGCGAAGUCGAUUUUGGCAUCACAAGGAUAUUUAUGAAGUUUUGAACAAAAAUACGGUGAGCAAUAAUAGGUUCUUGACCAUAUCUUAUUUGUGUUACAUUAUAGUAGUAUUUUGUUUGAAUUUUUCUUUUUGAAUAAGAAUAGAAUUAAUACAGCUUAAAAUUAAUUGAAGAAUAAUAUUAAAAAAUUGGUAAAAUAAAAUAGCUAGAUCCAAUGUUUCCCCCACUCAGUUUGCAACAUGCCUCUAUUGGGCUAAGUUCAGAAUCCCCCAGCAAACUAGCGCUUUGGGAGAGAGAUAAUUAAAAAAAAAAAAAAAAAAAACCUCAUCCUUUUUCACUGAAAAAAAAAAAUUGCAUUUCCUUUUCAACUCUGCCCCUUUCUUUAUUUUCACUAAAAAAAAAUUGAUUGAAUUAAUUUUACAGUUUACAUAUUAAGCAUUUUCUCGAAUUUUCUAUUUUACAAUUCCUAAUAAAUUUACCCAAGUCGCUUAUUAUAAAGUGAUUGUAAUAUUUCUAUUUGGGUUUUACGGCUUAAAAAUAAUUGUUUAUUUGUUUGCUUCAAUUAUAUUCCAACUUAUGAUCUCCUAUUUGAUUGUUAGGGAACUGAAGCAAUCGAGAGUAUCUCCUUGGAUAUGAAUAAAGUCAAUAGAGAGAUACACAUGAAUUCCUAUACUUUCUCAAAGAUGCCUAAAUUGAGAUUCUUGAGAUUCUAUGGAGAUAAGAAUAAAUGUAUGGUGUCUCAUUUGGAGGGUGUGCCAUUUGCUGAAGUGAGGCACCUCGAGUGGCCUCAAUGUCCUUUGAAAACGUUGAAUAUAUGUGCGGAGAAACUUGUUUCACUUAGAAUGCCUUGCAGCAGGGUUGAACAACUUUGGGAUGAUGUUCAGGUAUAUAUUUAUUUGAAAUUCUUUCAGUAAUAAAUUCUAAAUAUAGUUGAUGCUAUAAUUAAUAUAUGUGAUAGUAUCUGUUUAUUUGUAAAGAUGAUGAUGAUGAUGAUGAUGAUGAUGAUGAUGAUGAUGAUGAUAAUAAUGAUAAUAAUUUUUUGGGGGGCGCAGGAUCUUGUUAACUUAAAACAAAUAAACCUAAGUGGAUCCGAGUCGUUAACGAAACUCCCAGACUUGUCACGGGCCAAAAAUCUUGAGAUUCUGAUAUUAGCAGUCUGUUUAAGUUUGAUGGAGACUCACUCAUCUAUUCAAUAUCUAAAUAACUUAAAUAUCUUGAUCUAAAUAAUUGCAAAAGCCUGACGAGUCUUCCAACUAGCAUUCAGUCGAAGUAUUUCAAGCAACUUGCGCUUCAUGGUUGCUCAAAUUUGAAGAACCUCCCAGAGAUCACAUCUUGUUUUUGGUUAGAGUUAUCAGAAGUUGGAAUCAAAGAACUGCCCUCAUCCAUUGAGUGUCAAUCCAAUCUGAAAGAACUACUUAUUAUGAAUUGUUCAGAGCUUGAGAGCAUCUCGAGUAGCAUAUUUAAGUUGAAGUCUCUUGAAUCUAUUGAAAUCUCUAAUUGUUCAAAUUUUAAGAGGUUUUUGGAGAUCCCAUAUUGUAAUACAGAUGGAAGUACUGGAAUUAAGCGACUAAACUCAUGUAAGUUGGUACUGAAAGAAUGUUCAAAUAUUGAGAGUCUCCCAAGCAGCCUGUGUAUGCUCAAAUCUCUGACAUCUCUUCAAAUCAUUGAUCGCCAAAACUUCAAGAGAUUGCCUGAUGAGCUUGGAAAUUUAGAAGCCUUGGAGUAUUUGACCAUUGAUGGAACUGCUAUAAGAGAAGUACCGGAAAGCCUCGGUCAGUUAGUCAUAUUACGGCGGUUGCAUUUGGCUAACUGUUCAGAGCUUGAGAGCAUCUCGAGUAGCAUAUUUAAGUUGAAGUCUCUUGAAUCUAUUGAAAUCUCUAAUUGUUCAAAUUUGAAGAGGUUUCUAGAGAUCCCGUCUUGUAAUAUAGAUGGAGGUACUGGAAUUGAGCAACUAGCCUCAUGUAAGUUGGUACUGGAAAAAUGUUCAAGUCUUGAGAGUCUCCCUAGCAGCCUGUGUAAUCUGAAAGGACUAUAUAUUAAGGACUGUUCAGAGCUUGAGAGCAUCUCGAGUAGCAUAUUUAAGUUGAAGUCUCUUGAAUCUAUUGAAAUCUCUAAUUGUUCAAAUUUGAAGAGGUUUCUAGAGAUCCCGUCUUGUAAUAUAGAUGGAGGUACUGGAAUUGAGCAACUAGCCUCGUGUAAGUUGGUACUGGAAACAUGUUCAAGUCUUGAGAGUCUCCCUAGUAGCCUGUGUAUGUUCAAAUCUCUGACAUCUCUUGAAAUCGUUGGCUGCCAAAAUUUCAAGAGAUUGCCUGAUGAACUUGGAAAUUUAGAAGCCUUGGAGGUGCUGAAAGUUAAUGGAACAGCUAUAAGAGAAGUACCAGAAAGCCUUGGUCAGUUAUCCUCACUAGAAAGUUUGGUACUAUCUAAUAACAAUUUGGAGAGAUUACCAGAAAGCCUCAAUCAGUUAUCCUCACUAAAAUAUUUGCACCUAUCCGAAAACAGUUUGGAGGGAAUACCAGAAUACCUGAGGAGUCUUUCAAGUAAGUUGACAUCACUCAAUUUAUAUGUUGACUUGAGAAAUCGUUUGAAAUUGGACUCGAAUGAGCUCAGUGAAAUCGUCAAAGAUCAGUGGAUGAAGCAGGUGUGUCUUUCAACUCACUCCAUUCAUUCUAUUUUCUUUUUCUUUUUACUUUAAUUCAAGUUAUCAUUAUUUUUCAUAAAUUAAUUAAUUAAUUUUUAUUAUUUUUUUUUUUUGUGUUGCAGUCGUUUGAUGGUUUCUUUGGGUUUGGGAUGGCUAAAAGUGUGUAUUUCCCUGGGAAUGAAAUUCCAAAGUGGUUAAGGUAUCAAAGUAUGGGAUCUUCUGUAACCUUGAAGACGCCACCAGCAGUUUUCUUCAACAAUAAAAUAUUAGUAGGCUUUGCUUUUUGCAUUGUUGCAGCAUUUCAUCCUUCAGCAGCAUUUCAUCCUUUAGGGUUUUUUUAUGAAGUGAUCUGUGGUUGGAAACGAAAAUCCAAAAACUUAAUCGACAGUUUUCAGCCUUUGGAGAGAUGGUGGCGUUUGGGGAGAAUUAGUUAUAUUGAGUCAGAUCACGUGUUCUUGGGAUCUUAUCCAUUGGGUUCUCUGGAUUUUUUAAGUAUGAGAGAUAAUGAGGUCUCUUUUGAUGAGGUCUAUUUUGAAAUUUCGCCUAAUUUUGGUUGUAAAGUGAAACAAUGUGGGAUUCAUUUGUGUACGCUCAAGAUUCUACGGAAUCAAGAGAAGAGGAAGAGGAGGAAGAGGAACCUGUUACACACUAAAAGACUGAAAUGUUCUUCAACUCCAAAGCAGCUGGUACUCUUUGGCACGAAAAUCAAUCUGUAGACCUUGUUUUUAUCUUCAUUUUAUAUAUGCGUUUUUCAAAUACGUUCGUUUAUGUAAUAUUUAUUAAUUGUUUGUUGUUGGAUGGAUGAAUCAAUAAAUUCAAAAUAAAUGGUAAUUAAACGAGGAUGUAGAUCUAUGAGUUCUCUCUUUGUUUUAUCUUUAAUUUGUGUUCGGUUCAUGUCUGGAAUAUCCCAAAAAUUACAUAUCCAUUUACUAACUAAAAAUGCGCUGAUUAGAUUAAAGAUUAUUUUAGUUAUUCUUACUUUUUCAGUUUAUAAGAAUAAAAUUGUUUUGUUAAGUUUUGAGAUUUGAAUUUAAAAGAAAAUACAAAUUCACUCUUGAGGAUUAAAUUUACCGUAUUUUAUAUUAAUUACUAAUUAGGUAUGACAAGGUGAAUGAUGUUGUGAAAUUUAGUAUUCCUAUGAGUAGUGAUCUCAGUAAGACAGUAAAGUACCUGUUUAAUACUUGUGAUAAAUUACAGGCUCUGUUUAACAUAUCAAAUACCAAAUUUUAAAUAUUACAAACAAUAACAAACAGAAUGUAGCUCCUAAUCGGUUAUUUGUUUCGGUAAAUAAACCCCACCAUUCCGUUUCAAGUUUCCCCAGUCAGUUCCAUUGAUCAUAUGCUGAAGCUACGGUGGAAUGAUAGAUCUUUUAGUUUCCUGCACAUCGAAACUCUCUAAUUGGUGUGUUAUUUUUUCGUGAAAUUUCUAAUAUCUAUUAAUAAUUUCUUGAUGUUACUGAGAAGUUAGUAGAUCAUGGGAUGAGAGCCCAAGGCUUUUUGGCUGAUCUAACUCCUAUUACAAUCAAGUUGGUAACUGCAUUUGGUAAUUAUAUCUUCAGUACUUGCAAUCUUUUAUCGCCUUUCCAAGUUGAUCUUAGUUAUUUGUUCUUAAUAUGUCUAAGGGUAUGGACUUGAUGGAAGGGUCAGGUUCUGUGGUGGUGUUAGAAUUGCUAGAAAACAUUGUUGUAUAGGUUCCGUUAUGAUAUUCUCCUGUGCCAUAUACAUCAUCGUUGUUUUGCAAGUGCUCUACGGCAUUCUUUACUGGAUAUGAAAUAUUUCAAGAUGGAAAUGAAAUAUCUCUAAAGCUACACACAAGCACAGGUUGGUCAUUUUAUUAUUUAAAAGUCUUCUAUCGCUUUUAACUUAAUUAGUUCGCAUGAUUCAUUUCAUAGAGGGUUGACCUGCUCUGUGGUCCAAACUUCAUUUGAAACAUAGGAAACUCCUUGGUAACGUUUUUUAUAUUGAAGAUUCUACUGCUCAAUUCUGUUGCUGUGCAGUUGGGCACGAGUCAACAGCAACGAUAGACUUGAAAGUAAUUUUUGCUGGGCAUGAGACCAAGUAACCAUUUUGUAUUUUGCUCGUCUGAUAGCGUUCUGCCAUACGGCAAUUUACCAAGCAUGGCUUUACAAAUGGAUUGCAGAAUUAUUCAAGGUGUUCUGCAUCUUUCAUUAUUGGACCAACGAACUAUUCACGAGUCAGUAGUGAACGAGAGUUCUAUAUGGUGGUUUGCUUUAAAUAUUGAUGGAAAAAUGUAGUCCAUUGUGUUUUUUUUAAUUAUAUCUUCAACAUCGUUUAGAAGUUCAUCUUUGUUAUCAAUAAGAGGUAAUAAUCUUGUUCCAUUUCUUGGUUCCAUCCAGCCUUUUAACUGCUCUUUUUAAGUGUUUGACACCCGUAUUGGCUGCAUUCACUAAGCCUUCUUCAAAUGAAUAUUACACAAUAUGAUCAAUGUGAUCAAUGGCGCAGGCUUUUUUAUGAUGUUGGAUGUUUGACUUUUUGUUUUAGUCAUAAUUUAGAUUCUUUGCAUCAGAUAUAUUGAUGGGUCCUACAUAAAUAGUUUUGCUCUCUGUUGGGUGCUUGAUUUGGAUAUUCUUAUUAUACACUGAUAUAAUACCAAGGCAAUUCUUGUUUCUAUUAAUUGAUGAAGUUACGGUCUGACUUAUGAAACAGGUUCAUGUUGUUCUGGUUGAAGUAGCUUCUGCUGCUGCAAAUGCUACACCGAGCCUGGAAGAAAUCCUUCGUUCAAAAGAGAGGUGCGGCUCUUUUGAUUAUGUUACAUAAUAUUUGUGUACGCACAUGCAUGAUUUGACCUGUAUGCGGUUCAAAUUUGCUUUUCCUUGUCACAAUAGUUGAUUGUUUGGAAAUGAGGUAGAGCAAGCUAGUGAUACUGAACAGUGUCAUUUUCCAUUUGUUUAACAUUUUGGGAUGAAUGGUUCGAUCAAAACUGCUAAAUGGUUGCUAAGUUCUUUUCCCAAAGUCCUUUGAAAUCUGUUUGCAUUUAUUAGAAUGGAAAUACAGUGCCAAGAGGAGGAGGUAAAGACCUGAACAGGGCAUACGUGCAGGACACGAUGGCUCAUAGACCUGCGGACAAUGAAGAGGAACGCCUAUGGAUGUGUGUCAAGAAGCAGGUGGUUAUAUCAUAGAAGAGAUUUGAAGAGUUUGGCUGCUAGUGUGCAAUGUGUCCAAAGAGCAAUCUCAUUCUAUGCAGUUCGCGAUGCAUAGCUUCCAACUAGCUCGAAAGGCAAGAACCUUACUUUAGAGGUGUAGGUUGCAAAGAGGGGUUAACUUUGCCAACUAAAUUAUCCCUGCAGUUACUUACAAAAAAGUUCUAAGACUGGUGUGCUUGACCGAGGAGGCAGUUGUUGCUUCCCAAAUUGAGAAAAGGAAGACAUGUUGAAUCAGCAAUAUAUCUGUGUCAGGUUAAUGCCAUUCAUGCAUCAAUUCUUGUAAGGGGAGGGAUGUAUUUUGUUUCAUCUAUUUACUUCUUUAUCUAUUCUGUGCAUUGAUAAUAUUGUUAAAAUUUUCUUACGAUAAUUUGGGUAGCGCACAGAGCAAAGCAAGGAUUGAAGAGUUUCUUCAGGAGGGAUCACUUUCGGAAACAGUCUGAACUCCUUUCUAAACUAACACAUACGCCAAUUUAGCACUCCAUGAUUUUUGCUGAUAAUUCAUAUUUUCGCUGCAUAUUUUUAUUGAGUGAAAAGCUUCUUAACCACUUCAUGAUCCCACCAGCACUUUGCUUAAGCUUCAUUUGAUUAUAAUCACUGGAAGAGGGUAUGAGUUUAUGUUUGUGUACUUAGAACAAUGUAUAGUUUCCUGAAUGUUAUGAUUUUACAUUGUGCCCCUAUGUCAGAACAAAGGAUUCAAAGUGUAUUUGAUUUCCAUUUAUCAUAUUCUUCUAUUCAUUAUUUUGUUUUUACUUUUCAUUUCUAUUUUUCAAUCAUUGAUUGCAUAAAAUUUGAGAGAUUGCCUGAUGAAAUUGGAAAUUUAAAAGCCUUGCGCUACUUAGAGAGCUGAAGGAACUGCUAUAAGAGAAGUGCCAGAAAGCCUUUGUUUGUUCUCCUAGCUACAAGUAUUGAUUCUAAGUGACAAUUGCAAUUUUUGUAUGCUCAAGAUUCUGCAGAAUCAACCGAAGAGGAGCCACACCGCAAAUGACUGAAAUAUUCUUCAACUCCGUUGCAGCUGCUACCCUUUUGCGAACGAAUCAUUCCAUAGGCCUUGUUUCUUUUUGCUUGAUUUGUUUUUCACUUUUAUCUUCUUUUUAUAUAUGCGUGUUUUUUUCAAUUCCUUCAUUUCUUGUAACAUUUAAUAGUUGUGUUGUUAUUUGAUGGAUGAUCAACGAAUACAGAAUUAAUUGUAAUUAAUUGAAGACGUACAUUAACUAAUUCUUUCUUUUUUCGUCUUUAAUUUGUGUUCAGUACAUGUCCGGACCCCAGAAGUUACAUAUUCAUGUAAUGUCUACUACCAUAGUUUGACAUUUGAAAUUACAAAACAUGCGCUGAUUAAGAUUAUUUUAAUUAUGCUUACUUUUCAAAUUUGAAAAUUUAGAAGAAUAAAAUUGUUUUGUUAAGAUUUGAGGUUUGUAUUUGACACAAAUUUACUCUUGAGGGUUUAAUUUAUCUUUAUUUUAAAUUAAUUACUAAUUAGGUAUGAUAAGGUGUAUGAUGAUGUUGAAAAUUACAAUGGAGAGCAAUGAUUACAGCAAGGCACCCAUUUAAUACUUAUGACAAAUUUAGAUGGUUGGCAAAUUACAGGAUCUGUUUAACCCACCAAAUGCCAAAUUUUAAGAAUUACAAACAAUACAAAACAGAACAGACCCCCUAAUGGGUUAUUUGUUUCAUCAAAUAAGCUCCCCUUUCCAUUUCCAAUUUCCCCAGUCAAUUCCAAUGAUCAGAUGAUUAUGCUAAUGAAAUGUUGAAAUUCCUCAGUAAGAUCAGUUGCAUUAAUGCUUUUAUAGCUCAAGUUCUGUUUGAACUCUAAACCUUAGAGGAUAUUUUGCACUGCAGUGCUGUUAGGCACAAAGAAUUGGAAAAAUGAUCUGCUUUCAAAAUUGAUGUGGCAUAGAUAAUUAAUUUAUUUAUUUUUGAUAAGGAAAUAGCUUUUUCAGUCAGACUCAAUAGCUUCCGCAAAAGUCUAAAUCUGAGAGAUCCUUAGGAACUUCAUGAAAGUCUCAGGUCCAUACUGACUAGUGCUCUUCAGAGCAAGUUAGACAGAAUGGCUCUGCUGAAUGCUAUGGCACAACAGAUUCGCAAGUGUUUGAAAGUCAGGGUUCUACACCUCCUACGCAGAUUCGCAACUGUUAAGGUUUGAGAGAAACAAGAUUGAUGAAAUUCUAAUUUAAACCAAAGAACAAGAAUGAACAACAACCGAUCAAGAGUUAGACUUAAGAACAACAUCAAUGCACUUUUAUUGAUAGAAUCACGUAGAAAUUGACCAGCAAGAAUAGAGAGUGAAAACUAAGCUUCACCACGAAACAAAUUUUUCACAAAAUGGCUAAGCGAUUACAGAAAACAAUGCCAAGAAACAGAGCCUAACGCUCAGCUUUACACAGGUUUUUUUUAAAAAAAAUAAUUCUUAACAAACUCUUAUUUUGUCGGUUAUGCACGUCGGUUUGGAUAAUAUCCCGAACCCCCAAACUGUAACUUUUCGAUCAUUUGCAAAUAAUUCCAAUAAUAUCUGCAAAACAGCCCAGUAACAACAGAUAGGUGAGUAGAUGGUUCGCAGCGCUGGGGGGACGAGAUCUUUAGCAUCGCAAAAUUGCUGCAAAUUUGAGGACAACUUCCUGCAAUGCAAUACGACUGGUGAGGUGAACUUAAUUUCUUUUUGUUGUUUCUUCUUGUGCUUGCAAAUUUUGCAAAUAGCUUACUAGAAAGUUUGAUUCUCUAAUGGCAUUGUUUACAUUCUUUCCAUUUAUAUAACUAGAGAAAUGUAAAAGGUGAAAACUAGAUGUAAAGGAGAAUGUGAUAAUAUCCUCUCUAGAACUGAAGCUUGUAGAUUGUUACUUGAUUUCAGGAUAUAUAUCAGCUGUUUUAAAUUUGUGAUACAGGGUUUUGGUUUGGAAAUUGUCGCCAGUUUUGAGACUUUUGAAGGGAAUUUUCUGAAUAGGAUCUAACAGCUCAAUUUGUAUGCAACUGGAAUCAAAGAGCUGCCCUCAUCCAAUGAGAUCUUACUAGUUACAUUUGAGCUGAUUAACUGUUCGAGGAUUUUGAAGUCUUUGGGGGAGCAUAUGUAAGUUGAAAUGUCUUUGAGAUUUACUCUUUCUGGUUGUUUAAAUCUGAAGAGGUGUCCAGAGAUCUCAUCUGGAAACAUAAAAAGUUUCCGUUUGGAUGGAACUGCAAUCAAAGGACUGUCCUUCGCCUUAAGAGUUUCUAUCCAAGGCUUGAACAUCUCCCGAGAAGCAUAUUGAAGUUGAAAGAUCUUCCAGAUCCUAAUCUUUCUCAUCGUUUGAAUUUGAAGAGGCUUCCACCGAUCCCAUCUUGUAAUAUAAAAGUGUAUAAUUAGAUGGAACUGCAAUCAAAGAACUGCCUUCAUCCAUGGUGUCUUUUUGGACUUGUUGCUUUGUCUUAUGAAGAGUUCAAGGCUUCAUCAUCUCCUGAUAAGCAUAUUUAAGUUGAAAUAUAUUGAAGAUCCUAAUUUCUCUAGUAGCAUAAAUCUAAAGAGGAUACCAGAGGUGUCAUCUUGCAUAUGAAAUUUUUAUAUUUAGAUGGAACAACAAUCAAAGAAUUGUCUUCAUCCAUUGCAUGUCCUUCUAACCAGUUAUCUUGAGUCUUUCAAUUUGUAAAAGGCUUGAGAGUGUCCCAAGCAGUCUAUAUAAGUUGCAAUGUCUUCAAGAUCUUUAUCUCAGUGGUUGUUCAAGUCUUCAGAGAUUUCUAGAUAAACAUGAAAAUUUAGAAGGCUCUAAAGGAAAAUGCAGAGACAUAAAUGUUGGUGCAUAAACACUUAAAUUUGUUUGUUGGGCUGACGAAUUAGCACUGCAGCUUUUCUACUCGAGCAGAUAGCUUCGACCAUGAACCUGCUCCACCAUAUCUCUUACAUUCACAAAACUUAGUUAGAGGGGCGCCGAAUGUUUUUUCGGUGAGAACCCUUAGAUGCUCAAAUCAGAAAUUGGGGCUUUUAGGAAAAACUUAUGGUACAACCCUCAUGACUUUCUAUAACUGCUUUAAACAAAAAGCUUUUUAAUUAAUCUAGAAAAGAAAGAAAAAGGAGAGAAAUUAUUAAAAUAGAGAGAGUAAGAUAGUUCAGUCCAUCCCAUUACCUACAUGGCUGGGACUUUUAUAGAUGGACAAAACCACCGCCUCAAAGUCGAUGCAUGAUCGUUAGUGGAUGAGCCAGAUGACCAUUAGUGGAUUAGCUUCGUGCCCGAAUAUUUGGGAGAAGAAUCCCGAGUUGACCUUUGACCAAUUCUUGUGGUUGUCUUCGGCAGAUUUCUCCUCAUGUCACCCCAAUUAACCGCUCGUCCUCGAUAUUCUUCUUGUGAAGGUAAGGAGGAUUAUCCUCAAGCCAAUCCCUUCGCACCUUAUUUGAAGAGAGCACGAUUCGAGCACGACAGCGUCUAAUCAUGCUGUCUUUUUGUCUCCCAAAAGGGAGCCAUUGACUGUUAUUAACCAGAUUCUACCCAUAUUACUCCUCAUAAUUGCUUGGUCAUUACUAGCUUCCACAUCUGGCUUCGUGAGCUUUGCUACAAAAUCUGCCAGUGUUGAAUUAGCUGAUGAAGCUGAACCUCAUGCAACACACGUUGGAGUGCCAGCUGGAAUUAAGCCAGCUGUAAAUCCAGUAGCUAGUCUAUAAGUGAAAGUGAAAGGUGCACGUGAGAAGCUGGAAAAUUCCAGAUGGCAAAACUGUUAUGAAGAGAUUCCCAUGCAGUUGGAUGAGGCUGAAAUUAGUUAACAAAUCAGCUCCUGUUAAUUGUGUUGAAGUUAGUUACAUUAGCAUUUGUUAUUUAGAAGUUAUAUUGCUUAGCUGUAAUUGGCGUGAUUAGCAAGCAUUAGAUUCUACUAUAAAUACUGAGCUAAGCUCAUUACUGUAAUUAGUUUUUGUGAUAAUAAAAAUACAAACAGAUCUUCAUCUUCUUCCUUUGAUCUUCAAAUUCCAACUUGGUAUCAGAGCUAGUUGUUAUAAUGGCUAGCAAUGAAUUUCAAACCACAAGCACUCGAGCUUCAAGCUCAACUGCAAAUCCAAUCACAAACUAUAUUGAUCUACAAGUGAGUGGUCCAUAGACACUCUGUAGUUAAUUAAAUGAGCUGUGAUUUGAGAUAUGAAUUUACAAAUGUAAAUUUGGGAGGAAAAAAAAUUUAUGGUCAAAAUCUUUGAACUCUCUGUCGUUAACUGAACGAAACACGUCGCAUUUUCUGGGGAAAUAUUUUAGUUUUUUUGUCAUUGCCUCACAUUAGUCGGUCUUCAGAAGUAGUGAAACACCCAUAUGUCUCACGCGCAUUUCAUUCAAUUAAUUAAGUAUUCUUACAUCCCACAUUAUUGUUUCAACUUGCACUGUCCGAAUAACUAACCAGAGUUUUUAUUGAAAUUAUUGUGUCACUUAUUAGAAAAGAGAUAGGAAAAAAAGUUUAAUUCACAAGCCAACUUUAAAAAGGCCGAAAAAAAAAAGAAGACUGGAGUAGAUUACAAGUAUUAAAUGUAUUGAUGAGGUUUCAACAUUUUUUUAAAAUCUUUUUAUAUAAUUUUUUUACCAAAGUUCAAAUAACUAUUUUCAAUUAGUUUUAAGGUAAUAUAAGAUGACGAUGAUAAUACGGGAUGAACAUCAACAUAAAAUUUAUUGGUGCUUCAUCAACACUGAUUUUCCCAUCUCUUCAGUAAAUGUUUUACAUAUUUAUUUUGCAUCUAAUUUCAUAUUAUUGACAGUUAAUAGAAGUGAUUAGUAAUUAAUAGAAGACUUAAAAGAAUUAAAGAAAAUGGGCUCAGCGUGCAUGAAAAUAAAUACAAGAGAUUAAAUGAAAAGAAAAGAUUGCGUGGUGGACUUCAAAAUGGACACAUAAAAUAAAUUUUGUAUUUUGUUUCAAAAUAAUUUCCAGCAUACAAAUUUUUUUUUUUUUUUUUGAUUAAGAGGGGCUCUAAACAGAGCUAAGGAAUAACAAAGCGGGGAUAGACUACCCCAUAAUUAUCUUGGGACAUAAACUGAAGCACUCCUUUAUCUUGGGACACACCCCAGAGAUAUGAGUAGAGCCACCUUUCUUCUCAUCAGCACAAAGGAUGGAAUUGAAAUCGCCUCCCACCAGCCACGGGCCAUGAACCGUUCUAGCUAAGAAAUCAAGGUGAUCCCACAAAUGCCGUCGCAAAAUAGGAUUAGGGCUCGCAUACACAGCUGUGAUCCAAGUUUCAAGAAUAUUAUUCUUUGAAAUUUUGAAAUGGACGAAUUGCUUAUGAUUGAAUAAGACUUCCACAUCAAAAUAACCCCGCCAAAGGAUCCAGAUACCUCCGGAAAAACCCGUAGCUUCAAUACGAUGGGAAUACUCAAAUCCGCUGCAUUUAAUAAAAUCAUCGGCUUGCUUCCCACUGAUUCUAGGCUCCAUUAGACUAACCAUGGAAGGGCCAUAAUUCUUUAUAAGGGUAUUAAAAGAGCGACGAAAACCCUUCGAGGCUGUCCCCUGUACAUUCCAAAAAAGGAUUUGUAACUUCAUGAAAGAAAGAUUGGAAAAGAAUAGGACCUUACUGCAGCGGCUGAGAUGCCUCUUCGGCUAGGUCCAUGGCCGUUUCUUCAACAAGGGACACAUCACCUUCUGAGGAGUCAGCCCCGUCCUCACUUGUAGCCACAUAAUCACUAUCAUUCGCAUCGUCUUCCAUGUCCAUGUUAGCAGCUAACCCCGUGAGAUUGGGAGGGUCACCGUCUAAUUCGGGCCAAGUGAUAUGCCCAUCAACACUGUUUUGGCCAUUGGAAGUUUUAGGAUGGACAUCAGUACAAGGGGGGUGAGCAGCGGCGUAAUCAGUAGAGAAAGAGAUGGCCGAAUGAUGGAGGGGGUUUAAACUAGUAGGAACGUGCACAGGUAGAGGUAAAGGAUUAGGGCUCGCAUGGGUUGCAUGGAGGUUGGUAACACCUCGUGAGACAUGUGUGUGAAAAAUGCUUUGGGGAGCUGUGUUUUCUUUAGUAUGGGAUUUCGCAUGCAGUCCAGUAGAUGUUCCCAUGUGUCUCAGUUCUGUUGGCUUAGCUGACUUAUGGGCAUCUUUUCUUCUAGUGGGUUUACUUUUUGUCGGCCAAGUAGGGCUAGAAUUAAUAGUAUUGUUCUCUCGAUGUGUCUGUUCCAUAUGGGCAUCCUGUUUCUCCUCGUGGUUUGAUUCUCCUUCCCCGAGAGUAGCUAAGAUAUUGAAUCUCGAUUCCUUCCCAUGCUGCCCUCGAAAAACUUGCUCAGUUGCCUGACUGGAAUUGCUGUCCUUCUCCACUCUCGGCUUUCCUUUGCGAGCCACUACCAUCCAUGGCCCGAAUUUUGGCUCAUUCCGGCUGUUGUUUCCGGCCUUACUCAUCCACUGCUGCUCCGCCGGACCACCUGGUAUUGGCAUAUCGUCCUCAGUCAGACCAUUAUUCUCCCUCUCUGAACAGUUUUCUUUGUAAUGACCGUACUUCCCACAGUGGAAACAAAUAACCGGGAGAUUCUCGUACUCAACUCUCUGAAUUUUACCAUCCAACUGAAACUGAGAAAUCAGAGGGCUCUUAAGAUCUAUUUCUACUGCUAUUCGAGCGAAUUUACCCCUCUGUGCAGAUUCUGUAGUAUAGUCGAUACGGAUAACCGAACCAAGGAUUUGCCCAAGCCGUCGGAGUAUUUGCUUGUGGUAAUAAUGCAGAGCCAUGCCCGGGAGACGAAUCCAGGCCACCACUUUAUCUAUCUCCCCUUUAGAACUAUCAAAGUGAGGUGACCAUGGUUGUACCGUCAGAUAAUGUCCCAUAACAGUCCAAGGUCCGGAUGUUAAAACAUAAUCUGCAUCUCCUGCAUUCUUGAAACGGACCAAGUAAAAAUCAUUCUCUAGAUCAAUGAUGUUAAAUCCCGGCGUCAAGUUCCACAACGAUUCCAAUCUGUUACACAAAGCCCUGUAUCCAAUGCGGCGACCCAAUAGUUUAACCACAAUUGUAUUCUGCCAAGGCUUGAUCAACUGCUCAUGAACUUUCGGUGAAAAAGUUAUGGAUGGCAUAGAAUCAGUAUUCAUAACAAUUACAUCCUCCGGUUUUAAAUCUAGAUCUUCGUCGCUGCCAAACAACUCUUCCUCUGUAUCCUUUUGUGACUUCAUUAAUUGAUCUCGAAAGGAUAGGCGCUCAGAAGUUUCGCCAGCAUCACUUUGAGCUCUAAACUUGGCCUUCUUGGUGGAGCGAUCAUCAGCCAUGGGUGGGGGAGGGGUUUUCUCAAAGCUUUCCUGCAUUCCUUUCAAGUCUUAAAUAUCUUUUUUACAUCCGCAUUAUUUUUCUUCAUACAAAUUUAAUUAUAUGGUAACUCCUUUUUCUGUGUCUUAUAAUUUCAACCUACAGUCAACAAGUUAAACCGUUAUUCUAGGCAUCUUCAUUGGAUUAUUGCAUCUGUACUUUACCAAAGGGAAAACAAAUUGUCACGAAACAGCGUGUUUCUUUUUGUUAAAUUUAAAAGAAAACUUUAUUACAAAACUUCCCGGUGGGUUCCACGGAACUAUCUAAUAAAGCAUCUUUAUAUAACCUCCAUUGACACAGUCGCAUUAAAUUAUUUUCACAUCCCAAAUUUUCUCAUCUGAUCAAAUCUCUCAUCCACUGAACUGUUAUGGCUUCUUCUUCUUCCUCUUGUCCACCUCGAAACGCUAAGAAGAUGUAUGAUGUUUUUCUGAGUUUCAGAGGAGAGGACACCCGUGACAACUUUACUAGCCAUCUUCACUAUGUUUUGUCUCUGAAAAGUAUCAAAACUUUCGUUGAUGACCAACUUAUCAGAGGAGAGAACAUUUCACGGUCUCUUCUUGAUACAAUUGAAGCAUCAAGCAUCUCAAUUAUCAUUUUCUCAGAAAGGUAUGCUUCUUCUAGAUGGUGUCUCGAUGAACUUUUGAAGAUCCUCGAAUGCAAGCACGAUUAUGGACAGAUUGUGAUUCCAGUUUUCUAUCAAGUUGAUCCAUCACAUGUGAGAUCGCAAAGCCAGGAUUCUUCUUUUGGGAAGUAUUUUAGUGGGCUUGAAAAACUUUAUCCAGAGAAGAUGCAAAGAUGGAAGAAUGCUUUGACCGAAGCAGCCAACCUCUCUGGCUUUGAUUCUCAUGUCAUUAGGUACAAUAAUUUUCUAUCUGAUUCUUAGUAUUACAUUAACUAUGACAAUGAGUUUAAAUAUUUAUCCAUAAUAUAUUAAAUAAAUCAUUCUUAAUAAUGAGGAUUAGGUUUUUUUCUUGCACAUUUGAAUAACUUUCCAAUUAUUUUAUUUGAUGAAAUUCACAUUAUAUUAAUUAGCUAUUUCAUAUUGCAACUAAUUAAAAACACACGAUUCUCUGUCUCGCUUACAUAUAUUUGAACUAUGUUAAGAAAAUGUAAGCUGAGUCAGAUUGCCACGUCAUCAGUUGCCAAGCUGUCAUUCUGUUAUGCAGAGUGUCAUUAGAUUCGAAGUUUGUUAAGUUCCUUCCAAAAGUUUGUUACUAUCAGCUAGUUCUCAACUCAUGCUUUACACGUUGUAGAAGAUUCCAGAUCACACUAUAAAUAGCUCUGUAAUGUUUAGAUUGUUAUGUGAGCUUAAUAGAAACAAAUUUUCCAGCUUCUAGAUUUCUCUCGUUAAGCAUUUUCUUUCUCUUUCUUCUUUAUUUUCUUGUUAAACAAACAGAGUCUGGUACUUCUUAACUAACUAUAUAAUUGCUGUUAUUUUUUUACUAGGCCUGAAUCUAAACUUAUUGAGGAAAUUGCCAAUGACGUUUUGAAGAGGCUAGAUUCGACUUUUCAAAGUGAAAACAAAGGCUUGGUCGGAGUUGAAUGCCCCAUUGAAGAAAUUGAAUCAUUGUUAGGCACUGGGUCUGAGGGGGUUUGGAAACUAGGGAUUUGGGGCAUCGGUGGUAUAGGCAAGACAACAAUCGCUGAUGCUGUUUUUAACAAAAUCUCUAGACAUUUUGAAGGUUCUUACUUUGCGCAUAAUGUUAGAGAUGCAGAAGAAACUGGCAGAAUAAAGGACUUACAAAAGGAACUUCUGUCCAAGUUAUUGAAUGAUGGAAAUGUGAGGAACAUUGAGUUUGAACUCUACAGACUUGCUCGCAAGAAGGUUCUAAUUGUUUUUGAUGAUGUGAGUCAUCGAAGACAAAUACAAUCAUUAAUUGGAUGCCUUGAUGAGUUAGCUUCAGGGAGUCGAGUAAUAAUAACAACAAGAGAUAAACAAGUCCUUAAAAGUUGUUGGGCCACUCAAAUAUAUCAGAUGAAGGAAUUAGUAUAUGCUGAUGCUCAUAAGCUUUUCUGUCAGUGUGCUUUUGGAGGAGACCAUCCAGAUGCAAGUCAUACAGAGCUCACAGACAGGGCAAUCAAAUAUGCACAGGGAGUUCCUUUAGCUCUUAAAGUUUUGGGUUGCCAUCUAUGCGGAAGGAGCGAAGAGGUAUGGGAAAGUGCAAUGAGAAAACUGGAAAAAAUUCCUCACGAGGAAAUCCAGGAGGUGUUAAAAAUAAGUUAUGAUAGCUUGGAUGACUCUCAGAAGAAUGUUUUUCUAGAUAUUGCAUGUUUCUUUGAAGGAGAGCAUAGAGAUGAGGUGACAAGCUUUUUUGAUGCUAGUGGCCUCGAAGCUAAAAUAGAAUUAAGUGUUCUUGAAGGUAAGUCUCUCAUAACUUGCUUCCAUAACCACAUAAGAAUGCAUGACUUGAUACGAGAUAUGGGAAGAGAAAUUGUUCGAAAUGAAUCUAUCGAUCAUCCAGGAGAGCGCAGUAGGUUGUGGUAUCACAAGGAUAUUUAUGAAGUUUUGAAGAACAAUUCGGUGAGGAAUAAUAAGUUUUUAAUUGUAUCUUAUUUGUGUUACAUUUAUAUUAGCAAUUUGUCUGAAUAUGUCUUUUUGAAUAAAAAUAGCAUUAAUACAGCUUAAAAUUAAUUGAAAAAUAAUAUUAAAAAAUUGGUAAAAUAAAAUAAAUAGAUCCGAUAUUUCCCCAACUCAGUUUGAAACAUGCCUCUAAAAUCCCCAGCAAACUAGCGCCUUCGGAGAGAGACCCAAAAAAAAAAAAAAAAAACACCUCAAAUCUUAUUGCAUUUCCUUUUCAACUCAAGCUCUGCCCCUAUCCUUAUUUUUCACUAAAAAAAUUUGAUUGAAUUAAUUUUACAUUUUACAUAUUAAGCAUUUUCUUGAAUUUUCUAUUUUACACUUCCUAAAAGCAUUACCCAAAUAGUUUAUUAUAAAGUGAUUGUAAUAUCUCUAUUUGGGUUUGACGGCUUAAAAAUAAUUGUUUAUUUGUUUGCUUCAAUUAUAUACCAACUUAUGAUCUCCUAUUUGAUUGUUAGGGAACUGAAAAAAUCAAGGGUAUCUUCUUGGAUAUGAAUAAAGUCAAUAGAGAGAUACACAUGAAUUCCGAUGCUUUCUCAAAGAUGCCUAACUUGAGAUUCUUGAGAAUCUAUGGAGAUGAGAACAAAUGUAUGGUCUCUCAUUUAGAGGGUGUGCCAUUUGCUGAAGUGAGGCACCUCGAGUGGGCUCAAUGUCCUUUGAAAACGUUGAAUAUAUGUGCGGAGAAACUUGUUUCACUUAGAAUGCCUUGCAGCAAGGUUGAACAACUUUGGGAUGAUGUUCAGGUAUGUAUUUAUUUGAAAUUCUUUCAGUAAUCAAUUCUAAAUACAAUUGAUGCUAUAAUUAAUAUAUGUGAUAGUAUCUGUUUAUUUAUAAAGAUGAUGAUGAUAAUAAUAAUAAUAAUAAUUUUUUGGGGCACAGGAUCUUGUUAACUUAAAAGAAAUAGACCUCAGUGGAUCCGAGUCGUUAACGAAACUCCCAGACUUGUCACAGGCCAAAAAUCUUAAGAUUCUGAUGUUAGGCGGCUGUUUAAGUUUGAUGGAUACUCGCUCAUCUAUUCAAUAUCUAAAUAAACUUGAAGUUCUUUAUCUACGAAAGUGCGAAAGCCUGACGAGUCUUCCAAUUAGCAUUCCUUUCAAAGAUAUCAUUAACUUCCCAGGUGGAAUUGUUAGAGUGCAAUUUAUGCACUAGUUUUGCAUUAUUUACUUCCCUUAAUAUCAAUGUUUUGCACUUAAUAAUAGUGAUUUACUUGUGUUUUACUUUUGUAGGUGCAAUUCUAUUGAUUGAUGAUAUAAUUGAGCUAUAAGAUGAUGUUUAAGGAUGAUUGUUCUCUUAGAGAAAUUAUGAGCGUCAGAAGAACUUUGUUGAUAAGGCGUGGGCGCGUGCUGUCAACUGCGGACCUGCAGUUUUUAGUUUAACGUGUUUUGUAUUUUUGGUUAUUUUUGUAAUUACGAAUUUAAUAUUUCAGAUAUUAGGUUUUUAUUUUAAAUAGAAUUCUAAAAGAGAAGAGAGAGAGAGUAUUUAAGGGAGGAAUCUAUUGUGAAAAAGGGGGGGAUUUUGGAUUGGAGGAAAAGAAAUAAACCCUAGAUCUUAAUUUUUCUCUUCUCUCUAUGAAGAACUAAACCUAUUUUUCUGGUUGAAGGAUAAUAAAGCUUUGAUUCAUCACUACUGUGAGAUCUUUCUUGUGCUUUAAUUGUUUUAUUGCUUUUUGGGUAUUUGUUUAUUCUCUGAAUUAUUUUCAUGAUUAUGUUUGUUAAUUAGGUAAUUAGCCACUAUUUAAUUAUCAACUUAAUCUAUUGUCAAUUAAAGGAUUCAUCGUAUGAAGAAUUUAAUGUUUGUGACAAAUAACAUAGCAGAGAGUUGUGUUGUGAGAAUAAACAAUCUAAUUUAAAUGAAUCAUCAUAUGUGUUGAUUAGGAUUUGGGUCUCUCUGGUUUUUCAGGCUGUCAAUUGAUUAAAUCCUAUGAUCGUAUCUAGGGUUGUCCAUUGAUUAGGGAAAUAACCAACGGUCGUACCUUGGUUAUCGACUAGUUAAGGAGAGAUUGGCUAUUAGAGGGUCUCAAUAGCUAUAACCGGUCUAUUCAUAAGUAAUAAUAAUCUAUAUUUGAAUAAAUGAUCAGUAGUCGAAUCAAGCUGAGUUAAUUCCUUCAACCAGAGCUUUCUCCAAUUUGAAUUACAACUUUAAUUUGCAUUCUUGUUAUUUCAAUUUGAUUUUUAUUAUUGUCAACAAUUCCCCCAUUUUACGUUUUACGUUUCAAAAGGAUUUAAAUAAUUACCGAUCUCUGUGGACACGACCCUGCUCAAUCACUAUACACAAUUUAUUUAGAGUAGAAAUUUAUUUUUGUUGGAUUCGACAACCAUCAAAUUUUAGCGUCGUUGUCGGGGAUUGGUGUCAUUUAUUUAAUCCUUUUUACGUUUUACUUGGUGUAUGGUUCGUUCUUCUCGUACAGGUACACUUUCGUUUGAUCUUGAAAUUGAGAAGACAGCUCGCCAGCUGAGACAGCAGACUAAGCGAGCUAAGCAACGAUCCUCGUCGCCUUUGCUUUUUGAAACAGAUACGGUGCCUAAUUUAGUUGAAUCAUCUAGCGAUUCGGAAGAACAAGUGAUGGAUAGACCUGCACCUGUAGAAAGAACUCUUAGAGAGUUAGCUGAACCAGACUUGAAUCAGCAACCACUCUGCAUUCAAUAUGUAGAUUUGGAGGUAAAUUUUGAAUUAAAGUCUAGUCUUAUUCAUUUAUUACCCAAGUUUCAUGGUUUUGCAGGUGAAGAUCCUCAUAAACAUCUUAAGGAGUUUCAUGUUGUGUGUUCAAGUAUGAGACCACAAGGCGUGACUGAAGAGCAGAUUAAGCUGCGUGCUUUUCCGUUCUCUGUAGAUGGGCUAGCUAAAGACUGGUUGUAUUACUUGCCUCCUGGAUCGAUUACAACGUGGAAUGAUUUGAAGAAGCAGUUCCUCGAGAAGUACUUUCCUGCUUCAAGAGCUGCUAACAUCAGAAAAGACAUUUGUGGGAUCAAACAACUUCCUGGGGAGACUUUGUAUGAGUAUUGGGAGCGAUUCAAACAAUUGUGUGCCAGCUGUCCUCAGCAUCAGAUUUCUGAUCAACUUCUUAUUCAAUAUUUUUACGAAGGAUUAUCAUUGAUGGAUAGGAGUAUGAUAGAUGAUGCUAGUGGAGGCGUGUUGGUGAACAAGACCCCUACUCAAGCAAAGGAGUUGAUCUCAAAUAUGGCUGCCAAUGCACAACAAUUUGGCAGCAGACAAGAUGCCACUUCAAGAACGGUGAAUGAGGUAAAUAUUUCUUCUGUUGAACAACGUUUAGAUAAACUUACUUCCCUUAUGAAAAAGUUUGUUGUAGGUAAUGUGCAACAGGUGAAGACUUGUGGCAUUUGUUACAAUAUGGGUCAUUCAACUGAUAUGUGUCCUACACUUCAAGAAGAACCCGUUGAACAAGCCAAUGCAGUUAGAGGAUUUCCAGGCAUGCCUCAGAGGAGGUAUGAUCCUUAUGCACAAACAUACAAUCCGGGAUGGAAGGAUCAUCCCAACUUCAGCUAUGGAGUUAGGCCGUCAGGAUUCCCACAACAAUAUGCACCAAGACAACCAACACCUCCACAGUCAAACUCCAAGUCAGGUAUAUCUCUUGAAGAAAUUGUUAAAUCACUUGCGACUAACACUCAACAAUUUCAGCAGGCAACUACAGCAAGCAUUCAGAACUUGGAGAACCAAAUGAGUCAAUUGGCGACUACAGUGAGCCGUCUUGAGUCUCAAGUAUUAGGAAGAUUGCCUUCACAAUCUGAGGUGAAUCCAAAGCAAAACGUUAGUGCUGUCAUCCUUAGAAGUGGGAAGGAGUUGCAAGAGCCUAGUAAGAAAGUGACAAAGCAUGUAGAAAAUGAGCUUGAGAAGAAUGAAUUGAUGCCUAAAUCUCAAGAUACGCAACCCACCAGAGCGAAACCCCUACCUAUUGUGAUACCUCCUCCUUUUCCAAGCCGGUUUACAAAAUCCAAGAAGGAGGAACAAGAGAAAGACAUCCUUGAGACAUUUCGCAAGGUUGAGGUAAAUAUUCCUUUAUUAGAUGCUAUAAAACAAAUACCUCAAUAUGCUAAAGUCCUUAAGGAACUGUGCACCUCCAAAAGAAAAUUAAGAGGAGAUGAAAAAGUUCACAUGGGGGAGAAUGUUUCAGCAGUUUUCCAAAAGAAACUACCUCCUAAGUGCAAGAAUCCAGGUAUGUUUACUAUCCCUUGUAAAAUUGGUAGUGUUAGAGUUGAAAAGGCUAUGUUAGAUCUAGGAGCUUCUAUUAAUGUCAUGCCUCGUUCCAUUUAUUCAUCUUUGAAUGUUGGUCCAUUAAAAGAAACUGGCGUGAUAAUUCAACUAGCUGAUAGGUCUAAUGCAUAUCCUGAUGGGGUAUUAGAAGAUAUCUUAGUACAAGUUAAUGAGUUGGUUUUUCCUGCUGAUUUUUAUGUACUUGAUAUGAAAGAUGAUAACUCCUCUAAUUCUGUCCCAAUUUUGCUAGGAAGACCUUUUUCUUAAGACUGCUAGGACUAAAAUGGAUGUACAUAAAGGGACUCUCACUAUGGAGUUUGAUGGAGAGGUUAUAGAAUUCAAUAUGAAUGAUACCAUGAAAUAUCCUAGUGAGGAACAUUCGGUAUUUUCUGUGGAUGUUAUUAACCCUAUAGCGCAGGAAAUUUUUUACAAGGAAAAGACGAAGACAUUUCAUGAUAGAAUGAUUUUGAGAAAGGAGUUCUCAGUUGGUCAAAAAGUUCUUCUUUUUCAUUCUAAGCUUAAACAUUUUCCGGGUAAAUUACGUUCUUGCUGGGUUGGACCUUUUAUUGUUACUAAUGUUUUUCCUCAUGGUGCAGUUGAGAUUCGGAGUCCGAUCUCUGACAAAGUUUUUAAGGUUAAUGGUCAUCGCUUAAAACCUUUUUAUGAAGGUUUUUCGGUGAAUAUUGUGGAGGAUAUGACUCUCGAGAGUCCCAAUUAUGGAGAUUGAUGCAUAAAUGUGUCUAGCCAAAGACAUAAAACAAAGGCGCUUUUUGGGAGGCAAUCCAAAUAAUUUAUUUAUUUUGGUUUUUGUCAUAUCUUCUUUUAAUUUUGAUUCAGAUUUUUUUAAAAAAAUAAUGUGUUUGCUUAUUUUGGUCAGAAGAAAAUUUUUGAUAAGGCGUGCCCACGUCUUAACUAAUAAGUACUUCUGUGAUUUUUAAAGUAAAAUGGUUUUAAGGCGUGCCCACGUGCUUAUUAGAAAAGUACUUCUGAAAUUUUUAGUGUCUCAAGUGAUUCAUCACUAAAAAAAAAAAAAAAAAAAAUUAUUUUAUUUUAUUUUUUUUUCUAUCUAUUUAUUUUAAAAAAGCAAAAAAAAUAAAGAGAUUUUCUUUUGUUCUUUCUUUUAUAUAUAUAUUUAUUUAUUUAUUUAUUAAAAAAAAUUUCAAAAAUCACUGUUAAAAAAAAAAAAAGUUUUCACUGUUCACAAAAUCCCUAAUUUUCCAGAACUUGUUUUCUUCUCCAGCCGCUUGCAGCACACCAGCAGCACCCGCGAGCGCAGCACCAGCAUCGAGCACCAUCCCGCGAGCGCAGCACCAGCAUCCCGUGUCUCGCAGCCCAGCAACGCGCAACGAAGUCCCAGCAGCGCGCAACGCAGCGCAGCACCCGCAAAGCAAGCCUCAGCAGCGUGCAGCGCGAAUCAGCCCCAGCUGCGAGCGCAGCGCGAACUAGCCCCAGCUGCGAGCGCAGCGCGAACUAGCCCCAGCCCGAGCACGCAACGUAACAAGCGUCACCAGCACGCGCACCAGCAAUCCCCCAGCGCGCAGCAACAGCCGCAGCACGCAGAUCCAGCGUCACCAGUUCUCAGCAUCAGUCCCAUCCGCGCGCAACUGAACCAGCAGCCGUGCACCCGCAAGCUCCAGUCGAGCAGCAAUAGUCCGCAACCAGCCUGCGACCUGCAUUCCAGCCGCGUGAAUCGAAAUCCUUGACAAGAUGGAGCAGAAUUUGGCCGCAUACUUCAAGAGUGUGAGAUUUAUCCCACCAUUCCCGCCAAGCCCAUAGACGUUAUGAGGAUCAAAGCUCACAAUUCAGGGAAGUUUUUGCCUUUAAUCUUUUAUCCUUACGCUUUAAUUUUUAUGUGAGCUUUGAUUAUCUUACAUUGGGGACAAUGUAAGUUCUUGGUGUGGGGGAGGGAUUUUUGCAUUAUUGAUGUCUGGAAUUAUUGUUUUCACUCUACUUAUCUUUUUUUCACUCUACUCAUCCUUAAAUGAUUUUGGAGUUAGUAUGCUUUAUAUAUUAUUAAUUUUCUUUUCCUUUAUCUCUCACUACUCUUUUCCCAUCUAUCUCACAUUAUUUACAUCUAUUUUUUUUCUACCAUACUUUUUCAUCACUCACAUUUUAUCUUUCAUUUUUUUACUACAUACAUCUUUCUCGCUUAUUAUCCUUUUUACCUUUACUUUUAUAUCUCACUCAUACCUUCUUCUCAUUCUACACCACUAUUGAUGGUUGAUUCAUUUGAAGAGUGCAUAGGAUUUGAUGGCAAAUUUACCAACUUUGUGAGGAUUUGAGCCUAUGAGCAACCACUUUGCUCUAAUUAUUUUUGUUAUGUGAAUAUCAAUCCUAGUUUGUUUAUUCUAGAACUUGCUUUAUUAUGCAUGUUGAAGCCACAUUACGGGAUUUUAUGCAUUAAAAUGAUAAGGGCAAACCAUUUACCAUUUUUCUAUUCUCGCAUUUUCCUUUUUCUCUACCCGAAGACCUUUAUUUGCUACCUUUGUUUGAGCCUUAACAAUUACCCAUCUAAUUCUCUCCGUCUACUUAACCAUUUUUCUUCUUUUUUGAGCCUCAAUUUAAGGAGAUUUUUGGACUCAUUGUGUGGAUAUAUUUUGUUGCUUUUUCUACCUUGUAAUAAAGUUUCUCAAUUAGAUCAACAAGCAUUAUGCUUGAAUUAAAUUGUGCAAGGUUCGUUUCUUUUGUUUGAUUCAAAAACAAAAACAAAAAAAAAAAGAAAAAAAAAAGAAAAAAAAAAGAAAAAGAAAAAUCACAAAAAAAAAAUGUUUACAUUCUUGGUGACUUGAGUAGAAAUAAGCAUUUUGAUAUCAUAAGUUCAUUCAAUGAGUUCAUUCUUCUCGUUUUGAUCUCUUUUUCUUUCGUAAACCUUUCUUUUUCAUUUAACCCAUUUAACCCCAUUACAACCCUUUUAAGACCCUUAGAUUUUUGCUUUUUAUUCAUGUUUUGUGGAUUGAGAUGUGAUAUAUGAGCAAGCUUAUGGUAAUAGCAUUCUUUGAUUUGAUUUGAGUGGAUAAAUGACACCCUAAACACUUUGAGUGCAUGGAGUGAAGUUAUUGAGAGGGCUAUUACAUCUUGUUGCACUUGAAUUUUGAAUGGAUCUUCUUGGUGGUUGAAUGUUCUUAUUCUAUCUUAUGAAAUUCUAUGCUUUAAAAUCCUUGUCUCUCGAACGUUGAACGACUUAAUUUUUUGAGGUAUGCUUGCUUAAAAUUGUUUUUGGAUGAGUUGAGAUGAGAAUUUAGUGGAGAUUUGAGAUUAGUCUUGAGUUAUAUGCUUGAGGACAAGCAUCAUCUUGGUGUGGGGGAAUUUGUUAGAGUGCAAUUUAUGCACUAGUUUUGCAUUAUUUACUUCCCUUAAUAUCAAUGUUUUGCACUUAAUAAUAAUGAUUUACUUGUGUUUUACUUUUGUAGGUGCAAUGCUAUUGAUUGAUGAUAAAAUUAAGCUAUAAGAUGAUGUUUAAGGAUGAUUGUUCUCUUGGAGAAAUUAUGAGCGUCAGAAGAACUUUGUUGAUAAGGCGUGGGCGCGUGCUGUCAAUUGCGGACCUGCAGUUUUUAGUUUAACGUGUUUUGUAUUUUUGGUUAUUUUGUAAUUACGAAUUUAAUAUUUCAGAUAUUAGGAUUUUAUUUUAAAUAGAAUUCUAAAAGAGAAGAGAGAUAUAGUAUUUAAGGGAGGAAUCUAUUGUGAAAAAGGGGGGGAUUUUGGAUUGGAGGAAAAGAAAUAAACCCUAGAUCUUAAUUUUUCUCUUCUCUCUAUGAAGAACUAAACCUAUUUUUCUGGUUGAAGGAUAAUGAAGCUUUGAUUCAUCACUACUGUGAGAUCUUUCUUGUACUUUAAUUGUUUUAUUGCUUUUUGGGUAUUUGUUUAUUCUCUGAAUUAUUUUCAUGAUUAUGUUUGUUAAUUAGGUAAUUGGCCACUAUUUAAUUAUCAACUUAAUCUAUUGUCAAUUAAAGGAUUCAUCGUAUGAAGAAUUUAAUGUUUGUGACAAAUAACAUAGCAGAGAGUUGUGUUGUGAGAAUAAACAAUCUAAUUUAAAUGAAUCAUCGUAUGUGUUGAUUAGGAUUUGGGUCUCUCUGGUUUUUCAGGCUGUCAAUUGAUUAAAUCCUAUGAUCGUAUCUAGGGUUGUCCAUUGAUUAGGGAAAUAACCAACGGUCGUACCUUGGUUAUCGAUUAGUUAAGGAGAGAUUGGCUAUUAGAGGGUCUCAAUAGCUAUAACCGGUCUAUUCAUAAGUAAUAAUAAUCUAUAUUUGAAUAAAUGAUCAGUAGUCGAAUCAAGCUGAGUUAAUUCCUUCAACCAGAGCUUUCUCCAAUUUGAAUUACAACUUUAAUUUGCAUUCUUGUUAUUUCAAUUUGAUUUUUAUUAUUGUCAACAAUUCCCCCAUUUUACGUUUUACGUUUCAAAAGGAUUUAAAUAAUUACCGAUCUCUGUGGACACGACCCUGCUCAAUCACUAUACACAAUUUAUUUAGAGUAGGAAUUUAUUUUUGUUGGCUUCGACAACCAUCAGGAAUCAAAGAACUUGAAUAUUUGAAUGCAUUCAAAGAACUUCAAUGUUUGACUAUAAUGCAACAACUUCAAAAUUUGGCUCAUCUUUGAUAUUGAAUAGAUGAGCGAGUCUAUUCAAUAAGGUAACAUUUUUCAAGAUUCAAUUAAAUCCCAUUGCUUUUUUUCCGAGGAUGUUCAUGAGAUCUUUGAAAGUUGGAAUCAAACAUAGAUCAAGUUCUCAAUCUAAAAGGACAAAGCACAAAAAAUUAAACAACUUGUGAAAUCUCCCAGUGUUGUCUUAAAUGUCUCCAUAAAAAACAUGGUCGGCCAACUUUGCUCCAUCACCAUCACGCCAGCUCGCUAUGCCACGAGACACCCCCAGCUUCAUCACCAUCAUGUCACGCGAACCACAACUCCUCCACCAUUGUACCGUCUGAUCUCAUCAGUGCACAACACUGUUUCAUUGCCGCCGUGCCUCUUCUUCAUUGUCCUGUCAUCAAGCUGAAGGUUUGACUCUCAGUUUGUACUUGAUUACUGAAUUUGGGUUGGACUUUUAAAUUAAGGAUUGAUUGAAUUGGUUGGUGGAUGGGGUUUUUUUUUUUUUUUAUCAGUAAACUUUGUUGAAUCAGUGCUAGAAUUAAUAAUUUUCUGUUUCUUUUGUUGGAAACUAUUAUGAAAGGAAAAUGAGUUUUCGUCUCUUAUCUUGCCUCGAUAUUUGGCUAUCGGAAGAAAUUUUAUUUGAACUUAUUUCCUUUGUUGGGCUACGAGGACGCAGAGGCCCAAAAUUGCUAGUUGCUUGAUAAUUUUGGGAUAAAGAUGAAUCUUGAAAAAUGUGCGAGGAUUAUAUCAUGUGCCAAAUGGAUUCAUGGUUUGUGUGUUCAUGGGUUAUUGGAAAAGGAAACAACCGUUACUCACAAGAAAAAUGCCCUAGACAAAUGGGAUUAUGUUAUGGUAUGAGCAGAAGCAACAUAAGUGUGAGUUGAAAAUUGUCCAAAACUUAAUUAAAUCAUCCAAAGCAAAAUGUGUAAUGAUGAGGGGUUUGGGUUUUGCUUGUUUGAGUGUUGAAGAGAUCAUUAUUGCGGCUCUUCUGGGAGACAGCGAAAGCAUUUGCUUCCUAAUUCGAGCUUUUUAUUACUAUUACUAUUAUUAUUAUUCUUUAUUUCUCAUAGCAGUAACCAGUCUGAUUCAUCAGAUAUAAAUCUACUGUUAUCAUCAUGAUGAUCGUAACACACAUCUCUCAUUUAUUUCUUCUUGUGGAAAAGAAAACUCAUCUGCCCAUCACUCGCAUUUAGCAUGUUUUGCAAGAAAACAUGGCAAUGCAAAACAUUACCACUGCCUCACGUUAACUUUGCUUGCUUUGUUACUCACAAGAUUACAAAAAGGAUUCUUCUCUUUCACUUUUUGGUAUUUGAAAUUUUGAAGUAUAAAUGUUUAUUAAAUAUUUUAUUGUUUUCGGAGAGUAAUUUAUUUCCACUUGUCUUUCAUCUAUAUAUAUGUAUAUAAUGUGUGUGUGAACACUCUUAAGCAUUUGGAAAAUUUACGAAAAUAACCAUUAAUAUUUUAUUAUUUUCGCAAUUAACCCUGUCAACUUUUUUCUAUCAACAUUAGUCAAACACAAGCCUUUCUUCCCAAAUUACCCUUCUUUACAGAACAAAACCAACAUCGUUUCUCCCAUAUCGCCAAACCAAAAGUAGCUUUUCACUCUUGAAUCAUCAGCCAACGGCGACCGCAAAAGACAACGGUAAAAGUGAUAUCCGAUCAUAAUCUAUCCGGAUCCAACACAAAUCGACAUCACUUAGUGGUAUGAAUUAUUUUCUGAACUUAUUGAACUGAUUCGGGUGAAUCUGAAUCUGGCGACAGGCUGUCUGUCGCAGCAAAACUUGGUGCGAAUGGUUGGUGCGACAGGCACCUGUCGCACCAAGCAAGGUGCGACAGGCACCCUGUCGCACCAAGGUUCGACAGGCACCCUGUCGCACCAAGGUUCGGGCGACAGGUUGCCUGUCGCACCCACCCUGGAGAUUCAUUAAAACUGUAUUAUUUUAAUAGGACUCAAAUAAAUUUUUUUUUAUAAUUUCAGGGUUAAUGGAUUUAAUUGUACUUGAAUUGUGUUACGAUGGUUGGUGGGAGACAUUAGAGAAUGGCCGUAUGGAGUACGUGAAUGGUAAAAAUCGAGCUUUUUUUGUUGGAAAAAAUUAUCUGUUUGAUCAGUUAUUGGCAAGAGUAUACGAGGUGUUACAAAUAAACCCUAAUGACUAUAGUAUCACAAUGAAGACAACUUUGAGAUCUAGUAACACAUUAUAUCGUAUAUGUGCAAUGCCCAUGGAUAUAUGUGAUGAUGAAAUGGUGAGGGUUGUAUUGCAUAUGGCAUAUGACGUAGCUAAUUUUGGAUGCAUUCCUAUAUUCGUGACCACAUCACCUCGAGUUCCGAGUGAAGGUAUUGAGCCACAUGUCGAUACAGAAACUUCGUUUAGAGCAAAUAUGUCUGGCCCCGAUAAUGAUGAAGAGGUGUUGCCAAGGACAAUAUCGCUGCAGCAAUAUUACUCUCCAAUCCACAACAAUUAUGACAACAUUGAUGAUAAUGGUGUUACGUUACAGGAUGUUGGAGCAACGGUAUUUCCAAUAACAACGUCGUUGGAGCAACGAUAUUCUCCGUAUCACAACAAUGAUUUUCGGGACAAUGAUGAUUUUCAUAAUGAGACAGAGGGGGAUAAUGUUUGUGCAGAACCUUCUAAUAAUACGAGGCGGGGCACUCGUUUCAAUAAUGAUGGUGAUGAUGGAGGAGCCGGUCCUUCGAAUGUUCCGUCGUUUCAGCAUGAGGAUGAGGGUGAAGACAAUACUCCUGUGAAUAACAGAGGCAAUAGAUCUAUUCCUUCUAUGGUUCGAUCGAGAAGGAGAAUUGACCCCCUUACAAGUCUUGCUCUAACUUUGCCUUCGAACAUGGUUGCUCCAAGCUUUGUUAGCAGUUGUGACUCAGAUGAUAUCAGCGUGGGUAAGCUAUUUGCUGAGAAGAAUGAGCUUAUAUUACAACUACGCAAGGUGGCCUUUAGAGAUAAGUUUGAUUUCAAGAUUGCACGGUCUACUACGACACGUUUUGAGGCUCACUGUUGUUUAGAAUCAUGUAAAUGGCGUAUUCGAGCAACUAGAAGUUCGAACGAGCAAAAUGUUCCUUGGGUGGUGAAGAGAAUUGAUAAUGUACACACUUGUCAUAAUGAGGUAUUGGUUGAUGGACGUCAUCAAGUAAAGAGCCGGGUUGUCGGUCAUAUUAUCACAGAAAAAUAUAUUCAAGAUAAGAGGAUUUAUACUCCCAAUGACAUAAGAGCAUAUAUGCAACAGGAAUACGGUGUUCAGUUAACAUACCAGCAGGCAUAUAGGGCGAGAGAAGUUGGUCUUGAAAUAGUUCGCGGCAACCCUGCAGAGUCAUACAACUUGCUCCCUAAAUACUCUCACGUACUAACUAUAGCGAAUGAGGGUACAGUCACUCACCUCGAGCAGGAUGGAGAUGGUAAUUUCUUGUACUGUUUUGUAGCACUCGGAUCUUCCAUCAAGGGGUUUAUGCAGUACAUUCGGCCUGUCAUUGCUGUAGAUGGUACUCAUCUGAAGGGACUAUAUCGUGGAAGCAUGUUCGUGGCAACAUGUCUUGAUGGUAACAAUCAAUUGUAUUUGUUAGCCAUUGGGAUCAUGGAUUCAGAAAACAAUGAUGCUUGGGAAUGGUUUAUGCUGAAGUUACACGGAGUGAUUGGUGAUAAACCUGAGUUGGUAAUUAUCUCUGAUCGAUGCACUACCAUAAGGAGAGCCGUUCUUAAAGUAUUUCACAAUGCAACUCAUGGCGUUUGUUUUUACCACGUCAAAGGUAACAUUAAGUCACAAUUUAGAAUGUCCAAAGCUCUUUGGGAAGAAUUUGAGCCUGCCUUUAUUAAUGCAGCAAAAGCAUAUGGCCACGAGGAAUUUAAGAGACAACUUGAAGGGUUGUGGAUGAUCCACUCAGGUGCGGCUGAUUACCUAGAAAAUAAUGUCGGUACGUGUAAUUGGGCAAGGUCUCAGUUUGAAGGUAGGAGGUACAGCAUUCUUACCACUAACAUCGUGGAGAGUGUUAAUGCUUUCAUGAGGGAACCUCGAAAAUUUCCUGUUACUCAUCUUAUUGAUCACUUUAGGAAAAUAUUGCAGCAAUGGUUUUAUGAUAGAAAAAUUGUGGCUGAAUCAAUGACUACUCGGCUAACAACAUGGGCGGAUGAAAUAGUCACUGAGAGGAGAACUAUAGCUGAAAGAAUGAUAGUUCGGCCGGUGUCGCCGCAUCGCUUUCAAGUUAUAGGCGGUGGGCUUAAGGAAGGGUUGGUUGACUUGCAAAAGAGAACUUGCUCCUACAGAGUGUUUCAGCUUGAUCAGCUUGUGUGUGCUCAUGCAAUUGCGGCGUGUCUAACACACCGGGUGGAUUUUAUUAACCUUUGCUCGGACUUUUACACUACAGAAUCGUUGGUGAUGGCUUAUGCACAACCAGUGGAGCCAGUUGGUGAUGUGGCUGAUUGGGAAGUUCCAGAUGAAAUUCAGGAGAUGCAAGUAUACCCACCAGUUGAGGCACCACCACCUGGCCGUCGUAAAGAGCUCAGAAUACCCUCAGUUGGCGAGGACGUUGACCGGCGGACUGUAAGAUGCGGCCGGUGUCAUGAACUAGGCCAUAAUCGUAAGCGAUGUAAGAAUCCUAUUGCGUCGACUCGAAGUUAGUUGUAUUUUGUGUGUUAUUCGUUGGUUAAAACUAUUAUUGUUUUUUGUGUAUUGUACACUUAUAUUUCAUAAAACUUUAUUUUAUUUUAAAGUUCAAAAUGUGAGGCAUUAAAAUUAUAUAAACUUAAGUGUUCAAAUUAAAAAAAAAUUCAAAUUUCAACAUUAAAAUUACUACAUAGGUCUACAAUAUAAUAUCGUCAUUAAAUAUAUCAACCGCAAUCUUCUUUCUAAAAUACUCGACAUGACUAGCGUUAAACUCCAAUCUAAGCCCGAACAUUAAAUACAUCGUAACCAUCAAUACAAAAACACCGCAAUCGCCAGUUCCGGGCUCUUAUUGCGACGCGCUCUUAACUGCGAUAACUUUCCAUGGGUCUUCACUCCGCAACUCAGGUCGGAUAUUGUAGAAGCCAACAUAUUCCAACCAUCGAGGGAAUAUAACUUCAAGUGGCUUGAAUUUCAACUUGUACCUUUUGUUGUCGCGAAAUGUGAGUAAUGAGUCAUAAAUCCAGACUUUAUUUUUCCGAAAGUCAACUCGUGCUAGUACCCAAUGCGCGCCGUCCAAGUUAACAGGGAUGAGUAACUGCAUAUAAAAAUUGUUCAAAAUGUUUGUUAUAUAUGCAAUUGAAAUACAACAAAGAAAAAGCAACAACUCGAAUAUUUUCAUUAUAGAGCAUGUGAAAUGUAAUAAAAUACAUACCAUAUCGACAUCCGUCAUUGAUUUGGACAUUGUGUGCUGUCGCCCACAAAGAUAACUAUUCAAGCGGUCGUCGAAUACCAAUGAUUCGACCGCACAAUCCCCGUUAUUCCAUAACUGAUUCAAGAACACCUAGUAUAUAGAUAACCAAGAAAUGCAUAAAUUAACAAAACUUAAAGGCAAUAAUUAAAAAAAAUUAAAUAGUAUUUAUAAGUUUUGUCGGCACGUUAUCCAAAAAAAUGUAUCAGUAUGUGUGACACGUUGGAGUAAGGCAUUUGGAUACUGCCGUUAUUUCUCGCUAAUCAAGCGGAGAUACUCGUGAAUAUGCUGUAGAGAAACAGAAAUAUUACGAUUUAAAAGAAAAUUUUUAUACACAAAUCCACAACACUAAAAAAACUUCGAAAAUAUAAAUACCUCAUCGCCUAGCCAUCCCAUCGAAGCUGUACCCAAAAUUAUUUGAAAGAAUGACCGCGGGUGCUGGACUCUCCGGCGGACUCUGAUAUCACCAGUGAACCAUCGAUCAAACUCAGCAAACAGACUAGAGUCCUCCAAUCCUCUCAGUGGAUUUACAUCCACACUCGUACUCAUGUCAAUCGCAUGCUCCAUGAUUUGGGGUCGAGGUAAAGGCCGGACGUUCUGUCCUCGCCUGACCGGAGGAAUCAUGUAAGGACUGUUAUAAACAUACGAUGGUAUGUACGCGCGGCCGAACUUACUAACGCCCGGAGGCACCUCUGUGAACACCUGCACGCUCUCCCCACUAACAUCCCCGUACAAACUAUACAAUGACGUAGGCGUAGACAAAUUUUCAUUGCCCACGUCAGUAUACACUCCAUAGUCAUCCGGGGCCUGUACAUUCGCCAAAAAGAACAUAUUAAAUAACUAUCAAAUUAAAAGUUAAACGAACAUAAUUAUUAAAUUUAAAUUAGCUUACCGCAUACGAGCGUGCAGUGGGAGAAUCCUUAUUUGGACGUUUAGAAAAUGUGUCGAUGAAGCCAACAACGGUUUCUUUAAAAUCUUUUAAUUCUGACUUUAUUUCAUACACGUUACGAUCAAUCUUAUCCAGCCGUCGUUGUACGUAAUCAUUAAACUGCUUUGUCCUCGACUAUUACAAAAGAAAAAAAUAAAACUUUAGAAUAACAAUAAAAAAAUAAUAAUUGAUAAAGGAAAAUAUCGUAUAUUAUUUCUAACCUCAGAAUCCCGUGCGUCAUCAAAGUUGUCUGUUUGCUGCUGGUGGUCAUCAACAGCCACCUCAUCCUCAAAAGUGUCAUGACCCACCUCAUCCUCAAAAGUGUCAUGACGCUGCUCUGGUAUUGGGUUUGGUAUGUCGUCAUGAUCGUCAUGCUCGUCUGAUUGCCUUGUAACCGACGGCAUCGCGUUGAUUGAGGGUUGGUGCUGUAUAAAGUAUCAUUUAAAAUUAGUAAAUGAAAAGUCAAAAAUUUCGAUUAACAAAUUUUUAGUACUUAGAGUAUACCGACCUUAUGAACCCAGUCUGGAAUGCUUGGCAAGUAAUCCUUCACAGAGAGCCAAUAUUUUCUGCUACUCUCCUUUGAAUUUGGCUCAAGAGUUUGUAAAACGUCCCCCUGCCAUAAAUUCAAUUGAAAAUUUUAAGUAAGUAUACAUAACUUAAAUUUAGUAAAGUUAAAAAAAUAAGUAAUACAUAUUACUUACAAGACGAGAUUUGUCGUUGAAGAACGAAUAAACCUCCGCAAAGUUGAUUCUCGAAGACGCCAUGGGCUUCCAUUGCAGAAUGCGGGGAAUCUUAUUCUUCGUUUUGACGACCCAUGUUGAUGGCAACCCUCCGAUUGCUUCGUAAAUCCAAGCCUACAACAACCAAAGUGAAAAAUCAAAUAAAACAACUAUCAAAUAUUUAAUACUAUAAAACUUAUUAAUAAACAAAAAAAAAAGCACCUGAACCCUAGACGUAAAGCCGUAAAGAUUAUAUUUUUCAAUAUUAUGAUCUGGAUUUUUCAACCGAGUCUUCUUAAAUUUCUCGUCUUUCUCGAACAGUGCAUUGUCAAGACUCUCGUAAAUCAUUUCCCACGACAAUAGACCCCAUGGACGCUUUCGGAAGUACUGUAUAUCAUCAACUUGGUCAAGCUAAUCGAAAUUAAUUUGACAGUGAUUUUUUCUUGCAUUUAGUACUCUGUCCGCAAAAUAAAACAGCGCAAUCUUUAAUGCGUCCAUAUCGUCCAUUUCCUCGAAUUUCAACUCCUUAAAUACUGCAUCGAAUUGCUUCACAUUAAUCUUACGAUGCACACCACCAAAAUAUGUAUUCCGUAGCCUCUGCUCCAUUUCAUCAUUUUUUUUAUUGGUAUCAACACCAAAUGAAAGUCCAGUAACCAAGCACCAUUCGACAAUUGACAAGCGAAUCAAAUGCUUACCAAUUUGAAACCAUAACUGAUCCUCACGGCUAUCUUCUUCAUAGGCCACUUGCCGCAGUAAAAGAUUGUGCAAAAUUACCCCACUAAAUGGAAAACUUCGACACUCCAAGAAAUGCCCAAAUAUAUCCUUUUUGAACAUAAUCAACUGCCGCUUUGUUAAUUUUUCCUCGAUGGCUUUUACGACCGAAGAUAACAUACACAUGCUCGAAAUUCGACCAGGAAAGUGAUCAGCAUAACGAAAAUACAUCUUGCCUACUUCAAUAUCCGAUGAUUCUGAUUUCGCCAUGUAUCUGUAAUAUUUAUAAAAUUAAUACAUUACAUUUACAAAAAAAAAAAACUCGGUAAAAAAAAAAACUCUAAUUUUUUGUGCGACCGGCGCACCUGUCGCACCAAACCUGGUGCGACAGCAAGCCUCUCGCACCAAUCUGGUGCGAGAGCGCGCCUGUCGCACCAGAUUUGGUGCGACAGCGUGCCGCGCAUGGGCGCGCGCGCGCCCUGCCCCCUCCCUCCCCACCCCCAAAAUUAAGCACAAUCACUCCAAAAUCGAAAACAAUACUCCCAAACACCACCAACCACCACAAACAUCAUCACCACCACUAUUAAUCUCAAGCUAUAACUAUUAUUAUUCUAAAAUCUCAUUUUAAAUUAAUGAAAAUAAGAAAAAUGACUAACCUAGGUUUUGUUGAAGGUUGUAGAUUGUAGAUCGGAUGCCGGUGAGAGAUGGAGCCGCCGCCGACGAGGGUUGAUGUCGCCGCCGAUGAUGGGAGUUGGAUCGGUUUGUGAGAGAUGAGUGAAAGGGAGUGUUGGGGGAGAGAUGAGGGAGGGGUAUUUUGGUCUCAAAUGUUGUUUUAUGGCUAAUGUUGGUAGAAAUAUUUUUGGGGGGUUAAGAUGAAAAAAAGGGAAAUUUUUUUUGUUAUUACUGUAAAUUUCCCUAAGCAUUUUGGUUAGUAUAUAAUAUAACGUUAGAUUAACUGAGGAAAAAAUUGAAGGUAGAAGGUACUCAGUCACUAGGUCAGUUAAGUAUGCAAUUGUUUGGAUCACACAUUAUAGACCAUAGACGUCAACAAAAGUGAUUAUUAGAUAUUGAUGUUUAUAUUGUCUUGUCCUAAUAAGACUGAUCUUAAUAACGCUCGAUAAAAAGUCAAUUAAUGAUCCAUUUGAGAUUCAAGUGUUACGAAAUGUCACUGAACUAAAAAUAAUGGUUAGUAAAAGUUGGAAUCAAAGAACUGCCCUCAUCCAUCGAGUGCCUAUCUAAUCUGAAAAAACUAUAUAUUGUGGACUGUUCAAAGCUUGAGAGCAUCUCAAGUAGCAUAUUUAAGUUGAAGUCUCUUCAAUCUAUUGAAAUCUCUAAUUGUUCAAUUUUGAAGAGGUUUCUAGAGAUCCCGUCUUGUAAUAUAGAUGGAGGUAUUGGAAUUGAGCGACUAGCCUCAUGUAAGUUGGUACUGGAAAAAUGUUUAAGUCUUCAGAGUCUCCCUAGCAGCCUGUGUAUGUUCAAAUCUCUGACAUCUCUUGAAAUCAUUGAUUGCCAAAAUUUCAAGAUAUUGCCUUAUGAACUUGGAAAUUUAAAAGCCUUGGAGACGUUGAUCGUUGAUGGAACUCUUAUAAGAGAAGUACCGGAAAGCCUUGGUCAAUUAUCCUCACUAAAAAUUUUGGUACUAACUAAUAACGGUUUGAAGAGAUUACCAGAAAGCCUCAAUCAGUUAUCCUCACUAAAACGUUUGGUACUGUCUGAUAACCCUUUGAAGAUAUUACCAAAAAUCCUCAAUCAGUUAUCCUCACAAGAAUAUUUGGAACUGUCUGAUAACUAUUUGGAGAGAUUAAAAAAAAUCCUCUCGGAGCAGCAAAUAUCACUAGAAUAUUUGCUCCGAUCCGGAACGAGUAUCGAGGGAAUACCAGAAUACCUGAGGAGUCUUCCAAGUAAGUUGACAUCACUCAAUUUAUCUGUUGAGUUGAGAAAUUGUUUGCAAUUAGACCCGAAUGAGCUCAUUGAAAUCUUUAAAGAUGAGUGACUUAAAAUUCUUAUGAAUUGCUUAAGUAUGCAAGCAGAGCAGAAAACAAACAAUCUUUGUAUAUUAUGAUAUAACAUGAAUAAUAAUAGAUAUACACAUCCUUCACAUAUUUAUACUAAACGUGAAAAAUGGUAGCUUGCUCAAAGGGAAACAGAAAUGAAUAAGACAAAAGAUUACAGCUGCACUAGCCAAUCAUUGAAACAUUCUAGAAACUCCAGCUUGCAGUAUUCACGUGUAAAUAUUCCCCUGCAUAACAGUUUUGCCAGCUCAUUGAAGACACCUCAGCUUCUUCAUCAGCUGGCUGCUGGAUAUGGCUGCUCAGGUGGCAUGCCAACAUGGCCUUGGGGUCAACUGUUGACUCAUCUUCAUAAUCUGAAUUCUCAACAGAGUGGAUGAAGCAGGUGUGUCUCUUAACUCACUCCUUUCAUUCUAUUCUCUUUUUCUUUUUUCUUUAAUUCAAGCUAUCAUUACUUUUCAUAAAUUAAUAAUUUUUUAUUUUUGUGUUGCAGUCGUUUGAUGGUAACAUUGGGAUCGCUAAAAGUAUGUAUUUCCCUGGGAAUGAAAUUCCAAAGUGGUUUAGGUAUCAAAGUAUGGGAUCUUAUGUAACCUUGAAGACGCCACCAGCAGAUUUCUUCAAUAAUAAAAUAUUAGUAGGCUUUGCUUUUUGCAUUGUUGUAGCAUUUCCAGCCUCAGAGUACUUUGAGCAUCAAAUCCCAAGGACAUCUCGACCGUCGUUCUUUGGGAAUUAUGACGUGUACUGUGAUUGGAAACACAAAUCACAGUACACGAUUUGGGAAUUAUUGCUCUCUGUUGGGUGCAUGAUUUGGAUAUUCUUAUUAUACGCUAAUAUAAUAGCAAGGUAAAUCUUGUUUCUAUUAAUUGAUGAAGUUACUGGCUGACUUAUGAAACAGGUACAUGUUCUGGUUGAGGUAGUUUCUGGUGCUUCAAAUGCUACACCAAGCCUAGAAGAUAUCCUUUGCUUAAGAGAAAGGCGUGGCUCUUAUGAUUAUGUCACAAAAUAUUUGUGUACGUAAACGCAAUGAUUUGACUUGUACGUGGUUCAAAACUUCAAAUUUCCUUUUCUUUGUCACAAUAGUUGAUUGUUUGGAAAUGAGGCAGAGCACGCUAGUGAUACUGAACAGUGUCAUUUUCCAUUAGUUCAAGAUUGUUGGGAUGAAUGGUUCGAUCAAAACUGCUAAAUGGUUGCUAAGAUCUUUUCUCAAUGUCCUCCAAAAUCUGUUUGCUUUUACUGGAAUGGAAAUACAGUGCCAAGAGGAGGAGGUGAAGACACGAUCUUCGAAGAAAGAAAAUGAGGCAGAGCAAGCUAGCGAUAUUGGACAGGGUAUACAUGCAGGGGCACGACGGCAUUCUUAUUUCUCUCUCCAUCAAUUCUUAUUAAGGAGCCGAAGGGAUGUAUUUUAUUUCAUAGAUUUACUUCUUCAUUGAAUAUUUUGCUACUAUACCAAUGAUGCAACUUUUUGUAAUAUAUCUGAGUUGAAAUGAUGCUAGAGCUUGAGGCGAUCUUUUUUUUUUGGCCUUUUUGACAGUUCAAUUGGUGACUCUAAUAACUCCGUUGAUUGUCUUAGAUAUUUUUGGUGCAUAUAUGGUUGCAUUUUCUUCCUGAAAUUCUUGCUUAGAAGAUAGACAACAAGAUUUCAAUGCAGCAAGGGCAAGAUUUCAAGAUUUUCUUCCGCAAAUUCUUCCAUAUUGUCUUGCUUUCCUUGAAACUCUUUAGUAUCAAGAGCUGACCUUACUUCGUUUGGAGACAAUGCGUGCCUCCUAUACAUCAAAGCAUCGACAAAAUGCUCAUAGGACUUGGGAAGAGUGUGAAUUAAAAGAAGACCUUUAUCCUAAUCAUUUAAUGCCUCAUUAAUGGUCUCCAAAGUAUCACGUACUUCGUUAAAUUCUUCAAGAUGAUCAUCAACAGAUGAGCCUUCAACCAUCUUCAACGUAAACAUCCUCUCCUUGAUGUAAAGUCUGCUUGAAAUAGACUUUCCAACUUGGUCCACAAGUCAGGAACUGUCGUUUCUUUGGCCACCUCUCUUAUCUUGAGUCUGCAAGGCUCAAGAUUAUUGUGCCUCUAGCCUUUUUAUCAAUCUCUAAUUAAAUGUUCUCUAAUCAAAUAUGGCGCGCACGAGUUAGUAAAAGCAUGUGGCACGCACGUGAGUCAACAAGAUUGGUUCCAAUUUCCAAACAAUGUCCUCUGGCUGUCAGUUCUUCGGAUUAGCUUCCUGUAUGCGUUGUCGUCCAUUUCCAAAUAAUAUACGUCAGCUAAUUCCAAAACCACAUACGACAUUGUCUGUCGCUCUGUUUUGAGAUCACAGAUUCAACUUUUCAGUGUUAUAAAAUUUUGGAAAUGAUACGUCUUUGUCUUUCCAUGGAACAUAAUAUACAAAAGGAUUUUUGAAUGUGUUGCGUCGUGUUAUAAUUGGACGCUCUUUCAAUAGGUAGAAUCAUUCAUUAUUUGACAGCUGGGCUACACCAAAAAGCAAGAGGAAAAACAUUUUCAAUAUUCUUUAGUGAAUUACUAUUUUGGUAUUUAUAUAUAUAUAUUCCGUUGUCACAUUCAAUUAUUUUCAUCUGAUCAGUCUCUUGUCCAUUAAUUAGGGAUUUCAUUAUUUUUCAUCAAUUGAAUCUUUAAAAUGCAAUUGCUCAGAUGAACAUUAGUUAAUUUAAUUCGCCCAGUUCUGAUUUUCGUUAAAUUAAUAUAGUUUUUGAGUGUUAUAUGAGAGAUGAAUUUACAAAUCUUUAUGUCUGUGUAAAGAAAAUUUUCAGUCAAAAUCUCUGAACAAUUUUUCUAGAAGAAUACCACUUCCAUGAAAAAUUUGUUUUUUAUUUCCUCUUCAAACGUAAAGUUUGCGUCACAUACAUUAGUCGAUCGGUCUUCAACUAACCUUUUUUUUUUUAAAUAAAAAAAAUGAAUGGUUCUCAAUUAGCUUAGUAAAGUAGACAAUGAGAUGAAACUACCGCGAAAUUAACUACAAGUGACGGGAGUAUGUAAAGCAUCUAUAUAUCCCACGCGCAUUUCAUUCAAUUAAUUAAUUAUCAUCACUAUCCUAUCAAAUGGAAGGUUCAAAGAAAGUAUUUGUUAGAGUUUUUUUUUUUUUUUUUUUAGUUUAAUCGUUCGAAAUGAUUAAAAGGUAGACGACUAUUCGCGAAAGUUGAGGUAUAUAUUGAUGAGCUACCAACGUUUGUUUGUAUUCUUAUAUUACCAACGUAUUUUGGUCAACUUUGCUAGCAUCUAAUAGAAAAUCUAUGUAAAAUUUAUAUAAAAAAAAUUGAAAAUUACUUAUACAAUUUUGAUCUUACAAAUUUAUAAAAGCUAAAUAAAUAGGUUAGCACGUAUAGGUAUUAAGACAACUUUUGAUUUUACAGCAUGUACUUAAAUAAAGAAAGUCUUUGAUGUUCUGGUAGCAUUGCACCUUAUCCAUUCAUUACUUAUUACAUAAUUAAAAAAAAAAAAAAGGCAAAUAUUUCGGGCACUGUAGCAGUUCUCCAUAAUUAAUGUCUACUUCGAGUUUAACUCAACGACCACUCAAAGCAGCUUCAUACGAAGUUAAUAAUUGGAUGGACUUGAAAAAGGAAUGUUCAAAAAAGUAGUCAAAGGAUUUAUACUUUUCAUAUUUUUUUUUUAAAUUUAUUUUAGCUGUCAUCAAUUAUUUGUUUCUUCAAUUGAAACUGAGAUGAAACUGCAACGAAACUUCCUGGAAUUAAGGUUCGAAGCAAGCAUAUCUGUAUACACUCUGCACUGACAUUCAUCUAUUUUCACAUCUACCAAUUUUUCGGAUCAAUUGAACUACUUCUGUUAUGGCUUCUUCUUCUUCUUCUUCUUUAUCUCCUCGAAACAUUAACAAGUAUGAUGUUUUUCUUAGUUUCAGAGGAGAGGACACCCGUGACAACUUUACCAGCCAUCUUUAUUCUGCUUUGUCGCUAAAAAGUAUUCAAACUUUCAUUGAUGACCAACUUAAUAGAGGAGAUGAAAUUUCACAGUCUCUUGUGUAUGCAAUUGAAAAUUCAGCCAUUUCACUCAUCAUUUUCUCUGAAGGGUAUGCCUCUUCCAGAUGGUGUCUCGAUGAACUUGUGAAAAUCCUCCAAUGCAAAAGAGAGUAUGCACAGAUUGUGAUUCCAGUUUUUUAUCGCGUUGAUCCAUCGGACGUGAGAAACCAAACAGGUCCUUUUGGGGAUUCAUUUUCAAAGCUUGAAGAAAGAUUUAAGGAGAAUUCCGAGAAGCUGAAGAGUUGGAGGAAUGCUUUGAAGGAGGCGGCCAGUUUUUCUGGCUUUGAUUCUCAGAACUUUAGGUAAUUAAAGUUCUUUCCUCAUACCAUAAUGAUGAUGCCACAUAAAGUUAUUUUCUGCUCAAUUAAUUACCAGCACUCCUGAUAGUUAUAGUGAUAUUUUUUGUCAAAUAUGCUGAAUUAUAUACUUCAAUUUUAUUAGGUAUCCUAAUGCUUUUCGCAAGUGAUUUGUGGUAUUGAUCUUUGAUAGUGACAAUUGGUGUGUUGAAUUCUGUACGUGAACAACUUGUAGAUUUUUCGAAAUUUAAAUUCUUUUAAAAGAAUUUUGAAGGAUUAAUAAAAACGGUAUUUAUGUGUUUUCAUUGGGUGUCCUGUCAUAUUUUAAGUAGUUUCAAUAUGUCACUCAUAUUCUUGAAAUUUAAGAGUUAUUGAUUCAUACUUGGUGCAAAUCCAUCCUAUUUGAUUUUACUGCUAUUUAACAUAUUUGUUAGGCUUGAAUCGGAACUUAUAAAGAAAGCUGUUCAUCACAUUUUGAAGAGACUGGCUGAAAUGUCUCCACGUAACUACAAAAACCAGUUGGUUGGAGUAGAAUCAAGAGUUAAGGAAAUUGAAUCUCUAUUAGGUGCUGAGUCAAAAUAUGUUUACACUUUAGGGAUUUGGGGCUUCGGUGGUAUGGGGAAGACAACAAUUGCUCGAGCUAUUUUCGAUAAAAUCUCUAGUAACUUUGAAGGUUCUUGCUUCCUUCAAAAUGUUAGAGAAGAAUCACAAAGACCGGGAGGAUUAGCUUAUUUGCGACAAGAACUUUUUUCAAAAUUAUUAAAGGAAGAAGAUGUGAUUCUUGAUAUUGACCUAAACUUUAGAAGGCUCAGCAGCAGGAAGGUUUUGAUUGUUUUUGAUGAUGUGACUUGCUUCAACCAAGUAGAAUCCUUAAUUAGAAGUCUCGAUUGGUUCAUGCCUGAGAGUCAAAUCAUUAUAACCACAAGAGAUAAACAAAUUCUUAGGAAUUGGGGAGUGAAAAAAAUAUAUGAGAUGAAGGCAUUAAUGUUUAAUCAUGCCCUUGAGCUUUUUAGUCGACAUGCAUUCAGACAAAACUAUCCGCAUGUGGGUUAUGAGGAACUAUCAAGGAAGGUAAUGGAAUAUGCUCAAGGUGUUCCUUUAGCUCUUAAAGUUUUGGGCUGCUUUCUAUUUGAAAGGGAAAAAGAAGUAUGGGAAGAUGCAAUAAACAAAUUGAGAAGGAUUCUCCAUCCUAGUAUCCAAGAGGUACUAAAAUUAAGUUAUGAUGGUCUGGAUGAUAAAGAAAAAAACAUUUUCCUAGAUGUUGCUUGUUUCUUAAAUGGUGAGGAUAUAUAUUCGGUUAUGAAGUUCCUUGAUACAAGUGGCUUCUACCCAGAAAUUGGUAUUAGUGUUCUUAUUGAUAAGUCUCUCAUUGCUGUUUCGUGCAACAAGAUAACAAUGCAUGAUUUGCUACAAGGAUUGGGUAGGGAAAUUGUUCAGCAAGAAUCAAUUAAUCGUGGAAACCGUAGUCGAUUAUGGCAUCACGAGGAUAUCUAUGAAGUUCUUACACAUAAUAUGGUAAGCAUUUUGUUGGGAUUAUUAUUUCUGAAUUAUCUUGCAUUUACUAAGUUGAUAUUGUACAUAUAUUUAUAUACGCUGAAACUAAAGAAUCAUAGAAUAUAUAGAAAAGUGACAAUGAUUUAAAAAAAAAAAGUUUUUAGAUCAUGUAAUGUAGCAUUAAUAAAUAAUAAAUACCAUGCCAACAUUUAUAUUAUCUUUUGUACGAAUAUAAAAUUUAUAUGUCACUUUUGUAUAGCAAACAUACAUAGUUUAUAUGUUUGGUGUUACUUGUAUGAUUACCCUUUUUUUGUAGGUUUGCAAUAACGAGUUUGGCCGCCUAACAAUAAUUACCAACUUGCGUUACAGAAUUGUAUCCGAAUUAAGUAUUUAAACUAAGCAAACUUAGUACUAUUGUUACGUAAUUUUGAUUUUAACUUUAUGGUCUUUCAUUGGUUAUAAGGGGACUGAAAAAAUUGAGGGCAUCUGCUUGGAUAUGUCUAAAGUGAAGGAGAUCCAUAUAAAUUCCAAUACUUUCACAAAGAUGUGUAGAUUGAGAUUUUUGAAAUUUUAUAGCUCAAUUGAAGGAGAGAACAAAUGUAAGGUGUCUGAUUUCCAAGGCCCUGGAUUUGCUGAAGUGAGGUAUCUUCACUGGCAUAGAUAUCCAUUGAAAUCAUUACCAUCGAAUAUUCAGCCAGAGAAGCUUGUUUUACUUGAAAUGCCUCAUAGCAAUAUUCAACAACUCUGGGAUGGUGUCCAGGCAUGUAUAUCUUUAUAUAUAUAUUCAUGUUUCAGUGAUAAUGUUAUAACUAUGAUCAUACAUGCUAAUAUUUUUCUCUGCCUCUUUUUUCGAGAGCAGCAUCAUGGUAAGCUAAAGCAGAUAAUCAGUGUUGUCUGUAAUAUUUUUACCAACACUCCAAAGCCCUUGCUGAUUCCACAUCUGGACAUGCUAGUUAUCUUGAAUCUAAGCGGUUGCUCAAAGCUGAAGAGGCUUCCAGAUAUCUCAUCAGCUGGUAAUAUGCAAAAGAUAUUUUUAAAUGGAACUGCAAUAGAAGAAUUGCCUUCAUCGAUCGAGUGUCUACGUGGGCUUUUGGGCUUAUACCUUGAAGACUGUAAAAGUCUCAAGAGUCUCCCAAACAGCCUAUGUAACUUAAAAUCUCUUGCAUAUCUUAACCUCAAUGGUUGCUCAAAUCUUCAGAGAUUGCCUGAAAGUCUUGGUCAGUUAUCCUCACUAGUUGAAUUGUAUCUGGAGAAAAACAAUUUGGAGAGAAUACCAGAAAGCAUUGUACACCUUUCCAAGUUGAAAUUUCUCUUCUUAAGGUAUUCUCAGAGGCUUCAAUCCUUACCAAAGCUUCCAUGCAGUCUAUUUAAGUUGGAUGCCCAUCGUUGCAUGGCACUGGAAUCAUUGUCAGGUUUAUUCUCAAGUUACGAAUCUUAUCGGCAAAAUUUUGACCUGAGCGAUAAUUUUAAAUUGAACCAGAAUCAGCUCAGAGGAAUUGUCGAAGAUGCUAUGCUAGAAAUUCAGAUUAUGGCGACUACUCGCUGGAAAGAAGAAGAAGAGCAAAAUGUCUGUGCGUGUGGUUAUUUAUUUUUAAAAAAAAAAUCUGCACAAGGCUUUUUUUUUGGUUCUUUAAUAACUUUAAAUAAAAAUUAACAUUAUUUUUUUAAUUACUAUUUUGGUGAUGCAGAGAUAUUUCCCAUCAUGUGAUGGUCUCGUCAUUUUACCUGGGAAUGAAAUUCCAACGUGGUUUCGGUUUCAAAGUAUGGGAUCUUCUAUUACCUUGCCACCAGGUUGCUUGAGUAAUAAAAAAUUACUCAGCUUUGCUUUUAGCGCUAUUGUAGCAUUCCCACACCAUCAUUUCACGGAAAGGAAGUUUCUAUUGUUCGGUGAAUUCAAAGUCAAAUCCUACAUAAAAAAGAAAAAAGAAAAAAAUCAAUAUUUCGAUCCUCUUGUCGUAAAGAUUUCUUUGGGAGUUGUUAACUUUGUAGAUUCAGAUCACUUACUUUUGGGUUACUAUUCCACUAUACCUCUUACCAUCAUACAUCCUCAUGAUUGGGAAUACAAUAUCGUUCCUGAGGCAGUCCGGUUCGGUGUUGAGAAAGCUACAGGUUCCGAAUCGUUGGAGAUAGAGUGCAAGUGUUGCGGGAUGAGAAAAUGGGGGAUCCAUUUUUUUUGAAGAGGAGGAACCAGACCCAAAAGUCUGAAAUAUUUGUAAUUGUAAUUUUAUUGUUUUUCUUUUGCCUGCCACUAUUAAAUUUUUUUUACUGAAAAACACCUCAGCAAAAUGAGGGAAACAAUUAUUCAAAUAUUAAGGAUUGCCUCAAACUUAUAUUAUUAGUCUAACAACUAUUCUCAACCAAUGUGGAAUAAUAUUUUCAAUACAAUUUAUAUGAUUCCUCGUAGGAGGUAUCUUAAUUCUUCAUUAUCGUCAGGAUUUCCUGAAGUUGUUCAUUCCUGUAAUCUCGGCGGUUGCUGGUUACUUGGAAAUGGAUCUAAAGUCGAAGCCGACAAGCCUUGUUAAUUAUUUUGGGUAAUCGCUAUUAAUAUGCUACUGCACAACCUUUUAUCAUUACUAAUAGGAAAUGUCAAUAUGAGUUGUUGGGGACAAAAUUCAUUUAUUCACGUGGCUAGUAUAAUUUCACAUUUAAAGAUACAAUAGCCACUGAUUAUUAAGACAAAUCAAAUGAACGGUAUAAAUGUAUAAUAUACUUAGCAACACUGUGAUAUUGCUUGGCAUCCUAGUUCCUGCACAUUGCUGAAUCUCUCAAAUCGGUGUGUUAUUUUUUCUAUUAAUUAAUAGAGGCAGAGCAACCGAAAAGUUGAACAGGGUCAUGAGGUCCUUUUCCUGAUGUAAUUGGAGUACGACCAGUAUUAAUAUCAGCUGCGGCUAACAAAUGCAUGUUUAGUGAAUGAAGCCCUGCUUAACCACACUCCAUUGGUACCAUCACCACUUGGUUUAAAAUUCACUUUAUUAGAAUCAUUAGAAGAGAAUGUUUAUGUACACAGGAUUGUAGCCCCUGAAUGACAGGAUUUUGAGGCGCCCCCAUGUCAUGUCAAAACAAUAUAAUGAAAGUGUUUUCAAAUCCAUUAAUCAAACUCUUCUAUUCAAUAUUAUUUUCUUUGCAUUUUUUUCAAUCCUCCCCUCAUUUUUGGACGAGAUAUAGAUGUAUUUGCUUUGUAUCGGUUAUGGUUAUGUACAUACUUUUAGACUAUGAUGGCACUGUAUCAUUUUGAAAUAUUUUCUCCUUUGUUUGGCUCAAUUUUUGUAAAAGUAUCUGUGGAAUUAGUCGUAAUUUCAUCUAAAAUAGUUAUAGCAAACUUGAUUUAUGGCCAUUAUGAAUUGUCCUUUACAAAGGACAGAUUCACAUGCUUUCAAACAGAAAUCCUCAUGACCUCUAGAGGAUUCUGAUCAAAUGCUGAUUCAUCCAACACGUCAUCACAAUUUCUUAUUUAUGCCACAAUACUGUCUGAUGCACACGAGUCGUCUUCACGACAGAGCUUUGGAUAUGAGGGGUUCAUUGAGGCAUUUUGUCGAGCACUCUGUCCAUUCUAUCAAACACCCUGCAUUGUCUAUCAUUUUCCAACAAUCUUAAUGUCCAUUCCCUGGAAUGUAAAUUCCAUGUUCAAAUUUCAUGGUAUUGCUGUUUUCCUACUAAUGAUGUUCAUAGAAAUGAUACUUUCUCCUCCCCCCAUUGAAAAUAUGCCUUAAAUAGAAUGUCCGGAUGAAUUAUACGUAAUGCACUUUUACCUCGGCAUUAUCAAAUGAGAUUACUUACCCAAUCGGUCAAUUACGUUGGACUUAUGGCUCUUUAUGAUUUGGAAAAAUUCCUGUAAGUGGAGGGAUGCAUUUUAUUUCAUAUAUUUAUUUCUCUAUUGAAGAUUCUGCUAUUUUACCAAAAAUACAAUUUUUUGAACUAUUUCCGAGUUGGUAUGAUCUAGGGCUUGGGGCAAUUAGUUUUUUUUUACUGUUCAAUUGGUGUCUCAUUAUAUAAAUUUUUUUUUUUUGUCUAAGAUAUUUAAUGAAGCAAGGCUGGUAGGGCAACACCGAAAUUACUUUAUAAGUUUUCCUUCCGCAUUAUUUGUUUGAAUUUUAUUUUAUUUUUGUUUUCAAUGCCCAAGUUUGCAUGAGAACAAUCCGGCGCAUUUUUUUUGUCACCACUCAUCUUUUAACAAUAAAUAAAUAAAAAGCCUAGAACAAUCUUUGCCAAUCAUAUAUUUUUUAGGGAAAUUGUGGUCAGGAAUCGACUUUCAUAUAUUUUUUAGGGAAAUUAUCUUUGUACUGUCUUUAUUUUGUCAUAUAUACAUCUAAUCACUGUAAAAUUUUGACAUAUUCUUUACACCACUUUUGUUUCUCAACUUGUAUCGGUCAACCACUUUAAUAUUAAAAAUGACUAUUUUACCCCUAAAUAAAUUAAAAUAUUAUUUUAUUCUUUAAAAUUUUGAAAAAUAAAAAUAUAAUUACAAGAAUACCCCUAAAUUAAUAAAACAAAUAAAUCUCAAAAUCUAAGAUGUUAAUGUUUUAUAAUUAUAAUUUCAUUUAAUUUUUGUAAGUAAAUUAAGUAUGGCAAAGUUUACAAAAAUUAACAUGAAGAAAAAAGUACCUUAUAAUGAUUGUAAACUUCCCUAUAAUUAAAAUUAACAAAUUUUUCUAUACAAAUUGAAGAUUCUGCUGUAAGAAUAACUAGUUUUGAAGUCCAACAAAAAUACACUCACUAGUUGUGUUCUUGGAAUAUCGGCUUACAAAGUAGGACUUGUUACAAAUAUAACAUAUACAAUCACCAACAUAUAGGUUUUCUAUUAACCAUCAGCUGCAGAUACAAAACUUCCAAACCCAUAAUUAGAUAGUGUUAUACAUGAUCAUAUUAGUCAAGGAUUUGUGACAAAUGUCAAAUAACCAAAGUUUAGAUAUAAGCAAUAAAAUGAAAAUAUUAUUAAAAUAGUUGUAAAGCUUACCUAUUGAAGGAAAAUUACAGCAAGAAACAAUCACAAUAUAUUCAAGUUGGAGUUGGAUUGCACUUGGAGUGGUGAUACUUGACCCUCUCAUUAUAUUUCACUAGCCCUUGUUUUUUAGUUAACCCUAUUAAAAAUUUUAAACUAAUCUUUAUCUCUCAACAUACCCCAUCUUAUAUCGAAUUUACCCUUAUUAUAAUUUUUAUCUUUUUUCCAAAACAUUGUAUAAAACUUAUAAAAUCUAUUUUAAAAAGAAAAAAAAUUUAGAGUUACUAUAAUCUCUCUCUUUCUUUUUAAAAGUUUUAUUCACCGUGACCAUAACUGUAAAAAAAAAAAUUGAGUUUUGUUCAUCAUCCUCUAUUGAGUAUUGUAAAUUAACUUCUUUCACGAUUACAAAAAUAGAGUAUACAAUAGUUGAGAAGAGACAAUAAUUUAAAAAAGUUAAAAUAAAUUAAGGUUAAAGAAAUUAGAUUAGCUAAAUUAGACAUUAAUAGAAAUUAUCAUGUGAGUGCACUUAAAAACUAUUUAUCCUUUUAAGUUAUUUUAUAUAAGGAUAAAAUAGUUAUUAAUAUAAAAGUGAUUAGUGAAGGUUGGUGAGAUAUAAUGAGGGAGUCAAAUAUGACAACUCCUGCACUUAAAGAGCAUCCAAGCACACAAAUAAUAAUAAUAAUAAUACUAGUUAUGUUGUUUCCCAUAGCUUUUAUAAGUUUUCCUGGCCCAAGCAUCCCCUCAUUGUUGCUUAAUUCAUUUCGGCCCUUUUAACCCUUCAAGUUAUUUGAGCCUACUGAGCCCACUCCAGCUUCAAUCACCAUUUCAUUUUCCCGCCUGUGUUUUGUACUCCAGACACAUAUGGGUGCUUUAUUGCACUUUAAGAAAUUAGAUUAGUUAAAUUAGAUAUUAAUAGAAAUUAUUAUGUGGGUGUAUUUUAAAAGUUAUUUAUCCUUUUAAGUCAUUUUAUAUAAGGAUAAAAUAAUUAUUAGUAUAAAAAUAAUUUGUAGAGGCUGAUGAGAUAUAAAGAGGGAGUUAAAUAUGACAGCUCUUGCACUUAAAGAGCAUCCAUCCAAGCACACCCAAAAAAAAUAAAUACUAGUAAUGUUUUUCCCGUAGUUUUUAUAAGUUUUCCUGGCCCAAGCAUCCCUUCCUUCUACUUUUCAAUUAACUUUAGAAAAGUAGACAUAUCACAAAAUUGAACACCUAGUGAAAAGAGUGUAGUAAUUAGUAAAGCACCCAUAUGUGUAUAUAUGGCUCCCACGCACAUUUCAGUCAAUUGAUUAAUUAUCUUCGCAUUCCGCAUCAUUGUAACCCAGUGUAAAGAGAAAAAUCAAUUUCUCCAUGCUUUUUUUUUUUUUUUUUUGCAGUGAGAGAGUUGUUUUCUCUUUUUUUUUUUCAUUUUAUUAAAAAAAAUUUGUUUAAUCCUCUAUUCUUUUGUUUGUCGGUAAUUUUUUAACCCAAUAAGUUUAAAAAUUUUCCACAUAAAGUGCUUGUGUAUAAUUUUAUCUUCAAUAUUUUUUCAAAUUUCACUAUAAUUAUUGCAUGUCAUAAUUCCCUAACAAACACAAAAUUCCUCUGCAGCUAAUAUAAGGCAGCUUCUGAGAAAUUAUUGGGCGUACUUCAAAAAGGAAAAAGAAAUUAAAUUUUGAAAUUUUGUUUCAAAAUAAUUUUCACAGAUAUUUAUCAUAAAUCUUUUUUUCUAAGUCUUCUAAUUCCAACUCACAGUCAGCAAGUUAAACUGUCAUUCUAGGCAUCGUCAUUGAAAUUACUGAAUCUUUAAUUCGAAGAGGGUGUUUGUGUACUUAGGAUUUUAUAGUUCCUGGACGUCAGGAUUUUAUGGCUUUCCUCAUGCCAAAAUAAUGAAUUCAAAGUGUAUUUGAUCAUUCCCUUUUUAUCAUAUUCUUUAUUCUUUAUUUUGUUUUUGUUUUCACGGACGAGAUAGGGACUCAGCUAUCUUGCAACAGUUGCAAGGUACCAUCAAAUUUUGUCUUUUCUUAAUUUCAGUCCUUUGCCAUUAGAUUUAGUGAAAAUAUAGUUUCAAUAGUAGAGAUUUGUACAUUUAAAUAUUAACAUUACACUUUCUGAUAUUUAUUAAAAGCACAAACAAGUUAAAAAUGUAAAAGUUUUAGCACAUAAGUCUGGAUUGUUUACAAUUUAUAUUGUUUAAUUAGUAGUGAGUAUUAAAAAUAAAUUUUAUUUUUAAUAUUAUAUAUUUUAUUUAAAAGAAUAAAUUUUUAUUAUUAUUUAUUUUAUUAAAAAUAAAUGUUAUUUAAUAUUAUUUAUUCUAUUUUAUUUAAUAUUAUUUAGUCAUAUGCUUAUUAUUAUCUUUAUUCUCUCAAAAAACUAAAUAACAUAAAAUAAAAUAAAAUAAUCAAUAGGGAGCCUUAAAAAUAAAUAUUAUUUUAAUAUUUUUAUUUUUGUUUAUUUAAUAUUAUUUAAUCAUAGGCUUAUUAUUAUAUAUUUAUUUUUUAAAAAAUAAAUAAUAUUAAAUAAAAUAAAAUAAUCAGUAGUGAGCCUUAAAAAUAGAUAUCAUUUUUAAUAUUAUUUAAUUUUAUUUUAUUUAAUAUUAUUUAGUCAUAGGCUUAUUAUUAUAUUUAUUCUUUCAUAAAACUAAAUCAUGUUAAAUAAAAUAAAAUAAUCAGUAAUGAGUGUUAAAAGAUUAAUAUUAUUUUUAUUUAGUCAUAGGCUUUUAAUUAUAUUUAUUCUUUAAAAAACUGAAUAAUAUUAAAAAAUAAUAGUGUCUUAAAAAAUAUCAUUUUUAAUAUUAUUUAUUUUAUUUACUUUAAUAUUAUUUAGUCAUAGACUUAUUAUUAUAUUUAUUCUUUUUUAAAGAGAUAAAUAAUGUUAAAUAAAAUAAAAUUACAUUUUAGAAAGUUACUAGCCAAAGUAUAUAAACUUAUAAAUAAAUGAAAAAAAUAAUAUUAAAUAAAAUAAAAUUACAUUUUAAAGAGGUGCUAUUUCGUAGAGAUAAGAUGCUCGAUUCAGUAUGUUCCAUCAAACAAUUGCUCCACCAUUUGGCAUUUUUGUAGAUAAGCUAUCUUAAUCUGAUUAUUUUGUAGAUAAACUUCAAUGUACAAAACUCAGUCGUUUUGCAGCCGUUUGAUUAACCAUCAACAACUUGUAAUCCUGUGACAGUUUGAAACCAGAACAUAAUUAGUAUAAGCACAUAAAUUUUAGGAUCGAUUUAGACAUGGUAUGGUUUGAGUAUUUCUAACACUUCCUAGUGAUGCAUCUAUAGGAGUUUCUUUUAGAAAAUAUAUCAUUAAAUUGGCCAUCUUGACCAUUGACCAUCGUCUGAUUAUUAUUAUUUUUUAUCUCGCUUACCACGUUGAUAGUGCGGCAUUUUGGGUACUACAAAAAGCACAACGACGAUUAAAGAGCUGCUUCAAAUAAUUCAUCUUUCACUUUUGUUGGGUGAAGUGCCGCUUAACUACUUCAUGAUCCCCCCAGCACUUGAAGAGGGUACGUGUUUGUGUACUUAAGAGUUAAGACUAUCUAUAGUUUCUAUUUGUUGGGACUGUACGGUCUGCCCUAUUAAGCUUGCAUGGAACUUAACGUCGUAUUGCUAUAGUGUCACAAUAUAUACACGUUACAGCUAGCGAAAAUAACGAAGGAGAUAAUAAGUAAUACACUCCUUAACAUGAUGAACUACUGCACUUCUAAACAUAAUGAAAUACAACCAACUAAGAACGUGAAGAUCACGUUCAGCUAUUACGCCCCCGCAAGAGAGGUAUACCGUCGAGAACACCGAGCUUGGACCGUGCAUGCUCAAGGGGAAGCCGGGGAAGCGGCUUGGUUAAGAUAUCAGCGAGCUGAUGCUCCGAAGGAACAUGAGCAAUAGACAGCAAACCUUGCGCAAUCUUAUCACGAACAAAGUAAAAGUCAAUUUCCACAUGCUUCAUACGAGAGUGAUAUCUAGGAUUUGUGCAAACAUGAGUGGCACCAAGAUUGUCACAGAGCAGCUUGGGCAUAGGGGUCCGAAUACCAAGUUCGGAGAACAAGUGUCGAAGCCAACAAAGCUCAGAAACGGUAGCAGCAAUGGCGCGAAACUCGGCUUCAGUAGAGGAACGUGCCACAGACUUUUGCUUCUUCGAAGACCAGGAAAUGAGAUUGCCACCAAGGAAGAUAGCGUAAGCACUCGUAGAGCUGCGAUCAUCAAGAUUGCCCCCCCAGUCAGAAUCACUAUAAGCAGCAAGUAUAGAGGAUGAAGACUGACGAAGAAAAAGGCCAUGAAAAAUUGUAGCUUUCAAGUAGCGGAGAAUGCGCUUGGCAGCCUGCCAAUGCAACUGAGAGGGACUUUGCAUGAACUGAGAUAGUUUGUUGACCGCAAAGCAGAUGUCAGGACGAGUGAGAGUGAGAUAUUGCAAGGCACCAAGAAGCUGACGAUAAGACGUACCAUCAGCAGAGACAGAACCAUCGGUUUGUUGAAGACCAACGGUGGCAGACAGAGGAGUGGCAAUAGGUUUAGCAUCAGUCAUGCCAAACCGGUCCAAGAGAGAACGAACAUAGUGAUGCUGAGAGAGAAACACACCAGAAGGAGUGCGAAGCAACUCAAGCCCGAGAAAAUGAUGCAGAGAGCCAAGGUCCUUGAGAGCAAAAGUGGAAGCAAGACGAUGAAUGAAGUGCUGAAUAACCCGGCCAUGAGAACCAGUAAUAAUUAAGUCAUCCACAUAGACAAGGAAAUAAAUACGAUGACCAUCACGGUGAUAAAGAAAAAGAGAAGCAUCAGUCCUGCUUUGGUGGAAUCCAUAGGACAGCAAAAAUUUGUACAGAGUAAUAAACCAUGCCCGAGGCGCCUGCUUAAGGCCAUACAGGGACUUACGUAGCCUGCAGACAAAGGAAGGCUGGUUAGAGUCAAUAAAACCAGGCGGCUGCUUCAUGUAAACCUCCUCAUCAAGAGAACCAUUGAGGAAGGCGUUAUUGAUAUCCAACUGACGAAUCGGCCAACCAAAUUGCAAGGCUAAACAAAGAAUAACACGAACAGUAGUGGUCUUGACAACAGGGCUGAAAGUAUCGUGGUAGUCGAGACCAGGACGCUGAGUAAAGCCCUUAGCAACCAGCCGCGCUUUAUACCUGUCAACAGAACCAUUGGGGUGGCGUUUGACACGAAACACCCACUUACAACCAACCAAAUUUUGAGAAGGUACAGGAGGAACAAGAUCCCAAGUAUGAUUAGAAAUAAGAGCAUUAUAUUCAAUACGCAUGGCCUGAAGCCAUUGCGGGUCGGCAAGGGCAGCCUUAAUACUAGUUGGUUCAACAGUAGAGGGCAGCGGAUGUGUGGAAAUAAUAGGAGCGAGGGUAGUGUGGUCAAGCUGUUUUGGUUUAUAAAUGUUAUUGCGUGACCGGGUUAUCAUUGGAUGGGUUCGGGUCGGCAGUGGAGGUGGAGGUGUUGGUGGUGAUGGUGAUGGGGCUGUUGGUGACAACGGGAAAGUAGAUGGGGCCGGUGAUGAAAGAUUAGAAAUGGGAGAUGAGGGAGUUAGUACUGGUGCAUGGACAUGGGGAGGUAAAGAGUCAUAAGUAUGAGGGUUAUGAAUAAUACCCGAAGUAGAGGUGGAAGAGGCCGGUGAAGAAUCGGAGCUAGCAGGAAGCGAAUCCGAAGUUGCAAGACGGGAACCACCAGGAGAAGAGGAGUGAGCCGACAGAACCGGGACGGAAAAAAUGGAUGGAAACCAGGAGGUGAGUGAAACAGAGGAGGGAGAGGCAGUGGAUGUGAGAGAUUGAUAGGGAAAUUGAGACUCAAUAAAUUGAACAUCACGGGAAACAUAAAUCUUACCAGACUGAACAUCUAAACACUUGUAUGCACUUUGUUGUAGGCAAUAACCGAGAAACACACAAGGCUUGGACUUGGGCUCUAGUUUGUUGCGCGUAUAUGGGCGUAACCAUGGGAAACAGAGACACCCAAAUACACGUAGUUUGUCAUAAUUAGGAUGGGCAUCAAAUAAGAGCUGGAACGGACAGGUCAUGUAUGUAGUUUUGGAUGGUAGACGAUUAAUUAAGUAGGUGGCGGUUUGAAACGCAAACGUCCAAAAGCUAGGAGGUAGUGAGGCUUGAUGCAGUAACGCCAACCCCGUCUCAACAAUAUGUCGAUGACGACGUUCGGCGACUCCAUUAUGUUGUGGUGUGUAGGGUGGUGUAAACAAGUGAUUAAUGCCCGUCUGUUGAAAAAAUGAAGUGAGUUUGAGGAACUCACCACCACCGUCGGUGUAAAUAUUACGAAUAGUAGUACGAAAAUAAUUUUCAACAAGUGUUUUAAAACGAACAAAUGUAGAGAAAACAUCAGAUUUUAGUCGUAACGGAAAAAAACCAGACAUACUUAGUAAAAUGAUCAACGAAAAUCACAUAGUACUUAUAAUUAUCAAAGGAAGUAACAGGGGCAGGACCCCAAACAUCAGAAUAUAUUAAAUCCAAGGGACGAGUACUACAUAAAGAAGAUUUGCCAAAAGGGAGCCGAUGGCUCUUAUUGCAUAAACAAGACUCACAAGACUCAAAAUCCAAGUGCGAAGACAAAUUGAAAGUACGAAGAACAAAUUUCAAAAUAUCCCUAGACGGAUGGCCUAGACGUUGAUGCCAAUGAGCGGCAUUAGUUUUUAUUGUAGCAUUUGAAGUGGGCAAGGCUGGUACGGGGAAAGAAGAAGCUGCCGGCCACUCAUAGACACCCUGAUUAUUCCGGCCUUGCAAGAGGACCGCCCCCGUGCUCAAAUCCUUCACCUGAAAAUGAUCAUGAAAGAAUUCAAUGAAGGCUUUAUUAACAUUGCAAAAUUGAGACACAGAGAUUAAAUUUCUGUUGAUAGUCGGAACAUAAAGAAUAUUUUGCAAAUAAAAUUUUGAGCUAGAGGUACAUAAGGAAGUUGAGCCAGUGUGAGAUAUACCAAGACCCAUGCCAUUACCAACAAUGACGGAAUCAGAACCAUGGUAAGGACUAUGAGUGCUCAAAUUUCGGAGAUCUCCUGUAACAUGAUGUGAGGCGGCACUGUCGACUAACCAAUUGGGGUUGGAUGUGCCUGUGGUUGCUGUGUGGUUCAUAGUCGGACUGUUUUUGUGGGAGGUAAAAUCUGGACAAUCUCGUGCUGUAUGACCCUUGGUACCGCAAAGUUGACAGUAGCCCUGGUACCCGGUGGGCUGCUUCUUUUGAUAUCCUCCAUUGUUGCGAUACUGGCCUUGUGGGUUGCGAUUCUGAGACUGGUAAUUUCUGUUGUUGUUGCCAUUUUGAUUUGGAUACCCACGGUUAGAACCAUUAUUAAAUCCCGGAUUGCUGUCUCUUCUCUGGUUCUGAUAAGGGCCACGGUUUGUUGUUUGUUGUUUGACUGCGGCAUUGACAGUGAUAGCCGUGUCCAUGGAUUUUUCCUCUCGCUUCAACAUAUCUUCGUAAUCUACAAGCUUUUCAUACAGCUCAUCAAAGGAAAGUGGUGUCUCACGGAUCCGAACACCAGCAAUAAUUUCUUUGAAAUCUUUUCCUACGCCAUUAAUAAUUUGUAUAACGAGAUCAUCAUCUGUAACAGGAACAUCAAUCAAAGUAAUUUCAUCAGAAAUAGAACGUAAGUUAUUUAAAUAUUCGGCAACAGGUUGUCCAUCACGACGAGGUCGUGCAAGUCGUUCUCUAAGAGAGAUGACGCGACUACGGCUACGAUUGGAGUAUAGCCGUGCAAGCUUAUCCCACGCUUGUUUGGAUGUUGUGGAACUAGCUAUGAGUGGGGCAACUCUUUCGGUGCAGGAGGCUAGGAUGGAAUGAAAGAUCAACUGAUCUUGGCGUUUCCAUAAGGUAUAGGCUGUGUUGAUGGUAGGCGGACCAUUACUGCUGCCAGUUUCAUACGGAGAAGGGCACUCAGAUGUGCCAUCAAUGUAACAUGUCAGAUUGUAGCCAAAAGCUAAAGAGAGGAAUUGCGCUCUCCAUGUAAAAUAAUUUUCAGGUGUAAGCCGUAUAGGCAAUUGGGCAGCGGCGUUGAUUGAAACACAAUCAUUAGCUUGGUUAUUUGAUGAGUGGGGACUUUGGUUGGCUGGUGAGGUAGAGGAGAUGGCUGAGGGUUCGGCAGCCAUGGUGAAAGAAAAGAAAAAAGAAGGAUCGAUUUACUCUUGUUAGAGAGAGAAAGAGGGCUCUGAUACCAUAUUAAGCUUGCAUGGAACUUAACGUCGUAUUGCUAUAGUGUCACAAUAUAUACACGUUACAGCUAGCGAAAAUAACGAAGGAGAUAAUAAGUAAUACACUCCUUAACAUGAUGAACUACUGCACUUCUAAACAUAAUGAAAUACAACCAACUAAGAACGUGAAGAUCACGUUCAGCUAUUUGCCCUUCUGUCAUAACAAUGGAUUCAAAGUGUAUUUGAAUUCCACUUAUCAUAUUAAUUAUUCUGUUUAUUAUUUUGUUUUUGCUUUUUCGUUUUCAUUUUUCAUUAUACAUACAUACAUACAUACAUACAUACAUACAUAUAUAUAUGAAUUUUUACAAAAGAUGAUUUUGUCUUUGUAAUGUAAGUUUAACAAAGGUUAUAUUUGUUGAUUUAUACAUAUAAUAGAUUGUUUCAAUCUCCUAACAAGAGGAACAAAAGUAAUUACAAAUGAUUUGUCAAAUUUUGUUAAGUUACAAAAUAGUAUAUUAUACACUCAAAUCUAACAUCAAAUACAUAGCAAACAACAACUUCAAAAGCAAAAUCCCUAGAAGCAACUCCCAUAUCUUCAUCAACCAACGGCUUCAAAAGCAUCCCAUGAUUUUUGUUAAUAAUUCAUAGUUUCAUGACUGCAUAUUUUUAUUGAGUGAAGCCUUGCUUAAAAAACCCAUUCCACGAUCCCAGUCCCACCACGCACUUUGUAUAAAAUUCAAUUUAUUAGAAUAAUUAGAAUCAUUAGAAGAGGAAAUAUGUUUGUGUACUUUGGACUACAUAUGGUUCCUGAACGUUGGGAUUUUACGUGUGCCCCUUGCCUCCAUGUCAAAACAAUAUAUUUAAUUAAAGUGCAUUUGAAAUCCAUUAAGCAUAUUCUUCUAAUCUUCUCUUCAUUAUUUUGUUUUUGUAUAUGUUUGAUCAGUUCUGGUCGGUUAUAUAUACACAUGUACCAUUUGGAAAUAUCACAUUUUAUUCCCCAAUGCGAUAUAUUUUCUUCUCCAUUGAAGGUUCUCUGAAUGCUAUUAACCAAAAAAUGCAACAUUCUGUUCUGUUUAUGAAUUGGGAUUAUUUGCUUCUGGCUGUCACUGACUCAUUGAACAUUAGCAAUAUAGCAUUAGGUAGUGCCAGCUCUUUUCUUUUUUGUCUUUGUCUUCUCUAGUUCGAGCUACAAAUCCAUGUUCCGAUGAAUUCCUUUUCCAUCUCCUCUCCAUUGUUUGGCUUCAAUAUUUUGGAUUUGAAGUAAAUUUUCCGCAUAUUUAUUUUGCAUCAACCUUAACAUUGUAUGUGAAAAAAUUCUGCAUAUUUAUUUUGUCCUGCAGAGACGAUUUUUUGAAACUCACAUACAAUAACAUAAGGCAGCUUCAAAGAAAUUACUGGGUGGAGUUCAAAAUGAGAAAAGAAAUUAAAUUUUAUUGGACCACCGUCAUGAAAUUUUAAAUUUUUUGGACCACAAUCCGCCUUUGUCUUUUCAUGUGAUUGCAAGCUACUCGAUGACAUUGAUUGAUCAUUGACACACGCACACGGAUAAGUCAGUGUUUACGGGGAAAGAUAAUAUAUAUAUAUAUAUAUAUUCCACUAUUAAAAUAGGGAAUAUAAAUAUUGAAAUAUUUAUCUUACAAUCCAAAUUCUUAAUACAAUCAAGUUCUCAGAUCACUCGAGAACAUUUUAGUUAUCUCAGUUACUAAAGAAUUGCAUUUUAGUUAUCUCAGUUACUAAAGCUUGCUUCUCAUAAAACACACGUUAAGUUUUCAAAUUGUUGGAGAACUUUUCUCUCACUGGCUCAUGAAUUUUGCAUCCAAUUUAUAAACAAAUCUAGAUUUCAAAUGUAAAAUUAUGAUUUUUUGUCCUUCACAUCCAGCAUCCAAGAAGGCUCAAGGAAAGUAAGUAAUCGUGAGUAUGAAUCUAUUAAAAAAUAUGCUCUGAGAUUAAUUGUUCUUUUAGAUUAAUUGGUCUUUUAUUUUAUUUUUAUUUUUAUUAUUUUCUUUAGUGACGGUGGCGAAUAUUAUUUACGCCUUUUUUUAUUAUUAAUUUUUAGCUAUCAUUCCCUAUUUCUUUCCUUUGGAAAAACGCUGUUCAACAAUAACCAUAAAGCUGCAAUUUAAGGCCCUACUCUUCAGCAAAAUUAUUGUGGAGGGUGCAGAAAUAGUAAUAGAGUGUUUUAGUCUAUUCAGUGUGCAAAUAACCCAAUGUUAUAAGAGUUAUGAAUAUAUGUUGUAUGUAUUUGUAAUAUUUUUGUUUUGGGCGGGGGUUAUAUUAAUUUAAGAAUUUAACUUAAAUCUAGACAUCAAAAUAUGACCAUUUAUUUCGUUCAAUCAAUUAACACACGAGGAUUGUUUGUUGAUUGGAGAGGCUAAAACUGAGUGGGAAAGUAAAGCAACAGAGGAAUAGAAAAGAUCUAUGACAAAGAUCGAUGAACAGAAGUGGAGAGGAACAACAGUGGGCAUGAUCUAAUAUUGAAUUACAAAUAUGUUGGCCUUACGGAAUAUGUCGUUGACAAAAUUAUGGAGUAUUGAUUUCUUGGGGAUGAAUAUGAUUUGUGAGAAUGGGGAUGAAUUUUGUUUCCCCCAAUUUAGGUUAGGAAUUGCUAUUACUAGUAUAAUCGUUGAGGAAUGAGGAAAAAGAGUCGGUAUUCUCUCUCUUCCUUUAUUAAGUUUUAAUAUGUCAUCUAUGUUUUUUGUUUUCUGAAUCUUAUUUUAUUAAAGUUUUACUAUCACAUAAUCAAUCAUCUCAUACCUUAGAAUGAAUUAAAUAAAUUUUAAAGUUUUGAUGCUUAGAUUACAAUCAUAUUCUUAAGUUAAAAUAUCCCCUCCCGUUUGUUUUUUAUCUAAAAAAAGAAAAAAAAACAUUGGUACUAAAAAAUAAAUAAUCUUAUUUUUACUGAAAAUACAAUAUUUUUAGUCUUCUAAUUUGUUUAUUUUAAAAGUAACUCAUUCACUGCUUUGCAAAAUCAAAAUCUCCUGUGGCAAUGAAUUGAUUUUACAAGAAGUAAUUUUAAUAGUUUUUACCAACCAUUUAAAUUCAUCAUUAGCUUCUCAAUAUCACUUUUGAAAAUCCCAACAACAAUCUCAAAUUGGUCAAUAAAUUACUUCAUUUUCUAAAUAGUAAACAUAAAAUGAUGGAAAUAAUUUUUAUAUCAUGAAAGUAAAAAUAAUUUUAUUAUUUGUAUCAAAUUAAUAUUAUUUAGAUAUAUUUAUAUUUAAUUAUUAUGUUAUUAAAUUAUCAAAUAAUAAAAAUAAUAUUUUUAUUCACAAUAAGACAAAUUUAGAGAAAAAUUAGAUGGUGUUUGCUAGGAAAACUUAAGAAGGAAAUUAAUAUGGAACUGUCCCACCACUUGGGAUUCUUUCACGGAGCGUUUCAGUGGAUCUCAUUGAAUUUUAUUUUGAAAAAUCAAUUGAUAAUACUGGGAUGGUAUAGCCUGAUAAUACUCUGAGCGGUCCCUUCAACCUUUUUAGUUGUCGUACACGAAUUAUUUCUUCACUUGAAAUAAAAGUCAACAAAGCUGCAUCUUCACUGAAAUUAUUGUCCACAGUGCUUCCUGGAAAAUGAGAUAAAGAUAAUUUUGAAGAAACUUUUAGGAAGAUUCCAAGCAUUAAUAAUUAUUUAUAUUUACUUAUAAUAAAUUACUUUUAAUAAUAAUAAUUUAUAUCAUGAGUAUUUCUAUUAUAAAAUUUUUAUAUGAAUGUAAGUGCAUAAAAUAAUUGUUUAGAGUGUAAAUAAUCUCGUCUAAUUGAUAAUCCUCGCUAAUCAAAUACAAUUUGUUAAUAGGGCACGAGUCACUGCCCCCCUUGAGAAUUGAGCACAGAAGCAUUUACUAUUUUCUAUGGUGGAUUGUUGGGAAAUUUACACCCUUUCCACAUUUUUCCCUGGAAGGUUCCAAGCAUCGUUUUACUCUGCACAGACACUGCAGUCACCAACGUUUGCUCGAGAAAAAUACGCCGAAUUUUCCGGGAAAUUUUUUGCUUUUUCUCUUCAAAAGUAAAGUUUGGGGACAGAAAUGUUAAAGGUUUAAAGGUGGGUACAAUUAUUCUUCUUGUUGUUAUUUACGCAUUGCCUUCCAUUCACAUUAGUCGGUCUUCAAUUAAUUUUAGAUAAGGAAAUGAAACUACCACAAAAUUAACUCCAAGUGAGGGACUACUGAAGCAGCCAUAUAUUCCACGCGCAUUUUAUUCAUUUAAUUAACUUAUGAUCACAUCCCACAUCAUAUUAUUAUUGUAUCAACUUGCACGGUCGUAACAAUUAACAGAAAUUUUCAUUAAAAUUAUUACAUUAAUUUUAAAAUAGAAAUAAGAAAAAAAAAUCUUAAUACUGAAAAAACAUAAGAUGAAAUCGUGUGUCAUUUGUCACGAGUCAAACUUUUGAGAAAAAUACACGAAUGAAUGUGGCGCGUAAAAGGUGUUGAUGUACUAUCAACAUUUUCAUUUUAUUUUUAUUUAACUUCCAUAUAUUUUUUUUAUAAGCUGUCAUCAAUUAUUUGUUUCUUGCUCUGCGCGUGCACGACAAGACCUACUAUUUGCACCCUUUUAACCCUUUUAGUUGUCAUGCACUAUUUUCCUUCUUCACUUGAAAUGAAACAGUCGGUAAAGCUGCAUCUUCAGUCGAAUGUAAACUUUUUAAGAAAAUAAACAUGUUAGCAACCAAUCAGGGGCAUGAAAAUGGUUGUACAUAUAUAUAUUUGCUGACAAUUCCUCUUUGAAAUUAAUCGUCUUUUAUAUUAUCUUUCAAAAUAUAAUAUAUCUGAUCACAUGGAUUAAUUUAGAGGAUAUAUAAUUUCAAUGAAAGACUACUAAUCGAGGGCAGUUUCGAUUCUGAUUGAAUGGUAGAUGUAUAUAUGAGCAUCAUUCUAAUCAUUAAAUUGCUAAAAUUAGGAAGUUAACUUCGAUCCAACAAUUAACUUUAAUGGAGCAGCAGGGAGUUGUUUUCUUGUUUAAUUGUUUUGUUUAUGUUAGAGUUAUUUUAUUAAUAAAAAAUUGGGUUAUUAUCAUUUCACUAUUUUAAAAAUUGUGAAAUAUCAAAUGACUACAACAAGUAUUGUCUCUUAUCAAUUUUCUAUUAUAUCUUUAUAAAAAUAUCAUUUUACUACUUUUUUGUUAUAACCAUUAGUUGACCAAUUAAUUGACUAACAAAAUACCAAUUUUCACCCUUCAUGAUUAAAAAAAAAUACUUAAAACUUAUUUACAAAAUAAAUUUGUAAUAUAUUUAUUCAAAUGAAUAUAAAAUACGGGAAAAGGACAAACACACCCCUAACGUUUAAGCAAAGGGACAAAAACUCCCCUAAUGUUUCAAAAAAGACAUUUACACCCAAAUUUAUUAUAAUUUUACUAUUAUACCCUUCUAGCAUAUAUAUAAAAAAUUAUUAGAUUAUCCAAUUUGUCUAUAUAUUGUUAAUAAAAUUAUAAAUAGACCCUCAUUGCCUCAUUCUUCUAUUUAAAUUUUUAUCAAUAACCAAUUUUCAAAAAAGACAUCUACACACUUAAAAAAAAUUAUAAAUAAAUUAUAAUUUUAAAAAUAAAAUUGGUUAUCAAUACCAUAAUAAAUAACAUAGAAAAUUAGUUAUAAAUAUACAAGUUUAAAUGAUUGACAUGUGGAGAAUCGUUAAAUAUGCAAGUUUAAAGUUUAAAUAAAAUUGGUUAUUAAUAACUAAUUUUAUUUUAAACUUAUAAUUUAUUUACAAUUUUUUUAGGUGUAUAGAUUUUUUUUUUUCAAAUUGAUUAUUGAUAAAAAUUUAAAUAGAGGAAUUGGGCAAUGAUGGUAUAUUUAUAAUUUUUUUAUAAUAUCCAACUAGUCUAUUUAUAAUUUUAUUAAUAAUAUAUAGACAAAUUGGAUAAUCUAAUAAUUUUUUUAUAUGUUAGAAGGGUAUAAUGGUAAAAUUAUAAUAAAUUGGGGUGUAAAUGUCUUUUUUGAAAUGUUAAAGAGGAUUUUUGUCCCGUUACCUAAACGUUGGGGGUGUGUUUGUCCUUUUUCCUAUAAAAUACCAACAUAAUUCUUUUUGCUGGAAUUAUGAUAUAUGAAUUACAAAUUUAUCUUAUUAUUUUUUUAAUCAUGAAGGGUAAAAUUGAUAUUUUAUUAGUUAACUAACUGGUCAACUAACGGUUGUAACGAAAAAGUAGUAAAAUGAUAUUUGUUGUAACAGAAAAGUAGUAAAAUAAUAUUUUUAUAAAGAUAUAUUAUGAAAAUGAUAGGAGAUAAUACUUGUUGUAAUCAUUUGAUAGUUGACAAUUUUUAAAGUAGUAAAAUGAUAAUAACCCUAAAAAAUUUAGUUAAAAAAGGGUCUAAUGAAUAUUUUGGAAGGUUUAAAUAACCUCACCCCCCCUUUUUUUUUUAUAAUGGAUGCUUUUAUGAUUUUAUCCUCACCAACCUAAUUUAUAUGAAAUAGUAUACUAAUGUUAGGGGAGGUAUUUGAGAAUAUGUGAAUAUAAUUUAUUAAACGGAGAAUACGCCAAAAAUUAGGGGAGGUUUCUGAUAAUUACCCUUUUAGUUACUCCUCCUCAAUCCGUCCAAGGGCAUGAACUUGAGGGAAGGGUCAGGUUCUGUGGUGGUGUUAAUAAAAAGAUAAAUUACAUUGGAAAGUAAGUGGCGUUUGUUGGGAAAUUCACACCCUUUAACCUUUUAGCUGUCAUUCGCUGUUUUCUGAUCAAAAUGAGUCAACAAAGUGAUUCAACUUCCAAGCACCGACAUAUUCCACAGUUCUUUGAUUCAAUUAAUGUUUUAUCUUAUCAAAAUCUAUCUAAUCAAUUGAACUGUUUCUGCUAUGGCUUCAGGUACCAGUACCACAAUUAACAUGUAAAUUUGAAGGAUCAUGCUACGUUACAAAUUAUAAAAUGGGGUGUCUGAUCUACUUAGACCCACCACCAGUUAAUCCAUUGGGCUUAUCUUAAUUUUGCCUAACAUAAUCUGUACGGUAGGCGAGCCCAAGUGUAAAUAAAUCAUGUGUUUAAGAAGAAGCGUUAAAAAGUUGUUAAAUAAUUCUACAUAUUGUGGAAGUGGUGUAAAUCGUGUAUUUAUAGAAAAAAAUGUAUUGAAAAAUCUAAGUCAUAUAUUGAUCUACAAGUGAGUGGUCCAUAGACACUCUGUAGUUAAUUAGAGGAGCUGUUGAUUUGAGAUAUGAAUUUACAAAUGUAAAUUCAUGAGAGAAAAACAAAAUUUUCUGGUCAAAAUCUUUGAACACUGUAGUUAAUUGAAUGAAACACAUCGCAUUUUCUGGGAAAUAUUUUAGCUUUUUGUCAUUGCCUCACAUUAGUCGGUCUUCAGUGGUAGUGAAGCAUCCAUAUCUUUUACGUGCAUUUCAUUCAAUUAAUUUAUUAUCAUCACAUCCCACGUUAUUGUUUCAACUUGCACCGUCCGAAUAACUAACAAGAAUCUUUAUUGAAAUUAUUGUGCCACUUUUAGAAAAGACAUAGGAAAAAAGUUGAAUUCACAAGUCCAACUUUAAAAAGGCCGAAAAAAAAAAAAGACUGGAGUAGAUGUCACAAGUAUUAAAUGCAUUGAUGAGGUUUCAACAUUUUUUAAAAAUAUUUUUAUAUAAUUUUUUACCAAAGUUCAAAUAACUAUUUUCAAUUAGUUUUAAAGUAAUAUAUAUAAGAUGAUGAUGAUAAUACGGGAUCAACAUAAACAUAAAAUUCAUUGGUGCUCCAUCAACAUUGAUUUUCCCAUCUCUUCAGUAAAUGUUUUACAUAUUUGUUUUGCAUCUAAUUUAAUAUUAUUGAAAGUUAAUAGACGUGAUUAGUAAUAAAUAGAAGACUAAAAAUAUUUAAAGAAAUAGGGCUAAGCGUGCUGCGUGCAUGAAAAUAAAUACAAGAGAUUAAAUGAAAAGAAAAGAUUGGGUGGUUGACUUCAAAAUGGACACAUAAAAUAAAUUUUGAAUUUUGUUUCAAAAUAAUUUCCAGCAUACAAAUUUAAUUAUAUAGUAACUCCUUUUUCUAUGUCUUCUAAUUUCAACCUACAGUCAGCAAGUUAAACCGUUAUUCUAGUUCUAGGCAUCUUCAUUGGGAUUAUUGCAUCUAUACUUUACCAAAGGGAAAAAAAAUUGUCACGAAACAGCGUGGAAGGUUCAGAGAAAAUAUUUGCUAGUGUUUUCUUUUUUUUAAAUUUAAUUGGUUGAAUUUAUUUUUUUAUUUUUUUUAAAAAAGAAAACUGUAUUACAAAACUUCCCGGUAGGUUCCACAGAACUAUCUAAUAAAGCAUCUUUAUAUAACCUCCAUUGACACAGUCGCAUUAAAUUAUUUUCACAUCCCAAAUUUUCUCAUCUGAUCAAAUCUCUCAUCCACUGAACUGUUAUGGCUUCUUCUUCCUCUUGUCCACCUCGAAACGCUAAGAAGAUGUAUGACGUUUUUCUGAGUUUCAGAGGAGAGGACACCCGUGACAACUUUACUAGCAUUCUUCACCUUUUUUUGUCUAUGAAAAGUAUCAAAACUUUCGUUGAUGACCAACUUAUCAGAGGAGAGAACAUUUCACGGUAUCUUCUUGAUAUAAUUGAAGCAUCAAGCAUCUCAAUUAUUAUUUUCUCACAAAGGUAUGCUUCUUCUAGAUGGUGUCUCGAUGAACUUUUGAAGAUCCUCGAAUGCAAGCACGAGUAUGGAACGAUUGUGAUUCCAGUUUUCUAUCACGUUGAUCCAUCACAUGUGAGAUCUCAAAGCCUGGAUUCUCCUUUUGGGAAGUAUUUUAGUGAGCUUGAAAAACAUUAUCCAGAGAAGAUGCAAAGAUGGAAGAAGGCUUUGACCGAAGCAGCCAACCUCUCUGGCUUUGAUUCUCAUGUCAUUAGGUACAAUAAUUUUCUUCUGGCUUUGAUUCUCAUGUCAUUAGGUACAAUAAUUUUCUAUCUGAUUCUUAGUAUUACAUUAACUAUGACAAUGAGUUUAAAUAUUUAUCCAUAAUAUAUUAAAUAAAUCAUUCUUAAUAAUGGGGAUUAGGUUAUUUUCUUGCACAUUUGAAUAACUUUCCAAUUAUUUUAUUUGAUGAAAUUCACAUUAUAUUAAUUAGCUAUUUCAUAUUGCAACUAAUUAAAAACACACGAUUCUCUGUCUCGUUUACAUAUAUUUGAACUAUGUUAAGAAAAUGUAAGCUGAGUCAGAUUGCCACGUCAUCAGUUGCCAAGCUGUCAUUCUGUUAUGCAGAGUGUCAUUAGAUUCGAAGUUUGUUAAGUUCCUUCCAAAAGUUCGUUACUAUCAGCUAGUUCUCAACUCAUGCUUUACACGUUGUAGAAGAAUCCAGAUCACACUAUAAAUAGCUCUGUAAUGUUUAGAUUGUUAUGUGAGCUUAAUAGAAACAAAUUUUCCAGCUUCUAGAUUUCUCUCGUUAAGCAUUUUCUUUCUCUUUCUUCUUUAUUUUCUUGUUAAACAAACAGAGUCUGGUACGUCUUAACUAACUAUAUAAUUGCUGUUAUUUUUUUACUAGGCCUGAAUCUAAACUUAUUGAGGAAAUUGCCAAUGACGUUUUGAAGAGGCUAGAUGCGACUUUUCAAAGUAAAAACAAAGGCUUGGUUGGAGUUGAAUGCCCCAUUGAAGAAAUUGAAUCAUUAUUACGCGUUGGGUCUGAGGGUGUUUGCAAACUAGGGAUUUGGGGCAUCGGUGGUAUAGGCAAGACAACAAUCGCUGGUGCUGUUUUUAACAAAAUCUCUAGACAUUUUGAAGGUUCUUACUUUGCGCUUAAUGUUAGAGAAGCAGAAGAAACUGGCGGAAUAAAGGACUUACAAAAGAAACUUCUGUCUGAGCUAUUGAAUGAUGGAAAUAUGAGGAACAUCGAGUCUCAACUCAACAGACUUGCUCGCAAGAAGGUUCUAAUUGUUUUUGAUGAUGUGAGUCAUCGAAGACAAAUAGAAUCAUUAAUUGGAUGCCUUGAUGAGUUAGCUUCAGGGAGUCGAGUAAUAAUAACAACAAGAGAUAAACAAGUCCUUAAAAAUUGUUGGGCCAAUCAAAUAUAUCGGAUGAAGGAAUUAGUAUAUGCUGAUGCUCAUAAGCUUUUCUGUCAGUGUGCUUUUGGAGGAGACCAUCCAGAUGCAAGUCAUACAGAGCUCACAGACAGGGCAAUCCAAUAUGCACAGGGAGUUCCUUUAGCUCUUAAAGUUUUGGGUUGCCAUCUAUGCGGAAGGAGCGAAGAGGUAUGGGAAAGUGCAAUGAGAAAACUGGAAAAAAUUCCUCACGAGGAAAUCCAGGAGGUGUUAAAAAUAAGUUAUGAUAGCUUGGAUGACUCUCAGAAGAAUGUUUUUCUAGAUAUUGCAUGUUUCUUUGAAGGAGAGCAUAGAGAUGAGGUGACAAGCUUUUUUGAUGCUAGUGGCCUCGAAGCUAAAAUAGAAUUAAGUGUUCUUGAAUGUAAGUCUCUCGUAACUUGCUUCCAUAACCACAUAAGAAUGCAUGACUUGAUACGAGAUAUGGGAAGAGAAAUUGUUCGAAAUGAAUCUAUCGAUCAUCCAGGAGAGCGCAGUAGGUUGUGGUAUCACAAGGAUAUUUAUGAAGUUUUGAAGAACAAUUCGGUGAGGAAUAAUAAGUUUUUAAUUGUAUCUUAUUUGUGUUACAUUUAUAUUAGCAAUUUGUCUGAAUAUGUCUUUUUGAAUAAGAAUAGCAUUAAUACAGCUUAAAAUUAAUUGAAAAAUAAUAUUAAAAAAUUGGUAAAAUAAAAUAGAUAGAUCCGAUGUUUCCCCAACUCAGUUUGAAACAUGCCUCUAAAAUCCCCAGCAAACUAGCGCCUUCGGAGAGAGACCCAAAAAAAAAAAAAAAAAAACACCUCAAAUCUUAUUGCAUUUCCUUUUCAACUCAAGCUCUGCCCCUAUCCUUAUUUUUCACUAAAAAAAAUUGAUUGAAUUAAUUUUACAGUUUACAUAUUAAGCAUUUUCUUGAAUUUUCUAUUUUACACUUCCUAAAAGCAUUACCCAAAUAGUUUAUUAUAAAGUGAUUGUAAUAUCUCUAUUUGGGUUUGACGGCUUAAAAAUAAUUGUUUAUUUGUUUGCUUCAAUUAUAUACCAACUUAUGAUCUCCUAUUUGAUUGUUAGGGAACUGAAAAAAUCAAGGGUAUCUUCUUGGAUAUGAAUAAAGUCAAUAGAGAGAUACACAUGAAUUCCGAUGCUUUCUCAAAGAUGCCUAACUUGAGAUUCUUGAGAAUCUAUGGAGAUGAGAACAAAUGUAUGGUCUCUCAUUUAGAGGGUGUGCCAUUUGCUGAAGUGAGGCACCUCGAGUGGGCUCAAUGUCCUUUGAAAACGUUGAAUAUAUGUGCGGAGAAACUUGUUUCACUUAGAAUGCCUUGCAGCAAGGUUGAACAACUUUGGGAUGAUGUUCAGGUAUAUAUUUAUUUGAAAUUCUUUCAGUAAUAAAUUCUAAAUACAAUUGAUGCUAUAAUUAAUAUAUGUGAUAGUAUAUGUUUAUUUAUAAAGAUGAUGAUGAUGAUAAUAAUAAUUUUUUUUUUUGGGGGCACAGGAUCUUGUUAACUUAAAAGAAAUAGACCUCAGUGGAUCCAUGUUGUUAACGAAACUCCCAGACUUGUCACAGGCCAAAAAUCUUAAGAUUCUGAUGUUAGGCGGCUGUUUAAGUUUGAUGGAGACUCGCUCAUCUAUUCAAUAUCUAAAUAAACUUGAAGUUCUUUAUCUAAGAAAGUGCGAAAGCCUGACGAGUCUUCCAACUAGCAUUCCUUUCAAAGAUCUCAUGAACUUCCCAAGUGUCACAUCUUGUCAUGUAUAUACUUUAGAGUUAGUAAAAGUUGGAAUCAAAGAACUGCCCUCAUCCAUCGAGUGCCUAUCCAAUCUGAAAAAACUAUAUAUUGUGGACUGUUCAAUGCUUGAGAGCAUCUCAAGUAGCAUAUUUAAGUUGAAGUCUCUUCAAUCUAUUGAAAUAUCUAAUUGUCCAAUUUUCGAGAGGUUUACAGAGAUCCCGUCUUGUAAUAUAGAUGGAGGCAUUGGAAUUGAGCGACUAGCCUCAUGUAGGUUGGUACUGGAAGAUUGUUCAAGUCUUCAGAGUCUCCCUAGCAGCCUGUGUAUGUUCAAAUCUCUGACAUCUCUUGAAAUCAUUGACUGCCAAUAUUUCAUGAUAUUGCCUGAUGAACUUGGAAAUUUAGAAGCCUUGGAGACGUUGAUCGUUGAUAGAACUGCUAUGAGAGAAGUACCAGAAAGCCUUGGUCAAUUAUCCUCACUAAAAAUUUUGGUACUAUCUAAUAUCAAGAGAUUACCAGAAUAUUUGCAACUACAUUUGCAACUACCCGAAAACGGUUUGGAGGGAAUACCAGAAUACCUGAGGAGGAGUCCAAGGAAGUUGACAUUGGAUCCGAAUGAGCUCAGUGAAAUCGUCAAAGAUGGGUGGAUGAAGCAGGUGUGUCUCUUAACUCACUCCUUUCAAUUAUAUUUUCUUUAAUUCAAGCUAUCAUUAUUUUUCAUAAAUUAAUAAUUUUUUAUUUUUGUGUUGCAGUCGUUUGAUGGAAACAUUGGGAUCACUAAAAGUAUGUAUUUCCCUGGGAAGGAAAUUCCAAAGUGGUUUAGGUAUCAAAGUAUGGGAUCUUCUGUAAACUUGAAGAAGCGACCAGCAGAUUUCUUAAAUAAUAAAAUAUUAGUAGGCUUUGCUUUUUGCAUUGUUGUAGCAUUUCCAGCCUCACGGUACUGUGACUUUGAGCAUCAAAUCCGAAGGAAAUCUCGACCGUCAGUCUUUGGGAAUUAUGACGUGUUCUGUGAUUGGAAACACAAAUCCCAAGGAAAUCUCGACCGUCGAUCUUUGGGGAGAAUUAGUUAUGUUGAGUCAGAUCACGUGUUUUUGGGAUCUUAUUUAUUGGGUUCUGAGGAUUUAAGUAAAAGAGAUGAUGAGGUCUCUUUUGAUGAGGUCUCUUUCUACACUAAGAGAGAUGAUGAGGUCUCUUUCUACAAUUGUUCUUUAAAUAAGAGGAUUUACGGUGAAUAUUGUGAAGUGAAACAAUGUGGGAUUCAUUUUGUGUACGCUCAAGAUUCUACGGAUAAAGUGAAGAGGAAGAGGAAGAGGAAGAGGAAGAGGAAGAGGAAGGAUGAAGAGAAGAGGAAGAGGAAGAGGAAGAGGAACCACACACCAAAAGACUGAAAUGUUCUUCAACUCCAAAGCAGCUGGUACUCUUUGGCACGAAAAUCAAUCUGUAGACCUUGUUUUUGUCUUCAUUUUAUAUAUGCAUUUUUCAUUUUACGGAAUGCAAUGCCAAUGAGAAAUUCAAGCAACCAUCAUUGAAUUGGAAUUGACAGGUUUGGCCGCCAAAUAUUUGCUUAAUUUAUUAUUCUAGUCAGUGCUUCCCCCGCGAGAGUACUGCCCUUUAUAGAUUUACAAGAAUAUUUGGUUAUUCUUAAUUAAUAAAUUUAUAAUCUAUAAAUUUAUAAUAAUGAAUAUCUCGUUUAAUCGUUCGUGAGAUCGGGCCGAGAAACAAGGAAAAAGUUGCAUAUUGUUAGCAUGCCUUAGAAAUUCAGAAUAAUGUCUAAGUGCAGUUGAUAACCCUUGAAUUAUAACUUUUAGCAUGAGAGAUAUUUUAUGAGCAUAAUUUUUGAGGGCUCUUGUAGGUUAGCUCCAUGAAGCAUAUCAUCUUGUAGAAUAUCUGUGGUUUGAGUAUUUUAUAGAAUGACUUUGGGAUUGGGUUUGGGAUGAACUGGCAUUGUUGUCAAGGUACAAUUUAUACUUUGAAAUUUGGCAGUCUGAAAUCAUGUUGGCUCAGUUCUCUUCAAAAUUGCUAUAUUGCAUGCAGCUAUAUAAAGCUUUUGUAAUCUGCUGUUAUAAUCAUGCUGAAUUUUAAUCACUACAGGGACUGAGCUCCCUGUAUGCGCUGUGGAUUACAGUUGCUUGAUUCAUUUAAUGGCACGGUGUUUUGCAAAUGGUUUAUUAACCUUUUUGGUGCCUUAUCUAACGGUUUUUUUUUUUUGGGUCUUGAUUUUGCAGCACCACCAUUGAAAUUAAUUGGCUUGCCUGGAUUGGAUCAACGAAUAAUGGAUGAUUCAUUGGUGAGUGCUUGUUUAAUUUUUUUAGACCUUGAUGCUCUAAAUAUUGAUGUAUCCCAUUAUAUAUUUAUUUGAUAGAUGUUAUUUGCUUGUGUUUUCAAUGGUGGAAAGAUGUGGUCUGUUCUUUGCAUGUGAAUUAUGGUUGGUAACUUAUAAGUUAGUAACAAUAAUUUUGUGAUGUCCCUCAUAGGUUAGUGAAUAUGCCGAGUACAAUGAUGCUAUUUUACUAGUAAUUAUUCCUGCUGCCCAAGCGCCUGAAAUUGCUUCAUCUCGAGCUCUUAGAGUUGCCAAGGAGUAUGACGGAGAUGGUAAUAUGCUUAGACAUUUUUAUACCUCUAAUUUUGCUGUUAAAUUUUUUGAUUUGUAAAUCAAAAGAUAUGCUAUUUAUGAUUUUCAUAAUCUUUGGCACACUAGUACAUUUUUUGGUGCAUCCUUUGAAGUUGCAGGAAUGUAACUCUGCCUUCUCCUUCCUAUUGCUAUCAUUACUGUUUCCUUGUUAAUUCUUUAUCUCGCUAAUUUGGGAGCUUAUUUUGUUAACGACAGGAACCAGAACUGUUGGUGUAAUAAGUAAAAUAGAUCAAGCUUCUGCAGACCAAAAAGCUCUUGCUGCUGUGCAGGCUCUCCUGUUAAAUCAAGGUCCACCAAAAACAGCUGACAUUCCGUGGGUUGCAGUAAUUGGUCAAUCAGUAUCACUAGCUACUGCUCAGUCUGGAUCUGAGAGCUCCUUAGAAACUGCUUGGAGGGCAGAAAGUGAGUCUCUUAAGUCUAUAUUGACUGGUGCUCCUCAGAGUAAGUUAGGCAGAAUAGCUUUGGUGGAUGCUUUGGCUCAGCAGAUCUGCAAGCGUAUGAAAGUCCGGGUGCCAAACCUCGUCUCUGGGUAUUAAAUGAUUUCCACAUGCUGCAUGAAAUGUUUCAAUUUUACGCAUGUUUUAGUUUAUCUUUGGAAAGUUGCAUUCUUUUUUUUUUUUUUUUUUGACGCAUGAAAAUGAUUUUCUUGAACACACUUACAUCUUUGGAACUUGUUUUACUGUCACAAAUGGAUUGUGAGAACUUGGCAAUAGGAAGUUCGAGAUACAUUUAACCAUAAAAAAUUUCUCUUCUGCCUGGUAGGCAUGUCAUUACUAAUCAUUGUGCUUGUAAUUGUCUUCGAUGGUUAGAGGAUGAUGAUUAUUAUUGUUAUUAUUAUUAUUAUUAUUUUUUAACUUCUAUCACCCCUAUAACUCUUUGUCUUGCACUUUGCAUUGUAGUUAAUAAACACAGUUCAGUGGGAGUUAAAAUUGAAAAUAAAGAUAUCUUAAUUCAUAUAAUUAAUUAUUCCUCGACCCUUUUUCAUGACCCAGCUUAAUGUGUAAAUAUGUAUUCAGUUUUUCCUUUAUGAAGUGUAUGAGUACUUCUUCCAGUUAAGGUAACUCCUUUAUUACUUAUACCUGUGCAGGUUACAAGGAAAGUCUCAAAUAGUUCAGGAUGAGUUAGUGCGGCUUGGUGAGCAGAUGGUCCAGAGUGCUGAGGGCACGAGAUCUUUGGCUUUGGAGCUUUGUCGUGAAUUUGAGGAUAAGUUUCUGCAACACAUUACAACUGGUGAGGUGAGUUAUUUUUGUUUUUGUGCUUGGUGACUUUCAUGUAACAUAUGUCUUCUUUCUUAGUUUGCUUAUAUUGUUUUGAUUUCUCAAUUUGUUUUUCAGUAAUAGUGUAUAUUACCAUGUACAAGAAAAAGCUUUAUAUAGAAAUUUGAAGGAGGAAAUCUAAGACAUAUAUGAGGGGAAUAUGAUACUUUUUUUGAUAAGAGACGGGAUUAGGGAUGGCAAUCCCAUUUUGGGACGGGAUUGGGACAUAUUUUUGUCCCAUAAAAACAGUUAGGGACGGGAGUGGGACAUUUUUUAUCCCACUUGCAUAUACGGGUCGGGAGUGGGAUUGGCAAAUUCCGUCCCAUCCCGUCUCAUUGCCGACUAAGAAUGAGAAUUUUUCCAAUUGGAAUGGGAUCCCGUAAGAUCCCAUUUCUUUUGGGACGGGAUCGGUACAUAUUUUUGUCCCAAAAAAAUAUAUAGGGACGGGAGUGAGACGUUUUUUCAUCCCAAUUGCAUAUACGGGACGGGACUGGGAUUGGCAAAUCCCAUCCCAUCCCGUCCCAUUGCCAACCCUAGGCAGGAUUGUGAUACUAUCACCUCUGGAAUUGAAGCCUUCUAUAAAAUUAGAUGGAAGUGAGCUCCAUUACUUGUAUCAAUUUGUAAUCCCUCUCAUUGUAGAAGUUUACCUGGUCCUUGGACCUCUAAUGAGAAGCUUCUUAAUGUAUAAUGUGGUUACUGCUUCUACCUAAUGGAAUGUGUGAAGCUGGCAGGGACUAGGGGUCUUUUGUAGGAGAAACUAUUUUUUCAAACCUAUUCAAGUGCUUAGAGGUAGUGCUUGUUUUACUAGGUCAGCUGAGGAGGGGUUGAUGUCUGCUUUGCGGUCAUUGUAACCUUAUUAGUUCCAGGUAGCUCCUUUAAAGUUGUUUUUGCUCUCUAACGCUUUUUCGGUUGACGAGUGUGUCUGGUCAUGGAAAUGUAGGGGUUGGAUUCCAAGUGUUGGAAGUUCAUAUGGUAGUAUGAGGAAGCCCCUUUUUAUGAUCCAAAUUUGGUUAACUAAAAUGGAUCUAAUUGGUACUUCAUGCUUGUUCUGUUCCUUUGGUCUUUUAUUAUUUUUUCCCUUUUCUUACUUAUAAGUUUGAGGCCAUGUCUAAUUGAUAAAUCUCUAAGUAUCAGUACUUCUUCUGGUUAAAAUAGUUAAUGUAUCCAAACUUUGUUUAGUGUCCUGCUCUCUGUUUUUAUUGGCUAGUGAUUUUGGUCGUGCUUUUUUGCGUGGCCUAUGGUAUUUUCCUCCGUCACUACCUGAAAAGUAUAGGAUACUGAUUUUUUGAGAUAUUAGUUGUCAUAACAUUAUGUCAAUGCAGGGUUCUGGUUGGAAAAUUGUUGCAGUUUUGAGGGGAAUUUCCCGAACAGGAUCAAACAGCUUCCUUUGGACAGACAUUUUGAUAUUAAUAAUGUCAAGAGGGUAUGUUGGUGCUCUACUGCUUAUAUCUAUUGUGUUCCUGUUGUAUAUCUCAUAAUUUUUUAGAUUUUGCAUUUGCAUUGAUCUUCUCUUAUUCAUUUCUUAUCAGAUUUUGUUAGAAGCGGAUGGCUAUCAACCAUAUCUAAUAUCCCCUGAAAAGGGUUUGAGAUCUUUGAUCAAAGGUGUUCUGGAGCUUGCAAAAGAACCCUCUCAUCUUUGUGUUGAUGAGGUAAUGGAACCAUGUAUAUAAAGAUUUUACCCUUUUUCUCUUUUUAUGAUGUUGAAUGUUAAAUUUUUUGUUUUGGCCUUAACAUAUGGUUCCUUCAUAGUAUUGUUAGUCAAUAGUAUGCUCUCUGUUGGAUGCAUGAUAUGGACCAAAUGAUACACUUUGUAAUAUUUUUCUUAGGCACUACAUUUUAUGUUCUUUUUGUUCCUCAAUAACAUGCUUAACUAAUGACAAGUACUUCAGGUUCAAUAAGGAGGAUUUGUCAACUUUUAUUUGACUUAAGAGGUCAGAUAUUCUUAAAAUUUGUUUUUCUAGAAUAGGUACAUCAGGUCAUUUGAUGUCGUUUACCCAAUUUUCUUUAUGGAUGGCAGUGAAAAUCUGAAGCAAUUAUUGUUUCUGCUGACUGAUAUAGUUCCUGGCUGACUGGUAAAACAGGUACACCGUGUUCUGGUUGAUAUAGUUUCUGCUGCUGCAAAUGCUACGCUAGGCCUGGGAAGAUGUCCUCCUUUUAAGAGAGAGGUAUGGCUGCUUUUGAUUAUGUGUCAUAAUAGCUUUUCUGCAUUUGUACAUGAUUAGACCUAUAUGUGGUUCAAAUUUCCUUUUCCGUGUGACAAUAGUUGAAUGGUUUGAAACUUUUACAAGGUUGCGGCCAUUGCAAGUCCUGCCUUAGAUGGGUUUAAGAAUGAAGCAAGAAAGAUGGUGGUUGCACUAGUUGACAUGGAGAGAGCUUUUGUCCCUCCCCAACAUUUCAUUCAUUUGGUGCAGAGGAGGUAUUCUCAAAAUGUUUGGCUGGUAUAUUUUACGUAGUAAUGUCAAGCUGUGAUAUGAUUGAACUUCUUUGAUAUAUUUGAGAUAUGUGCAACAUUGUCUUCUGGAUAUCUGGGUCUGAGUUCUUGUGAUGGGAUAGCUUGUCAACAUUUAUUUCUGGAACAUUUUGCUUUGAAAAUGCUGACAUUACCAACUUUUCUGAAAUUAAUGUCAUAGUCUAUUUCUUCUCUCUCCCCAAUUUUGCAUGAGCUGAGUUUUGAAUGCAUGCAAAUGCAACUCCACGAAUUUAGAAAAUUUGGUAUUUAUUAGAGUCUAAAUACUAUUGUUGGGUAUUUUCCUAUCAACUUAAAGCUAGCAGUUUUGUAUUUGACCUUUGUUGUCAGUCGGGCUAGUGUUUAGAUCCGAUUGUGUUUGUGUAGGUUUGGUUCCAAAUGAUAUCAAAUUCUCUAUGCAUGAAACCAGCAUUUUUUCAGUUUAAACUCAGUUGUUUGGGCCUUUUCUAUUAGUUUAAGCCUUUGGGACCUAUGGUUCCUUAGCAUUACUAUUUUUUUUUCCUCUAAUUUCUUUCCUGAAAGUUCUGUGCACCAUGCUUAUUGCGUAAUCUAUUUAUUUUGUUAGGAUGGGAAGACAGCGGCAAGAGGAGGAGGUGAAGACGCGAUCUUCGAAGAAAGCAAAUGAGGCAGAACAAGCAAUACUGAAUAGGGUACGAUGUCCUUUUCCUGAUGUAAUUGGAGUAUGACAUGAGGAGGAUGGGACAUACUGAGGAGGCACUAGUUCCUUUUAAUUUCUCCUUAAGAAACACAUUUAAAUCUCUACUUUAUGUUUUUCCAUAUAUUCUCCUUCAGGCAACCAGUCCUCAAACAGGCGGUCAGCAAACUGGUGGAAGUUUAAAAGCAAUGAAGGAUAAAUCCAGUCAAGCAGAGAAAGAAGCAAAUGAAGCUUCUGCUUUAAAGACUGCAGGCCCUGAAGGAGAAAUAACAGCAGGUUUGUGAAAAAAAACUGUCUGCAUCUUAUGUUAUUAGGCUUUACUGAAAAUUUCUUCUUAAUGUUGUUAUUGCUGUGUGUUGUGUAGUGUUUUAUUAUUGUGUCAAUGAUUACUGAAUUCAGAAGGCUGUCUAUCUUUUCCUUUUAUUUGAGUGAAAGAUCUUUUAGCUCUGGUUAAUGGUCUCUUGACUUUCCGGAAUUGUUAUGAUUUUAAGUCCUGAUGGAGGCCUUCAUUGAAAGAUAUUUAAACAACAUUUUUAAUCUAUUGAAAGAAAUGAUCAUGGGUUACUAGAUGGGCUUGAUUCGUUAGUCUAUUAACCUUGGAUGCAUUUGAUCUAUAACAAUACCUGUGGUACGUCAUUGACUGGAAUCAUUUGCAUUCAUAGUCGUUCACUAGAAUCAUUUGAAUACCACUAUACUGCUUUCCGAUUCUCUGGGGGUAACCUUGCUGUUGCUUGUGUUGAAAUAAGCCGAGAUUCAUGGGGGUGGAUAAGUUUUGAACAUCAAACUCUUUCUUGGAUUGAGUGUCAUGGUCUUCUAGCUUAUGCUGCAUUGGCUUGUUCAUUUUGUCCCUUGGACUGCAUUUGGAGGAAUAGAUGCCUGAAUUCAGUAUGAGCAAAGUUAAGAGUAGAUAAUAUACAUCAAAUAUUGUCUGGAUGGAAAAUUGUGGAUUCCAAUUUGUGGGACAAGUCUCUGAUUGCUAAAGUAGUAUUAACUAGGGUUGGUCCCAGAUGUGUAUCUUGACAUUUUCUUUAACCUUCAUUACUUUUUCAUCAAGCCAUAAAGUGCCUGCAUACAAGUUGAAGACCGGGAAACUUGCAACUGCUGCGCAAGACGAUAUACUGUUGUAGCAGAUAAUUAGCUAUUCAAUAAUUUUGGUUUAUCUCAUUAGUAUUUGUGGAAUGCCUUUGAAAUCCUUGAUUAGUAUUUGUGGAAUGCCUUUGAAAUCCUUGCAUGCAUGGUUCAUAUCCCAGCAGUUUAUGGAUAAAGGCAUGUUAAUCCCCCUCUAGAUGAAAUUACUUAAUUGCUUAAAUGAGUUUUUUUUUAGAAGUUUGUGACUAUUUUUUGUUGUCCAGGUUUCUUGUUGAAGAAAAGUGCAAAAACUAAUGGAUGGAGCAAGCGAUGGUUUGUUUUGAAUGAGAAGACUGGAAAGGUUUGUAACUAACAUUUUGUCCCAUACGCUUACAUUUUUUAGACAUGGAGUAGUAAUGCUAUUCAGAUGUUUUAAGUGCUUUUGGGCAUGGUAUCUAACCUUUGUUAAAUGAUUUUAGCGUUACAAAAUUUUUAAAAUGAGUUACAUUCUAGCCUCCAUUCUCUUAUUUUUUAUGUUUUUGCAUUAAAGAAAUAUAGGACACUGUUAUGAUAGGCAUGAUUUAAUCUCAAUCAUCCUUUGUUUGACAGCUGGGCUACAACAAAAAGCAAGAGGAAAAGCAUUUUCGUGGUGUCAUUGCUUUGGAGGUAUGGAGAAUUAUUACUCUGUUUCAGUUUUGGUAUUAUAUUAUUUAUUCUUUUGUCACAACCUUUUUUCACCAUUUUGUCGUUUAUUGCCGUCUUACUGGCUGGACAGGAGUAAGAGUUGUAUAUGAAUAAGCCUAUAAAUAACCUUUAUCAAUGAAGUUUGCCUUAAUACUGCAAUCGGAACACUUUCUAAGUUAAAAUGGAUAAAGAUGGCCUAUGAUAAAUUUAACAAGGUAACAGUGGCCUCACAUACUAACGAACUUCAAGUAAAAUAUUUUAAGCUUUUUUCUUUGUUUUCUUUGGAUACAUGCUACCCAGUGUUCAUUCCUUUGGAUGUUACUUUCAAUAUUUUACCAAGUAGCUUCCGUUUUGAGCUGUUUUUCAUCUCACUUCGCAAUAAUGUAUGUACAUUUGCUGGUGCAGGAAUGUAAUAUUGAGUAGAUUCCGGAGGAGGAGGAACCUCCAGCAAAAAGUUCAAAGGAUAAAAAGGCUAAUGGACCUGAUUCUGGGAAAGCACCAAGUCUUGUAUUUAAGAUUACUAGCAAAAUUCCUUAUAAAACUGUUCUGAAAGGUAUUCUUAAUGUU